This 221630-nucleotide long non-coding RNA is filed under the name Vitis vinifera (wine grape). RNAcentral's name for it is "long non-coding RNA (VVIN_LNC000757)". Lineage: Eukaryota; Viridiplantae; Streptophyta; Magnoliopsida; Vitales; Vitaceae. The record is from RNAcentral.
AUUUGUACUGAUCCAUGGUAUAUAUGCUGAUCAGCUUAUUACAUAUAUGUAGUACUUGCUUAGAGGUAGUUUCAUAAUGUUUAAUAAGGCCGCUGUCCCACAUAGUUGCCCGGUGGAUCGUAGUUGCAUGUGACGAACCACCACCCAUUGUUGCACUGAACCCUAGCGCACCCAAGACGCACCGAGUUGCGCCACACAACCUGAGUAUAGUGCCCACACUCUCCACCAACGCAUGAGUUGGAGUUGUAGUCAUAAUAAGGCUUCUCCCCCACCCACAAGUUCACCGCAUCGGUGCCUGUCAAUGAACCGCUGCCUUUGGCCAGGUUCUCACCGUAAGGCCCACCUGAGUGCACUAGAUUGCAGUCGCUAAUCCUCUGGUUAGCAUAGUUCUGGGCGUAGGCAGCUACAGUGUCGUUCCAUGUUAUAGACCCAACGCCAACUUGGGCCCGCGCUGCAUUGUGAGCAUCGACGUAGUCCUGUGGAGAGUUCUGGGCACAGCAGGUGUGAGCUAGGGCUAACCCCAUGAGACCAACAAGGAGCGCCAUUGAAAUCUUACACAACCCCAUCUUUUAGUUUCUUUGAUGACAAGUGAGGGCUGGGUUGAAGGGUAUUUAUAGGGGAAAUAGAAGCAUCAUAAUCUCCAAGUCUUGCUCCCCCUAACUUCCCCCUUUGAUACAGUCUGUGUGGCGGCCUUCACACGUAAAGAUCAACAACUGAUAAAAUAGUUGGCACUAAGAUCAAAAUGACUUCCAUGCAUGUUCAAUUUUUUCCUAAGAAGCAAUCAACAAUACAUGAAAACGACUUCCAUGCAUGUUCUUUCUUUUAUUCAAAAUAAAACAGCUCUUUGAAAUCACAGUUUUGCAGUUCAAAAAAUCGGUUUUUAUUAAUAUUUAUUUUUAAAAAUUUACCCUAAACGCUUCAAUUAGAAAAUGCGAGCUUUAUAAAAUUCAAAAGACAAAAACACCUUAAAAUCCAUAUUUUUCUAAAUGGGAUUUGAGAGUAGUUGUAAAAAUAUAAAAAAAUUUAAAAUUACAUCAGCCCCUAUUUUUAUACAAAUAAGCAAUUUUAAAGUGCUUUUUUUUUUCUUUUCUUUUGUUUGAAAAUGUCAACUUAAUUAGUCUAUUUUAUAUAUAUAAACCUUUGAUCACGGACGAAUUUACACGUGCUUCUUCAAAUUCUGCAAAUACGUACAAAGUAUCCUAACUUAAACCUCUGAUGAAGGACGAGCUUACAUGUGCUUCUUCAACUUCUGCAAAUACAUACAAAUUAUCCUAACCGGUUUGCUUACUUGACUGAACUAAGUGUUUGGUCUUUUAAUGUUAGAUUUCGAGAUUUCGUGGAAAAGUGGUUAAGACAGAGUUUUGGGACGGUCAUCAAAGUUGAAUAAUUUAUCAUGUGACACAUUAUUUGAGCAAACAAGUUGAUAGCGUAUGUGAUUUUUUAUGCUCGUUGUCAACCUCAAAUCCAAAAUAAAUAUAUGACUUUGAAAUGGUAAAAUAUUCAGUAUGAUUUUCUUCUUUACCCUUAUGCUAGGCUAUUAUCGUGGGUUGAUGGCGCGAGGUACUAGGGUCAUUGUAAUUUCCUGAUGUACUCGCCUCCUCAACUGAAAAUGAUGCUUCCUUCCUUCGCCCUACAAAAGAUGUCUGGACAGGGGGUCCGGACACACUCUCUAAAGCCUUUGUUAGUUUGAUAAUCCAGCAAAUUGAUAUUCUUGGGCCCUUUUCUUUUAGGAAUGCUUAACCUUUUUUUUUUUUCGACUGGGUCGUCGGGGGCCUUUUAUAGUGCUUGGAGCCUCGUCACUUCGAAGGUGUGAAGACUCUUUGACUUUUGCGAUCAUGAUGGUAUUCAGAGGGUGACAGAGCCAUCAUUAUCCUGCAGGCGGCUGACAGAGAUCGUUGGGGGGAUGAUUUGUCAUCACCCUUGUCUUUUCACUCUGUAGGCGGUGUAGGGCAGGUCGUGGCAGGUCGCCUGAAGAGACCCAAGAAGGUCCAUCGAGUAUGCUUUUGGCGAAAUGAGUAAUGAUUGCCCACAAAAUACGGCCAGGAAUUUUGUUUGGGACGCCAGCUAUUAGGUCCGGACUGGACAUCCACAUAGGGGGUGGGGAGGCCACAUGUCAGUCCAUGUGAUCGUCCGGACAGGGGGUGAGACAUGCCAGGUGUCCAAUGGAGGAGUGCCUUGUGAGGCCGUCACGUGUACGCUUAGGCAGUCCCUACAGGUAUCACUAGUGGUUUCGACUAAUGGUAGCAAAAGAAGAACAAAGGUACUUGAUAGGAUGCUUAUUCCAACAAGUUAAUAUAUAUAUAUAUUUUAAUCAAAUGAACGUUAUUAGAAACAUUUUCAAAACUUUAAUUUAUUUAUUUUUUUAUUUUUUAUUUUUAAAUUUACAUUUAAACAAUAUUGGAUUCUCUAUGAAAGGGUUUAAAAGUACAUUUGAAAGUGAUUUUGAUAAGUGUUUUUAGUCUUUCUAAUACUUAAAAAAUAAAAAAUUUCAAGUGUUAGAAAAACUAAAAGCACUUUCUAGAAUCAUUGCUAAAUGCACUCUAAAUACAAUUAAAAGUGUUUUUACAAGAAUUACUCCAAAUCACAUUAAUAAAAUUGUGAUGAUUUUUGGUGAAAAUUUAUAUGAUGUUAGAUGUAAUUCUUUUUUCAUCUAAGGUUCUAGAUAUUAUACUGUUUGAUUGGAUAAGAUAUGACAAAAAGAUAUCAUGAUUUCUAAUGAGAUAUGACUUUGGAUAUUUUAUCAAAUGAAAAUGGUAUCUUAAGACAUUAUAUUAAAUAAGAUUUGUUAUGAUCAUAUUUAAUUUAUAAAAUAAAUAAAUGGAAUGUAUAAUAUAUUGCAUUUUAAUGUUCAAUAUUUUUUCUAAAAUAAAAAUUAUAUUGAUUCCUAAUGUUUGUUUUUAAAUAAAUAUGAGAUUGUUGUAAAAUAAAAAAAUGAGAAGAAAAAAAGAGGAUGGAAUAAAUAUGAAUACUCAGAGAAAAAUAGAAUAUUAUUUCAUUAGCAAGUCUCCUCAUUUUAUAGAGAGUUAGGAAGAGAUUUGUAUCAAUAUGGAUAAUCAUCCAUAAGUUGUCACAAUCAGAAAAAUUCUCAUAUUUUAUAACACUCCUCUGUAGAUGAUCAUAAGAAUAAUAUACCUCCUUAAACCUUCCUAGAAAAAAUCUUAUGAGAAAAACCUUUGUAAAGUAAAAAAAGUACAAAAUUCUUUAGAAUUAUUACGAUUGCCUUAUUAAAAACCUUGCCAAGAAAACCUAGUGAGAUAAAAUCUGGAUGAAGGGAAAAAACAUAUAAUGUAGUGAUAUCCUUAUCAAUUUGUUUCCACUCAUGUUGGUAUGAUUAUAUUUUCUCUUGUAACUCAAUAUCGAGAUCUUUGAGUUGGCGUAUUUCAAUGUUAUAUAUGAGUUUCUUGAGUGUUGCAGUUGACAAUGCGUUUGUGAAUAGGUCUACUAAAUUGUCAUUAGAUCUUACUCAUUGAACAAUCAUUUCACCACUCUUCUAGAGCUUAGAAGUGUAAAUGAAUUUGAGUGUUAUAAACUUAGUUCCAUCACCUUGAAUGCAUCAUUCUUUAAUUUGUGCAAUGCAUGCAAUAUUAAUAUCAUGUAACAUUGUUGAAUUGUCUUUAAUGGAAGAUAGUCCGUAUGAUUCUUGAGUAUAUUGGAUUACAAAUCUCAACCACACACUUCUUGACUUUCUUCAUGGAUUGCACGUAUUUCUAAAUGAUUUGAAUAACAACUAUUAUAAGUUUUAUUGAUCACCAUGAUAUUGCAGUAUUACCAUAGGUAAACAAAUAUCCUAUUUGAGACCUUGCCUUGUAAGGCAAUCACCUUGGGGGAUGGGAGGGAUGAAGAGGAUGAUGGUCACUUUUUGAAAAAAAUUAAACUAUAUGAAAGCAAGUGACAAGUAUAUCCAAUUAAAUAAUAAAUACAAUGAAAAGUAAUUGCAUAUAAAGUAAAAAGAUAAGGAAAAGAGAUUGCAAACUUAAGAGUUUUAUAGUGGUUUGGAGUAACUCGACCUAUGUCCGCUCUCCUUAAUGUCAUGGACUUAGUCUUUUUCUAAGCUCGUGCGGCACUUAGACAAGUCAAGACACUUGAUCUUGCUAAGUCAGCCUUACUCCCAAUGCUUAGCUUUCUAGGCUAAGAUGCCUACGACUCGGAAGCUUUAAAAGGUGUAGUAGGCGAUGCUUAAAGAAUGAAAGCUUUUGUUACUCAAAGGAAGCUUUACAAGUGCUUUGGGAACUCACUUGCUUGGUUGGUUAGGUUCUUGGGUGGUGCCUUGGCCAAAUGAGGGCCUCACCUAUUUACAGGCAUCAGUGAAACUCUCUGGAACCUUGGAGGGUUCCUUACAACUUAAGAAUAAUCUAGAACUUCCUACACAAUUCUAUGUACAAACCUAUGUAUAAGAAUAUACAAGAGAUUCCUAGAAUUCUCUAGAAAGCCUUAGACUCCUCUCAUACCUUCCACCAUAGUGUAGAGAUGUGUGGACAUCUCUAGGCGUCUCUAGAACCUUCCAUACUCUUCUCACCAAUGGCUUAGUGUAGAUGGCUCCAGGAGUCUCCAAAAGCUUUCUGUCCUCUAUAUAACCCCUAUGGGGAGGGUCAUUUGAAACAUCUUAUGACACUCCCCCCCACCUAUGCCGUCGACGUCCUCAUUGUUGCCACUUCUUGAAACUUCUCGAUGAGUUUCCAGAACCUUCUAAAGGAAUCCGCAUGUUCCCAGCUUACCUGCCUCUUAGGUAGUCCUUUCCGUAGGACUAGAUACUCUAUCACAAGAGAGACCCCUUGUCUCCUGGUAACCCAUUGAACCAAGAUAUUUUUCACCUCCUUUUCCCGUGAGACCUCGGAUGGAUGCAGACCCUUUCACUUUUGAUGCUUGGAGUGCUGCUUCCUCUUACCCAUCGAAUUCACCUUUCCCUUGUUGACCUUGUCCAUGUGUGUGUGAGCUACCUCAACUCGCUCUCCUUUUGCCUCAUUUACUUGCACCCCUGAUAGUAAGGAGAUCUUAGGUGUACUAGGCUUUGGGUUGACUUAGAGGGCACCUAGUAGCUGCACCAAGCCCAUAUGUGCUUCGUGUUCCUACUCCCUCUCCUCGAUCAUACCAUUGAACGCCUUCUUCUUUGGAUAAUCCCAUGCCCAAUGUGGACCAUCACAUAGGAAGCAUUUGAUUUUAGGUGUAAACUCUUUCCUUUCCUCCUUACCCCUUCCUUCCUGGACGUUAAGUGUCUUGCUUGAUCCCAUUCUAGGAGCAUUGUGGUCCCUUGAAACCUCAUCUCUCCCACCUAUGGCGUGGCUAUCCUCCAAAGACUCAACCUUGAAGGAGUCUCCCCUCUUGUAAUCCGUUAAAGACUCUGCUAUUGCCAUAGCAAUGGCUAAGUCUUGAACGCCUUGGCGCCUUAAUUCCUACUCAGCCCACCCUUGCAGGUUAUCCAUGAAGUUGAAUAGCAACUCCUCCUUAGUCAUGUUAGGAAUCUUAAGCAUGAGCGAAGAGAAUUCCUUGACAUAGUCGCGUAUUGAGCCUGUGUACUUAAGACACCUCAUGUUUUUCCUAGCUAGGUAAGCCACAUCUUCGGGGUAGAACUGCCUCUUGAAGUUCUCCCACGUCUCUAUGGUACAAAUGCCUUUCUCCAUAUUGGCGAACCUCCGACGCCACCAUAGAGUAAUUAUGUGAGUAAGGUAGAGGGUUGCAGUCCUUACCUUAACUGCCUCAUUAGUCAAUGCGAUAGCCUCAAAGUAUCGCUCCAUAUGCCAUAAGAAGUUGUCCAACUCCUUGGCAUCCCGUUUGCCACUAAACCCUUAUGGCUUCGACACCUCCAUCCUAAAUGCCUCUUGUGUGGCCAUCACUCGUGCCAACAUAGCAGCCUUGUAGAUGGCUAACUCCUACCUAACCUCCUGGUCUGGAGACUCAAUUCGAGUGGCCAAGGCCUCUAUCCUUGACUCCAUGCUAGCAAGCAUGCUCAAGACCUUUUCUUGGAAGGACACAAACUCCUCAUGUGACACUGGCUGAACCUAUGAGACUAGCACCCCCUCACGAAGGUCUUGGAUCUGCUCCCUUAAAUCCUCUAAGCCCUUCUCCAUGCCUUGCUCGAUCAAGUCCAACCUCUCCUGAGUGUCUGCCAUGGCUAGCUCUAUCUUAGCUAACCUUACCUCCAUGUUGCCAACAACAUAACGAGAUUUAUCCUUCUUGCCCCUGCCACGUGCAUCAGGUUCGAUCUCCCUCCCAUGGGUUUGCUCACUAGUCUCAUCCAAGUUGGAGCCUGACAUGCUUCAUUUACUAUGCCCGCUUUGUAGCAGCGCUUUGAUAUCACUUGUCACGGACUUAGUCUUUUCCUAAGCUUGUGCAAUACUUAGACAAGUCAAGACACUUGAUCGUGCUAAGUCAACUCUCAAUUCUUAGCUUUCUAGGCUAAGAUGCUCAUGAAUCGAAAGCUUUACAAGUGCUUUGGGAACUCACUUGUUUGGUUGGUUAGGUUCUUGGGUGGUGCCUUGGCCAAAUGAGGGCCUCACCUAUUUAUAGGCACCAAUGGAACUCUCUAAAACCUUGGAGAGUUCCUUACAACUCAAGAAUAAUCUAGAACCUCCUACACAAUUCUAUGUACAAACCUAUGUACAAGAAUAUACAAGAGAUUCCUAGUAUUCUCUAGAAAGCCUUGGACUCUUCUCAUGCCUUCCACCAUAGUGUAGAGAUAUGUGGACAUCUCUAGGCGUUUCUAGAACCUUCCAUACUCUUCUCAUCAAUGGCUUAGUGUAGAUGGCUCCAGGAGUCUCCAGAAGCUUCAUGCCUUCUAUAUAACCCCUAUGGGAAGGGUCAUUUGAAGCAUUUUGUGACAUUAAGUUCCUAAUUGAAUGAGGGUUCCACUAUUUCAAGACUUUCAACACAAGCCUCCAAGCAUUACAAUUGGAUUAUGGUUCCAAUCAACCUUCUUGGAUUUAUGACUCCAAGUACUUUCUUGUAUUAUGGUUCUAAGCACCCAUAACAAUCCUUAAGAGAUACCUUACUUUUAAUAAUCUCUCAAGUGAUACUCCACACUUGAGAUACCUCACACUUAGAUUUUUUUUCUUCUCAAAGGUUUACAAGAAAUGAUAGGAAAUAUUUUCACAAAAUACUGAUAUAAAAUUUAGGUGUAAAUGAUACAAAAUAAACAAAGAUUAGGUGUAUUCAUGGAUAUGCAAGUUUAAAAACAAAGUGUACUCAAUUUAUAAAUCUUACUCACCAAAUCAAAGAAAGAUGGAGCCUUUAAAUAGAGUUUGGAAGCCCAAACUAGCUGUUAGACAAGUUUAGGGGUUGGCUAGUCGAGUAACCGACUUGAUCGAUUCACUAACUAUUAGCAUUUAAUAUUCUAGAAAAUGAUAAUUGGAGUUUAAGCCCUUAAUUGGUUGGGCAACCGGUUCAACUAAACUAGUUUGGCCUCAAUUGGUUGCACCUUAGCUAUUGGAAAUCAAAGGUGCACAAAAUGCCCCUUGAUCAAUUGGGUCCAAUUGGCUCAAUUGUUGCCUUAAACCCUCGAUUGGUUGCACUAGAAUGCUUAAAACUCAUUUUUGAGAUCUAGAACCUCCAAAACCUUUUGUAGAAAUUUAAAAACCUUUUAAAGAUAUUUUAGAAAUCAUUUGGUUCAAGGUUUUGAUUGAAAAUGUGAAAUCAUCCCAUUAUAAAAGAAUUUAAAACAAUUUAUUACUUGGAUGAUUUCAUUUGGUUCAAGGUUUUGAUUGAAAAUGUGAAAUCAUCCCAUUAUAAAAAAAUUUAAAACAAUUUAUUACUUGGAUGAUUUUUGGUGCUUAAGUAAAAGUGAAAUGAAUGAAAAACCUAGCGCACUCAUAACCUUACAAAGAGAUCUUAGACAAUCUUUCUCUUUGAGAUUUUUUUUUCUUAAUUUCCCUUGUAUAUAAUAUAUCUGUAGACCCUCAAUUUUGUCCCUCGACACUGGCAUUUAUCCUUCAAGUGUCACAUCCACCCAUCGUUCGCAUAUGGCACCACUAGGGCCCCUUUUGGGCUUAGUCGGUGUCCGAGACUCGUGUGGGUUUGUCUGUGGUCCAUUGUGGUGCAUAUGUGGUUCAUUUUGGAGGGUCACCACGGCCAUUUUCCUAGUCGUUCACAUCACGCUAUAGGAAGGAAGUGGGGUCAUCCUGAUGUUUUAGCUUAGUUGGAGUUUAUAGGGGCAUGUUGAGGUUCGAAGCACUCGGGCUUGUUUUGAUCGUAUCUCCCUCAUCCAAACUCGGAAUCAAGAACCGUUUCUUUUUAUGGAUUCCUUAUUCUUCCAGGAACAUUCUGUAAAAUUUUCAAAAUUUUUUGCAACCGUUCGGCUGGUUGGCAACCGGUUCAGCCGGUUCGGCCGGUUCAUCAAGUCAGCCGGUGUAGAACACUGAUUUUUGGUAAUUGUUUUGAUCAUAUCUCCCUCUUCCGAACUUGGAAUCAAGCACCAUUUUUUUUAAUGGAUUCCUCACUCUACUAGGAACAUUCUGUCAAAUUUUCAUAUUUUUUUUCCAUCGGGUCGACCAGUUGGCAUCCGGUUCGGCCGGUUCAGCCGGUUCAUUGAGUCAGCUGAGGUAAAACACUAAUUCUAGUAAUUUUGAGGCCCAAAUCCUACAUGGCCUAGGCCCGUAAGCUCCAGAUCGGUUUUGGGCAAUGUUGUGGGUCCAUUUUGGGCCUUGGUUUGGGUUCCUUGCAGCCCACCACGAAUCCAUAUGGAUUCUUGGUGGUGAAGCAAGCUGAAAACUGAAGGAGUGAGCUGGCCUUGUAAGUUUAAGAGAAGUAAUGAGGGGUGUGGUUCCCAUGCUGAUGAAGGGGAUUUUGGUGCUGAAGGGGAUGAAGGGGAUUUUGGUGCUGAAGGGGAAGGAAUCCAGGAGGCUCAAAUGUUAAGAGGGGAUGAGUAUAAAAGGUGCAAUGAUAGGAGAGCAAAGGAGAUGAGGGGACAUUUUGGAGAGGGGAAAUUUUGCUGGUGAGAAAAACAAAAGGUCAGUAGCAUCUUCUGAGUUGAGAGCGUGGGGGAAAGCUUCAGCACUAUGGUUUUUUAAAGAGGAGAGUGACAGCAUCUCAGUUUUGGAAGUCAUCAUCUGCAUACACAGAUCAUAUUUGGUGGAGAUUCUAAGGUAAGCAUGCUGAAUUUUCUUUACUUACAGUUUAUCUUCCUCGUCUUCAUAUACUUUUUCUCCUUCCUCAUCAUCUUUUCUUCCCUUUGAUAUGAAGAUUGUAUUGCUUGGGUGUGGAUAAUAAAGGUCACACAUGAUUGUUGUUGUUUGCUUCCUUAAUCACUUAGGAACUUUCUGACCGAAUUUGGGAUUUUUUACCAACCGACUGAACCGGUUCAACCGGUUCAGCACCAUAGCUGGCAGCCUCUGUCAGCCAUGAAGAACAUUUGUCUUUCUUUGUCUAGUUCUCACUCAUCCGGGCUCGGAAUUGAGAACCGUUUCUUUUGUUUGCUUCCUUAAUCACUUAGGAACUUUCUGACCGAAUUUGGGAUUUUUUACCAACUGGCUGAACCGGUUUGGAACCAGUUCAACCGGUUUGGAACCGGUUCAACCGGUUCAGCACCAUAGCUGGCAGCCUCUGUCAGCCAUGAGGAACACUUGCCUUUCUUUGUCUGGUUCUCACUCAUCCAGGCUCGGAAUUGAGAACCGUUUCUUUUGUUUGCUUCCUUAAUCACUUAGGAACUUUCUGACCGAAUUUGGGAUUUUUUAACAACCGGCUGAACUGGUUUGGAACCGGUUCAACCGGUUCAGCACCAUAGCUAGCAACCUCUGUCAGCCAUGAGGAACACUUGCCUUUCUUUGUCUGGUUCUCACUCAUCCGGGCUCGGAAUUGAGAACCGUUUCUUUUGUUUGCUUCCUUAAUCACUUAGGAACUUUUUGACUGAAUUUGGGAUUUUUUACCAACUGGCUAAACCGGUUCAGCACCAUAGCUGGCAGCCUCUGUCAGCCAUGAGGAACACUUGCCUUUCUUUGUCUGGUUCUCACUCAUCUGGGCUCGGAAUUGAGAAUCGUUUCUUUUGUUUGCUUCCUUAAUCACUUAGGAACUUUCUGACCGAAUUUGGGAUUUUUUAUCAACCGGAUGAACUGGUUGGGAACCAGUUCAAUAGGUUCAGCACCGUAGCUGGCUGCCUCUGUCAGUCAUGAGGAACACCUGCCUUUCUUUGUCUGGUUCUCACUCAUCCGGGCUCAGGAUUGAGUGUCGUUUCUUUUGUUUGAAUCCUCACUCAUUUAGGAGUUUUCUAGAAAAAUUUGGGAAUUCUUCUCAAUAGGUUGUACCAGUUGAGAACUAGUUCAACCUGUUCUGUUGGAGGACUUUAGGAAGCCCUCGAUUUUGGCAUUUUUCGAGCCCUUAUCCAUGGGGGCUCAAACCCUUUUGCUAUAGGGCACUUGUGAGCCAUCUUGAAGGUUUAAGUCAGUGUUUGAUUUCAGUUAGUAUGGGCAAUUUUGAAGUUAUGGGUGGUGUGGUCUAGAUGAGUCUAGUUUGAUUUGUAUGACAUUUGGGGAGUCCCUUACCUCAUUUCAACCAACUAUCUUCCUUUUUUGGCACAAGCUUUGAUGCUUGAUUUUGAAUGCAUGUUGCAUGACUGACUCACCCUCUGCUGCAGCGCUUGGCUAGGGACCACAGGUACGCAUCGUUGGCUUUGGUUGUCGAAUUCAUAUGCAUGCAUGGUGCUUAAUCUUGAAUGUUUGUUAUGUGUUUAUCUGUGUUUGGCUGACCUUUUAUGCAGCGCUUGGCUAGGGACCACAGGUACGCACCCAUUGUUUUGUUUGGUUGAAUUCAUAUGCAUGCCAAAUACCAAUUAGGAUUGUGUGAUUCAUGACAUCUAUUUAGCCUAGGGUUUCAUUUGACCUUUGACCCAUAUGCUCCCACAUACCCAAUUCAUUAGUAAAAACCGAGUUUCGGGCCUAGAGGGGUGCUACCUCGCAUGAGGUACCUUCCCAACGGGUAACCUGAUCCCCGGACCCAGAAUCUAGUUUUCGUAGACCACUUUUUCCAUACUGGGGUCAUUAGGGGUUUUUGUUCUUACUUAAUUUUCCCCAUUUUAAAAACAAAAAUAAAAAGUAAGUGGCGACUCCAAGCAACACCGUUCCUCACCGGGGGCGGGUUUUUCAAAACUGGAAAACACCAACUUUUUCAUUUCUUUCUUUUCUUUUAAAAGCGAGUCGCGUCGGUCCGGUGGAUCGGGUGAGGGUCCACAAUAUCUUUAAUUGCUACUUUGAAAAUCUUUUGACCUAAACACACUUAACAUAAAACAUUAAUUCCAAACCUUAUUUUGUUAUCAUCAAAAUUGAAAUUAACCAAACUUUGGUUUCACACCUAUUUUAAUUUCCUCAUUUAUUAUCCACUUUUUUUUAAAAAAAAAAUAUUUUAAGAAUAUUAUAAUAUAUAUAUAGAUAUAUAAACUUAGGUUUAUUCAUACAAAUUGAUAUAAAAAUAUCAUUUAAAAUCAAUAAACUUUUUAUAUUUAGAUAAAUAUCUAAAAAUAAAAUUUAACUUAAAAAAGAAAUGAUGUAAAAAGAUUGUAAAUAAUCAAAAAUAAAAAAAAGCAGGGCCUUGUAAAACUAUUUUUAAUUGAAAUUUUUUUAAGCAUUUAACUUCCCAUAAAAUGAAAAAUUUUUAGAUCUAAAUUUCUUAGUUUUAAAAAUAUUUAACAUAAUAUUAUAUCCAGUUACCAGAAAAUGGCUAGAAGGAAAAAUAAAUAAAAUAGAAAAAGUCUAACUAUUUUUUUUAUGUUUAAAUAAUAUGGACAAAAAUAAGAAAAAAAAGGUAAAAUAUUAAAAUAUUUUCCUCCUUAUUUUUCUAAGAAAAGCUGAAAUAAGUACAGAAAAAAAUUAUAAUUUUCUUUAAUUUUGCGUUUUUUUCUUCAAACUUUCCACAACCAGCCACAUGGUCUAAGUGAAAGCAUAAAUUAUAAAAAUUUUAUCUGUCUACGCAGUUUAAAAGCUUUGCCAAAUUGGGUCUUGGUAGACUUUAAAAAUACAAAAUAAAUUGAUCAGAUGGUUACAUAUAUAUAUAAGUCUUGAUAGCGCCCUGAUAAUGAGGCUACAACUUAGGAAUUACGUGUCCAAUUGCCAUGCUUGGAAAAAUCAAAAUGAUGGCUUUGUUGGAUGAAUCUAGAUGAAGUUUGGCCUACAUAUAAGGAAGAAUAACAUCAUGGUCGCUGGUGGUAGGCAUCAAUUCCGGGACAACCAUGAGCUUGUGCUGGAAAAUUCAGUAGACCCUCCAUUAGUGUAAUCUCUUAAUUGCCUUAACUUCUCUCCAUUUAAAGGCAAAGACUGGACUCAGUGGUAUGGCAUUGGGAUAGACCCAGAGUUCAGCUCAGUCCUAGGGCCCAAUUAAAGUUCUAGAUUGGGUUGAGUCUUAUAUAAAAGUGACAAUCUCUAUUUGUUAAUCUUUGUGUCAACUUAAUUUAUACUAUUAUUACUCAUGUAACCUAAUUCAUAUUUUAAAUCUAAUCUAUAUCACAAUUUAUUCUAAUAUUUUUGGAUGAUGCACAUCAAUUUGAAAAUUUUUGGUGUGUAUCAUAGCUCUUAAUAGCUCAAAUUUAUGUUACAUCCCUAUUCAAGACUUUCUCACAAUUUUCAAGUUUUGUAGUGCUUUUAUUAAAAGUGUGAUGAGCUUAGUGAGCGCAAGUAGGGGUUAUAAGGGUCAUUUUGAGCAUUUUUAGUAACUUCUAUGAAUUUUGGAAGGACAGGGGAGCCCAAAAGCAAGAGUAAAUUAGCAAGCUAAGCAAAACACAAUUAGCAUCUCCACAAGCUCGAUUCCAACUAGUUUUGAGUUUGGAGUUAUUUGAAAGGGUUAUAUGCAUCUUAAUAGAGUGGUAAAUUUUAUCAAGUUCUAGACUCUAAUAGGGAAGAAAAGGGGAGUUAGAGAUUUUAUUUUUAAAACAAAGAAAAUACCAUUGCAAGAUAGUAGCAUAAACUUCAACUUAAAUAUAAAAAACAGAACAAAAAAUAGCUAAUCUAAUAUUUGCUUUUUAAUUACAUCAAUUUACUAACUUUCCUAUAAGUGAGCCAACUUUAUUAUUAUUAGAUCAUCUAGUGAAAUAUCUCUCUUUUAUUUUGAUAACUUAGUUUUAGAUCAAGUUUUGAUAAUCUCAUCUAAAAAUUAAUUGGUAUCUUGAGGUUGGACUAAGUCUUUUAUAACAUUCAACCACCAUCAUCUGGGUGACCCAUCCAUUGAGCUUAAAGAGUGAAGUUGUUACACCCCAACAAUCUCUCCACUAACAUGAUGCUUCCCCGGCUUUAACUCAAGACAUUGACUUUGAUACCAAUUCGUGGAUCAAACUUUGAUCAUCUUAUUUGAAGACCAAUUGAUUUUUAGAUGAGAUGAUUAAAACUUAAUUCAAGACUUAGAAAGGUAUUUAUCAGUUCCUUCCCCUUAAAAAAACCUUGUCCUCAAGGUUGGAAGUAAGGAAAAUGACUAAUAAGCUUAUGCCAAUCUCCCUAGCUAGCAUCUUUUAGGGAAGAAUUAAAAUAAUGAACAAGAAUUGGAUCUUUGAAUUGUUCCCAUGUUUGAUAGCAUGUUGAUCAAGAAUUCUGAUUAGUUCAAACAACAUCUGUCCUUUAUCAUUAAUGGCUGGUAGCUCAAGUUUUGCAGUGUUUUUUCUAGCCAAUGGAUCUUUUUCUUUAAACCAGAUAGUGAAUUUUUGAAUGGGAAAGCAAUUCCAAAUAAUAAGCAACUACUCCUAUAUGGAAAUUCACCCUAAAAGGCCUAUAAAACCUUAGAGACAGCUAAUUGAUGCAUGGAAAGGCCACAUAGGCUUAUUAGUCUGGUUAUAGGUACAAUUACACCAUACCUCUCACAUCAAAAGACCUUUCUAUAUGAUGUUGAUUAGCUUGCUGAUUCAUAUGGCGUUGAGCCUUCUCCAAAUUUUCUUUCAAUAGUAGUAAGAUGGCAUGCAUUUCGAUCCGUAAGCGCUUGGCCUAUUGAUACUGCCUUGGUGUCACCUCGUGCAUACAUGGGCAGAGAUGACGAACUCUGACCAUAAUCCAUUUUAUGUAGAAUGAGCCUGAUGGCAGUGUGGAAGGAAGUAUUGAACCACCAUUCAACAAAUGGUAACUAAGGAGACCACUUUUUAGGAUGAUUGCCCAUGACACAAUAAAGAGAAUUUUUCAAACAAUGAUAAAGGCUCUUUUUAGGAAUUGUUUUUUAAAACACUUUUUGGUUCUUCAGAAAAAAAAAAAAAAAAAUUGAAAACAAUAUUUGACAACUGGAAAAUAGAAUUUUUUUUUUGGGACUAUUUUAACUUGUUUUAAAAAAUAAUUAUAUAAUAAAUACAUAAAAUUUAUUUUUAAAACAUAUUUAAAAAAAAUAGAAAACAUAUAUGUUAAGAAUAUUUCAUAUUCCAAAUUGACUUUUGUUAUACAACUUAAUGAAUUAAUAUGAUUUAAUGAUUUAAUUUAAGCCAUUGAGUAAAUUAAAUAUCUUUGGUAAAAUAAUUUAAUAUUACAAUUUAAAAUUACUUUUAACAUUAAAUAUUAAAUCAAAAAAAUUAACUCAUUUUUAAUUUUAAAUCUUUUUUGUUUUAUUUAACCCUAAAGUAUAUUUUAACAUUAUGAUUUUACAUCUAUGAUUCUUUUUUAAAAUAAAUAUUUUAUGGUUAUCAUACCCAUCUACAAUAUUUUAAAUAUGAAUAUUGUCUAAAUAAAAAUUACUUAAAAUUAUUGAAAAUAAAUAUGAGUUGAAAUCAAGGAAGAUAAAUAUUCAUUAAAAUUAAUAAGGGUAAAUAUGUUAAUUUGAUAAUUUAAAAUAAACUUUAAGUUAACUUUAUCAAAUACCUUAAGUAAAAUAAGUAAUAAAUUUUAAGUCAAUCACUUAAAAAUAAUUUAAUUUAAAGUUAACUUAAGUAAUUAAGUAAUAAAUAUCAAAUUUUAUCAAACACUUGAAACUCUAUAUCUUAUGAAAAAUUGUUUUUUUAGAACUACUUUUAAAAACGCUUUCUAAACAAAGCAUAAUCCUUAGUUUUUCCAUGAGAUUGUAGAUGAUAUGAUGAACUCAUAUAAAGUUGAGUGCUGCUCAAAGAGAGCUUGCCAGAAUAUGCUAGUAUAUAUGGGAUCUCUGUUGCUAACAAUGGUAGUGGGCAUGUCCAACAAGUGAACAACAUGUUGGAUAAAAAUCUUAGUAACUUCCUUGGCUGAAUAUCGAUGUCUUAAAGCAAUAAAGUAAUGGUAUUUUCUUAAUAUAUCCUUCAUGAGGAAAAUGGCAUCUUUCCCAUGUGAGCGAGGAAGUCAUCCAUUGAUAAAAUUCAUGGUUGUCAUGUAAUAUUGCAGCCUAGAGAGAAAAAUGUACAACUCAAGACCAGGGAACCCUUGUACUGUAGUUGAUUUUGCAAUAUCGCCAAGAAUACCCCCAUUUGGCAUUUGGCAUUUGGGUCAACAAUAUUAAGUCUUUGUAUUAGUUAUUGUAGUUAAGGGUCUUGCUGCUAUUUUUCCUUGGAAGUAUAUCAAGCCAAUUAAUAGUAGACAAGGAUAGGGUCAUGACUUUCAAUAUUGAACAUACUCUAUAACGGACAAAGCCAGAGAGAAAUAAGAGAAUUGUAUGAGGGUUUAAAUGUUUAUUAAAGAUAUUUGGUGGUAGAAAUUAUCCUUUUAUUCUCACAAUCACUUGAAGUUGGAGCAUGUGACACGGCAUGGAUCGAUGUGUUAGGCAUGGCCCCCACGUGCCUUCGAUGGGAGAUAUCCCUUCCAUACCUUCUCAGGUUAUAAAUGAGGAAAAAUGUCUCUUCCCAUAUGCUUUUCUGUAUCUCAAAUAUAUCAAUUCUAGAAGGAUUGAAACUCAACCAAGCCUUUCAAAUAGGUGAUCAUCCAAUGAACCAGAUUUAAGGCCAUUAGUCCACCCAGUACUUGUUCCUGCAAUGAUAUCCCACAAUGAUGUCUUCAAAGUUGGCCAUAUCCCACUACUUGAUCUAGACUCUCAGAUUUAUUGUGCUGUGAUAUUAGAUCAUAGGGGAGCUAGCUAAUCAAAUUUGAAUCCUUUUCCAUAUCCUAAUUUUUUUGUCAAUUCCUUUGUAUUGACUUUUAAUUAAUAGGGUUAAUUUAUAGUCCCGAUUUCCUUGAACAAUGAAUGUUAAUGAAAAUUAUUACCUACAUAUACAACAAAUAAUCAUAUUUCUUAUAAUACUACUAUGUCCCUUUUUUCAUAAGAUCAGCAGGAUAACCCUGGAAAUUAAGACAAAGAAAACAAGGAGCCGACAUGCUUUGAAGUACUACUAUGAAUUUAUUAUACUUGGAAAUUAAGCAUCUCUCUUGAGUAUUUUUGAGUACAGAAGGAGAAUAAAACAAGAUCUUACUGAAAAACUACCUCAAUUAUAUCUUCCUUGGUCAGCUAAAAGCACAAAGUUGAUCUUAUUUGCACUGACCCAUGGUAUAUAUGCUGAUCAGCUUAUUACAUAUAUGUAGUACUUGCUUAGAGGUCGUUUCAUAAUGUUUAAUAAGGCCGUUGUCCCACAUAGUUGCCCGGUGGAUCGUAGUUGCAUGUGACGAACCACCACCCAUUGUUGCACUGAACCCUGGCGCACCCAAGGCGAACUGAGUUGCUCCAAACAACCUGAGUAUAGUGCAGGCACUCCCCACCAACGCAUGAGUUGGAGUUGUAGUCAUAAUUAGGCUUCUCCCCCACCCACAAGUUCACCGCAUCGGUGCCUGUCAAUGAACCACUGCCCUUGGCCAGGUUCUCACCAUAAGGCCCACCUGAGUGCACUAGAUUGCAGUCGCUAAUCCUCUUGUUAGCAUAGUUCUGGGCGUAGGCAGCUACAGUGUCGUUCCAUGUCAUAGACCCAACGCCAACUUGUGCCCGUGCUGCAUUGUGAGCAUUGACGUAGUCCUGUGGAGAGUUCUGGGCACAACAGACGUGAGCUAGGGCUAAUCCCAUGAGACCAACAAGAAGUGGCAAUGAAAUCUUACACAACCCCAUCCUUUUUAGUUUCUUUGAUGAGAAGUGAGGUUAUUGAUGAGAAAUGAGGCUUGGUUUGAAGGGUAUUUAUAGGGGAGACAGAAGCAUCAUAAUCUCUAAGUCAUGCCCUCCCAAACUUCCCCCUUGGACACAGUCUUUGUGGUCGCCUUCACACGUAAAGAUCAACGACUGAAAAAAUAGUUAGCACUAAGAUCAAAAUGACUUCCAUGCAUGUUCAAUUUUUUCUUAAGGAGUAAUCAACAAUAUUGAAAAUUCUUUGUGUUUUGGAUAUCUUCUAGGGUUUACCCCUGGCGGCCAGACCAGUUUGAUCAAGACUCGUGAACUUCCUUCUAAAAGAACAUGUAUAAAGAAUUAAAAGGGAAAAACAAGUGUUGAUGUUAAAUCAAAAUUAUUUUAACAAUCUUAGAUGCUGAAAUUCUUGACAUUGAUCAGCUAGUAUUUUUUUUUUUUUGAUUCAAAAUAAAACAGCACAAUGGAAUCACAUUUUUUCAGUUCAAAAAAUGGGUAUUUAAAUAUAAUUUAAAAUCAAUAAACUUUUUAUAUCCAGAUAAAUAUCUAAAAAUAAAAAUUUAACUUAAAAAGUAAAUGAUGUUAAAAAGAUUGUAAAUAGAUACAAAUAAAAACUAGUAGGGCCUUGUAAAACUAUUUUUAAUUGAAUUUCUUUUAAGCAUUUUAACUUCCCAUAAUAUGAAAAACUUCUAGAUCCAAAUUUCUCAGUAUUAAAAAUAUUUAACAUGUGAUAUUAUAUUUGGUUCCUAGGAAAUGCAAGAAGGAAAAAAACAAAAAGUCUAAUUAUUUUUUUAUUUUUAAAUAAUGUGGACAAAAAUAAGCAAAAUACAAAAUAAGUUGAUCAAAUGGUUAUAGAUAUAGAAGUCUUGAGAGCGCCCUGAUAAUGAGGCUACAACUUAGGAAUUACGUUUCCAAUUGCCAUGCUUGGAAAAGUCAAAUGAUGGCUUUGUUGGAUGAAUCUAGAUGAAGUUUGGCCUACAUAUAAGGAAGAAUGACAUCAUGGUCACUGGUUGUAGGCGUCAAUUCCGGGACAGCCAUGAGCUUGUGAUGGAAAAUUCACCAGACCCUCCGUUAGUGUAAUCUCUUAACUACCUCAACUUACUCAACCGCUCUCCAUAUAAAGGCAAAGACUGGAGUCAGUAGUAAGGGAUUGGGGUAGACCCAGAGUUCAGCUCAGUCUAGGGCCCAUUUAAAGUUCUGGAUUGGGUUGAGUCUUACAUAAAAGCGGAUAAGCUCUAUUUGUUAAUCUGUGUCAACUUAAUUUAUACUAUUGUUACUCAUUUAACCUAAUUCAUAUCUUAAAUCUAAUCUAAAUUACAAUUUAUUCUAAUAUUUUUGGAUGAUGCACAUCAAAAAAUGUUUCAUACUGUAUAUAUUUUCUAUCAUUUGAAAAUUUUUGGAGUGUAUCAUAGCCCCUAAUAGCUCAAAUUUAUGUUACAUUCCUAUUCAAGACUUUCUCACAAUUUUCAUGUCUGUAGUGUUUAUUAAAAGUAUGAUGAGCUUUGUGAGCACAAGUACAGGUUAUAAGGGUCAUUUUGAGCAAUUUUAGUAACCUCUAUGGGUUUUGGAAGGAGAGGGGAGGCCAAAAGUAAGAGUAAAUAUGCAAGAUAAGUAAAACUCAAUUAGCAUCUCCACAAGCUCGAUUCUAACUAGUUUUGAGUUUGGAGUUGUUUGAAAGGGUUAUAUGCAUCCAAAUAGAGUAAGGUAAAUUUUAUCAAGUUCUAGACUCUAAUAGGGAAGAAAAGGGGGGUUAGGAGAUUUUAUUUUUGAAACAAAGAAAAUACCAUUGCAAGAUAACAACAUAAAGUUCCACUUAAAUAUGAAAAAGGGAAUAAAAAAUAGCUAAUCUACUAUUGCUUUGUAAUUACAUCAAUUUGCUGACACUUCCUAUAAGUGAGCCAACUAUAUUAUUAUUGGAUCAUCUCCUGAAAUUUCUCUCUUUUAUUUUGAUAACUAAGUCUUAGAUCAAGUUUUGACCAUCUCAUUUAAAAAUUAAUUGGUUCUAAGUUUUUUAUGACAUCAUUGUUAUUUGGGUAACCCAUUCAUUAGAAAGUGAUAUGAUUAGACCCCAAAAAUCCCUCCACCAAUAGAAGGCUUUCAUGGCUCUAAUCCAUGACAUUGACUUUGAUAUCAAUUUUAGAUUGAACUUUGAUCAUUUCAUCUUAAAACCAAUUGAUUUUUAGAUGAGAUAAUCAAAACUCGAUUUAAAACUUAGGAAAUUACUUAACCGUUCAUUCUUCUUGAAAAAGCCUUAUUCUCAAGGUUUGAAGUGAGUAAAACAACUAAUAAGCCUAUGCUAAUCUUCCUAUCUAGCAACUUUUGGGAAAUAAUUAAAAUAAUGACAAAAUGCCACAGCCUUAUUAUUAGGGCUACAAGUGCCGUUACCCCAUAUCUGCCACAUCAAAAGACCUUUCCAUAUGAUGUUGAUUAGCUUGCCUACUUAUAUGGUGUUGAGUCUUCUCUAAAUUUUCUUUCAAUAGAAGUAAGAUGGCAUGCAUUUCAAUCAUCAAGCGCUUGCCCUAUUGAUAUCACCUUGGUGUCACCUCCCCCAUACAUAGGCAAAGAAGAUGAACUCUGACGAUAAUCUAUUUUAUAUAGAAUGAGCUCGAUGGCAGUGUGGAAGGAAGUUUUGAAGUUUUUAGGAUGAUUGCCCAUUACACAAUAAAGAGAAUUUUUUAAACAAUGAUUAAGGCUGUAUUUGGAAAUUGUUUUUUAAAACACUUUUUAGGUAUUCAAAAUAAAAAAAAAUAGAAAAACAUAUUUUACAAUGGGAAAGUAGAAAAUAUUUUUUAAUUAUUUUUACAUAUUUUUUAAUGAUUAUUUUAAAAAUAACAUGAAAAGUGAGUUUUAACUUACUAAUUUAAAACCCCAAAUUUUAUAAAUUAUAUUUAGUUUUUAUUCAUUUAAAAAUAUUUUAAAAUACAUACAUUUUUCCAUUUGUCAAAUAAUUAGUUUCUAAAAUGACCCUUUUAUUUAUUAGGUUAAUAAUACCAAUUGAUGAAUUUUUUUUUUUACAAGAAUUGUUCUGACCUCAAUAAAAUAAAAAAUUUUAAAAUUUAAAAUUAAAACUAAAAAAACUUUAAAACUAAAGACAUAAAAUAAAAUAUUAACUUUCAUUUUGAAUUGUGACAAGUAUGCUUGAUACGAGAUAAGUCUUGUGGACAACAGAAUGACCUCCAAUGGGGCUAUCAUGGUUGUCAUGUAAUAUUUCAGCCUUGUACUGUAGUUGAUUAUGCAUUAGCCAAUAUACCCCCUUUUGGCAUUUGGGUCAACAAUAUUAAGUUUUUGUAUUAGUCGUUGUUGUUAAGGGUCUUGCUGCCAUUUUUCCUUGGAGGUAUCGAGCCAAUUAAUAAUAGACAAGGAUAGGGUCUUGACUUUCUAUAAUAAACAUAUUCUAUGACGGACAAAGAGAGAGAGAAAUAAGAGAAUUGUAUGGGUGACUUUCUAUUAUAAAUCUUUAUUAAAGAUAUUUGGUGGUAGAAGAAAGUUUUAAGUAAUUUUUUUAAUAAUUAGUCUUUUAUUCUCACGAUCACCUGAAGUUGGAGAAUGUGACACGGCAUGAAUCAAUGUGUUAGGCAUGACUUCCACGUGCCUUGGAUGGGAGAUAUCCCUUCCAUAAGGAAAAAUAUCUCUUCCCAUAUGCAUUUUGGUGUCUCAAGUACAUCGAGUCUAGGAGGAUUGAGGGAAACUCAACCAAGCCUUUCAUUUGGGUGACCAUCCACUGAACCAGAUUUAGGCGCAUUAGUCCACCCACUACUUGUUCCUGCAAUGAUAUCCCCCAAUGACGUGUCAAAGUUGGCCAUGUCCCACUACUUGAUCUAGACGCUCAGCUUUGUUGUGCUGUGAUAUUAGAUCAUAGAGGAACUAGCUAAUCAAAUUUGAAUCCUUUUCCAUAUAUAUAUAUAUAUAUAUAUAUCCUAAAUUCUUUGUCAGUUCCUUGUAUUAACUUUAAUUAAUAGGGUUUAUAGUCCCAAUUUCCUUGAAAUUUCUUAUAAUACUACUGUGUCCUUUUUUCAUAAGAUCAGCAGGAUAACCCUGGAAAUUAAGACAAAGAAAAAAGAGAAGCCAACAUGCUUUGAAGUAUAACUAUGAAUUUAUUGUACUUGGAAAUUAAGCAUCUCUCUUGAGUACAGGAGGAGAAUAAAGCAAGAUCUUACUGAAAAGCCACCUUAAUUAUGUCUUCCUUAGUCAACUAAACGCACAAAGUUUUAUUUGUACUGACCUAUGGUAUAUAUCCUGAUCAGUAUAUUACAUAAAUGUAGUACUUUGCUUAGAGGUAGUUCCAAGAAGUUUAAUAAGGAUGUUGUCCCUGAUAGUUGCCCGGUGGAUCGUAGUUGCAUGUGACGAACCACCCUCCACUGUUGCAUUGAACCCUAGCGCACCCAAGACGCACUGAGUUGCUCCAAACAACCUGAGUAUAGUGUCGGCAUUCCCCACCCACGCAUGAGUUGGAGUUGUAGUCAUAAUAAGGCUUCUCGGCCACCCACAUGUUCACUGCAUCGGUGCCUGUCAAUGAAGGGCUGCCCCAGGCAAGGUUCUCACCGUAAGGCCCACCUGAAUGCACUAGAUUGCAGUCGCCAAUCCUCUGGUUAGCAUAGUUCUGGGCGUAGGUAGCCACAGUGUCGUCCCAUGUCAUAGACCCAACACCAACUUGUGCCCGCGCUGUAUUGUGAGCAUUGACGUAGUCCUGUGGAGAGUUCUGGGCAUAGCAGGUGUGAGCUAGAGCUAACCCCAUGAGACCAACAAGGAGUGGCAAUGAAAUCUUACACAACCCCAUCUUUUUUAGUUUCUAUGAUGAGAAGUGAGGUUAUUGAUGAGAAAUGAGGCUUGGUUUGAAGGGUAUUUAUAGGGGAGAUAUAUAGAAGCAUCAUAAUCUCUAAGUCAUGCCCUCCCAAACUUACCCCUUGCAAUUGGACACUGUCGUUGUGGUCGCCUUCACACUUAAAAGAUCAACAACUGAAAAAAUAGUUAAUUAGCACUAAGAUCGAAAUGACUUCCAUUCAUGUUCAAUUUUUUCCUAAGGAAUAAUCAACAAUAUUGAAAAUUCUUCUAUGUUUUGGAAAUCUUCUAGGGUUAAACCUGGCGGCCAGACCAGUUUGAUCAAGACUAGCGAACUUUCUUCUAAAAGGACAUGUACAAAGAAUUAAAAGGGAAAAUAGUGCUGAUGUGAAAUCAAAACUAAUACCACUGAUGUUUAACUCCAAAGUAGAUAGAUUUCAGUGAAUUUCAUUAAUAUGCAUAUGGGAUCUGAUCAAAUUUUUUAGGAGGAUAUUUAUCUCAAUUACAACCCAAAAAAAAAAUGAUUUUUUUUUUUUUUUUGGAGAUAAUAUUGGGGUGAUUCUUUCAUUCAAUCAGUUUUUAGUGGAGAUUUUUGGAAAUUUUUUUGUUAAAUGGAGGCCUAGAAGUCAGAAGAGAGAUUUGCCUUUAAUGAUGGCCCAAUUUAUCAAAUCAAAUUUGAAUUGAAGGGAAAGAAAAGAAGGAACUAAUACCAUGUUUGGAAGGUAUUUUCUAAAAGAAUUUUGAAAAAUAAUUUUUUAAUAUUUUGUAAAGCAAAAGUUCAUUUAAAAAUCUACCAUUUUUUAACUUAUUUUUUAUAUUUUAGAAAUAAUUUUUACAUUUAGUGUUUUAUUUUUAAUCAUUUUUUAUAUUUAUAUAUUUAAUUUUUAAAACUGUAUUAUUUUUUUAUUUUUAAAAAUAGAAAAAUGUUUCCUAUUUUUUAUUCCCAUAUGAAUUUAUUAUUUUUGAAAACCCUUACCAAACAUGCAUUGUGAGGAGUACUUCAUGGAGAGUUGAUCUAAAUUCAAAGAAAAAUGUAGGGCUCCUCCCAGAACAAUCAUUUUAACUAGGUCGUCAAGUAGCAUCUGCAUCAACCCCCCAUAUUAAUAAAAAGGCAGUGAAUGCAUGCAUUCAAAUUGUUCAUGUCUUUAGAUGCUGAAAUUCUUGACACUGAUCAGCCAAUAUUUUUCUUAUAUUAAAAAACAAGAAAAAAACAGCCCUUUUAAAACCUUUGAUCACGGACGAAUUUACACGUGGUUCUUCAGAUUCUGCAAAUACAUGAUACAAAUUAUCCUAACCGGUUUGAAUGCUUGACUAAAACAAGGUGUUUGGUCUUUUAAUGUUAGAUUUCGAGAUUCCGUGGAAAGUUGGUUACGACUUAAGAGACACUUGUGGGUAGGCCAUGAAAGUUGAAUAAUUUAUCGUGUAACACAUUAUUUGAGCAAGCAAGUAAUGUGUUACACAUUAUGUGAUUUAAUUUUUAUGAGUUUGAAAUGGUGAUACAAUAUGAUUUUAUUCCUUAUUCUUAUUCUUGGCUAUUAUCGUGACAUCACGAUUGGCGGACUAAUGGUAGCAAAGGAAGACAAAAGUUACAAGGACUUUUAGCUCCUAAUUUAACAAAAAUUAUUGAGGAUGUAGAGUUAUUCUUGAAAGACUAGAAACAUUUUUUAACAUUUAGAAAUUUUUUCUUUAUAGAAAUUAAGUAUUUGAUAAGCAUUAAAAAUUUAAGAAAUUUGGAAUUAUCACUUGAUAUGAUAUUUAUUCCAAAAAUUAUUAUUAUUUUUUGUUAUGUAUUCCAUUCCAUUACUAGAAAUGUUUUCAAAUUUAUCUUUUAAAUUAGAUUCAAACAUUAACUAAAUCUCGAUUAAGUUUUUAUGAUAGAAGUAUUAUCAACAAAAAUUUAAAAGUGCUUUUACAAGAAUUGCCCCCGAGCACAUUGACAAAAUCAUGAUGAUUUUGAGUGAAAAUUUCCAUGGUAUUAGACUUAGUUCUUUUCUAUUGUAAGGUUAUAUAUGUUAUGCUAGAAUAGGAGAAUAUCAUGACUUCUAAUGAAAUAUAACAUCUUUGAAUAUUAUAUUUAUAUCUAAUUAGAUAUUAAAUCAUGCUCAUGUUUGAUUUAUAGAAUGAAUAAAUGAACUGAAAAAUAUACUACAUUUUAAAGUUAAUUAUUUUUUUCUAAAAUAAAAAUAUAUUGCAUUUAAUUGCUUGUUUUUAAACAAAUAUAAAAUCGUUUAUUUGUUUAUUAUUACUAUUUGAAAAUCAUUCUAUAAUUUAUUAUUUGUGUAAUUAUUUUUAUUUAUUUGUUAUAACAUUUAUGAAUAAAAUUAAUAUUUAAAUAUCACAUAAUGUCUACUAUUAGUAUAUUUAAGUUGUAGUAUCCAUAUUUUUUAAUUAUUUUUUCAAAAUAAAAUUUUAAUUUUUCUAAUUUAAUUUAAUUUAAUUUUAUAAAAUACGAUAUAUAAAGAAAUUUUAAAAAUAAAAAAAUGUAUGACAUGAAUAAAUUGACGAAACAUGGAAUCUGUAUAUAUCAUGUCUCAACUUAGAAUUAUUAUAUCUCAUGAUAUAAAUAUGAGGUUGGAUGAGUUAUCCUAUUGUAUGUAUGAUUAAAUAUGAGAUACAAAGAGCAUUGAGAUAAUUAAUUCUAUUCAUCCCUAAUCAAAUAUGAAAUAAAACAUGUUUUUCUAUUCUUUAUCCAAUUAUAAUAACUAACCAACAUAAUUUAAGUCUAAACGAAAAACUCUGUGGUAUUUAUUUAAUUUGAUUUUGUUUUUAUUUAUACAAUUCUUGAUAGAAAUUAAUAUAAAAAUAUCAUUUAAAAUUCAAAUAAAAGUUAAACUCUUUUUAUUUAGAUAAAAUAUCUAAAAAUAAAAUUUAACUUAAAAAAUAAAUUAUAUUGAAAAGAUUGAAAAUAAAUAAAAAUAAAAAUAGUAGGGCUUUGUAAAACUACUUUUAAAUUUAAAAAUAUUGUAAGCAUUUAACUUCCCAUAAUACCAAAAACCUCAAAAUCCUAAACUUCUUUGUUUUAAAAAUAUUAAGAUGGGAUAUUAGAAGUGUGUUUGGGAUUGUUUCUUCUUAGAUGUGUUUUUAGUGGAAGUGUUUUAUUUCUAAAAAAACAUUACAAAUAAUAUUUUAAUGCUACAAGUGAUUUUUCAAAUUUUAAAAAAAUAUUUCAUAAAUUUUAUCAAAUAACUAAUGUUGUUUUAAAAACACUUUUUAGGUUAAAAAUAUUUUCUAGAAUUAUUAUCAAGCGGAUUUUUUAUUUGGUUAAGAAGUUUAGAAGGAGGAAAACAAAAACUCAAUAUAUAUAUAUAUAUAUUUUCCUAUGUUUAAAUAAUAUGGAAAAAAACGUGUGAAAAAUAUCAAGGAAUCCAAGAACAAAAUAAAUUAUAAUUUUCUUUAUCUUUGUCUUUUCUUUUUCUUUUUUUCCUUCAAACUUUUCACAACCAGCCAUAUGCUCAAAGUUAACGUAUAUAUUAUAACAAUCUAAGUUGUCUAGACGGAUUAAAAGCUUUGCCAAAUUAAUUGGGUCUUGGUAGACUUUAAGAAAAAUACAAAACAAAUUGGUCAAAUGGUUAUGUAGAAGUCUUGAGAGAGCCCAACUUGGGAAUUACGUAUCCAAUUAUAAUGCUUGGAAAAGUCAAUAUGAUGAAUUUCUUGGAUGAAUCUAGAUGAAGUUUGGCCUACAUAUAAGGAAAAAUGACAUUAUGGUCACUGGUGGUAGGCGUCAAUCACGGGACAAACAUAAGCUUGUGAUGGAAAAUUCACUUGACCGGAGAUUAAUGCUGUAGGAAUAAUAUCAUUGGACUAAGGAUUUUGCUAAAGAAUUUUCAGAGCUCACAUGGUGUGGAGUAGUUUUCUAAUUUGUGACUCCGCUUGAUUGGACAGCUUAGAAAAAUUGUUUAGUUUUAGUUUCUAAUCUCUUCGAUCUAUUGUGCCAGCUUGGGAGUAGCUUAUAAGUUAUAACUUUGAAAAUUUGAUGUUAAACAGUAGUCAAUUUUGUCUUUUUUUUUUCCAUAUGUCAAAAAUAAAAAAGUAUUUCACUGUUCAAUAAAAAGUGUGUAGGAGUAAUUUUAGUAAAACUAGAUGAGAUUUUUAAGGUUUAAAAAUGUUUGUAUUGCAAUAAUUAAGAGUGUGUUUGGUACUUAUUCUAUAAAACGUUUCUAGUUUUUAUAAUACUUGGAUGAUAACAUUUUUCAAGUGUUAAAAAUAUUAGAAAUGCUUUCUAAAAUUAUUGCCAAAUGAGCUCUAAAGAUUUGACAAUUCCUUGAAAUGAUUUUUGAAUGGAUGCUUGAGAAAUAUUUUUAUAAGGGGUAAAUAAUAGAUAAAGAUUAUUGGAUUGUAAAAUUUGAAUCAAUUUUGUUAUGCUUUUUAUAGGAUCCUCACUAAGUUUGUAGAGAUUGAACCACCCUGUCAGCUCACUGAGGUUGAAAGAGACAACAUCUCCUAGAAAUUUUUUUUUUAUGUGAUGAAUGAUGAAUUUAUCUUUAUUGUAUAUUUAACCUUAUUAUGAUUUAGAGAUUUUUUAGACAAUGUGAUUACAAUUGAAAGGUGUGUGGAAGUUUUAUCGUUGUAACUUUUCUUUUUUAUUUAAUUAGUGGAUUUUUUUAGUGUUGAUACAUUUUAUGAACGUAGGAUCACAUUGAUCGUUAAACCACAUUAAAACUCUAGUGUUUUUCAUUUAUUUUUCUACUUAUUUGUGUGGUUUGAUUUAUAAAUAAUAACUCAAUAAAAUAGGAAUAGUUAACACAUAUGACCCCACCGAAAAAAUUUCUUUCACUUCAAUAAAAAAGAGUGAAGAGAUUUAAUAAUGAAACUUUCCCAAAAAGAUUGAUGAAGGAACUCUCACAUUCACAACCCUAGAAUAAUCCUAGAAAAACAACCCUUAUUGUUUUCUCCAUUUUUUUUCCAUAUCAUAUGACACUUCUCAGUUUUUUGGGCAUCCACAAAAGAAACCCUACUUGCACCUUAUAUUUUAGCUUAAAAAAAAGAGUCUAAAUAUGGGCUUGAAAAACUUUUCAUGACAGAAUAAACCUAACCUAUCAAUUUCUUCCAAAAUAAUUACUUUUUAUUACGGAACACAUUAUCAAAACACUCUAGUUAGAGUUUUUGUAAUGUAGGCACCCUUUCUACUAUGAUUAAGGUUUAAAUUAUGAGGUGUUAGAUUAGUUUCAUCAGGAGUAUAUAGUAAUUCAUUAUUGUUGAUGGUUUCGAUUUUACUUGGAAGUUACUCCAUUGUAAUAGUUCAUAUAGAAAUGAGACUUUUUUCUUACCCAUAAAGGAUUGUGCUCGGAUCAAUUAAGACCCUUUUACAAAUGUCAACCAUUAUUUCUAUUUGGAGCGCAAUUGGUUGAGUUGUGUUGGGUUUUCUAUUAAUGGGUAUACAUUCAAAUAAAACUAAUUCUCGAGUUUUAGAAUGCGUUGAUUUUAAAUAUAGUUUUUAGCAUUUUUAAAACUUGAAAGAUAAAAUUCAUAAAAAAAAUUAAAAACUAAAAAUAUUUCUUAAACUUACUACCAAACAGACCCUUAAAAUGCUUUAUUUAAGCUUCAUACUACCUUAUUUUUUGUAAAGAUCAAAUUUGAAUUAAGUGACAUUAGAUUGAAUUCAAACCAUUUAUAAUGGUUUCUCUUACUUCAAUUUUUAUAGAUUUGUAAGAGGAUCUAAAUAAUAAAUGUGAUGAUAUUUUUAAAAUAUUAAUAGUAUCUUUUGGACAAAAUGAAAUAGUACAUAGUAUAACAAUUAUAAUAUGAAGCCAUUUUUCUUAAAAUUGUUUUAGAAAUAUAUAAAUUAAAUUAAUUAAAUUGGGUUUGAAUUAAAUUUCCUAAAAAUCAUCAAAACUUUAGCUUGAGGCCAAUUUAAACUUAAUUUAUAUUAUAAAUUACAUAAUAAUAUGAAUUAUAAAUAUUAAUUUAGGUUUGGAUUAAGUUUUUGGACAAUUACCAAAACAAGGUAAGGUGAACUCCAACUUAAUUCAUGUUAAAAAAAAAAACUCAAUCAAUUAACUAGAAAACAAAACAAUGAAUGCAUAGCGAAAGAACUGAACUCAACCGCUCCUAACUAGGGUCAAGGCUUGGUUUAAUAGGUGUGAAGAAAAAUAAAACAUUUUUAUCCUUUACUAAUUAUAUAAACAUAUAUUAUGUAUAAAAUAUGGAUGAAUUUAAAACUCAAAAAAGUCAUUUUCAUGCAUUAAAGUAUUAACUUUUGCGCAUGUUUUAAAUAUUACCCUCCAACCAACUAAACCCUCCAUAUGUAUGGAAGGAAAUUAGCUUCCCUCCAAAUAUCACUCGAAAAUCCCAACAAAUCCGAAAUUAUUAAAAAAAAAUUCAACAAAUCGUGAAAAUUGAUUGAAAGGGCAUCGUGGAUAUUUCUCCAUGUGUUGUGUUUGCUACCUUUGACAAACCAAAUUUCAUCAAAAUUUUUGGAUAUUUUCAUCAUUGCUUAAAACAAAACUCUUGUGGCUGAGCCCAAACAAGAAAAAAAGUAUUUAUAUUAAUACUUAAUUUACAAAUCUACCGAGAUCUUAGGUUGGUAUUCACUGUGAUUAUGGACAUUAAAUUUUUUCCUUAUAUGUAUCAAAAGAAAUUUUAGAAAAAAAAAAAAUUCAUAUUUCAAUUGUUACUUUGCACGUAUAAGUUUCAAUAGAAAUACGAAGACGUGGUACAUUUUCUCCUCCGGUGGACAAAAGAUAUGAAGUACAAAAUUGUGGUUGCUUGGGUGGGGCUUGUUACACAACUCAAACAAAAUGAUCUACCGUAUAAAAGCAUAAACAUUUCACUUUAUUUCAUUAUAAUCUUCUAAUACAGAAGUGAUUUUAUUAGGGACCACUCCAACAAGUCUUUAAUCAAAGUUCAUGUAGAACCUUUCUUAAUAUAAGGACGUUCUCCAAAAUAGUUGCCUGGUGGGUCUUAGUUGCAGCAAACAAUCCACCAUUCCCCAUUCUUGCACAACAAUCUUGCACACCCCACAUUCACUGAAGUGUUCUACACAACCUGAGUGUAGUGUCCACACUCUCCUCCAACGCAUGAGUUAGAGUCGUAGUUAUAAUAAGGCUUCUCAGACACCCACAUCUUCACUGCAUCAGCGCCAUCAAAGUCAGUAGCACCCCCUGCAGCCAGGUUCUCACCAUAAGGCCCUCCUGAGUGUUCAAGAUUGCAGUCACCAAUCAGCUUCUCACUAACAUAUUGCGAUGCGUAGUUAGCUAACUUUUUGUCCCAUGUCAUGGGCUGGACUCCAACCUCUGCCCGCGCGGCGUUGUGGGCGGUAAGGUAGUCUUGUGGGGUGUUUUGGGCAUGGGAGAGAUGCGCUAGGGCUAAGCCAAGGAGGCAUAGAAGGGCCAGUGAUGUCUUGCCCAUUUUGGCUUGGAUUCUAUGAUGGAGGACAAGAGCCUUUGAUGGUUAAGAGUAUUGACUUGUUGCAGAGAAUUUAAUGGUGCAAGGUGUUCUUUCUUGAUAUAGCUUUUAAUCAUUAUGAUAGAUAAUCCAAAGAAAUCAAUAAAAAGUGCUCAGCAAUUAAUUGUAGUGCAAUUAUAAAAUAUUAACUUAAUAGAAAAAAAAAAAGGUGGGGUGGGGGGGAAUUUACACGAGUAGGAGAUAAGGAUUGAUAUUAAUUCUCUUGAAGAUGACUACAGCAUGUUAAGAAGGGAUGAUAGUCAUCUUCACAUCUAUUUUAUUCCUUAGGCACGAUUUUUUUUUUUAAUACUGUGGUUGAUGAAUUUUGAGGAGCUCUUCAAUUUGUGAAGUUCUCAUACCCGAAUUAAUGCAUAAAUAUUUUGUUUUGAUUGUUGAUGUAAGAAAACUGGCAACAUCAACCACAAAAUAAAUUUUCAGCUGUAAUUAAUAGUUACAUUAUGUUUGUUUCCUACGGGAAGAAAAAAAUGUUUGUUAUUUUUGUAACCCUGAAAUAACUAAAAAAAAAAUACAAAUAAUAAUAAUUUUCUCAUGAUUUGUUUGUACAAAAUAAAAAAAAUAAAAAAUAAAAAAUGGUUAAACUUAUUUGUUUUUAAAUUAUUUAAUUUUUAUAUAAGAUAAGAAAAAUAGGUGAAACGAGUUUGAAGAAAUGUAUAAAAUUAAUUUAUUAACUUUAAUUUUUUUUUCUUAUUUUUUUCUUCCCAUUUUCACCUUAUUUUAUUUUUAUAUUUUUCUUAUUACAAACCAAACAAAACCUUAAGCUAGUUGAGAUGAUGGAAACUUUUAAGAAUUUACUGUGGGGUAUAUUUUUGGAAAGUAAAGCUGAAAGUCAAAUAUAAUUAAAACUACUAGAAAAAAAUUAUAAAGAUGCAAAUGACCCUCUACAUAAUAAUAAUAAUAAUAAUAAACCAAACAAAACCUUAAGCUAGUUGAGAUGAUGGAAACUUUUAAGAAUUGACUGUAGGGUAUAUUUUUGGAAAGUAAAGGUAAAAGUCAAAUAUAAUUAAAACUAUAUAAUGAAAAAGGUAAAAAAAAAUUAUAAAAUUUUUUCUUGGUUGUUUAUGGGAAUUUGAAAGAGAAGAAAAUUAAAAUGUAAGGAAUAUCCAUGAUAAGAUAAUAGGUUUAUAGUCAUUGCCAAACCACAUUUAUUCUGCAAUUAAAAGGAUUAGUAGUUGAGGUUGGUAAGGGUUUAUAGUCGUGGAUUUUUUUCUGAUAUUUUGGGUGGUUAAUGCAGGUUAAUAGGCGGUCAACGUGGGGUCGGGGCAGUCAAUAUGAUGCUAUAGUGACCGCUAUAGUGAAAGCUCAAAAAUGCCUUUUAAUUGAUGGUGUUUAUUUUUUUGGCUUUUUGCUGAAAGCAAUUUACUUUCAGAAUUUAGGUUUUUUUAAAAAAAAAUUUUAAUGACUUAUUACUGUUUUUUUAAAUUUUUGGCUAAAUGUAAAAAACUAAAAUAUUUGGCUUUUUUUAAAUAGAAAAAUGCAGUUUUUGAAACCUCCCCACAUACGAUUUUCAACCCAACGCCUGACCCUAGCCCACCCAUCCCUUGUAGCUUUCUGCAAUUGGCAUCCUCAACCCUCACCUCAUCCCCAAAGCGGUAAUUUCUUCAUUCUCAUCCUCCAUCCGAGACUACAUAGUUGGAAAGACGCUCCACUUUCAUUCGACAUUGUUGAUCUAAUCGAAGGUAACCCUCAACCCAAAUUUAUUUUGGGUUUUAGGAUUUUAAUAGAGUAACCGAGUCUCAUUUCUCAGUACUUCUCUCUCUAAAACUCUCAUUCUCUAUUUUGGUUCACAAAUGCAAGUGCUCUGUUUAGGGUUUUUGAGUUCACAUGUUGCGGGUCCUAAGAUAAUUUUAGGAUUUCUAGGCUCUAUUAAAAGAGCUAUGUGGGUGUUUUUUUUUGUUUGAGUUCAUUUUUAAGAAAAAAUUUCUAGGCUACUGAUUUUGUUUGAGAUUACAAAGAAUGUGGGUAUCGGGUAUUUGGGUUUUUUGUCUCAAUGAGACCAAAUCAGGAGUAUUCAAUGGGUGGUUGGGAGUUUAAUUUCUAUCUUUUGCAACCCUUCCCCUUUUGCAGGAAUCAACUAAAGCAUAAAAUAAUUCAUGACUUCUUGUCUGUUUAUUGAAAUAUAAGAGAUUAGGUAGAUGGAAUUCUAGGGUGGUUUUGAAACAUUACCAUGCUUUGAGUCUGCUUUGCGUGUGUCAAUGUUAUCUAACUUGGUCCUUGCCCUUCAAACGUUUGAAGGUUAAAUUUUAUCUUGGACCUUUUCUUUUCCUCCUUAAACAAUACAAACUUUGAUGUGCUUCUUGGUCCAAAUAAGAAUAUUGUGUUGGUUGAAUUUGUGUAACAUCUUUCUCUGUUCCUUUGAUGACUAUAAAAUUUCUGGAUUUUGGUUGAAUCAGUAGCUAUGCGGCUAUGCCAUGUUACAUAACCUAUUUUAUUUGGCUUGAGUUUGGACACAUGAAUUGCCCUGUUUCGGUGAUUCUAAAGAAGAAAGUUAGGGAAUUGUCUCUGCGGAGAUUGUAGUUUUAUGCCAUGGAUUUUGAUGCACAAAGGGUUGUUAUUUUGAUUGUUGAAGUUCUAUUUUGUGUUUCAUUUAGUACUUUGGAGUCCCUGGAGUACUGUUUGAAAGCUAUCUUCUGCAAUUAUCCGAUCAUUUAGUGCUUUGGAAGGGAAAGUAAUUCAUGUUCCCACAUGAGAACAAUGAAUUCUAGCUGCAUGAGAGGCCAUUUGCAUCAUGGCUGGAGUACUUCACUCCUAAGAUAGUUUUCUAGGGUGCCUUUUAAUGUUCUUUUGUGUUUUUCAUUGAUUUCAAUACAAUGGAUUCUGCUGGAAGAAAAUUUGUUUUAUCGGAUUCCAGUGGGCAUAGUUUAAUGACCAACAAUUCUGUAAUGACUGUACAUUUACACAAUGAGACUAGAGUAGUUUAGUAGCAAUUCAAUGCAUCUUGUGAGAAGUUUAGUAGCAAUUUAGUGUAGUUUGUAAUUAUUGAUUCGGAACUAAGAAGCAAUAACCCUUUUCAUAGGUUCCCUUAAGAUUUAACAACUAGACUAGAGUAGUUUGUAAUUAUUGAUUCAGAACUAAGAAGCAAGAACCCCAAACAGAGGUGGAAGUUCCAAACAUAAAAUUCUAUAUAAUUCAUCAACCAUAGCAUCUGAUGGGGUCAGUGCAACCCUUUUCAGCAAACUGGCAUAAGCCUUUACCUCCACCAUUUUCCAAAUAUUGCUGAUGGUACUCCUCUGUUCUGUAAAACCUCUUUGCUGGAAGAAUUUCAGUUACAAUGUUCUUAUCAUUCAAAGGUCCCUUAGUCCUAUGAAAAUAUUCUUAGUUAUAAAGCCAUACCCUACUAAAAACCUGAAAUCUCAGGAACACUUUCGCCAGCAUGAAUUAAGUCUGAAGCAUUUUGAUCCAAAGGGAAGUGUUCUGAUGUUAUUUGGGAAGCAACUUUCAACAGAAAAUCAAUCAAAAUGCAUAUUUACUAUAGCAACUCUUUAAACAGAGUCAUCAAGCACUAGACAUGAUUGCAAGAGUCUUUAACUCAAGAAAGCAUGAUCCUAAAACUCAAAAUCCAUUGGAACCCAAUAUGUUGGCAAAACUGCAAUCAACAGAGAUAUCUCGCUCAUCAAUCUUAAAUUCUCAACACAUUUUCCAACAACCAAACAGUUAAAACCAAACCCUUUUCUUUAAUCAAGAAAAUAAAAACACCCUUUUUUUUAUAAGUAAUUUCAUCGUUUUUUUACAUUUCACCUUUUUUAUUCUCUAUUUAUUGUUGGGUCUUGCACUCAUCCUUUAUUGUCAAAUGUGGUUUUGUUCCUCGGCAGCGUGAUUGAGCUGCGUGGUUGGCACAUCCGAAGGAUUCUUUAGUUGACACAGUUGCUAAGAAUCUUUUGGAUCGAUUGGAGGUACUAGUUUACUUUGGAAUUCAAGUUUUUUAGUGCCCAUCUACACUAAAUUGCUACUAAACUUCUCACAAGAUGCAUUGAAUUGCUUAGUAUCAUUUUUUUUUCCUGUAUCAAAAGGAAAAAAGACAUAAAAGAAGCUGCAUAGGUAUUAUGGAAACUGCAUAUUGCUAACAUUUUCAGUUUUUUUUUUUUUUUUUUUUUAAGGAAAAGUAUAUCUUGAGAAUGGAACCAGUGGCUUUGAGCACUACUUUGAUGAUAUAUUUUAAGCAAAUGGAGAUUAAUGUUUUCUAGAACUUUUUUUUUUAUAGGCAAUGCUUUUCAGAACACAAAUUAUAUUAUUGUCCAAUUUGAUGAACGGUUGUCUUCCACUGUUAUACUUUGAGAUAUCACUUCCUAGGAAACACUUCAUCCAUCUCUUGCUCUUUUUGAUGUACAGAAAUGCACGUGCACAUGUAUGUGAGCAUUCAUGUAGACAUGUGUUGGCAUAAAAAGUAGUGAAUAGGCUGGGUGUAAAUGAAUAUGCUAAAAUAAGAAAUAAGAGCCAAUGAGAUAUAAUCAAUGAAAUGUAAAUAGAGUUUAGCCUCAAAUUCACAUAAGAAGGUUACACUAAGUAUAAAGCAAGCCAUACUCAAACUUUAUAUUCAUGAAGAUUUUUAUUUUAUUUUAUUUUAUUGUCUCUAAUUGAAAAUUGAAAAUUAAUCAUUAAUGUUGGUUGGUUUUUUGUAGAGUAAUGAGUCAAAAUGUUGAGAUUAGUAGGGCAAAUUGAACUGACCCCAUCGAAAGAAAACACUUUAUUGAUCUUUGUCUUCAAGAGGCAAACAAAGGCUUUAGAUCAGGUGGAGGUUUAAAGUCUAGUGUUUGGCCUCGAAUUGUUGAAGAGUUGGAGAAGUUACUUGGAAAACGUUAUACUUUAAAACAACUUAAAAAUGGGUGGGAUUACAUGAAAAGACAAUAUCUCAUUUGGAGUAAAAUGAUGACUAUGACAGGACAUGGUUACAACUCUAUAACCAAAACUUUUGAUUGGCCAGCUAAAAAAUGGGAAAAAUAUCUACAGGUAGUUUUUUUAUGGAUUUGAGUGAAUUUUAAAAAUAAUUGUCUUAUAUAUGUAUACAUGACUAAUUUGUUGUUUAUCUUAUAAAAUAUAGAUAUCCAGAAGCUAAACAAUUCUAUUUUAAACCAUUAGCAAAUGUGGAAGAAUUAGAGGCAUUGUUUGGAGGAGUGUUAGCUACUAGGUCUAAAAAUUGGAGCUCUGGAGGAGUGAUAGCUUCUGGGGCUGAGGAAUCAUCAACACAUUCUACAUCUAUGCCUAGCGAAACUUCAAUUAGUUUAGAAGAAGAUGAGGAUUUGCCAAGAAAUACUAAUGAUGAAGCAGAAGGUUCUAAGAAAAAACAAAAGAAAGGAAAGAAAGAGCAAACUCAAGAAGAAAUGAAUAGAAUAAUGAAUGUGUUGGAGAAUUUUGAAGGACCCUAAGUCAAAGAAUUUUGAAGAGGCUCUUGACUUAUGAGGAUCCAUUAUACUAUGUAGCAAUUAAUUCAUUUUGCAAGAAGAAAGAGUAUAGAGAGGUGUGGAUGGAGAUGGAAAGUGACGAAGAGCGAAUGGGAUGGAUUCAAAGCUUGCGAAAAUAACUUUUUGAAUAUUUGUUUUAGAUUUGUGGAAUGCAUAGGGUAUAUGACUUAUAUGAUGAUUUUAAUUUGGUACAUUUGGUUUGUUUGUUUUGGAUAUUUGAUACAUUUAAACUUUUCCAAUUAUAAAGACUUUCUCUCUACAUUUUAUUGAUAUUUGUUUUGGAUAUUUGUUACUCAUACAUUGUUAUAACUAUUUGAUUAUAUUGUUAUGCUUUUAUUUCAUAACUAUUGUUUUUUUAUAAUAGAUAUUCUUAUGGAGAAUCCUUCACAUCACUCAAAUAGUUCAAGUUCAUCAUCAUCAAGUGAAGAUGAAGAUACAAAGUUAGAAGUGACAAGAAUUUUUUUUAAAAAAAAGAUUGGUUGUGUUGUUGCUCAAAUUAUUAAGUGACUCAUCCAUUAAUAAGGAACGAGUCUCUACUUCAUCAUUUAUAGGUUCACUUUUCAUUCAAGAGCUUUUAAAUGGUUCAUCUAGCACAUGUUAUGAACUAAUGCGGAUGGAAAAACAUGGAUUUAUUUCUUUAUGUCACAUGUUUCGAGAAAAAGGAUGGCUUGUUGACAGUAAACAUUUGAAUGUUGAAGAAAAAAUGGUCAUGUUUCUUAUGACUAUUAGUCAUAAUCUUCGGAAUCGAUUGAUUAAGAAUAGAUUCCAACACUCAAGUCAAACAAUUCACAAAUACUUCCAUGAGGUUUUAGUGGCCAUGGUGAAUUUCUCAAAAGAGAUGAUUACUCUUCCAUUAUUCAAUGAUAGUUCAAAUGGUAUCUCCAAUCGUCGGCUAAGACAAAUUUUUAAGGUAUAUUAUUUUUAUUUCUAAUUAUUCAUAUCAUAUUUGUAUUAUUCUCAUAUAAAAAUAAUUAUUUAUAUUUUAAGGAAUUAUUACCAUGUAGAAUGUUGUUGGUGCAAUUGAUGGAACUCUUAUCCAUGCAUGUAUUCCUACUAAUCAACAAGUACCUUAUCGAGGUCGUGGGAAAGGAGAAUGUUUUCAAAAUGUUAUGGCAGUUUGUGAUUUUGACAUUAUAUUUAGGUUUGUUGUUGUUGGAUGGGAAGGAACAACUCAUGAUUCAAGAGUCUUGACAGAAACUAUCCAUUACCCGCAACAUAAUUUUCCAAUGGCCCCAUCAGGUAAAUAUUUUAUUUUCAUUUUAUUUAAUAUAAUUUGUAUUUAUUCAUUAUAAUAAUAAACUCAAUCCUUUUUUUCUUCAGAAAAAUAUUAUUUAGUAGAUGCAGCAUACACACACACUCGAGGUUUUAUGGCACCAUAUCGUAAUGUGCGCUAAUAAUUGGUUGAGUGAUUUUCGUAGUGGUGGUAAAGCUGUAGGAAAAAAGGAGAUAUUCAACCAAUGCCAUACAAGAUUAAGAAAUGCCAUUGAAUGUGCUUUUGGUAUUGGGCGCAUUUCCCAGUAUUGAAGAGAAUGACACCUUAUUCGUUUACUACUCAAACAAAAAUUGUCAUGACAUGCUUCUCCAUUCACAAUUUUCUUCGACAAAUCUCAGUUGUGGAUAGAUUAUUUUCUAAAUAUGGCAAUGAAGUGGAAUUGGAAAGUGUUUAUGCAAAUCAAAAUCAAAACUCAACUACAAGCAGUUUUUUUGCAGCAUCUAAUCAAGAAUUCAUGCAACAAUUCUGAGACCAAAUCGCAAAUGAACUCUUUCAAGUGUUUAGUUAACUUGUCAUUUUUAGCUUUUUACCAUUGUAAGAAAUGCAAUGUUUAGAUAUUAGCAUAAAAUGUGAUGUCUUCGAAUAUUUGAAAAUAUGUACUUGAAUUGUUAUGUUUUUUCUUUAAUUUGAUUUAGGUUUUGUCAAUUCAUUAUUUUUCAUAUUAUUAAGUUUAAAUAUUUUAUUUUAAUUAUAUAAAAAAUAAAUAUAUUAAUUAUUUUUUGUAAGAAUGAUAAUGAUAUAUUAUUUAUUAUAACAAUUUUAUUAUUUUGAACUAUUUAGAAAUAAGUUAAAUUAUAUUUUUUUAAUACAUUAAAAUAUUAAGAUUUAGUUUUUAGUAUAUAAAAAAACAAACAACUUAAUACUUAAUAGAAAUAAAAUAUUAAAAAAAACAAACAACUUAAUACUUAAUACUAUUAAGUAUUAUUUAGUAUUAAGUUAAAAAUAAGUUCUAUUUAGAAUUAAGCAAAAAAAAAACAAACGCCACCUUAGUCUAAAGCUUAAAGAUAUUGCACCAAACAUAUAUAUAUUCAAAGUCAUCAUAUAAAUAAAAUAUUAAAAGGAUAUAUGAUUAAAUGAAAAAGUUUCAUUUAAUUGAUUACCAAAAAUGUAAAAACUAUUAUAAUAAAUUUCUUCAUAGUGUUUUUAAUAUCAUUAAUAGAUUAAUUAAAUAUUAAAAAAUUGUUCAUAUAUCACAAUUUAUUUUAUAUCAUUUAAUACAAUUGAAUUAAAUGGAUCAUAAUUUUAAUAUUAAAUAUAUUUUAAAAUUAGGUAUAUUAUAAUCAAAUAUCACAAUAUUAUUAUGAAAUAAUAUUUUAUGUAAUUUAAUAAUAAAUGUGCACUUAUAAAAUUCAUAUUUUUUAUUGACACAUACAAUAUUAUUAUCAAAUAUGAUAAAUCAUAUUAUAUAUAUAUAUAUAUAUAUAUAUAUCAAAAUCUUCAACAAAACAAUUUUUAAAUGUUUAUUAUACUUUUAAUUACAUUUUUAUGAAGUUUUCUUACAUUUCCAUGAAUUUUCAUCAAUUUUAGGCCCACCGAUAUUUUUUUUCAAAAUAUCCACCAAUAUAUCUCCGAUAUAUCCGUAAAAUUGAAGUACCAAUAUAUCCGUGAUUAUUGAUAUUUUCAUCCUUAGUGAUGAGUGCUACUAAAAGUUCUUUUAGCCAAUGGUAGAUUUUGACCCCUACUAAAAGUUGAGAUAAAAAUAAGGGAGUUUGAUAAGUUGUUUUGAAAAACAAUUUAAAAGUCAAAGAUAAAAAAAAAUAAAAAAACUUGUUAAAUAAAUUGUUUUUGAGAGUAACUUUUCUAUUUUGAUUUUAUAAAAAUAUUGUAAAUAUAAUUUAUUAAUAUUAAUUAAAUUUAAUUCAAGUCUUUCUAAAAAUGAAAUUAGUUUUUUUAAUUAUAAAUAGAUUUAAAAAGAAAUAAUUUUUAGAAAAACAUGAACAAUAAUAAUAUUAUAAUAAAAUAAAAAUAUUUUUAUUAAAAAAAACUAUUUUCGUAUAUGUUAAAAAAUUAUAGAUAUUAACAUCUUCACGAAAAUAUAAUUGAUUUCUUUUCUAUUAAAAAUGAAUAAUAAUAAUAAUUGUUAAUAAUUAUAAGUUUAUAUAGUAAAUUUAGUUGACACAUGCACUUCCAUUCAUCACUUAUUAUGAAGAAAAGUCAUAAACAACCUAAAAAAACUCCAAAUAUUACAAUUUCUAAAUGAGCCUGAUACAAUUCAAAUUUGAUUGAAGCAUUUAGAACUUGUUUUGAUGUGUUUUGAAGGUUAAAACUCGAUCACCAAUGGCUGAGUUUGAAACUAGAGUGAGUUUAAAAUCAAUUUCAAACUCGUAAGUGUGGGAAAAUGCUUAAUUUUGAAAUAAAAAAAGUUGUGAGUCCAAUGCUUUAAAUGAUGUGCAAACCAUAUCUAAAACGAGGAAGUUACUUGCAUUUGAAGUGAACUAGGUAGAAAAGAAUGUUGAGUUCUUGAUACCUUGAAUUUGAAAUAAUUUUUGGCCAUUUAGAACUCAGAGGAAUGCAAGGAUGCUUUGGCAAAGGCUAAGUUCAAACCCCUUUACCUAUUUCAAACAAAAGACGCGCAUUUUAGACCCGAAAACAUGGUGAAAUGGCUUGGGCAAUAAGUGAGUUAGAAAUUCAUAAUGAAUUUCGAACUCGCUUGAAUUUUGAAUUGAGCUUUUCCUAUACUUAUGAGUUCAAAAUUAACUUUGAACUUGCUCGAAAUACAAACUCAGUCAUUGAUGAUUGAGUUUUGAGCUCCAAAACACGUUAAAACGAGUUUUAAAUGCCUUCAUCCAAGUCAAAAUGCAUGAUACUCAUUUAGAACUCAUAAUAUUUGGAGUCUUUUAAGUUGUUGAUGACUUUUAUUUGUAAUAAGUGGCCAAUGGAAGUGUGCCACAUGUUAGGUUAUUGAAUUUAUUAUAUAAACUCUUUUAGUUUUAAGAAUGGAGGAUGAGAGAGGGAACAUAGAGAGGGAUUGAUCUCUCUUGUUGAAAGUCUUUAAUAAAGUUUGAGGUUUUUUUUUCUUUCUUUUUCCAUCUUUUUAUUUUAUUUCUUAGUAGCCAAACAUGGGUUGUGAGGAGAAAUCCUCCACCAUAUUUGGCUAACUUGAUUGAUCCAGAGAUGCUAGCAUGAAGGUGAAAAAUCCAAAGAAGAGUAGUAAGAAACGAUAAUGUAUGAAAUGGUUUGAUUAUGCUUACAAGUUUUAAUUGGUAGAAAUAAAUCUUCUAUGUUAGUUCCCCUAGAUAAAUUACAAAGCAUUCUUAUCAAGAGACUAGUGAUUCUUGGGAAUACCUUGAUCACUAAUUACUAUAACUUAAUCUUAUUAUUAGCGAAUUUAAUGAUCAAAUCUACAGAGAUAGAUAUAGGCUUUUUGAUUGAAUAAAAUUGAAAAUCAAAAUUAACCAUCAUUUUUUAAUUAGUUUAAGAGAUUUGUGUUUCAAAAAUAAAAAUUUAAUGAGAUUAAUGAAUGGUUUGCAUUACAAUUUAUGCAUCUUUGGUCCUAUCAUUGUGAGUUGUUUUAGGAAAUGAUAUCGUAGAUUAUUACCCGAUACUAGUGAUUCUUUGUAACUCCUGAUCAUUAAUUAUUUUUAUCUAUCCUAUCAUUAUCUGCCUCAAAAUAAAGCUAAAAGGAGUAAUAAGGGUUUAAAAACCUAACCUUGAACUAGUAAUCAAUCUCAUUCACUUGAUGGUUUUAGAAAUCUAUUUCAAAAAGGAAAAAUCUAAGUUUUGGAUGCUAUAUUGAUCUUACAAUUAAAUUUAGCCAUGGAUUCACUUUGAUCCUAAAACUUAGGUUUUGUAAUGCUCUCUCUCUAAGGAUUUGACACUAGAUUGUGAAACUCUCUAGGACAUUCUUUCUUUUGUUUUAUUUUAUUUUAUUUUAUUUCACUAAAUAUUUUAAGAAAUCCUUAUUCAUAUUUUAUCAUUAUUUAUUUAAUUUGAUGUUUCAUUAACUUUAGUAAAUAAUUAACCAUUCUAACCUAAAAACAAUCGAACACAUUAGAGUUGAUCCUAGAAGAUGAUAACAUAAAUACUAUAAAACUGUGGUAACUAUAUCUAGCUUUUCUUGGGCAAAGUUACCACAUAUUUACACUUAAGUAUUUUUUUUACAAUAGAAAUUUUCAGUUAGUUAUCUAGGGAGAAAGCUCCCCCUCAAUAGGUGCAUUGAAUAUUAAGUUAAUUAGACUCAAAACUAACUGGACAAAAAUACUUAAAUUAAAUGAAAUGAUCAUUCCAAAAUUAGUUAAGUAUAGACCAAUGCUAGCUAAGAAGAUCAAGAAUCCCAUGAAUAGCAUGUAUAAUCCAUGAGAAUCAUAUAUAAGCCAUAUAUGCAUAUAUCAAGUAGUAGUGAAUGGAGUACAUGGAAAUGGUAAAAACAAAGCACAUCCGACAUAAUAGCAAAAUAUGAUGUCUAAAAUACAACAUCUAGAGUAACAUCAAACAUGUCCAGAAUGCCUAUAUGAGAAUAUCUCCCCGUUUGGUAACAUAAAGUAUAAAGGAGAAAUCAUUGCAACUCAAAAUCAAGGUUAGGAAUGUGGAGGUAGAAAGACCAAACGAAGAUGGUUCAUCAUCUGAUCGUAUUAAGCCUAAAGAUGAGUAGUAAAAAGUACCUGACACUAAUCUAACUGAAUAGUUAAAGUCGUCUCAUACUGAUCCAUAUGGUCCUUAAUCAAAUAGAAACAAGUACUAUUCAUGAGUAGCUCCUUUACCUAAGUACUGAGCGAACUAAUUUGUGCUGAUAUAUCUACCUAGAGUUACUAAUUAACUAAUGGAGAUGAGUGUGGUGUAGUAAACAUAACAACUGAAGCCGAACACAUCUUAGUGAAGACAAGAUUAGAAUGGAAUGUCUUCUUAGUAAGUAUUGUUGGCUCAUGUUGAAAGGUUUAAAAGGUUGCUUUUGGCUACUCGGUAUGGAAAGGCUCCUCAAUCUACAUCUCCUUAGUCCCAUUGCCCUAUGAGAACUCUUUACCCUUCAUAUCAAGUUCCUUGAUUUCCUCCUCAGCAUAGUCCUUACAAACCUUCUGUCCACCCCUCUUGUGAACCCAGGACCCAUCAAUAAGGUGCUCAAAGUGCAUAUGACCUAUGGAUUUCACAUUGUAAAUAUCAUAUGCUCUAAGAGGUUUAAUGUCAUUCGUAGUCCUUAAAUCCACAUUGAAUGCCUUCAAAAUCUAAGUCAAUAGGCAUCCAUAGUAAAGUAUCUUAGACUUAAUCUCACAACACUUCAUUAUGUGCUAAAGAAUAAUGAAUCCAAGAUUGAUUCUCUUAUCAACUAGGAUGGAAUCAAUCAGAAAAGCUCAUAAUAGGAUACCUCAUCUUGAUGUCCUCCUUUAAGAAUAAAUAUAUGACUAAUCAUGUGAUCUAGGACUCGACUAAUCAAUGUGAGAACAUGAACAUGAGGCUUGGUAGUUGUAGUGUCAAAUAGAAGAUUACAUAACUUUUUUUUCACAAAUCAGAGGGUUGGUCGAGUCCAUCAACUCCUCUUGUAUUUGAAUGUUGUGGUCGUUUGGGCGAAUGUACUAUAAGGCUAGGGUGUACACCUUUCCUGACAGCAAUUGCUUUUAGGAGAGCUAGUAGCAUCUGAAGUCCUAUAAGUGGUAUCAGAGUUAAGCCUCUUGUUUAAGACUUAACCGUUUAAGAGGAAACGACUAAUUUAUCAAGUUCAUCUCAUAUUGAAAGUUUUGCAACCAAUAGACCUCCAUUUUUUUUAUAGGAACUAAUUAUUCCUAUUGGAAAAAAAAUGAUUUGGUUUUUAAAAUCUACUAAUCUUGAUCUAUGGGAUAUCAUUGAAGAUGGUCCUCACAUUCCUUCAAAAUUAUAAAAUGGAGUGAUGGUUCCAAAACCUAAGCAAGAAUGAGGUGAACUUGAUAAAAAAAAAAUUCAAUUAAAUGCCAAAUAUGUUUAUAUCUUUCAUUGUGCUACUAAUAGAAAUGAAUUUAAUCAUGUUUGACAAUGUAAAUUGACUAAAGAAAUUUGGAGACUAUUGGAAAUCACUCAUGAGGGAACCAACCAAGUUAAAGAGUUUAGAAUCAACAUCAUUGUGCAUUAUUCUAUGAAGGAUUUUGAAUCUAUUAUAGAGAUGUUUUCUAGGUUCAUGGUGAUUGUGAAGGAACUUUAAGCCUUGGGAAAGACCUACACCGAAGUAGAGAAAAUCAUGAAGAACUUAAGGUCUUUACCAAAGAAAUGGAAAACAAAAGUAAUGGCUAUUCAAGAAGCGACAAGAAUGGGAAUAUAUAUAUAUAUAUAUAAUAGAGAACAUAGCUCUCAAAGCUACAACCAAGGAAGAAGAAGAAGUUGAAGAAGAAAAACAAAGUGAAGAAGGUGAAAAGUUAGCCCUCAUCACAAGAAAGUCUAACAAGUUCAUGAGGGGUGAAAGGUUUAGAGGAAGAAGGUUCACUUCCAGAAGAGACUCUUCUAAAAAGGAAUCUUCAUCCCAUGGUGACAAUGAGAGAUGGGAGGAGAAAAGAGACUUGGUAUUCUUCAUGUGCAAGAAACUGGGACACUUUAAAUAUGAUUGUCUUUUCUACAAAAGUGAAGCCAAAAGGAGAAAGAAGAAGGCAAUGAUGACCACUUGGAGUGAAAGUGAAGAUGAAUCAUUCGAAGAAAUGAGAAAAAAGUGGCAAACAUAUGUUUCAUGGCAAUAGAUGAACUUGAUGAGGUAAACUCUAACAUUAGCUAUGAGGGUAUACAUUAUGCUUUUGAAGAAAGUUCAACAACUUGAAAAAGAACUUGGAGAAGUAAACGGAAAAUUUUCAAAUGUUUAAGAUUCUAAAACUUGUCUUGAAAAAAAGAAUGAGAUUUUAAGAAAGAAAAAUGAAUGGUUGACCUCCUCUCUUUCAAUUUUUUCUUGUGGACAAGAAUAUUUUGAAAUGAUCCUAACUAACCAAAAAUGUAUUUUGACAAACAAGGGUUAUGAUUCAAAUCUUCAAAAAAUCAAAAGUGUUUUAAGAACUAUUUUGUAAAGGAAUCCACAAGUGUCAAUCCUUCCACCACUUGAAACUUUUGUGGAAAAGAAUGACACAUUAGUAGCACACGCCUUUUAAGAAAUGGUUCUCAAAAGAAUUUACAUGCAAAAGCUAAAAAGAAUUGGGUUGAAAAAUUCAAGGUCACUAACCCUCAAGGACCUAAGAAGACAUGGGUACCUAAAUCAACUUGAGUUAUGUGUUUUAGAGUUCAAAGAAGCAUAAGUGGUUCUUGGAUAGUGGAUGCUCAAGACACAUGACCGGAGAUGAAUCCAAGUUUGCUUUUCUUUCAAAGAAAAAAUGAGGAUAUGUUUGUUACCUUUGGAGACAAUGAAAAAGGAAAAAUCAUUGGUCAAGGCAACAUUGGUAAUGACACAACCUCAUUGAAAAUGUUUUACUAGUAGAUGUUUUAAAACAUAAUCUUUUAAUCAUUAGUCAACUUUGUGACAAAGGUUUUAAAGGGAUUUUUGAAGCAUCUCAUUGCAUUACAAAGGAUAUUCAAAAUGACAAUAAUCUUCAUGGGCCAUAGAUGUGAUAAUGUUUACACUAUAAAUAUUUCAAAAUAUGAUGGUCAUGAUGUUUUUCAAGCAUGCAUGAUCAAAGUUGGUUGUGACAUAGGAGAUUGGGACAUGCUAACAUGGACCUCAUUUCCCAACUCAAUAAAAAUAAAUUUGUUAGAGGUCGUCUCAAAAUUAUUUUCAAAAAGAUAAAAGCUUGUGAAGCUUGUCAACUGGGAAAACAAAUAAAAAACUCUUUUAAAAACAAAAACUUCAUUUCCAUAACUAGACAACUUGAGUUAUUGCAUAUGGAUUUAUUUGGUCCCUCUAAGACACCAAGUCUUGGAGAAAAGUCUUAUGGUUAUGUUAUUGUCAAGUGGGCACAUAGCUUGAUGGUCAUUAGUAGAGUGCUACAUCAUAUGUUAUGCUUCAUUUUCCUACCAUGGGGUGGGCACCGAGAUGAGGUUUCCUAUUACAAGGCAUUCCUUAUAGAUUCCAUUUUGACUAGGAGACAAAUCCAUUUAGGAUAUCUGAUGAUGAUGCACAUGAUUGCAUGUUGCGAGAACACAACUCGAGUAUUCCCCUAUGGUCGCUACCUUUCUUGAGUAUUCAAGGAUAAAGGCAUUAACCUUAGUAAAGAGACAGAAUUUGAGGUCCCUAAUACAUAUGAGACAUUGAUGAUCAGUUUAUGGGGGGGAUGACAUUUGAGAAGGCUCCAGAUGGUUCUUGGAUUAGAAAAGCAGAAAGAACACAACCACGGGGAUAGGGAUAGACACACUUUGGAGUUGAGGAAGAGACAGAGAUUAGAUAGAUGGAGGGUGGAGUAAACCCUCAGGGUGGCAUAGACCUUCAGAGUGGCCACCAGCAGAAAGGGCCUGAGCUUGAUAUUCCCCCACUUCAGACAGAGAUUCUUUCACAGACUGAGGGUUUUCAAUUUGAGUCCACUUUCUUUGAGCCGAUUAUGACAUAGCAUACUUUUAUAGAGGGGCCAUCUACUUAGUCAUCAUACAUCGAACCCUCCUUAUUUGGACUAGUAUUCAUCGAGCCCACCUAUAUUGAGAUACUACCUCCUCAGACACCUCCUGCUCCUAACCAUGUUCCUUAGAUAGAUUUAUCGGCUCAAAUUAACUCCCUUAGUACUCGUAUGGAGGAGCUUGUAGUGGUCAAUGAUACACAAUUUUACUUUAUGGAGGAUAUAAUGGACUAGUAUCAGAUUGGGUUCACUACUCAGUUUGAGUAUCUCUAGUAGAGGAUUGAUCACAUGGAGCAGAGGAUUGAUCACAUUGAGGAUCACAUGGAGCAUCAGCAUAAGGAGAUGAUGACCUACUUGCAUUUCGUGUUUCCACAUCCAUCUCCUCAACCUUGAUGACUAGUUGGGAACCCCCUUAUUCUUUUUUUAUGUUGCCAAAGAGUGAGAUAGUUUAGGAUCUAGGAAGAUCUAGGAAGGUAGAUAUAGAAGACUCAUAAUCAUACAUGCAUAUCAUUUUUUUGUUUGGAUCAUAUAUUGCUUAUCUCUAAUUACUUUAGCUUGUUGGACAUAUAAUGUUCUGACUGAUACAUUUGACAUGAAAUAUGAUAUGCUUAUAUAUUUGAUGACUUACAUUAGAUGUUCCUUGUUGCAAUACUUUCUAACAUGUCUUGAUCAUCGUGUUUUUAAUUUCUUAAAUAUUGAUUGUUGGUCCAUGAUUGGUUUGAGGGGAGAUUAUUUUUUUCCUAGAUAACCAAGGUUUUUCAUCACAAAAAAUAAGAGAUUGUUAGCCCAAGGAUUCUCAUAAUCAUGUUUUGAUGAUAACAAACCAUGAUUAAGUUGCUAAUUGGUUUAAAUUAUAAAGAAUUUUAGAUAUUAGUUUGAAAAUUCAUCAAAUGACCCAAUGGAUGUAAGAUCAAGGAAAUUGGAAGACCUUUAAUCAUAAAAAAAAACAUAUGUAGGAUGAAUGCAUUGUUGCACUUAGGAUUUUCAUAUUUUUUUCAUGCAUCUUUAAAAACUCAGUUUAUGCAUUAAAGUUACAUUUCCAUCAAAACUCGAGUUUUACCAAAUGAACCUUAGGCAAAUCAUUUCAAAAUUGACAUAAUAAUUAACCUAAAGACCUUGAUUAAGUGUUAGAAGAGAAAAUAAUAGAAAAAUAUAGGUUUUUGGGCCAAAAAUGGUGAACCAGUUGAGGUACUAGCCAAUCGACUCAAUUGGCUAGGGUACUGGUUGACCGGUUACACCUAUCCGGUCGAGGUCCGGUUGAGAAAUACAAAAAAUCUUUUCUCUAUUCCAGAAUGCUUGUUUAACCGGUCAAAGUUUAACCUCAAUUGGUCAAGGUUGAACCUCAACCGAUCGAGGGGCGGUCAAACGGCGAUCGAGGUCCAACGGUCACCUACCAAGCAUUAAAUGCUAACGACUAGUCAACCGGUUGAAUCGAAACUCGAUUGGACGAACCCCUAAUGACUAGUUUGGCAUUUUUCCUCUAUAAAAAGGCUCAAAUCUUCAUUAUUUCAAGAGCUUAACCUUCCUAAACAUUUCUUGAAUAUAUUUGAGCCUCAUGAGAGUGUUUUUGAGUGCACAAUUGUUCUAAAACUUGCAUAUCAUUAGUGCACCAUUCAAUCCUAAUUUUUCUUGUACAUUUGAGCCUAAAGUUUUGCAUUGGGAUUUUAUGAGAUUAUUUCUUCAUUUGUAAAUCUUUGAAAGGAAAAAUCUAAGUGUGAGGUAUCACUUAAGGGGCUAUUCAAGAGUGAGGUAUCUCUUGAAGAUUGUAAAGGGUGCUUGGAGCCUAAAGUCCAAGAGGGUGGAUUGGAACCAUAAUCCAAUUGUAUUGCUUGAAAGCUUGGUUUGGAAGCCUUGAAUUAGUGGAACCUCAAGCUUAGGAUUGAAGGUAGAGGAGAGUGGAUGUAAGCUGGGUUGCAUCGAACUACUAUAAAAUUUUGUGUUUGCAUUCUCUUUUCCCUACUCUUUUACUUUAUAUGCAAUUUGUCUUUAUAUUAUUUUAUUAUAUAUUUGAAUAUAAUUAUCUCUUGUAUUUACAUAAUUUAAAUUUGUAAAAAAAAAAACCAUCAACCUAUUCACCCCCCCUCUAAGGUGAUUAUUUUAGGUUAGAUUAGCCCAAUUUUUAUAACACCUUUGUAUAACUUUACCAACAUCAAAGUAAUCUUGGCUCAACCACCCUUUCGUCUUAAAGAGACAAUGUAGCUUUAUAUGAACUCCUUUGACUAGUGAAAUGAUUGGGCCACCCAUCUCAUAUCGCAUGUUUGAAUAUAACAUGUAUACCAAGGUCAGGCAAAAAAACUCUCAACAAGUCACCACAGAUAGCUAUCACAUCCUGGCGAAUAACUCCUCAAAUUGAAAAUAUGAUAGUUAGCCAAAAUAAAUAUUACAACUCGGAACCACCAUCUAGGCUGCAAACAAAUGAGUGUAUCAUUGGUAGUACUCCUCCAUGGAUGCUAAGCUCUAAGUGUUAAAUCAAGCUUUUCUCCUAGCCUCAACCUUAAAACUCUCUAUAUAUAGGACACUUGCCUUAGACCUUUGAUGUUGUAGUAACUUUCUGGGGAGCCAUGACACUUUAGUACAUUCACAAGAAUAAGGGGAAAAGUCCAAGAAAGUGAAAAAAAAAAAACAAAGGGAAAAGUGGAAAACGACCACAGUUCAAGAAAUGAAAGGUAAAAACAUAGAGUUCCAAGGAAAUAUCUCUCAAAAUGGCCUACAUAAGAGUUUUAGAGAAACCUUAAAGAGAGAAAUUAGUUUAGACCCUUAGGGUUCAGACCCUCUGCUGGUUGAGCAAUUGGUUCAACUGGUCCUUAAUCGAUUGAGGCUUUACCUUAACCAACUACACCACAACUAUUGUAUAUUAAGGGUGCACAAAGUGCGUCAUGAUGAGUCAAUGCCCAAUUGGCUCAACUAGUUCAUUGGGUCCUCAAUUGGUUGCAAUGUGAAGUGCUUAAGAGACUCAAUUUGAGGUAUGGAACCUUUAGAAACUUGUGUAAACCUUCUUAAAGAUAAGUUUAAAAUGAAUUUGGCUUAAGGUUUUAAUUUAAAACAAAAAUUUAUCCAAUGCUUUGGUAAAAAUGAUCAUUUUAAGUCUAAGGAAGGAUGAAAUUGAAUUUUUAAGUGCAUGAAAAUGAUUUAGACAUUUGAAAGUUGAGUUUAGGUUUGGGUAUUGAUCUUCUUCCAUUAUUCUUUGGGUUUUCUUUGAAUUUUUGUAAGUAAACCUGAAAACUUAAUUUGAUCUAAAUCAUUAGUAACUUUAGUCUUAUUUUGUAAUCGCCAAAAUUCAAUUAGAAUAACCUUUGAGCUAACACCUAUGGUGAUAGCAAAGACAAAGUUAUCUUGCUUAUGGAUAUAUAAAUGACCUUGAUAAAAGGGCAUUUGCAUGUUGUAAAAAGGUAGUAGCAACCAAGGGUCUUUGAAUGAGUCAAGGGACAAGUGACAAAUGACUAAAACUUUCAAAUAUGCUAAAGCCAUUUGAAACUAAAACUUAAGUUUCAAUUUAAAAGAGUUUGAAUUUGAAUUGAACGUUUGUUAUGAACAAACAGACAUUGUCACCAAGGUUUGUUGAAAUAGGCUUUCACUCACCCCUAAGGCAAGAUGGGUCUCCGUGCACUAGCAUUCCCACUUAGCUUGAGCGAGGUGUUAAUGAAGAUAAUCUUAGUAUUCACGAAAGAACAUGAUUGACAAAUCAUACCAACUCAAUAACCACAUUUAUCGACAAUUCAACCAAGAUUAUAAAAAACAAUUCAAUGUAGCAUGUGCUAAUUCUAUUCUCUUUACUGUUGUUAUCAUGAUAUGUAUUCAAUGUAUUUUCAUAAUUUUCCUUUUAGUACAAGAACUUGUUUGUUUAUACAAAUAAGAUUGUACAUUCUUGAUAAUAUAAUUUAGAGCUUCCAUAACCAAAUUCUGAAAAAACUUUUCAUUAUUUCGUGUUAUGAUGGAUUACUGCAAAACUAACUUAUAUUUUAAUAUUUUUUCUAGUUUUUUUUUUCCUUUUUUUUUAAUAAUUUGGUCCAUUAUGUUUUAUACUUUUAAAUUUUCAUGUUAAAAAUUGUUUUAUAACUUGUUUGAUUUAUUUUAACCAAAAAGUUAAAUUCUAAAACCCCUUUACAAAAAAUGUAUGUUUGAUUUUUUUUCCUAUUUAGAAUGUAAGAGCAUUUAAAUAUUAAAUCAUCUUUUUAAGAGCACUUAACAAAAGUAUGUUUUUUCAACUUGAAUAAAGCUUUGAUAUUCCAAUCAACUUCUAUCACAUUUUAAGAUUGGCCAUAAGGAACGUAGUGUUCUUCUAGGUAAGUUGAUUGUGUAAAAUGGUUGCAUACAUACGAGACUUUAAUUUCGUAUUGAAGAUUUUUUUUUUUUUUAAUGUGAUUUAGGUUUAUUUGGAAAUAUUUUUUAAAACAAUUUUGAAAAAAAAAUGAUUAUUGAAAAUAGUUUUCAAAAAAGGUAUAUGGUAUUUUUUUUUUUAGAAUAAAAGUACUGUAGACCUAUUUUUUUUUUUUUAGUUUUGGUUUUCUUGAUAUAUUUAUUUUUUUUAGUCUUUCCCGCCACUUUGGGGAGCACCCGGAAGAAGACAUUUGGAUUGGGGGACCGGCUUCUAAAAAACUCCAUGCAUGAGGCGCGUGGCUGUGGAGAGGACUACAGCCAUGGUGGUGGUUGGGACUACACGGAUGCUGAAUAGGGAACAGGAGAGCAGGUGCUAGCUUUCCGGAUCGGGAGAGGGAGAAAGGGCAGGAAGGAGGCUGGGGGGGAGAAAGUCUAGCGAUGGGGGGGUAUAUUUUUUUAGAGAGAAAAGCAGGAGAGAAGAGGCAUUUCAGGGAGGGGGGGAAGAGAAGAGACUUCCAGAUCAGAGCUACAUUCUUCCUGCUUCUCUUAGCGGCGGUCCAGUCGUGGGUCCCGGUGGCUGGAGUCGGACUUCCCAGAUGUCGAAAAUGUAUGUUACACUUGAUGUAUUUAUCUCAUUCAUUUUAUUAAUUUAUUGGUUUUGAUUGUAUGAUUAAUAUGUUUAUGUUUUCAGUUUUUAUGCUCUUAAUAUUUAAGCCUAUAUUUUAAUUUUUUUAGAUAUUUAAGGGGUGGGAAAAUUGGUUUUGUAAGGCCCUGUUCGGCCUAGAAGAACAGGCUGUUAUAAAAAUUCAGCCGUGGUCACUUGGGCAUUAGGAUGUGUGCGGGCUAUGGUGAGAGCUCAAGCUCAGCACGCAUGGGACAGGUCCAGAUUAUUGGAUCAUCACGUUCAAGUGGCAAGCCUUCCCAUUUCCACCACCUGUCCAUAAUGAUGGACACUCCAUCAUGAACUCUUUGACUUAACCCAGACAACAUGGAAAAUUGAUUCACCACAACCUUUUUUUUUUUACUUAUUAUUUAUUCAUUAUUUCUUUACAGCUUGAUAUCAAAAUAUUUUUUUCAACAUUCCAAUUUUCAAGAUUUAAUCCUCGAAGUUUCCAUUUUUAAACAAUUUUUUUUUUCAAAAUUCCAAUUUUCCGACUUCCCAAAUUUAGAGCCCGUUUGAUAGUGAUUCUAGUGGAAGUGUUUUUAUUUGAAGUGUUUUCUGUUAUAGUGUUUCUGUGAAAAACACUUUUAUGAUAAUCAGAAAAAAUGAUUCUAAAGUGUUUUUGAUAAUAUAUUGUAUAAAUAUAAAAACACUUUUAAUAUUAAUAAAUUACCAAAAAGGACAUACAAUUUUAAUUAAAAAAAAUGGUAUGAUAAACAAAAAAAACUUUUUAUUAAUGAAAAAACAUCUAAAUCACUAAAAAAAUAACAUUGAAUAAAAGAUAAUUUUAAAAUUAAAACAAUAUAUGAUUACCUAUUAAUUUCUAAAAAAAAAAAGAAUUUUCUAAUUAAAAAUAAUAAUUUUUUUAUCACUAUACUAAAAUUUUAAAAAAUAUUUACAAAAAACAUCUAAAUCAAUAAAAAAAAAAAGAUUGAAUAAAAGAUAAUUUUAAAAGUAAAACAAUAUAUGACCACAUAUUAAUUUCUAAAAAAAAAAAAAGAUUUUUCUAAUUGAUUUAUCACUGGGGGCAUUUUUGGAAUAUUUCAAAAAAAUUGAAGUGUUUUUUAAAAAAAAACACCUGUCAAGUGAUUCUCUAAAAAUCACUUCAAGUGUUUUUCCAGAUUUUCAAAAGUGUUUUUUUAAAUUUGCCAAACACUUUAUUUUCAUCCCAAAAACACUUAAAAGUGUUUUUAAAGGUAGAAACACUUUUAAAAAUCACUGUCAAACGGACUCUUAAUCUCCAAUUUCAAAAAUUCCACUAUUCACAUUUAUUUAUUUAAUUAAUUAUUAUUUUUAUUAUUAUUAUUAUUAUUAUUAUUCCAUUUAUUUAUUUAUUUAUUUUUAAAAUUUCAUUUUUAAACAAUUCUUUAAAAUUCCAAUUUUUAAAUUUAAUUCCAAUUUCUAAAAUUCCAAUUUUUAUAUCAAUUUAUUUAAUCAUUAUCACUUUAUUUAUUUGUUUAUUUGUUUAUUUUUAAAAAUUCAAUCUUCAAAUAACUCUUCAAAAUUCCGAUUUCUAAAUUUAAAUUUCAAUUUUCGAAAUUCUAAUUUUCACAUCAAUUUAUUUAAUCAUCAUUAUUUUAUUUCUUUGUUUUAAAAUUCCACCUUUAAACAAUUAUUCAAAAUUUUGAUUUUCAAAAUUUAUUUCCAAAAUUCCAAUUCAAAAAUUUAAUUCCCAAGACUCCAAUUAUCAGAUAAUCUUCAGGACUUCAAUUUUCAAAUAAAUUUCAAAAAACCAGUUUUCACUCGAACAGUUUUAAUUCCACUUUGGUUUUCAAAUAAUCUUCUUUUUCUCUUAAUUUUAUAUAAGCAUGAAUGUCAUUUUCAUAAUUGUGGAACAAUGGAAUUUGUGAGAUUAAUUCGUGCAAGAUCAAUCGGGCUUUGGUGGGGCCCCACAUACGUGAUUUUAUGAUUGAUUUAUUUAUUUGUUGAUUUGUUUGUCACGCGCGAUUGAUUUAUUCUGCUCUAUGACAUGCUAGAAAUUAUUCCUAAAUUGUGCACUAACCCCUCUAUUGAUAGCGCAUGGUGGAUCGUUGCCCAGGUAUGUACCCAUUUUCCCUCUAAUCAAUGUAUAUGCAUGUCCCGAUUCUCAUAUGUGCAUGAUCACUCCGAGUAUUCAUUGAUUCCAUCAUCAAUUGUCAUGAUUGCUUCAUUUUAUUAGUAGAGACCCGACUUUAGGGACUUAGAAGGGUGCUACGGUCUUUACCGUACCUUCCCGAUAAGUAACCUGACCCCCGAACCCGAUCUGCCCCGAACCCGAUCUGGUUUUUCGUAGACCACAUUUUCCAAAUAAGGAGUCACACUUAAGGUUUUUCUUUCUUAUUUUGUUUACCCUUUAAUAAAACAAAAAUAAGUGGCGACUCCAAGUCAUUUUUUUAACCAAUUAAAUCAUUUUUCAAAAUAAAAAUCGAGCUCGUCAUCGAGUGGGAAACGCAUCAGCACGAAAUGCGGGGUCCACAAGUACAUUCCAAAACUUAAAAUACUCUUAAUUUGUUUUUUUGUAUUUGGAAUUUUUUCUUAAAAAUAAUUUAAAUAGUUUUUAAAAAUAAUUAGAAUAUUCUUAUUUUCAAUCAUUCUCUAUAUUUUUCAAUUAUUUUUAAAAAUAAUCCAAAAUAAUUAAAUAUAUAUAUAUAUAUAUAUUUAAAAUACCUUAUUUUUGGAACUAGUUUUCAAAACACUAAUUUUUAUUAAAAAAAUUAUCAAACUUCUUUUUGAAUUUGAAAAAUAUUUUAUAUUUAAUAGAAUAAAAUAUUAAAAAUAGUUAUCAAAUUACUAACUUUUGUUUAUUUUUUUCAAUGUUUUUAGAUGUCAUUGAUAAUAUCGUAAAUAUAUAAUUUAUAUAUUUUUUAAAUUUUAAAAUAUAAAAGUUAGAAUUUUAAAUAUAUUUCAUCAUUUCAUCAUUAAUACUGAUAGAUUAAAUUAUGAUAAGGAUAACAUGCAUGAAGAUUUGUUAAAAUUUUAGUACUUCUAAUGUUAUUAAACAUAUUUAACUUAUAAUUAUUUUUUAAAAUAGUAUUUUAUUAUUUAAAGUUGUUUAAAUUUUAAUAGUUAUAUAUUUUAUUAUUUUCAAAACAAUUAGUUGUUUAUUUAUACUAUUUUGAUGUUUAUUAUCCUAUAAUAUUUGAUAAAUUACAAAUCUUUAUAUUUAUUUUUUAAGUUAUGAAAUUAUAUUACAUAUAUUUUAAAUACAUUUAUAUACAAAAAAGUUGAGACAUCACAGUGCGACACCCUUGUCUUUUUCCCAAUAAAGACCCAAUUAAAUCCUCAUUCCUCAUCCUUCCAUGCCUUUUAAGCAGGUUCGUCGAUUCACCCGAUUAGGUGAACCGAACCAGGUUAAGGUCCGGGAUUUAGGUUUGAUCCGAUUUUUAAAAUAUAGACUGAACAAAGAACCGUCCUUAUCCUCUUUUCCCUUUACAUACGGCAUAGACCUUUUAGGCGAAGACUUGAGUCCUUUGCCAGAUUUAAGUCGUGAAGGUCUACAGAUUCAGUCUCCUAAGAAAUUGGGCAUGAAUCGCAGCCACCAUUCUUGACUUUUUGCUUUGUUUCUCAUGAAUGCGCAUGUACUAUCUAAUCAGACUGGGGACAACACAUUUACUACCAAUUUGCCCGGGAGACUUGGAUUGUUGGGUCAACGUUGGAAUCCAAGUCUACUGCAAAAUAAUAUAAAUAUUAUAAAUAUAAAUCUGAACAAAAUAAGUACAUGGUGAUUUUUUUAUAUUUAAAAUAAAAUAUUAUAUUACAAUCAUUAAAUAAGUUUUAUUCAUUGGAUCGUUUUUAUAAGUAGAUAUAUUUUUAUAUUAAUAAGUAAUUCUUGUAUUACUUAUAAGCAUAUUAGACCGUGUUAUCGCACCAUUAUAAAAAAUAAAAAUAAAAAAUUAGACAAAAAAAAUGAAGGAAAAAAAAGGAUGAAAAAUGAAAAAAAAAAAAAAGGUGAUAUCACGUAGAAUAAAGGGUGUUUGUUAAAAUUUAAUAAGUUGACUUUAAGUUAAAUUAUAUUUAAAUUAUUAUUUAAUUCUUAUUUUAAGUAUUAAAAUUGUUUCAUAAAAUUAACUUAAAACUUAUUUUAAAUCAUCACAUUAAUAUAUUUACUCUCAUAAAUUAUAAUUAGAGUAAAGAAAAUUAAGUAACAGUGGAGAUCAUGAAAUGUUGAAGGAGAUCUUAAAGGUAAUUAAGAUAAAUGAGGGUAAAAAUAUCAAAUAAGAUGUGAAUUUAAGAAUAAGUUAAUUGUUUUUAUAUAUUAUUUGAAGUUGUGUUUUUUACUUAAAGUCAUACCAUUAAAUUAUUUUACCAAACACACUUAAUUUACUUAAUAAUUUAAAUUAAAUUAUUAAAUUACUUUAAUUAUUAAGUUGAUUUAUCAUACACCCUUUAAGUUACAAUAUGUUUAAAAUAUGACAUUAUAUAAAAUACAUUUUUAUUUUAUUUAUGAUAUCACAUGUAAAAACACUAUACAUAUAUCCUAAAAUAUAUUGUAAUAUUACCCCUUCAUACUAAUAUAUCUCAUAACAAAUGAGAUAUAUGUCAUAUAACUGUUGGUUAUAUUCUUUUUACAAAGUUUUUAAAUUUGACCAAAAACUCAAUAUCAAGCAAAUUUUUUUUAAAGAUUUUGGGUCUAUUUGGCAAUUGUUUUAUAUAACAGAAAUAUGUUCAUAAGAAUAGAAAAACAAAAAAACACAUUUGGUAAUAAAAAAUUAUUUUCUAUUUCGGAGAACAAAAACAAAAUGUUUUUAGAGAACAUCUUUUAAUUGUUUUCUAAGUGUUGUUUUUUUAAAAAAAAUUAUACAAGCAUAUAGAAUAAUUAAAAAUAAAAUAUUUGAUAUAAAAAUUAUUUUUAAAAAUAUUUAAAAAAAAGUUAAAAACAUUUUAAGUCUCAAAUAGACUUUUAUUUUACAAAACAUCUUAAAACAACUUUUAAAAAUAAUAUUUUAAAAUUAUUUGAAAAAACAAUUACCAGAACUUUAAUUUUUAAAAUAAUUUUUCUUUAACUAAAAUCUUUUUUAGGAGAGAAACUGAGGAAGAAAGGUAUGUGAUUGUAAUAAAGAGAUGAUUGAUCAUUUUGGUCAAUUAAAACACGGAAUUAUUUUGAAUAUUUGGAAAAUUGUGAUUUCUUCUAAGUUAAAAUCCCUACAUUCCUUCUCAGCAAAAACAACUGAAUGAUCAAAAACCAAUGUUAAAUCAACAUAAAUAUGAACACUUCUGUGGUAUAAAUAAAAUUUAUCUAAAAUAGUAUGAACAAAACAAAAGUUGGCAUGAGAUAUUUUUCUUCAAAAAAGAAAGAAAGAAAAAAGAAAAGUGCAUAAAAAUAAAUAUAUUACUUGUGAUGUCCACGAAUAGGGGAGAAAGUUUUUAACCAUGUAAACGUAUUACUCUCCUCAGUAAAUAGCAACUAUACAACUAUGACUGCUGUUAGAGUUCUCCGUAAAAGGACGUUGUCCAACGUAGUUGCCUGGAGGAUCAUAGUUGCAAGUGACAAACCACCCGCCACUGUUGCACUGAGCCCUAGCGCACCCAAGACGCAAUGAGUUGCGCCAAAUAACUUGAGUAUAGUGCCUGCAUUCCCCACCAACGCAGGAGUUGGAGUUGUAGUCAUAAUUAGUCUUCUCCCCCACCCACAAGUUCACUGCAUCGAUGCCUGUCAAUGAAGGGGAGCCCCAGGCAAGGUUCUCACCGUAAGGCCCACCUGAAUGCACUAGAUUGCAAUCGCCAAUCCUCUGGUUAGUAUAAUUUUGGGCGUAGGCAGCCACAGUGUUGUCCCAUGACAUAGGCCCAACACCAACUUCUGCACGCGCGACAUUGUGAGCAUCGAGGAAGUCUUGUGGAGAGUUUUGGGCAUAGGAGAUGUGAGCAAGGACUAACCCCAUGAAACCAACAACUAGUGAAGAUGAGAUCUUACACAACCCCAUCUUUUAGUUUCUUAAUCCGUGUAAUGCAAAGUGAGAGUUGAGAAAUGAGCAUAUAUGGUUUGAAGGGAAUGUGAAGAACUUGCAAUUUGGUCAGUCAAAAGCAUCAUUAAUAAAGCUUACAAGCAAUCUUUAGGCCACCAAAACUGGGCCCAUGGGCUGUUACGUGUGAAGGACGUUGAGAAAAGGAAAAUUCUACGAAGUGGGUACGUACCUCCAAAAUUCCUGGCCGUUGGAUCAAAAGAUUCCAAUCAAGACCAUCCAAAUGGAAAAUGGAUUAAAAUAAAAAAUGCAAAAGAAGGGUGCAAAAGGUUGCCAGUAGAUAUGCCCCCCUCUAUCUCCCCUCUCUCAAUUUUUGUCACACAUGUCAACAUCAAUUUCAAAAUUUUAAAUUAUUAAUUCUACAUUUGUUUUAUCUAUUUAUAACAAAUAUUACCUUAGAAAGUAAAUUUCAAUCAAUUAUUAUAUUUAAGUAAAAGUUAUUACUAUAUUUUGAUCUAUCUUACAAUGUUUCAAUAUAAUAGGAAAGUGCAAAUACAACUAUCCAAUUACAAAUGCCCUCCAAAAUUUAUUUAAAAUCUAUAGAUUUUUUUAUUUAUUUUAUUUUACUUUAAAUAUUAAUAAAAUUGUUAAUUCGUAUAAUUUCACUUAGAAUUCAUAAAAAAUAUGAGGAAAAAAUAAAAAUAAAAAAUAUUAAAAUUCUUACCCUCACUUAAUUUUAAGAAUUUUUUUUUUCAACUUCAAAUGCCAAUUAAAUUGUUUUUUCAUACUAAUUUCAAUUAGGAUUUUUGAUAAGUAGGAGGGUACAAAGAAGUGUUAUUCGUCAUUUUUAUCAAUUGUAAGUAUAAUUAAUAUUAAUAAGCACUACUAGUACUAUUUGAAGUGGACAAAAAUUGGUUAAAAUUAAAACAAAUGGAAAAUUUGGAGGUACAAAGAAUAUGGGGAAAAGUAUAGAGAAUGUGAGGAAUAAUAGUGUUUAUUCCUCCCAUUUUUUGUGCCUCUCCAAUUUUGUAAUUUUUCUACUUUUAAUUUUUUUUUUUUUUUUUUUUGUAGUAUUCAUACCCUCUCCAAUUUGGUAGUUUUUUACUUUUAAAAUUUUUUUAUUUAUAAUUUCGAUCAAAUUUAAGUAUAAUUAGUAUGAAUAAAUACUAAGAGAAAAAAAUUCUUAAAAUUAAAACAAGUGUAAAUUUGGAGGAUAUGAAGAAGGUGGGAAAAUAAUAUUCACAUUCUUCAUACCCUCCAAAAUUUUCACUUUUUUGAAUUUUAAGAUUUUUUUUCCACUUGAAAUAGUAAUGAUAUUGUAUAUUCAUACCAAUUACACUUUAAAUUUAUGGAAAUUAUACAUAGAAAUUUUAAAACUCAAAAUGCUUCAAAAUUAGGGAGGGUAUGAAGAAUAUGAGGCUCCAAAAUUUUCAAUUUUCUAAUUUUAAGAAUUUUUUCCACUUGAAAUAACAAUUAUAUUGUGUAUUCAUACUAAUUACACAAAUUUAAAACGAAAAAUACUAAAACAUUGGGGAAGGGACGAAGAAUAUGAGACCCUUUAGAUUUUUCAUUUUUUUGAAUUUUAAGAAUUUUUUUAAAAUUUAUUUUAUUUUUUAUAAUAGUUAUAAUUGUCAUUUUUUAUAUUAUUAGAAUAUAAUUCAAUUUUUCAUUAUUCAUAGCCUAAAGUUAUAUAAAAGAAAAAAGGGAUAGUAAAUUAAUAGAUGUCAAAACUCAUAUAGGUAGAAACUACAUAAUUAUUAUUCAUAACCAAAAGUUAUAUAAAUAAUAAUUGAGAAAAUAAAGGUUAAUCUUAAAUGAGAAAAACACCCAAGAGGGGGGUGAAUUGGGUUUUAAAUAUUUUUUUUUUAAACACAACAAAUUUAAACACAAGAGAAGCAAAUAAAAAGAGAUAGAGUUAAAGAGAUCAAAGUCAGAUUUUAUAGUGGUUCGACACUUCCUUGCCUACGUCCAGUCUCCUCAAGCUCCUAACUGAGUGAGGGUUCCACUAACUUGAAGCUUCAACCAAGUUUCUAAUCACCUUUACACUUGGAUUCCGGCUCUAAUGGGCUCUUACACAACCUCUUCAAGUUUCAACUCACUUGAAGGCUUUAACACUCAAUUUACAAGAAUGAAUCUCUCAACCUAUCUCAACAAUAACUGAAAUACAACUUAAGGCUAGGAUGAAUCACAAAGGUGCACUAAAAGAUAUGCAAGUGAAGAUUUAAUGCGCCAAGAAAGAAAUAAGAACUUUUAAGGCAAGAACAAGUGGGUAGAUAAAUAAAUGAAGGUGUUAUCUUGCUCAUAAAUGAAGUGGAGCUCUUUAUUUAUAGGUUUCUAACCUCGGGAGCCAAGAAAAUAAAAAAAGCAACCUCAAUCGAUUGAGCUAGGGGUCAACCAAUUCACUAGCCGUUGGAGCAUUAAAUGCUUUGGCAGGUUACCGUUGCUUCGACCGAAGGUCGACCGAGAAGGCAAAUACCUCGAUUGGAAAGGGGUGGCUAAUAGAAGAAAGAGAGUGCUUUCUGCACUCCUCGACUGGACCUCGACUAGGAAGAGGGAACCGGUCGACCGUUACCUUGGCCGAUUGAACCGGUUGGCCAAUGCCUCGACCGGUUCACCAUUUUUGGCCUGAAAACCUAUAUUUUUCUAGUCUUUUCUCUUCUAACACUUAAGCAAGGUCUUAAACUAGUAUGCCAAUUUUGAAGUAAUUUGCCUAAGGUUCAUUUGAUAAAACUUGAGUUUUAAUGAAACUGUAACUUUAAAUAAUAAAUCAAUUUUUUGAAAGAUUCAUGAAAUGAUAUGUAAAACUUAAGUGCAUCCAUACAUUCAUCUUACAUUUGUUUCCUAUGAUUAAAGGUCUUUCAAACAUCUUGAUCUUGCAUCCCUUAGGUCAUUUGAUGAAUUUCCAAAUUAAUACCUUAGAUUCUUAAUAAUUCAAACCAAUUAGUAACUUAACCAUAAUUUGUUAUCAUCAAAACUUGAUUAGGAGAGCCAUUGUGCUAACAAUAAUAUUAAUACUUUUUUUGUACAAAUUAAAAUUAUAUAUGGUCAAAAGUUAUGUAAUUAUUAUUCAUGAUUAAAAAUUAUGAAAAUAAUGAUAUUAAUAUAUUUUUGUUUUGUACUAGCCAAAAUCUCUGUCAAUUUUUUGUUCCUGAUUGAGAAGUAUUAAAUAUGAUCAUUGAUGUUUGUAACUUGAAUUAUUCUUAUUGUGAAUAUAAGUAUGGAUUUUUCAUUCGAAUUUCACAAUGCUAAAAAAUUCUAGCACAAUUGCAUCAUUAUAUGAAAUCUCUUUAUUUUUAAGAAUUUACAAUUUAUAGUUUUUAAGAUUUACUUAAAUUGUGCUUCCUUUUUAUUCUUUGUAGACACUAUAAUUCUUUUAGAGUGUGUUUGAUAGUGAUUUUACGAAACGUUUCUAAUAUUUUUAAUGCUUGAAAGAUCAAAAUUUUCAAAUGUUCAAAAAACUAAAAACACUUCCUAAAAUCCCUACCAAAAACACACUCUUAAUUAUUGAUAAAGUGAAGAGAGUGAAAAGAAAAUGUCUAUUUGAUGUUUUAAGUAUCCUUAAAAUAAAGAUAUACUAUUUAUAUAUUCUCUAUGCUAUUUACUAUUUAAUUCGAUUCUUUCUAUUUGAAACAUUGAAUUUUAUAUGUUUUAUUUACUAUUUAAUUCACUUCUUUCUAGUUGAAAUGAUGAAUUUUAUAUUUGGAUAAAAUAAUGAGAAUAAAUUAUUUUAUAAAGAUUAAAAAAACAAAAGAGAAGAAUUUGAAUAAGAUUGACUUUAGUUUUUAAACUCUACCAUAUUAUCCUUUUAUAAAAGGAAUUUAAUUCUAAUUAAACUCUUUCGAGUUAUUUCUUUUACUUUUUGAUAAUAAUUUAUUAAAAGACAUUAUUUUUCAAUUUUUUUUAAUCAACAUAUAAAAAGUGAAGGAGCCACUUCUAAUUAUAUCAAGGUUAAUAUUGUGGACCCCGCAUUUUUAAUGAUGCGUUCCCACUCGAUCGGCGAGACUCACUUUUCGUUUAUUUGGGUGAAAAAUAUGAUUUUUAGAAAAGACUUGGAGUCGCCACUUACUUUUAUUUAUUUUUAAAGGGGAAAACAAGUAAGAAUAAAACCCCUAAAUGGACUCCUGAUUUUUUUUUUGGAAAAGCUGUCUACGAAAAACCCGAGUCUGGGUUCGGGGAUCAGGUUACUUAUUGGGAAGGUACGGUAAAAACCAUAGCACCCUUCUAAGCCCCUAAAAAAUGGGUCUCUACUAAAUAAGGUGAACCAGACAUGGCAAUUAACUAGAAGAUCAAUAGAUACCAAAAUGAUCAUAGUUCAAAAAAUAAGUCAUGAUGACGAAAUGAUAAACGAAGUGAGAGUGAGAGUGUACUGUUAUGAAAAUAAGGUUAGUGUACAAUGACAAGUGUAAAAAAAUCUCAUACAAAACCAAAUCAAAAUCAAACAAAAUGGAGAGCACAACUUACUUGAAUUAUUUUUUGAAAAAAAUGUUAUGAAUGUCGGGCCCCCACCAAAGCCCAAUUAAUUUUGCUAUGAACUAAUUCUCAUAAACUCCAUCAUUUUGGAAUUAUGAAAAAUUAUUCAUUUUUAUAUAAAAAAAAAAUUUGAAAAGAGGAAUUUUGAAAAUUAAAUUUGAAAUUUCGGAAGCGUGGAAUUUUAUUUUAUAAAAAAAUGAGUUUGAAAAUUUUGGAAAUCUCUUUGAGAAUGGUAUUUCAAAAUAAAAAUAAAAAUAAAAAAAUAAAUAAUAACAAAAAAAAUAAUAAAAAUAAAUAAUUUUGGAAUUUUGGAAAAUGGGAAUUUUGAGACUGGAAUUUUGAAAAAUUAAAUUAAAAAAUUGAAAAUUUGGAAGGAUUAUUUUUGAAAAAUGAAAUUUCGGAAAAUUAAAUUUUAAAAGUUAUAAAUUUGGAAAAUUGGGACUUCGAGAAUGGAAUUUCGGAAAAUUAAACUAAAAAAAUGAAAUUUUGGAAAAUUAUUUCGAAAAUAGAAAUUUUUGGAAAAUUGGAAUUUUUGAAAAUCGAAACGUGAAGAUCAAAGUUUUGAAAAUUAUAUAUAUUUUUUUAUGUAUGAGAAUAAAAAUAAAAAUAAUAAAUAAACAGAUGGUACGUAGUCGGUGGGAAUGGGGGCCAAUCUUCACUAUUUUCCAAUAGCCUCCGAAAAUUGAAUUUGACAAAGGAUGACCAAAGUGAUAAACCGAAACCUUAGAUCUUACAAGCACUGAAACUUUAACAACAUUUAAUCUUAAGAUAAACUUAAUCAAGCACUAAAUAUUAUGUGACCUUUAAAAUAGUACAAACGAUACGUAUCAACUAAUAUUGACGAUUUGGAGUCAUAAAUUUAAUCGACUAACUAAACAAAUGAAUAAUAAAAAAACAAACACAUGAAUAAAAUUAAUCAAAAACUAAAAGGAACUAUUUUUUUAAGCACAAAAUGACAACAUCGAAUAGAUUAAACUAAUAGCAUACAAUUUGAAAGCAUAGAAUUAAUAGAAAAAUGGAAUUAAAAAAUCUUAACAUAAACUAAACAAUAUGAAACCAAUCGAAUUAAUUAAAACUCUAAAGAAUAUCAACUAAAGCAGGAUCAAUCAAAACUAAAAUAAUUCUUUUUCUUUAUUUAUUUUAAAACAUGAAUAUAUCAACGCGAAAUGGAAUAAAUUAGCCAACUUAAAUACUAAAAUUAAUAAACUAAAAGAAUGAAUCAUGAAUUAAAUUUAACAACCUUUAGAUAUGAAAAGAUGUGACAUGGAAUCAAUUGAACUAAUAAACUAAAUUUUAAUAACAUCUAAACUAAAAGAUAAAUUAAAAUUAAACUAAAAGAAAUUAUGAAUUUCCUAAUUGAGAACCAAAAUAGUGCCAAUCAAAAUUCUAAAUUUUUAACCAUUAUCACAAAUUAUCCAAACUCUAAAAAAUUCUAACUUUUCCAUUAUCAACAAAAUUGCCCAAACCAAUACUUGGAAAUAAUAAUAAUACUAAUAAUAAGUAAAUAAAUAAAAUAAAUCUAAUUUGUCGAACUAAGAAAAUAAAUUGUAACUACAUUAAACAUAAAUCAUAAUUUUCAAGCAAGAAUGAUAAAUCACUAAUAAUUAAUUUAGUUAGUUAAGAAAAAUUAAAAAUUAACAUCUAAGCUAAAUAUGAAUUUACAAUAAAAUAAAAUUUUAAAAUGCAUAGGCCGAAUGGGAAUAACACAAAACUAACUUUAACAAAUUAAAAACAUGAAUACAUUAACAUUGGGAAUGAGUACCUAAAUAUAUAUAAAAUUCUGAGAUAAUUAUGAAUGGCAUUGAAUAGUCAUGAAUCAAAAUUCAAACAGGAAGAAUUAAUUUACCUUUCUCAAAGACGCGUGGGCUACUCUCCAACAAAAGUGAUAGUAUGAUUUUUUUUUUUUUUUUUUUUUUAAAGUCAAUUCUAUGAUGUAUGUUGUGAUAGUUAUGGAUCAAUCAAGACUAAAAAAACUAAUAGUUUAAGGAACAAAAAUGAAUUAAUAUGGAUCAACCAAAAAUAAUACUAAUAAUUUUAAUGACAAUGCAAAUUAACCCGGAUCGAUCAAAAAUAAGAAUAAAAAUUUAAGGAGCAAUAUAAAUAACGUAUAUAUUUAAAUAUUAACAACAAAUGAUUUUAUGAAAAUGGAAAAAAAUACUAAUAAUAAUAAUAAUAAUAUUGAAAUAAAAUAAAAUAAACUAAAAAUAAACAAACAACAUUUCACGAAUAUUAUAAAGCUACAUGGAUAUUAGUUUUCAUUUGUUUCAUUUUAAAUUUAAAACAAUACAAACCAAAACACCAUGACCGACCACUUCCACUUUGAUUUUUAAUUAAAUGAAACAAACCACUAACAUACUUGAAACAUCUCAUGGCCGGCCAUAUAUUGUAUUCUCCUUGAUUUAUCAAUUUAAGAAAAAAUAGAAAACAUCAAAGCGCUAACUCAUGCACACAACCACAUAUCUAGAUUCCUUUGAUUUAUUCAAAAUUUAAAAACCUAAAACAUCAAAGCACUAACUCAUGCAUGCAGCCACACGUCUCAAAAUUUGAUGGUAUUCGGUGUGUCUAAAAGUGCCGUCUGUGCUUUCAAUAUGCAACAACCUGUGUGUGUAGGAGGAAUUACUAUGGUGCGUGCUGCUCGUGUAUAUAUAAAAAAAAACACCUUGCAGCCCUUACAUGUUCCUCCUGUAUUCCUAAAGGAACCCUUGCCGCCAUGCUUAAUACACCAAUAACACGCAUUUUGCAGGCAGAAAUCCGUGUUAGUGCUGUUCGGGCACCUGAAUUUCAUGCUAGGAGUGGGUUGAAGCGCCUCGGGAACAGUUGGGAUGAAAUGGCUCACAGCCCGGUGUGUCUUAGCAAUCGGGCAGUUUCCAGUUUCCACCAAUCGUUGCCCAUUGCUUCAUGUUUUGAAGCUUCAUCCAAACUAUUGCUAGCAACAUAACAGAGGCCAUGUAUCACCUCUUCGUGCCUAGGAAGUUUUGGGUUUCCCCCUUCACCUCAAACCCAAACAUAUCUCCCAGAAACAGAGAGAGGAACGAGGAUACAGUUAAUAAAACAAAACAAACCAAACCCUUCAAGCCAAGUACCAUUUCACGGAUUGUCUAUGUGCUUAAAGUGCAGGUGGAAAGAUUUAAGUGAGCUUAAUAGAAGAAUCAUAGUCAUGACUUUCAAGCACCAACAACAAAUAUGAGUCUUCUUUCAUAUUUUUUUUUUUUCAAAUUUCACUUAAAAAGAAAAGAGGAGUAACACAGUAACAAGUUUGUAACUAACUAAUGAUCAACAAAAUGAAAUGAGGCAUCCAGAAUCUAUACCAGAGCAUCAAAUAAUAUCCAUAGAUCAACAGAGAAGAAAAUAUAAACAAUAGAAAAUGAGAGGCUCGCUAACCAUACCUGUAAAACUUUCCUCAAGCACUGAUAUGCCUCUUCUAGCUCUUGGUGCUGUCACCCAAACCCAGUAGAAAUUCCCCCCUCCCUCCCCCCCCCCAACUCCCUUUUGCUUCCUAAUGCCCAGAAAAACCCUUCGAGAGCCUCAUUUUCUAGCCGAUCCUUUUCUUCUUCUUCAAGACUUCCCUUCUCUGCAUUUUCCCGUGCCAAACUCUUCGAAACUCCCCUUAACCUUUUUCCAAGCUCCUCUUCAUUCCAUGCAGCCUGCUGACCCUUCCAUUUUCUUUUCAAACCCUACUCCACCAUUUUAUUUUAUUUUUUUUAUGUGGCUACCCAACUCCCAUACCUUUCCAUUUGCUUAUUAUUAUUAUUAUUAUUAUUUCUCUUUUUUUAGUUAAUAAAAUAAGAAAAUAAAAAUAAAGAUAAAUAAAUAUAAAAAAAAUGAAGCUAAAAUAAGAUGAAUAACAUAAUGAUAAAAAGAACAUAUAAUAAAUGAAUACUAAAUAUAAUAAUUAUGAUAAUGAUACUAACAAUAAUAAUAAUAUUAAUAAUAACAAUAAUAAUACUAAUAAUACUAGUAAUAAUAAUAAUAAUAAUAUAAGAUCCCCAAUCACUUGCAAAUUUUUUUUUUUUUGAGAAUAAAUAAGUAGAUGGAUAAGUGAAUAAAGCAAGAAAAAUAAAUAAGUGCCCAAUGCACGUAACAAUAAUCUAAACAUUAAACUAUAACACAGAUAAAAAUAAAAAAUAAAAAUAGAAAUAGAAAUAGACAAGAUAUCAAAUUGACACAAUCAAAAUAAUUGAAAAUUCAUCUCAAGCAAUCAAAAAAAUAUAAAAAAUAAAAAUCAAGCCAAAUACUCGCCUAAUCUUAAAAAUAAAUCAAUCAAGAAAUUAGUCUUAAAGAAUUAAGCCUAAAGAAAACAUCUAAGUGACCCAGGUAACCUAAGUGGAAAGUGUCAAGGUGAAUUAGCUGCCCAAUGGGUCAUCAGAGAAUUAUCGUAAAGUAUCAAAUGGACACAUAAUAAAACAUGUGCUAGUAGGACAAAAUAGAGGGUCUACAAAUAUGCCUCUCUUCGGUAGAGAUCAUGAGUGUAAGGAAUAUGAGGGGAAACACAAGUAAUGAGUGGAACGAAAUGAACUAUACCGAAGAACUAAGAAAGACCAGAAAUUUUGUCCUAGCACAUGAUGCAAUAAAUCCCAAGAUAAACCAUAUGCAAGGAAAGAAAUACCCUGAAUAAGAGGUUUAUAGAAAGUGACUCUGAACGCCUAUGAAAGUGAUGGCUCUGAACGCCUAUGAAAAUGGUGGCUCUGAACGCCUAUGAAAAAAGAUGGUGGCUUUGAACGCCUAUGAAAAUGGUGGCUCUGAAUGCCUAUGAAAGUGGUGGUGGCUCUGAACGCCUAUGAAAAUGGUGGCUCUGAAUGCCCAUGAAAGUGAUGGCUCUGAACGCCUAUGAAAAUGGUGGCUCUGAACGCCUAUGAAAAUGGUGAUGGCUCUGAACGCCUAUGAAAAUGGUGAUGGCUCUGAACGCCUAUGAAAAUGGUGGCUCUGAACGCCUAUGAAAAUGGUGGCUCUGAACGCCUAUGAAAAUGGUGGCUCUGAACGCCUAUGAAAGUGAUGGCCCUGAAUGCCUAUGAAAAUGGUGGCUCUAAACGCCUAUGAAAAUGGUGAUGACUCUGAACGCUUAUGAAAGUGAUGGCUCUGAACGCCUAUGAAAAUGGUGAUGGCUCUGAACGCUUAUGAAAAUGGUGGCUCUGAACACCUAUGAAAAUGGUGAUGAAAAUUGGAUAACUUCUACUAAGGGGAUAUGCCCCAGUAUGACGACCUAAAACUAAACUAGGUAAUAACAGAUUCUAACCUAAGCUUGAUAUUUUCAAAGAAGGGGGUAUGCCCCAGUAUUACGGUUGUAUCAAGCUGGUAAAAUGUCCAAUGAAACAAGCGGCUGCAAACAUCGUAAUGAGAAAAAAACAACACCUCAUGACAAAGGUCUCGAGAAGUAUAAACAUAAAUUUCUUCAUAUUUCAAAUAAAUUCCUUGUCAACUGAUCUCACAGAUAAAGCUCAACAAAUGCGCAUCACAAAUUUACAAAAGAACGACUAUGGCGAAAAGAAAUCGUCUCAUAAACUCUUGACAAGGGAGUCCAUUGAUACUUUCUGGGUGAAAUCUGAUGGGGUCCAUCUCAGUCUCAAGCAAUGUCGUAUGUAGCCAAUCACAAUAUCACAAAUUAUAAAACUGAAGAAUGUGCUCAUAUAAGGAGAUAAACUGGCUACGAAAUCAAAAACUGAUCAUAGAGACAUCAAUCUCCCAUGUAGAGUAGAGAAUCAUAAAUACAAGGCACAAAGCCAUCAAUCUCAUCAAAACAAGAAAUAUGCUCCAGUGUAACAGAUGAUCCUCACGUGAAGUAAGUAAUUAAUGCAAACCAUCCACCCAUGCAUUACUACUCCAAUCAGUUCACCUCAGCAAGAGAGGGAUAUGCCCCAGUAUGGCAUCUGAUGAUCAAGUCUCAAGAUAAUCGAACAACAUUGAUUAUCCCCUUUAUGCACCCAACAUUCAAACAAAUCUUAGCAUCCCAAGAGAAAAAUAACACGCUCAUAUGAUGAUAACCCAAGGUACUGGGCCAAGGUGUACCAGAGUAGAUGCGUAACGUAUGACAAGGGUCUAUCAUUACCAGUUAAGCAAUCUCUACAAAUCCUGGAUGUGGGAGUCAUACAAACCAAUCACAACUAGAAAAAUCCCAUGAUAAGGGUAAUAUGCCCCAGUACAGGCAUCUGGUGUGUCAAAGAAACAAGACUGAUAUCACCAGUUAAACACUAUCUUCAUACUCAGGUUCUGCCAAACAUCAUCAGACUAAGCAUAAGAGGAACCAAAUGUCACUUGAAGCAUCUUCCAUAAGGGAAAGCAUAGCAACACCCAUAUUUCAACCAAUUGUUAAGACCUGCCCAACUGGAGACUGUCAAAGAUAACGUUUAAUCUCAUGGCCUCAGGGUGGUCUUACGACACGGACCGUAAUGUAGGCUUAGGUUAUAGGGUAAAAGAAAUGAAAGGAAACUAAGCUCAAGUAUCCAAUGAUCAAACCCAAUACCCUUAUGUGUAAGAUGUGAUGUGUAAGGUAAUCUCGUGAGCCAACUAACUCGAUAACAAACAAUGGAAGUGUCAAGGACGAACUAUAAGAGAAAAGGAAUUGGUCAGGUCUUCAAUGCGAUAUGUAAUGGCUAUGAAGAGGCUAACAAAACAAAGACAUGUAUCAAUGUAAGAAAAGAAUAAAUAUGGAAUAAUCACCACGAAAAGAGAUGAUCGAAAAUGAAUGAGAGAAGCGAGAAGAUACAAGGAUGAUGACUAACUCAAAUUAGUGCAGCCAAGGAAAAUCAUAUCACCAAAGAUGGAAUGGAAGUGAAGACAGUGAUCUGGAGAUCCUAGUGAUGGGUUACCCAAUCCUCACACCCAAUGUAUACCAACCCUGAUCCAUGAAGCGAAGGAUCUCACAAAACUCUCAUCAAACUAUUGUUACUUAGAAAACAUGAGUAACACAAGGAACAUGAUGCUCUCAGAUAGGCUCACAUACGAGCUCAAUGAUAGAUAACUCAAUGAACAACCCUCAAACAUCAAUGAAUGCCCAGUGGAAUAUGCUACCAUAAACAAACUUAUUGUCACAACUUUUUUUUUUUUUUUUUUUGGUUUUUUUUUUUUUUUUUUUUGCUUUUUGUGAACACUAGUAUCAAUAAACUGAAACCCCACUGAGCAAAGAAUAGAAAUGAAUAAACUCUCUUCAAUCCCCAAUGAAAAUAUGAAUCAUACACAAACCCCCAAAAGUAUGUCGACUCCAAUCACUGACAUGUAUAUAAAGCCCCAACCCUAAGGUCAUCUCUCAAGCUAAGGUAUCUAGAUCAAAGUCAACAGAUGGAAUGAAGGGUGUGACAUGACUAACUUGAUGCACCAAAAAAUGUGAAAAGUCAUCAACUAGAGAAAUAAAGAGAAUGAGACGAAGCAAGGAAAGACAAAACACGUAAGUAGAUGAAAAAUGAACAAUAAUGAAACAUAAUAGAAGUGGAAUAGUAAAGGAUGAUGGCAAGAAAAAUGAAAAUAGAUCAAAGAGUUGAAACUCACGAGACUAACCAAGUAAAACAUUCAUACACAACCAAGGGCCCCUACCCAGGUGAUGAAAGGUAAGCAGAGCUAUAAGAAUGAAAGGCUUUAAUGUACUCAUGGGGCUCAAGGGGCUAGCAACGGGAUGUAUGUGAAAUGGGCACGAUAAGGUAUAAGGCUAAUCGAAAUGAUGGCCACCCAUCCUUUGACCAUGAUCUUAAACGUAAUACUUCUUCAGUUGAUCCACAUUGGUUGGUUCCAAAAAUUGGUUUCCAUCUAAGUCAGUCAACCAUGCAGCCCCUUCUGGAGUCAGCUCUCGAAUAACGUAAGGUCCACUCCAAUUAGGUUUGAACUUCCUCCUAGGGUCUCCAAUCAAACCUCUGAGCAUCCUCAAAACCAAAUCCCCCUUAUAUAAUGGUCUAGGCUUGACCCUUUUCCUGAAGGCAUGAGCCAUUUUUCUUUGAUAGGCCUGAACAUGAUCCGCUGCUCUCAAUCUCCUCUCAUCUAAAAGGUUAAGCUGAUCAAAUCGAGCCUGGGCCCACUCUGUCUCUGAAAUCUGCUGCUCGAGAGCCACUCUUAAAGAACCCAUUUCUGUCUCGAUUGGCAAAACAGCCUCCAUACCAUACACCAAGGAGUAAGGUGUAGCUUCUGUAGGAGUGCGAAAAGAAGUACGAUAUGCCCAUAAGGCAAAAGGAAGCUUCUCUGACCAAUCUUGAGAAGUCUCGACCAUCUUUCUCAGAAUUCUCUUAAUGUUCUUAUUUGCAGCCUCUACAGCUCCAUUAGUUUGUGGCCUGUAUGCAGACGAUCUGUGGUGUUGGAUGCCAUACUUCUGUAACAAAGUUUCGACUUCAGCUCUAAAGUGUGCACCCCUAUCUAAAAUCAACUCGUGUGGAACUCCGUAGCGACAAAUGAUGUGUGACCUGAUGAAACUGGCAACUCUAGUAGAUGUCAACUUCGCAUAUGAUGUAGCCUCCACCCACUUGGUAAAAUAAUCAAUGGCUACUAAGAUGAACUCAUGGCCAUUGGAAGAUUUUGGCGAGAUCUUUCCAAUGAUAUCAAUACCCCAUACUGAGAAUGACCAUGGUGAUGUCAAAGCAUGCAACUCUGAGGGUGGUACAUGAAUAAGAUCCCCAUGCAUCUGACAUUCUGGGCAUCUCUGAACAAACUGGCAACAAUCUGGCAACAAACUGGCAAAUUAAUUGGGUCUUGGUAGACUUUAAGAAAAAUACAAAACAAAUUGAUCAAAUGGUUAUGUAGAAGUCUUGAGAGAGCCCAACUUGGGAAUUACGUAUCCAAUUAUAAUGCUUGGAAAAGUCAAAAUGAUGAAUUUCUUGGAUGAAUCUAGAUGAAGUUUGACCUACAUAUAAGGAAAAAUGACAUUAUGGUCACUGGUGGUAGGCGUCAAUCACGGGACAAACAUAAGCUUGUGAUGGAAAAUUCACUUGAUCGGAGAUUAAUGCUGUAGGAAUAAUAUCAUUGGACUAAGGAUUUUGCUAAAGAAUUUUCAGAGCUCGCAUGGUGUGGAGUAGUUUUCUAAUUUGUGACUCCGCUUGAUUGGACAUCUUAGAAAAAUUGUUUAGUUUUAGUUUCUAAUCUCUUCAAUCUAUUGUGUCAGCUUGGGAGUAGCUUAUAAGUUAUAACUUUGAAAUUUUGGGGUUAAACAGUAGUCAAUUUUGUCUUUUUUUGUCUUUUUUUUUUCCAUAUGUCAAAAAUAAAAAGGUAUUUCACUGUUCAAUAAAGAGUUUGUGUAGGAGUAAUUUUAGUAAAAUUAGAUGAGACUUUUAAGGUUUAAAAAUGUUUGUAUUGCAAUAAUUAAGAGUGUGUUUGGUACUUAUUUUAUAAAACGUUUCUAGUUUUUCUAAUACUUGGAUGAUAACAUUUUUCAAGUGUUAAAAAUAUUAGAAACGCUUUCUAAAAUCAUUGCCAAAUAAGCUUUAAAGAUUUGACAAUUCCUUGAAAUGAUUUUUGAAUGGAUGCUUGAGAAAUAUUUUUAUAAGGGGUAAAUAAUAGAUAAAGAAUAUUGGAUUGUGAAGUUUGAAUCAAUUUUUGUUAUUCUUUUUAUAGAAUCCUCACUAAGUUUGUAGAGAUUAAACUGCCCUGUCAGCUCACUGAGGUUGAAAGAGACAACACCUCCUAGACAAAUUUUUUUUAUGUGAUGAAUGACGAGUUUAUCUUUAUUGUAUAUUUAACCUUAUUAUGAUUUAGAGAUUUUUUAGACAAUGUGAUUACAAUUGAAAGGUGUGUGGAAGUUUUAUCAUUGUAAUUUUUCUUUUUUAUUUAAUUAGUGGAUUUUUUGAGUGUUGAUACAUUUUAUAAAUGUAGGAUCACAUUGAUCGUUGAAUCACAUUAAAACUCUAGUGUUUUUCAUUUAUUUUCUACUUAUUUGUAUGGUUUGAUUAAUAAAAAAUAACUCAAUAAAAUAGGAAUAGUUAACACAUAUGACCCCACCGAAAAAAUUUCUUUCACUUCAAUAAAAAAGAGUGAAGAGAUUUAGCAAUGAAACUUUCCCAAAAAGAUUGAUAAAGGAACUCUCACAUUCACAACCCUAGAAUAAUCCUAGAAAAACAACCCUUAUUGUUUUCUCCAUUUUUUUCCAUAUCAUCUGACACUUCUCAAUUUUUUGGGCAUCCACAAAAGAACCCUACUUGCACCUUAUAUUUUAGCUUAAAAAAAAGAGUCUAAAUAUGGGCUUGAAAAACUUUUCAUGACAAAAUAAACCUAACCUGUCAAUUUCUUCCAAAAAUAAUUACUUUUUAUUACGGAACACAUUAUCAAAACACUCUAGUUAGAGUUUUUGUAAUGUAGGCACCCUUUCUACUAUGAUUAAGGUUUAAAUUAUGAGGUGUUAGAUUAGUUUCAUUAGGAGAAUAUAGUACUUCAUUAUUGUUAAUGGUUUCGAUUUUACUUGUAAGUUACUCCAUUGUAAUAGUUCACAUAGAAAUGAGACUUUUUUUCUUACCCAUAAAGGAUUGUGCUCGGAUCAAUUAAGACCCUUUUACAAAUAUCAACCAGCAAUUGGUUGGGUUGUGUUGGGUUUUCUAUUAAUGGGUAUGCAUUCAAAUAAAACUCAUUCUGCUCGAGUUUUAGAAUGUGUUGAUUUUAAAUACAGUUUCUAGCAUUUUUAACACUUGAAAAACAAAAUUUAAAAACUAAAAAUACUUCUUAAAAUGCUUUAUUUAAGCUUCAUACUGCCUUAUUUUUUGUAAAGAUCAAAUUUGAAUUAAGUGACAUUAGAUUGAAUUCAAACCAUCUAUAACCGUUUCUCUUACUUCAAUUUUUAUAGAUUUGUAAGAGGAUCUAAAUAAUAAAUGUGAUGAUAUUUUUAAAAUAUUAAUAGUCUCUUUUGGACAAAAUGAAAUAGUACAUAGUAUAACAAUUAUAAUAUGAAGCCAUUUUUCUUAAAAUUGUUUUAGAAAUAUAUAAAUUAAAUUAAUUAAAUUGGGUUUGAAUUAAAUUUCCUAAAAAUCAUCAAAACUUUAGCUUGAGGCCAAUUUAAACUUAAUUUAUAUUAUAAAUUACAUAAUAAUAUGAAUUAUAAAUAUUAAUUUAGGUUUGGAUUAAGUUUUUGGACAAUUACCAAAACAAGGUAAGGUGAACUCCAACUUAAUUCAUGUUAAAAAAAAAAACUCAAUCAAUUAACUAGAAAACAAAACAAUGAAUGCAUAGCGAAAGAACUGAACUCAACCCCUCCUAACUAGGGUCAAGGCUUGGUUUAAUAGGUGUGAAGAAAAAUAAAACAUUUUUAUCCUUUACUAAUUAUAUAAACAUAUAUUAUGUAUAAAAUAUGGAUGAAUUUAAAACUCAAAAAAGUCAUUUUCAUGCAUUAAAGUAUUAACUUUUGCGCAUGUUUUAAAUACUACCCUCCACCCAAGUAAACCCUCCAUAUGUAUGGAAGGAAAUUAGCUUCCCUCCAAAUAUCUCUCGAAAAUCCCAACAAAUCCGAAAUUAUUAGAAAAAAAUUCAACAAAUUUCACCGAAUUUUUCAGAUAUUUUAGGAAACUUUCAUUAUUGCUUAAAACAAAACUCUUGUGGCUGAGCCCAAACAAGAAAAAAAGUAUUUAUAUUAAUACUUAAUUUACAAAUCCACCGAGAUCUUAGGUUGGUAUUCACUGUGAUUAUGGACAUUAAUUUUUUUCCUCGUAUGUACCAAAAGAAAUUUUAGAAAAAUAAAAUUUCAUAUUGCAAUUGUCACUUUGCACGUGUAAGUUUCAAUAGAAAUACGAAGACAUGGUACAUUUUCUCCAUAGGUGGACAAAAGAUAUGAAGUAAAAACUUGUGGUUGCUUGGGUGGGGCUUGUUACACAACUCAAACAAAAUGAUCUACCGUAUAAAAGCAUAAACAUUUCACUUUAUUUCAUUAUAAUCUUCUAAUACAGAAGUGAUUUUAUUAGGGACCACUCCAACAAGUCUUUAAUCAAAGUUCAUGUAGAACCUUUCUUAAUAUAAGGACGUUCUCCAAAAUAGUUGCCUGGUGGGUCGUAGUUGCAGCUAACAAUCCACCAUUCCCCAUUCUUGCACAACACUCUUGCACACCCCACAUUCACUGAAGUGUUCCACACAACCUGAGUGUAGUGUCCACACUCUCCUCCAACGCAUGAGUUAGAGUCGUAGUUAUAAUAAGGCUUCUCAGACACCCACAUCUUCACUGCAUCAGCGCCAUCAAAGUCAGUAGCACCCCUUGCAGCCAGGUUCUCACCAUAAGGCCCUCCUGAGUGUUCAAGAUUGCAGUCACCAAUCAGCUUCUCACUAACAUAUUGCGAUGCGUAGUUAGCUAACUUUUUGUCCCAUGUCAUGGGCUGGACUCCAACCUCUGCCCGCGCGGCGUUGUGGGCGGUAAGGUAGUCUUGUGGGGUGUUUUGGGCAUGGGAGAGAUGCGCUAGGGCUAAGCCAAGGAGGCAUAGAAGGGCCAGUGAUGUCUUGCCCAUUUUGGCUUGGAUUCUAUGAUGGAGGACAAGAGCCUUUGAUGGUUAAGAGUAUUGACUUGUUGCAGAGAAUUUAAUGGUGCAAGGUGUUCUUUCUUGAUAUAACUAUUAAUCAUUAUGAUAGAUAAUCCAAAGAAAUCAAUAAAAAGUGCUCAGCAAUUAAUUGUAGUGCAAUUAUAAAAUAUUAACUUAAUAGAAAAAAAAAAAAAAAAAAGGUGGGGUGGGGGGGAAUUUACACGAGUAGGAGAUAAGGAUUGAUAUUAAUUCUCUUGAAGAUGACUACAGCAUGUUAAGAAGGGAUGAUAGUCAUCUUUACAUCUAUUUUAUUCCUUAGGCACGAUUUUAUUUUAUUUUUUUAAUACUGUGGUUGAUGAAUUUUGAGGAGCUCUUCAAUUUGUGAAGUUCUCAUACCCGAAUUAAUGCAUAAAUAUUUUGCUUUGAUUGUUGAUGUAAGAGAACUGGCAACAUCAACCACAAAAUAAAUUUUCAGCUAUAAUUAAUAGUUACAUUAUGUUUGUUUCCUAAGGGAAGAAAAAAAUGUUUAUUAUUCUUGUAUCCUUGAAAUAACUAAAAAUAAAAAAUAAAAAAUAAAAAUAAUUUUCUCAUCAUUUGUUUGUAAAAAAUAAAAAAUAAAUAAAAAAUGGUUAAACUUAUUUAUUUUCAAAUUAUUUAAUUUUUAUAUAAAAUAAAAAAAAUAAGUGAAAUGAGUUUGAAGAAAUAUACAAAAUUAAUUUAUUAACUUCAAUUUUUUUUUCUUUUUUUUUUCUUCCUAUUUUUCACCUUAUUUUAUUUUUAUAUUUUUCUUACUACAAACCAAACAAAACCUUAAGCUGAAUCCAAUCGUGAUGGUUUGUAACUACUUAAUGCGAUUGAAAAAGGUCAAAAAAAUUGCAAAAUUUUUUCUUGGUUGUUCAUGGGAAAUUUGAGAGAGAAGAAAAUUAAAAUGUAAGGAAUAUCCACGAUAAGAUAAUAGGUUUAUAGUCACUGCCAAACCACAUUUAUUCUGCAACUAAAAGGAUUAGUAGUUGAGGUUGGUAAGUGAUGAGCAGGUUGGUAAGGGUUUAUAGUCGUGGAUUUUUCCUCACUAGGUGCAUUGAAUAUUAAGUUAAUUAGACUUAAAACUAACUAGGCAAAAAUACUAAAAUUAAAUGAAAUGAUCAUUCCAAAAUUAGUUAAGUAUAGACCAAUGCUAGCUAAGAAGAUCAAGAAUCCCAUGAAUAGCAUGUAUAAUCCAUGAGAAUCAUAUAUAAGCCAUAUAUGCAUAUAUCAAGUAGUAGUAAAUGGAGUACAUGGAAAUGGUAAAAACAAAACACAUCCAACAUAGUAGCAAAAUAAGAUGUCUAAAAUACAUCAUCUAGAGUAACAUCAAACAUGUCCAAAAUGCCUAUAUGAGAAUAUCUCCCCAUUUGGUAACAUAAAGUAUAAAGGAGAAAUCACUGCAACUCAAAAUCAAGGCUAGGGAUGUGGAGGUGGAAAGACCAAACGAAGAUAGUUCAUCAUCUUAUUGUAUUAAGCCUAAAGUUGAGUAGUAAAUGGUACCUGACACUAAUCUAACUAAAUAGUUAGGGUCGUCUCAUACUGAUCCAUAUGGUCCUCAAUCAAAUAGAAACAAGUACAAUUCAUGAGUAGCUCCUCUACCUAAGCACCGAGCGAACUAAUUUGUACUGAUAUAUCUACCUAGAGUCACUAAUCAACUAAUGGAGAUGAGUGUCGUGUAGUAAACAUAACAAUUGAAGCUAGACACAUCUUAGUGAAGACAAGAUUAGAAUGGAAUGUCUUCUUAGUAAGUAUUGUUGGCUCAUGUUGAAAGGUCUUAAAGGUUGUUUUUGGCUACUCGGUAUGCAAAGGCUCCUCAAUCUACAUCUUCUUAGUCCCAUUGCCCUAUGAUAACUCUCUACCCUCCAUAUCAAGGUCUUUGAUUUUCUUCUCAGCUCAGUCCUUACAAACCUUCUGUCCACCCCUCUUGUGAAUCUAGGACCCAUCAAUAAGGUGCUCAAAGUGCAUACGACCUAUGGACUUCUAUCAUAUGCUCUAAGAGGUUGAAUGUCCUUCUUAGUCCUUAAAUCCACAUUGAAUGCCUUCAAAAUCUAAGUUAGUAGGCAUUCAUAGUAAAGUAUCUUGGACUUAAUCUCACAACACUUUAUUAUGUGCUAAAAAAUAAUGAAUCCAAGAUUGAUUCUCUUAUCGUCUAGGAUGAAAUCAAUUAGAAAAGCUCAUAAUAGGAUACCUCAUCUUGAUGUCCUCCUUUAAGAAUAAAUAUAUGACUAAUCAUGUGAUACAUGACUCGACUAAUCAAUAUGAGAGCAUGAACAUGAGGCUUGGUAGUUGUGGUGUCAAACAAAAGAUUACAUAACCUUUUUUUGGCAGAUCGGAGGGUUGGCCGAGUCCAUCAACUCCUCUUGUAUUUGAAUGUUGUGGUCGCUUAAGUGAAUGUACUAUAAGGCUAGGAUAUGCACCUUUCCUGACAGCAAUUGCUUUUAGGAAAGCUUGUGGCACCUAAGGUCCUACAAGUGGUAUCAAAGUUAGGCCUCCUGUUUAAGACUUAACCGUCUAAGAGGAAACGACUGAUCCAUCAAGUUCAUCUCAUAUUGAAAGUUUUGCAACCAAUAGACCUCCAUUUUUUACAGGAACCAAUUAUUCCUAUUGGAAAAAAAAUGAGUUGGUUUUAAAAAUCUACUAAUCUUGAUCUAUGGGAUGUCAUUGAAGAUGGUUCUCACAUUCCUUCAAAAUUAGAAAAUUGAGUGAUGGUUCCAAAACCUAAGCAAGAAUUGGGUGAACUUGAUAAAAAAAAAAAAAAGUUCAAUUAAAUGCCAAAUCUGUUUAUAUCUUACAUUAUGCUAUUGAUAUAAAUGAAUUUAAUUGUGUUUAACAAUGUAAGUCGACUAAAUAAAUUUGGAAACUAUUAAAAAUCACUCAUGAGGGAACUAACCAAGUUAAACAGUUUAUAAUCAACAUCAUUGUGCAUUAUUAUGAAUUAUUUUCUAUGAAGGAUUUUGAAUCUAUUAUAGAGAUGUUUUAUAGGUUCAUGGUGAUUGUGAAUGGACUUUAAGCCUUGAAAAAGACCUACACCAAAGUAGAGAAAGUCAUGAAGAACUUAAGGUCUUUACCAAAGAAAUGGAAAACAAAAGUGAUGGCUAUUCAAGUAGCAAAGAAGCAGCAAGAAGGGGAAGAUAUAUAUAAAUAUAGAACAUAGCUCUCAAAGCUACAACCAAGGAAGAAAAAGAAGUUGAAGAAGAAAAACAAAGUGAAGAAGAUGAAGAGUUAGCCCUCAUCACAAGAAAGUCUAACAAGUUCAUGAGGGGUGAAAAGUUUAGAAGAAGAAGGUUCGCUUCCAGAAGAGACUUCUCUAAAAAGGAAUCUUCAUCCCAUCGUGACAAGAAGAGAUGAGAGGAGAAAAGAGACUUGGUAUUCUUCAUGUGCAAGAAACCGGAACACUUUAAAUAUGAUUGUCUUUUCUACAAAAGCGAAGCCAAGAGGAGAAAGAAGAAGGCAAUGAUGACCACUUAGAGUGAAAGUGAAGAUGAAUCAUUCAAAGAAAGGAGAAAAAAGUGGCAAACAUGUGCUUCAUGGCAAUAGAUGAACUUGAUGAGGUAAACUUUAACAUUAGCUAUGAAAGUAUACAUGAUGCUUUUGAAGAAUUGUAUGAGGAUUUUAAAAAACUUGGUUUGAAAAAUGCUUCUUUAAAAAACAAAGUUCAACAACUUGAAAAGGAACUUGGAGAAGUAAAAGAAAAAUUUUCAAAUGUUGAAGAUUCUAAAACUUGUCUUGAAAAAGAGAAUGAGAUUUUAAGAAAGAAAAAUGAAUGGUUGACCUCCUCUCUUUCAAUUUUUCUCGUGGACAAAAAUCUUUUGAAAUGAUCCUAGCUAACCAAAAAUGUAUUUUGACAAACAAGAGUUAUGAUUCAAAUCUUCAAAAAAUCAAAAGUAUUUUAAGAACUAUUUUGUAAAGGAAUCCACAAGUGUAAGUCUUUCCACUACUUGCAACUUUUGUGAAAAAGAAUGACACAUUAGUAGCACAUGCCCUUUAAGAAAUGGUUCUCAAAAGAAUUCAAAUGCAAAAGAUAAAAAGAAUUGGGUUGAAAAAUUCAAGGUCACUAACCCUUAAGGACCCAAAAAGAUAUGGGUACCUAAAUCAACUUGAGUUGUGUUGUAGAGUUCAAAGAAGCAUAAGUGGUUCUUGGAUAGUGGAUGCUCAAGACACAUGACAGGAAAUGAAUCCAAGUUUGCUUUUCUUUCAAAGAAAAAAGGAGGAUAUGUUACCUUUGGUGACAAUGAAAAAGAAAAAAUCAUUGGUCAAGGCAACAUUGGUAAUGACAUAUCCUCAUUGAAAAUGUUUUACUAGUAGAUGAUUUAAAACAUAAUCUUUUAAGCAUUAGUCAACUUUGUGACAAAGGUUUUAAAGUGAUUUUUGAAGCAUCUCAUUGCAUUACAAAGGAUAUUCAAAAUGAAAAUAAUCUUCAUGAGCCAUAGAUGUGAUAAUGUUUACACUAUAAAUAUUUCAAAAUAUGAUGGUCAUGAUAGAUGUUUUUCAAGUAUGCAUGAUCAAAGUUGGUUGUGGCAUAGGAGAUUGGGAUAUACUAACAUGGACCUCAUUUCCCAACUCAAUAAAAAUGAAUUUGUUAGAGGCCAUCUCAAAAUAAAUUUUCAAAAAGAUAAAAGUUUGUGAAGCUUGUCAAGUGGGAAAACAAAUAAAAAAACUCUUUUAAAAACAAAAACUUCAUUUCCAUAACUAGGCCACUUGAGUUAUUGCAUAUGGAUUUAUUUGGUCCCUCUAGGAUACCAAGUCUUGGAGGAAAGUCUUAUACUUAUGUUAUUGUGGAUGACUUCUCUAGAUACACGUGGGUCUUGUUUUUAAGUCAAAAGACUAAAACAUUUUAUAAGUUUUCAAAGUUUUGCAAUAAAGUUCAAAAUGAAAAAGGUUUUGCAAUUACCUGCAUAAGAAGUGAUCAUGGAGAGAAUUUUAAAAUGUUGAUUUUGAAAAUAAUGAGCAUGGAAUUGACCACAAUUUUUUGGCUCCUAGAACUCCUCAACAAAAUGGGGUAGUUGAAAGGAAAAAUAGAACCAUUCCAGAUAUGACAAAAACAAUGCUAAAUGAAAACAACCUACCAAAUAUUUUGGGUCAAAAUGGUUAACACCUCUUGAUAUGUUUUAAAUAAAGUUUUAUUAAGGCUCAUACUUAAGAAAACUUCCUAUGAGCUUUGGAAAAACAAGAAACCCAACAUUAACUAUUUCAAAGUUUUUGAAUGCAAAUGUAUUAUAUUAAACACCAAAGAAAAUCUUGGAAAAUUUGAUGCAAAAUCGAAUGUUGAAAUUUUUCUUGGUUACUCAACUUCAAGUAAAACUUUUAAUGUUUUCAACAAAAGAACCAUGGUUGUCGAGGAGUCCAUCCAUGUUAUUUUUUAUGAAUCUAACAAUUCUCUCCAAGAAAGAGAGAGUGUUGAUGAUGAUUUAGAUUUGGAGACUUACAUGGAAAGAUUGCAAAUUGAAGAUAGAAGAAAAUGAAGUGGAUCCUAAGGAAGAAAGAUCACCAUUGGCACUACCACCUCCUCAACAAGUGCAAGGGGAAUCAAGCCAAGACCUUUCUAAAGAAUGGAAGUUUGUCAUCAAUUACCAAUAAGAUUAAAUCAUAAGUAAUCCAUCUAGUGGGGUAAGAACUAGAUCCUCUCUUAGAAAUAUUUGCAAUAAUCUAGCUUUUAUCUUUCAAAUUGAACCUAGUAAUAUAAAUAAUGCUUUAAAUGAUGAAAAUUGGAUGAUUGCUAUACAAGAAGAAUUAAAUCAAUUUGAAAGAAUUAAAGUAAGAGAAUUAGUACCAAGACCUUCAAAUCAAAGUGCUAUCAGAACUAGAUGAGUCUUUACAAAUAAAAUUGAUGAAAAUGGCAUAAUUGUUAGAAACAAAGCAAGGUUAGUAGCCCAAGUUUGUAAUCAAGAAGAAAGAAUAGGUUAUGAAGAAACCUUUUCCCUCGUAUCUAGGUUGGAAGCCAUUAGGAUGCUACUUGUCUUUGCAUGUUUUAAAGACUUUGUUUUAUAUCAAAUAGAUGUGAAAAGUGCAUUUUUAAAUGGUUUUAUAAAUGAAGAAGUGUAUAUUGAACAACCCCUCGGAUUUGAAAGUUUUAAUUUUCCUAACCAUGUUUUUAAACUUAAAAAGACACUUUAUGGUUUGAAACAAGCACUUAGAGCAUGGUAUGAAAGAUUGAGCAAAUUUCUUUUUAAAAAAAUGAUUUUAAAAUGGGUAAAAUUGACAACUCUUUUCAUAAAAACCAAAGAAAAUAAUAUGCUUUUAGUUCAAAUAUAUGUUGAUGAUGUUAGUUUUGGUUCUACUAAUGUCUCUCUUUGUGAAGAAUUUGCUAAGUGCAUGCAUAGUGAGUUUCAAAUGAGCAUGAUAGGAAAACUCAACUUCUUUCUUGAACUUCAAAUCAAGCAACUAAAGGAAAGAAACUUCAUCAAUCAAGCAAAGUAUAUAAGAGAUCUUCUCAAAAGAUUCAACAUGGAGGAAGCCAAGAUAAUGAAGACUCUAAUGAGUUUAUCCAUCAAGCUUGAUAAGGAUGAGAAAAGUAAAUCCAUUGACUCUACUAUGUAUAGAGGCAUGAUGGGUUCUUUUCUAUACUUGAUCGCUAGUAGACCUGAUAUUAUGUAUAGUGUAUGCUUGUGUGCUAAAUUUCAAUCUUGUCUUAAAGAAUCUCACUUGAGUGUUGUAAAAAGAAUUCUUAAAUAUUUGAAAGGAACAAUGGACAUAGGCUUAUGGUAUCCUAAGGAUAAUAACUUUGAAUUAAUUGGUUUUUCAGAUACUGAUUUUUCUGGUUGUAAGGUUGAAAGAAAAAUCACUAGUGUCACAUGUCAUUUUUUAGAAAACUCACUUGUUUCAUGAUAUAGUAAGAAACAAAAUUCAAUAGCUUUGUCAACGGCGAAAGUUGAAUACAUAGUUGUCGAUUUAUGUUGUGCACAAAUUCUUUGGAUGAAACAAACACUUAGUGAUUUGGGUUUAUCUUUUGAGCAUGUAUCUAUUAAAUGUGAUAAUAUUAGUGUCAUAAGAAUAUCAAAAAAUCUCAUGCAACACUCUAGGACUAAGCAUAUAGAGAUUAGACAUCAUUUUCUUAGAGAUCAUGCACAAAAGGGUGACAUAACACUUGAAAUUGUAAGCACUAAAGAUCAACUUGCUGAUAUUUUUACAAAACCUCUAAGUGAAAAACAAUUUGUUGAGAUUAGAAGACAAUUAGGGGUGAUUUCAUUAUGAUUUAAUGUUUGCUUAUGAAUGCUUGAUGUAUAUGCCUAUUGAUUACUUGAAUUUCAUGACAUAUGCAUCAUAUAAAACAUCAUAUAGACAUAUACUUAAAAAAUGGUCAAUUUUUGACCAAAAAUCAAAAUUCCAUUAGCAUUGGGCAUAAAAAAUUGGGGAACCCAACUAAAAAAGGCAGAGAGAGGAUUAAAAAAUGAAAAAGUGUGCAAAAGUGGAAAGUCAAAUAGCAUUGACCUUUGGUGCAUUUUGAACCGAUUGACCUGAUUUUGGGGAAAAUUUGAGGGCUUUAAAGGCUAGGGUUUCGAAUUUGGGCCAUUUUUCUCUUCUUUCCAUGCGUCACAACCAGUUUCGGCAUCGAUUCCUCUCCAUUUUUAUUCGUCAAGGUUUCAAGUGUGAGCUUCUACCAGUUCCUCAUCUUCACCUUGCGCUAGCUCCAUUUUCCAUGGCUCCCAGACGAGAGUUCGUAUCUUCCAAAGCUCAAGGCAAGCGCCCAACUGAUCCGUCUUAGCCAGAGACAUGCCGAAAGGCGUGUUUUGAGACCGCCUUGUUCAGUACCGUGGAGGAGUACCAACGGUACAAGCAGCAUUUUGCUUAGAGACGAGUAGUUCCGAGGAGAAACAUCAACUUUCUACAGCUUCAACACUUUGGAUUUGAGGGAUUGUUCACUAGGAUAGGCUGGUUGUUAGCUGUUACAAUUUAUGAGCCAGUUUUUUCGACAUUGGUAUGAGCAUUCUACUCAAGGGUGACUUACAGCAUGGGUGGCCCGAUCAUAUCCACUGUUAGAGGAGUUGAGAUUCGUUUGGACUCGGAGAACAUUUGUAGUAUUUUUUAUAUUACUCAUGUUGAACUCAGAGUAUAUGAGUCCAAGAUGUGGCCCACUGUGCUAGGAUUUGAGCCUAGAAAGGUUAUUUAGAGGACUUGUGGACUGUCAGAUGCCCAUGGGAUGGGCAAGACAUCGACACACAGCUUGAUGGUCAUUAGUAGAGUGCUACAUCAUAUGCUAUGUUUCAUUUUCCUACCAUGGGGUGGACACCGAGAUGAGGUCUCCUAUUACAAGGCAUUCCUUAUAGAUUCUAUUCUAACUAGGAGAAGAAUCCAUGUGAGAUAUCUGAUGAUGAUGCACAUGAUUGCAUGUUGCGAGAACACGACUCGAGUAUUCCCCUAUGGUCGCUUCCUUUCUUGAGUAUUCAAGAAUAGAGGCCUUGACCUUAGUAGACAGACAGACUUUGAGGUCCCCAAUACAUAUGAGACAUUGAUGAUCAAUCUAUGGGGUGGAUGACAUUUGAGAAGGCUCCAAAUGGUUCUUGGAUUAGAAAAGCAGAAAGAACACAACCACAGGGAUAGAGAUAGGCACACUCUGGAGUUAAGGAAGAGACAGAGAUUAGAUAGAUGGAGGGUGGAGUAAACCCUCAAGAUGGCAUAGACCUUCAGAGUGGCCACCAGUAGAGAGGACUUGAGCUUGGUAUUCCCCCACUUUAAACAAAGAUUCUUUCACAGACCGAGGAUUUUCAAUUUGAGUCCACUUUCUUUGAGUCGAUGAUGACAUAGCCUGCUUUUAUAAAGAGAACAUCUACUCAGUCAUCAUACACUGAGCCCUCCUUAUUUGGACCAGUAUUCACCGAGCCCACCUAUAUUAAGAUACCACCUCCUCAGGCACCUCCUACUCCUGACCAUGCUUCUUGGAUGGAUUUAUCGGCUCAGAUUGACUCCCUUAGUACUCGUAUGGAGGAACUUGCAAUGGUCAAUGACACACAAUUUUACUUUAUGAAGGAUACAAUGGACUAGUAUUAGACUAGGUUCACUACUCAAUUUGAGUAUCUUUAGUAGAGGAUUGAUCGCAUGGAGUAGAGGAUUGAUCACAUUGAGGAUCACAUAGAGCGUCAACAUAAGGAGAUGAUGACCUACUUGCAUUUCGUGUUUCCAUAUCCACCUCCUCAACCUUGAUGACUAGUUGGGAACCCCUUUAUUCUUUUUUUAUGUUGCCAAAGAGUGAGAUAUUUUAGGAUCUAGGAAUAUCUAUGAGGGUAGAUAUAGAAGACUCAUACUGAUAGAUGUAUAUCAUUUUUUGUUUGGAUCAUAUAUUGCUUAUCUCUAAUUACUUUAGUUUGUUGGACAUAUGAUGCACUGACUGAUACAUUUGACAUGAUAUAUGAUAUGCUUAUAUAUUUGAUGACUUACAUUGGAUGUUCCUUGUUGCAAUACUUUCUAACAUGUCUUGAUCAUCGUGUUUUUAAUUUCUUAAAUAUUGAUUGUUGAUACAUGAUUGGUUUGAGGGGAGAUUUUUUUUUCCUAGAUAACCAAGGUUUUUUAUCAUAAAAAAUGGGAGAUUGUUAGCCCAAGGAUUCUCAUAAUCAUGUUUUGAUGAUAACAAACCAUGGUUAAGUUUCUAAUUGGUUUGAAUUAUAAAGAAUUUUAGGUAUUAGUUUGAAAAUUCAUCAAAUGACCCAAUGGAUGCAAGAUCAAGGAAAUUGGAAGACCUUUAAUCAUAAGAAACAUAUGUAAGAUGAAUGCAUGGGUGCACUUAGGAUUUUCAUAUCUUUUCAUGCAUCUUUAAAAACUCAGUUUAUGCAUUAAAGUUAUAUUUCCAUCAAAACCCGAGUUUUACCAAACGAACCUUAGGCAAAUCAUUUCAAAAUUGACACAAUAAUUUAUCUAAAGACCUUGACUAAGUGUUAGAAGAGAAAAUAAUAGAAAAAGAUAGGUUUUUCAGCCAAAAAUGGUGAACCGAUCGAGACACUAGCCAAUCAACUCAACUGACUAGGGUAUCAGUAGACCGGUUACACUAUCCGGUCGAUGUCCAGUCAAGAGAUACAAAGAAUCUUCUCUCUAUUCCAGAAUGCUUGUUUAACCAGUCAAAGUUAAACCUCAAUCGAUCGAGGUUGAACCUCAACCUAUCGAGAGGCGGUCAAGGGGCGAUCGAGGUCCAACGGUCACCUACCAAGCAUUAAAUGCUAACGACUAGUCAACCGGUGAAAUCGAAACUCGACCAGAUGAACCCCUAAUGACUAGUUUGGCAUUUUUACUAUAUAAAAAGGCUCAAAUCUUCAUUAUUUCAAGAGUUUAACCUUCCUAAAAAUUUCUUGAAUAUAUUUGAGCUUUUGUGAGAGUGUUUUUGAGUGCACAUUGUUCUAAAACUUGCAUAUCAUUAGUGCACCAUUCAAUCCUAAUUUUUCUUGUACAUUUGAGCCUAAAGUUUUGUAUUGGGAUUUUGUGAGAUUAUUUCUUCAUUUGUAAAUAUUUGAAAGGAAGAAUCUAAGUGUGAGGUAUCACUUGAGGGGUUAUUCAAGAAUGAGGUAUCUCUUGAAGAUUAUAAAGGGUGUUUGGAGCUUAAAGUUCAAGAGGGUGGAUUGAAACCAUAAUCCAAUCGUAUUGCUUGAAAGCUUGGUUUGGAAGCCUUGAAUUAGUGGAACCUCAAGCUUAAGAUUGAAGGUAGAGGAGAGUGGACGUAGGUCGGGUUGCAUCGAACCACUAUAAAAUCUUGUGUUUGCAUUCUCUUUUCCCUACUUUUUUUUACUUUAUAUGCAAUUUGUCUUUAUAUUAUUUUAUUAUAUAUUUGCAUAUAAUUAUCUUUUGCAUUUACAUAAUUUAAAUUUGUAAAAAAAAGACCAUCAACCUAUUCACCUCCCUCUAAGGUGAUUACUUUAAGUUAGAUUAGCCCGAUUUUUCUAACACCUUUGUAUAGCUCUACCAACAUCAAAGUCAUCUGGGCUUAACCACCCAUUCAUCUUAAAAAGACAAAGGCCUAUCCACUAGAUAUCUAGAAUCUAAUAAAGGUUGGAAGAAUGUAGCUCCAUAUGAACUCCUUUGACUAGUGAAAUGAUUGGGCCACCCAUCUCAUACCGCAUGUUUGAAUAUAACAUGUGUACCAAGGUUAGGCAAAAAAACUCUGAGCAAUUCACCAUAGAUAGCUAUCACAUCUUGGCGAAUAACUCCUCAAAUUGAAAAUAUGAUAAUUAGCCAAAAUAAAUAUUACAACUCGGAACCACUAUCUAGGCUGCAAACAAAUAAGUGUAUCACUGGUAGUACUCCUCCAUGGAUGCUAAGCUCUAGAUGUUAAAUCAAGCUUUUCUCUUAGCCUCAACUUUAAAACUCUCUAUAUAUAGGAUAGUUGCCUUAGACCUUUGAUGUUGUAGUAACUUUAUGGGGAGCCAUGACACUUUAGUACAUUCAUAGGAAUAAAGGGAAAAGUCCAAGAAAUUGAUAAAAUAAAAAAAAACAAAGGAAAAAGUGGAAAACGGCCACAGUUCAAGAAAUGAAAGGCAAAAACAUAGAGUUCCAAGGAAAAAUAUCUCAAAAUGGCCUACAUAAGAGUUUUGGAGAAACCCUAAAGAGAGAAAUUGGUUUAGACCCUAGGGUUCAAACCCUCUGCUGGUUGAGCAAUUGGUUCAACUAGUCCUCAAUCGGUUGAGGCUCUACCUCAACCAGCUACACCACAACUAUUGUAUGUUAAGGGUGCACAAAGUGCGUCAUGAUUAGUCAAUGCCCAAUUGGCUCAACUAGUUCCUUGGGCCCUCAAUUGGUUGCAAUGUGAAGUGCUUAAGAGACUUGAUUUGAGGUAUGGAACCUUUAGAAACUUGUGUAAACCUUCUUAAAGAUAAGUUUAAAAUAAAUUUGGCUUAAGGUUUUAAUUUAAAACAAAAAUUUAUUCAAUGCUUUGGUAAAAAUGAUCGUUUUAAGUCUAAGGAAUGAUGAAAUUGAAUUUUUAAGUGCAUGAAAAUGAUUUAGACAUUUGAAAGUUGAGUUUAGGUUUGGAUAUUGAUCUUCACGGUAUUGAUCUUCUUCCAUUAUUCUUUGGGUUUUCUUUGAAUUUUUGUAAGUAAACCUGAAAACUUAAUUUGAUCUAAAUCAUUAGUAACUUAGUCUUAUUUUGUAAUCACCAAAAUUCAAUUAGAAGAACCUUUGAGCUAACACCUAUGGUGAUAGCAAAGACAAAGUUAUCUUGCUUAUGGAUAUAUAAAUGACCUUGAUAAAAGGGCAUUUGCAUGUUGUAAAAACGUAGUAGGAACCAAGAGUCUCUGAAUGAGUCAAGGGACAAGUGACAAAUGAUUGAAACUUUCGGAUAUGCUAAAGCCAUUUGAAACUAAAACUUGAGUUUCAAUUUAAAAGAGUUUGAAUUUGAAUUGAACAUUUGUUAUGAACAAAUGGACAUUGUCACCAAGGUUUUGUUGAAAUAGGCUUUCACUCACCCUUGAGGCAAGAUGGGUCUCCAUGCACUAGCAUUCCCACUUAGCUUGAGCGAGGUGUUAAUGAAGAUAAUCUUAGUAUUCACGAAAGAACGUGAUUGACAAAUCAAACCAACUCAAUAACCACAAUAUUUAUCGACAAUUCAACCCAGAUUAUAAAAAACAAUUCAAUGCAGCAUGUGCUGAUUCUAUUCUCUUUACUGUUGUUAUCAUGAUAUGUAUUUUCAUAAUUUUCCUUUUAGUACAAGAACUUGUUUGUUUAUACAAAUAAGAUUGUAUAUUCUUGAUAAUAUAAUUUAGAUCUUCCAUAACCAAAUUCUGAAAAAACUUUUCAUUAUUUCGUGUCAUGAUCGAUUACUGCAAAACUAACUUAUAUUUUAAUAUUUUUUUCCUUUUUUUUUUUUUUAAUAAUUUGGUCCAUUAUGUUUUAUAAUUUAAAAUUUUCAUUUUAAAAAUUGUAUUGUAACUUGUUUGAUUUAAUUUAACCAAAAAGUUAAAUUCUUUAACCUCUUUACAAACAAUGUAUGUAUGAAUUUUUUUUUUUUCCUAUUUAGUAUGUAAGAGCAUUUAAAUAUUAAUUCAUCUUUUUAAGAGCACUUAACAAAAGUAAGUUUUUUCAACUUGAAUAAAGCUUUGAUAUUCCAAUCAACUACUAUAACAUUUUAAGAUUGGCCAAAAGGAACAUAGUGUUCUAGGUAAGUUGAUUGUGUGAAAGGGUUGAAUGCAUAUGAGACUUUAAUUUCGUAUUGAAGAUUUUUUUUAAAAAAAAAUCUAAUUUAGGUUUAUUUUGAAAUAUUUUUCGAAACAAUUUUGAAAAAAAUGAUUAUUGAAAAUAGUUUUCAGAAAAUGCUUAUGAUAUUUUUUAGAAUAAAAGUCUAUUUCAAAACUUAAAAUAUUCUUAAUUUGUUUUUUGUAUUUCAAAUUUUUUCUUAAAAAUAAUUAAAAUAUAUUUUAAAAAAUAAUUAGAUUAUUCUUAUUUUCAAUCAUUCUCCAUAUUUUUUCAAUUAUUUUUAAAAAUAAUCCAAAAUUAUUAAUAUAUAUAUAUAUAUAUAUAUAUAUAUAUAUAUAUAUAUAAUACCUUAUUUUUGGAACUAGUUUUCAAAACACUAAUUUUUAUUAAAAAAUUAUCAAACUUCUUUUUGAAUUUGAAAAAUAUUUUCUAUUUAAUAGAAUAAAAAAAUUAGAAAUAGUUAUCAAACUAUAAAGUUUUGUUUCUUUUUUUCAAUGUUUUUAGGUGGCAUUGAAUAAAAAUAUCAUUUUAAAUUUUAAAAUAUAAAAAUUAAAAUUUUAAACAUAUUUCAUCAUUUCAUCAUUAAUACUGAUAAAUUAAAUUAUGAUAAGGAUAACAGAAGAUUUAUUAAAAUUUCUAAUGUUAUUAAACAUGUUUAACUUAUAAUUAUUUUUUAAAAUAAUAUUUUAUUAUUUAAAGCUGUUUAAAUUUUAAUAGUUAUAUAUUUUAUCAUUUUCAAAAUUAUUAGUUGUUUAUUUAUACUAUUUUGAUGUUUAUUAUCCUAUAAUAUUUGAUAAAUUACAAAUCUUUAUAUUUAUUUUUAAGUUAUGAAAUUAUAUUACAUAUAUUUUAAAUACAUUUAUAUACACCCUUGUCUUUUUCCCAAUAAAGACCCAAUUAAAUCCUCAUUCCUCAUCCUUCCAUGCCUUUUAAGCAGGUUCGUCGAUUCACCUGAUUAGGUGAACCGAACCAGGUUAAGGUCCGGGAUUCGGGUUUGAUCCGAUUUUUAAAAUAUAGACUGAACAAAGAAUUGUCCUUAUCCUCUUUCCCCUUUUCGGCGAAGACUUGAGUCAUUUGCCAGAUUUAAGUCGUGAAGGUCUACAGAUUCAGUCUCCUAAGAAAUUGGGCAUGAAUCGCAGCCACCAUUCUUGACUUUUGCUUUGUUUCGCAUGAAUGCGCAUGUACUAUCUAAUCAGACUGGGGACAACACAUUUACCACCAUUUUUGCCCGGGAGACUCGGUUUGUUGGGUCAACGGUGGAAUCCAAGUCUACUGAGAAAUAAUAUAAAUAUUAUAAAUAUAAUCUGAACAAAAUAAGUACAUGGUGAUUUUUUAUAUUUAAAAUAAAAUAUUAUAUUACAAGCAUUAAAUAAGUUUUAUGUAUGGGAUCGUUUUUAUAAAUAGAUAUAUUUUUAAAUUUUUAUAAUAUAAAUAUUAGUUAUUUUUUAUUGUUUUUAUUUGUUUUCUAAGUAUUAUUUAAAAAAAUAUACAAAUAUAUAAAAUAAUUAAAAAUAAAAUAUUAGAUAUAAAAAUAAUUUUUAAAACAUAUCUAAAAAUAUUAAAAAUAGGUUAAAAAUAUUUUAGGUUUCAAAUAGAUUUUUAUUUUUUAAAACAUCUUACAACAAUUUUUAAAAAUUAUUUUUUAGAAUUAUUUUAAAAAACAAUUAUUAGAGAGAAACUUUAUUUUUUAAAAUAAUUUUUCUUUAAUCAAAAUCUUUUUAAGGAGAGAAACUGAGGAAGAAAGGUAGGACUUUUCUCAAUAGUACAGCAAUUUAAAAAAGUUAUGCUUAAAUUACUGUACUGGCAGAAGUUAUUACAAAUAUAGGGUAGUUUUUGCCACAUAGGAGAGAGGAGAGAGGAAAGAGGAGAGAGGAGAGAGGAGAGAGGAGAGAGGGUGAGAGAAGAGAGGAAAGAGGAGAGAGGAGAGAGGAGAGAGGGUGAGAGAGAGGAGAUAGGAGAGAGGAGAGAGGAGAGAGGGUGACUUAAAAAAAAAGCAAACUCGUCUCUUGAAGAGACGAGUUCCAUGAAAGAAGAGAGGAAAGAGGAGAGAGGAGAGAGGAGAGAGGGUGAGAGAGAGGAGAGAGGAGAGAGGAGAGAGGAGAGAGGGUGUGUAAAAAAAAGCAAACUCGUCUCUUGAAGAGACGAGUUCCAUGAAAAAAAAAAAUAUAUAAUUUUAAAAAAAUUCUAAACAAUUAUUCAAGGGAACUCGUCUCUUGAAGAGACGAGUUCCAUGUAAAAAAAUCCAAGAGACGAGUUCCAUGUAAAAAAAAAAAUAUUUUUUAUUUUAAAAAAUCCCAAAUUUAAAAAAAAAAAUUCCAAAAAAAAAAAAAUUCCAAAGGGAACUCGUCUCUUGAAGAGACGAGUUCCAUGUAAAAAAAAAUAUAUUUUUUAAAAAAUAUAAUUUUUAUUUUAAAAAAUCCCAAAUUAAAAAAAAAAAAAAUCCAAAGGGAACUCGUCUCUUCAAGAGACGAGUUCCAUGUAAAAAAAAAUANNNNNNNNNNNNNNNNNNNNNNNNNNNNNNNNNNNNNNNNNNNNNNNNNNNNNNNNNNNNNNNNNNNNNNNNNNNNNNNNNNNNNNNNNNNNNNNNNNNNNNNNNNNNNNNNNNNNNNNNNNNNNNNNNNNNNNNNNNNNNNNNNNNNNNNNNNNNNNNNNNNNNNNNNNNNNNNNNNNNNNNNNNNNNNNNNNNNNNNNNNNNNNNNNNNNNNNNNNNNNNNNNNNNNNNNNNNNNNNNNNNNNNNNNNNNNNNNNNNNNNNNNNNNNNNNNNNNNNNNNNNNNNNNNNNNNNNNNNNNNNNNNNNNNNNNNNNNNNNNNNNNNNNNNNNNNNNNNNNNNNNNNNNNNNNNNNNNNNNNNNNNNNNNNNNNNNNNNNNNNNNNNNNNNNNNNNNNNNNNNNNNNNNNNNNNNNNNNNNNNNNNNNNNNNNNNNNNNNNNNNNNNNNNNNNNNNNNNNNNNNNNNNNNNNNNNNNNNNNNNNNNNNNNNNNNNNNNNNNNNNNNNNNNNNNNNNNNNNNNNNNNNNNNNNNNNNNNNNNNNNNNNNNNNNNNNNNNNNNNNNNNNNNNNNNNNNNNNNNNNNNNNNNNNNNNNNNNNNNNNNNNNNNNNNNNNNNNNNNNNNNNNNNNNNNNNNNNNNNNNNNNNNNNNNNNNNNNNNNNNNNNNNNNNNNNNNNNNNNNNNNNNNNNNNNNNNNNNNNNNNNNNNNNNNNNNNNNNNNNNNNNNNNNNNNNNNNNNNNNNNNNNNNNNNNNNNNNNNNNNNNNNNNNNNNNNNNNNNNNNNNNNNNNNNNNNNNNNNNNNNNNNNNNNNNNNNNNNNNNNNNNNNNNNNNNNNNNNNNNNNNNNNNNNNNNNNNNNNNNNNNNNNNNNNNNNNNNNNNNNNNNNNNNNNNNNNNNNNNNNNNNNNNNNNNNNNNNNNNNNNNNNNNNNNNNNNNNNNNNNNNNNNNNNNNNNNNNNNNNNNNNNNNNNNNNNNNNNNNNNNNNNNNNNNNNNNNUCUCUUCAAGAGACGAGUUCCCUUUGGAAUUGUGUUUUUUUUUUUUUUUUUUUAAUUUGGGAUUUUUUUUUUUAAUAUAUAUAUUUUUAAAAAAAUAUUUUUUUUUUUACAUGGAACUCGUCUCUUCAAGAGACGAGUUCCCUUUGGAAUUUAUUUUUGUUUUUUUUAAAUUUGGGAUUUUUUAAAAUAAAAAAUAUAUUUUUUUAAAAAUAUUUUUUUUUUUACAUGGAACUCGUCUCUUCAAGAGACGAGUUCCUUUUGCAAUUUUUUUUUUUUUUUUUUUAAAUUUGGGAUUUUUUAAAAUAAAAAAUAUAUUUUUUAAAAAAUAUAUUUUUUUUUACAUGGAACUCGUCUCUUCAAGAGACGAGUUCCCUUUGGAAAUUUUUUUUUUUUUUUUAAAUUUGGGAUUUUUUAAUAAAAAAUAUAUUUUUUAAAAAAUAUUUUUUUUUUCCUAAAGGAACUCGUCUCUUGAAAUUUUAUAUUUAAAAAAAAAUAUUUUUUUUUAGAUGAGAACUCGUCUGUUAGGAAUUUUGAGGAAUUGUUUUUUUUUUUUAAUAUAUAUAUAUUUAAAAAAAUAUUUUUUUUUUUACAAGGGAACUCGUCUCUUCAAGAGACGAGUUCCCUUUGGAAUUAAAUUUUUUUUUUUUUUUUUUUUAAUUUGGGAUUUUUUUUUAAUAUAUAUAUAUUUUUAAAAAAAUAAUUUUUUUUUUACAUGGAACUCGUCUCUUCAAGAGACGAGUUCCCUUUGGAAUUUUUUUUUUUUUUUUUUAAUUUGGGAUUUUUUAAAAUAAAAAAUAUAUUUUUAAAAAAAUAUAUUUUUUUUUACAUGGAACUCGUCUCUUGAAGAGACGAGUUCCCUUUGGAAUUGUGGUUUUUUUUUUUUUUUUUUUUUUAAUUGGGGAUUUUUUUUUUUUAAUAUAAAAGANNNNNNNNNNNNNNNNNNNNNNNNNNNNNNNNNNNNNNNNNNNNNNNNNNNNNNNNNNNNNNNNNNNNNNNNNNNNNNNNNNNNNNNNNNNNNNNNNNNNUUUUAAAAAAAAAAAAGAUAUUUUUAAAAAAUAUAUUUUUUUUAAAAAGGAACUUGUUUUUUGAAAAGACGGGUUCCCUUUGGAAAUGGGUUUUUUUUUUUUUUUUUUUUUUUAAUUUGGGAUUUUUUUUUUUUAAAAUAAAGAGACGAGUUCCCUUUGGAAUUUAUUUAUUUUUUUUUUAAAUUUGGGAUUUUUUAAAAUAAAAAAUAUAUUUUUUUUUACAUGGAACUCGUCUCUUCACUUUGGAAUUGUGUGUGUGUUUUUUUUUUUUUUUUUAAAUUUGGGAUUUUUUAAAAUAAAAAAUAUAUUUUUUUUUACAUGGAACUCGUCUCUUCAAGAGACGAGUUCCCUUUGGAAUUGUGUGUGUGUUUUUUUUUUUUUUUAAUUUGAGAUUUUUUUUUUAAUAUAUAUAUUUUUAAAAAAAUAUUUUUUUUUUUACAUGUAACUCGUCUCUUCAAGAGACGAGUUCCCUUUGGAUUUUUUUUUUUUUUAAUUUAGGAUUUUUUUAAAAAAAAUAUUCUUUUUUACCUGGAACUCGUCUCUUGAAGAGACGAGUUCCCUUUGGAAUUUUUUUUUUUUUUAAUUUGGGAUUUUUUAAAAUAAAAAAUAUAUUUUUUAAAAAAUAUUUUUUUUUUUACAUGGAACUCGUCUCUUCAAGAGACGAGUUACCUUUGGAAUUUUUUUUUUUUUUUAAAAAAAAAUUUGGGAUUUUUUAAAAUAAAAAAUAUAUUUUUUUUUACAUGGAACUCGUCUCUUCAAGAGACGAGUUCCCUUUUUGGAAAUUUUUUUUUUUUUUUUUAAAUUUGGGUUUUUUUAAAUUAAAAAAUAUAUUUUUAAAAAAAUAUAUAUUUUUUUUACAUGGAACUCGUCUCUUCAAGAGACGAGUUCCCUUGAAUAAUUGUUUAGAAUUUUUUUAAAAUUAUAUAUAUAUUUUUUUUCAUGUAACUCGUCUCUUCAAGAGACGAGUUUGCUUUUUUUUACACACCCUCUCUCCUCUCUCCUCUCUCCUCUCUCCUCUCUCCUCUUUCCUCUCUUCUUUCAUGGAACUCGUCUCUUCAAGAGACGAGUUUGCUUUUUUUUUUACAGUCACCUUCUCUCCUCUUUCCUCUCUUCUCUCACCCUCUCUCCUCUCUCCUCUCUCCUCUUUCCUCUCUCCUCUCUCCUAUGUGGCAAAAACUACCCUAUAUUUGUAAUAACUUCUGCCAGUACAGUAAUUUAAGCAUAACUUUUUUAAAUUGCUGUACUAUUGAGAAAAGUCCAAGGUAGGUAUAUGAUUGUAAUAAAGAGAUGAUUGAUCAUUUUGGACAAUUAAAACACGGAAUUAUUUUGAAUUGGAAAAUUGUGAUUUCUUCUAAGUUAAAAUCCAUACAUUCCCUCGUAGCAAAAACAACUUAAUGAUCUCUGUGGUAUAAAUAAAAUUUAUCUAAACGAGAGCGAACAAAAGUUGGCAUGAGAUAUUUUUCUUCAUAAAAAAGAAAAAUGCAUCAAAAUAAAUAUAUUACUUGUCAUGUCCAUGUCAAAUAGCGGAGAAAGUUUUUAGUCGUAUAAAUGUACGUUUUGAUUUGUUUAGGUAGGGCCGUUACAUUACUCAUAUGGCAUUUUCAGCAACUAUUCUAAAGAAAUUUUAGGAGAAAACUCUACUCAGUAAAUAGCAACUAUACAACUAUGACUGCUGUUAGAGUUCUCCAGAAAAGGACGCUGUCCAACGUAGUUGCCUGGAGGAUCAUAGUUGCAAGUGACAAACCACCCACCCGUGUUGCACUGAACCCUAGCGCACCCAAGGUGCAAUGAGUUGCGCCAAAUAACUUUAAUAUACUGCAGGCAUUCCCCACCAACGCAUGAGUUGGAGUUGUAGUCAUAAUAAGGCUUCUCCCCCACCCACAUGUUCACUGCAUCGGUGCCUGUCAAUGAAGGGGUGCCCCAGGCAAUGUUCUCACCGUAAGGCCCACUUGAAUGCACUAAAUUGCAAUCGCCAAUCCUCUGGUUAGCAUAGUUCUGGGCGUAGGCAGCUACAGUGUCAUUCCAUGUCAUAGAUUCAACACCAACUUCUGCACGCGCGGCAUUGUGAGCAUCGAGGAAGUCUUGUGGAGAGUUUUGGGCAUAGGAGAUGUGAGCAAGGACUAACCCCAUGAAACCAACAACUAGUGAAGAUGAGAUCUUACACAACCCCAUCUUUUAGUUUCUUAAUCUGUGUAUGCAAAGUGAGAGUUGAGAAAUGAGCAUAUAUGGUUUGAAGGGAAUGAGAAGAACUUGCAAUUUGGUCAGUCAAAAGCAUCAUUAAUAAAGCUUACAAGCAAUCUUUAGGCCACCAAAACUGGGCGCCCAUGGGCUGUUACGUGUGAAGGACGUUGAGAAAAGGAAAAUUCUACGAAGUGGGUACGUACCUCCAAAAUUCCUGGCCGUUGGAUCAAAAGAUUCCAAUCAAGACCAUCCAAAUGAAAAAUAGAUUAAAAUAAAAAAUGCAAAAGAAGGGUGCAAAAGGUUGCCAGUAGAUAUGCCCCCCUUUAUCUCCCCUCUCUCAAUUUUUGUCACACAUGUCAACAUCAAUUUCAAAAUUUUAAAUUAUUAAUUCUACAUUUGUUUUAUCUAUUUAUAACAAAUAUUAUCUUAGAAAGUAAAUUUCAAUCAAUUAUUAUAUUUAAGUAAAAGUUAUUACUAUAUUUUGAUCUAUCUUACAAUGUUUUUCAAUAUAAUAGGAAAGUGUAAAUACAACUAUCCAAUUACAAAUGCCCUCCAAAAUUUAUUUAAAAUCUAUAGAUUUUUUUUAUUUUUUUAUUUUACUUUAAAUAUUAAUAAAAUUGUUAAUUCGUAUAAUUUCACUUAGAAUUCAUAAAAAAAAAUAUGAGGAAAAAAUAAAAAAUAAAAAUAUUAAAAUUCUUACCCUCACUUAAUUUUAAGAAAUUUUUUUUUCAACUUCAAAUGCCAAUUAAAUUGUUUUUUCAUACUAAUUUCAAUUAGGAUUUUUGAUAAGUAGGAGGGUACGAAGAAGUGUUAUUCGUCAUUUUUAUCAAUUGUAAGUAUAAUUAAUAUUAAUAAGCACUAUUAGUACUAUUUGAAGUAGACAAAAAUUGGUUAAAAUUAAAACAAAUAGAAAAUUUGGAGGUACAAAGAAUAUGGGGAAAAGUAUAGAGAAUGUGAGGAAUAAUAGUGUUUAUUCCUCCCAUUUUUGUACCUCUCCAAUUUUGUAAUUUUUCUACUUUUAAAUUUUUAUUUUUUUAUUUUUUUUUUGUAGUAUUCAUACCCUCUCCAAUUUGGUAGUUUUUUACUUUUAAUUUUUUUUAUUUAUAAUUUCGAUCAAAUUUAAGUAUAAUUAGUAUGAAUAAAUGCUAAGAAAAAAAAAAUCUUAAAAUUAAAACAAGCGUAAAUUUGGAGGAUACGAAGAAUGUGGGAAAAUAAUAUUCACAUUCUUCACACCCUCCAAAAUUUUCAAUUUUCUAAUUUUAAGAAUUUUUUCCACUUGAAAUAACAAUUAUAUUGUGUAUACAUACUAAUUACAUUUAAUGAUGAUAAAAAUUAUGUGCAAACAAAUUUAAAACGAAAAAUACUAAAACAUUGGGAAGGGACGUAGAAUAUGAGACCCUUUAGAUUUUUCAUUUUUUUGAAUUUUAAGAAUUUUUUAAAAAUUUAUUUUAUUUUUUAUAAUAGUUAUAAUUGUCAUUUUUUAUAUUAUUAGAAUAUAAUUCAAAUUUUUAUUAUUCAUAGCCUAAAGUUAUAUAAAAGAAAAAAGGGAUAGUAAAUUAAUAAAUGUCAAAACUCGUAUAGGUAGAAACUAUAUAAUUAAAAUUUUAAACAUAUUUCAUCAUUAAUACUGAUAGAUUACAUUAUGAUAGGAUAACAUGAAGAUUUAUUAAAAUUUUAGUAUUUCUAAUGUUAUUAAACAUAUUUAACUUAUAGUUAUUUUUUUAAAUGAGAUUUUAUUAUUUAAAGUUGUUUAAAUUUUAAUAGUUAUAUAUUUUAUCAUUUUCAAAUUUAUUAAUUGUUUAUUUAUACUAUUUUGAUGUUUAUUAUCCUAUAAUAUUUGAUAAAUUAUAAAUCUUUAUAUUUAUUUUUAAGUUAUGAAAUUAUAUUACAUAUAUUUUAAAUACAUUUAUAUACACCUGUGGACCCCGCAUUUCGGCUCAUGCGUUUCCCACUCGAUGGCGAGCUCGAUUUUAAUUUGAAAAAUUGAUCUUUAUUGAUUAAGAAAAAUUGACUUGGAGUCGCCACUUAUUUUUAUUUUAUUUUUAAAGGGUAAACAAAAUAAGAAAGAAAAACCCUAAGUGUGACUCCUUGUUUUGGAAAAGGUGGUCUGUGAAAAACCGGAUCGGGUUCGGGGGUCAGGUUACUUAUCGGGAAGGUACGGUAGAGACCGUAGCACCCCUCUAAGUCCCUAAAUUCGGGUCUCUACUAAUAAAGUGAAACUGACGUGGCAAUCGAAUAAGAAAGUCAAUGGAUACUCACAUCAAUCAUGCAUAUAUGAGAAUCAGAAUAUGUAUACUGAAUGAUCAGAAUGAGUGAAUGCGUACCUGGGCAGCAAAUAGCAAACAGCAACGCGCUAUCAUGGAAUGAGGUUAGUGAAUAAACGCAAAAUGAUUAUAUGUAUAUCAAGGAACAAAGUAAAUCGAUCACACAUGGCAAAUGAAUCGAUCAAUCAGUCAAUCAAUCAUGGAAUCUCAUAUGUGGGACCCCCACCAAAGCCCAUUCUAUUUUGCACGAAUUAGUCCCACAAAUUCCAUUAUUCUGGAAUUAUGAAAAUAGCAUUCGUGCUUAUAUAAAAUCAAGAGAAACCGAAGAUUAUUUGAAACCCGAAGAGAAUUAAAACUGUUAGAGAGAAAAUUGGAUUUUUGAAAUUUAUUUGAAAAUUGGAGUAUUGGGAAUUAAAUUUAAGAGUUGGAAUUUUAGGAUGUCAAACUUGAAAGAAAUUAGAAUUUUAGAAAUCGAAAAUUAAGUUUGGAAAUUGGGAUUCAAAAAAAUGUUUAAAAAUGGAAUUUUGAAAUAAAUAAAUGGAAUAAUAAUAAUAAUAAGGACGAAAAUAAUGAUUAAAUAAAUGAAUGGGAAUGCUGGAAUUUUUGAAAUUGGAAAUUAGAUUUGAAGGUCGGAAUUGUUUAAAGAAUGAAUUUUUGAAAUAAAAUAAAUAGAAUAAUAAUAAUGACGAAAGUGAUGAUUAAAUGAAUGAACGGAAUUUUCGGAAUUUCUUCGUAUUGGAAAUUAGAUUCGGAAGUCGGAAAAUUGGAACUGCUUCAUGAUAGAAUUUUAAAAUAAGCAAAUAAAUAAAUGGAAUAAUAAUAAUAACGAAAAAAUAAUGAUUAAAUAAAUAAACCUGAAUUUUGGAAAUUUUGAAAUUGGAAAUUAAAUUCGGAAGUCGGAAAUUUUAAAGAAAUGUUUAAAAUAGAAUUUUAGAAUGAAUAAAUAAACUAUUAGUGAUAAAUUAAUGUGAAUGUGAGAAUUUUUCGAGAUUAGGAAUUUAAUUCGAAAAUCAAAAGUUUUAAAGAAUUGAUUUAAAAUGGAGUUUUAAAAUAAAUGAAUAAAAUACUAAUGAUUACAUAAAUUAAUGGGAGUACGAGAAUUUUCGGGAUUAAGAAUUUAAUUCGGAAAUUAGAAGUUUUAAAGAAUUGAUUUAAAAUGGAAUUUUGAAAUAAAUGAAUGAAAUAUUAGUGAUUAAAUAAAUUAAUGUGAAUAUAGGAAAUUUUGGGAUUAGGAAUUUAAUGCGGAAAUCAGAAGUUUGAAAAAAAUUUGUUUAAAGAUAGAAUUUUUAAAAUAAAUAAAUAAAUGGGAUAAUAAUAAUAAUGACGAAAAUAAUAAUUAAAUAAAUGAACGUGAAUAGUGGAAUUUUUUUAAAUCGAAGAUUAAAUUUGAAAGUUGGAAUUGUUUGACGGUGGAAUUUUAAAAUAAAUGAAUGAAUAAAUAGAAUAAGAAUAAUCGCAAAAAUAAUAAUUAUUAAAUAUGUAAAUACGGGAAGACCUAAAAAGAAUCUAAAGAUGAAAUAUUAGAGAGUUGAAUUACUUAAAAACUAGAUUUUAAAAAAAAAACAAUUUUUAAAAUUGGUGGGCUUUGGAAGUGGGCCAAGCAAGGUGGCCAUGCAAAGGUGGAGGAAAUAGGGUUGAUGGGUAUUUGGAAAAUGGGUAUGUGGUGGGCUUUGGAAGUGGGCCAAGAAAGGUGGCCAUGCAAAGGUGGGUUGAUGGGUAUUUGGAAAAUGGGUAUGUGGUGUAGAGAGAUAACCGGGUAGGGAGUAGAAAAUGAAUGAGUUAGUGAGAAAAUGAGGGCUUGGUGGUAGUGGGUAUGAAGAUGGGAGGAUGAAAGACGGGUUUAAUAGGUAUGCAUGGAGAUGACUUAGAGAGAGAAAAGGGUAUGAAGAUGGGUAUGGGGGGGAUGAGAAUGGUGGUGAGUAAAAAAAAAGAUGGGUAUGGAGAUGGUUGGCAUGAUGGAUGGAUAUGAGUUGUAGGGAAGAUGGGUAUGGGGGGUGAGUGUGUUUAUGCAUGCAUGAGGGUUGGUGGUAUGGAGAAAUGAGAAGAAUGAAAGCGGGUAGCGAGAGAAACGGGAAAUGGGUUUAUAUUCUUGUACAUGGGUGGCAUGGGUGAUGAGAUAUGAGUAUGAAGGUGAUAGGAAGAUGUAUGCACGAGAUUGGUGGUAUGGAUAUAAGGGAGAAAUGGGCAUGGCAUGGCCAUGCAAGAGUGGGGAGAAAUGGGUUUGGCUGGUAUUUGGGAAAUGUCAUGAAGGGUGCAUGGUGUGGUGAUGAGAGAGAAAAGGUGGUGAGAAAAAAAAUGAAGGCUUAGAGAGAGGAAUGGGUUUAAGGGGGGUGUAGUUAAAUGAGGAUAUGUAUGGGAUGAAAAAUGAAGUAUGGAUGAUGGGCUUGGGAGGCCCGUGGUGUAGAGAGAGAGAGUGUGUGGUGAUGGGUAUAUGAAGGUUUAGGUGGGCUAUAGUGAGGGUGAACACGUUAAUGAAUGGAUAUGGAAGACAUGGGAUGAGAUAAGUGGAAUGGGUAGUGGGAUGAUGACCUUGUGCAUGAAAGAGAGGUUGAAGGGAUGGGUGAGUGACUAUGCAUGUGCAAGGAUAGGCUGCGGGUUGGUGGAGUGAGUAGGGUGGUGCAUUUCAAUGACGGUGAGCAUGGGCACGGGUAUGAAGGGCAGUGUUGACUUGUAGGAUGAGGACUCCCUUUCUAACAGCUUCCUGCAGCUUUUCAGCUAUUCCGGUUGGAGCAGAGACACUAGGGAGUUUACUUGAUGACAUAACCCAAUAAAUUGCCUUACAACAUUCAGCAUACCCACAAACAACCAUGAGCCUUCAUUAACCAACACAAGUAACUUCUCCACCAAGAUUAAUUACACCAAUGCACUGAAAAGUUUGACAAUCUCGCAUCCUCAUAGUCUCAUCUUCACUUCCAGUAUAAGGCUUAUCCAACCCAGACGGCAAAGUAAUCCCAAAUACAAAACUUCUAUUCAACUCCAUGGCCAAUAUUUUGGACUAAUAAGCUAGAGCACAUAUAUAAUCACAGAAGCCCUCCAUUGAGUUCAUGUCUCUUCACAAACUCACUUCUUCAGUCUCGGCAAUUUGGCCAUUGGUCACCUCAGUCCCACCACCAACAAGAAACAGAGCAAUACAUAGAAAGGAGAAUCAACAGGAAACGAAACAUGAUCUUUAUAUAAUCGGGUUCAGGGAUGAAACUAUACAUCAGAUACUUAAUGAGGGAGUCGAGGAAACCAAGAUAAAGUCAAACAAAGCAUAUAUGCACACAAACAGAUUCAGGAAAACAGGCCAGUAAUCCUAGAUGCCCAAACCUAUCAAUGAAUCACACCCAGGAAUAUGCAGAAAGAUUUAGCAGAAUAGUGUGAUAACAGGAAAAAGUGAAAAUCAUAGGGACGUUACCUGGAAGUUUCUUCCUCGAGCAGAGUAUGCUUGUCCUCAAGCACUCUCUCUCCCUCCAAAAUAUCUCACCCGGCCAUCCCCAGCAUCACACUUCUCCCGCUCCAAAAAAUCAUUGUAUAGAAACCUCCGAAACGUUUUUUUUUCACCCCUCUCCGGCUCGCUCUCGUCUGAAUAUCUCCCACACGGACGUCCUCUGCCUCCAGAAAAGCCCCCCGUCUCCUCUGCAGAUCUCCCCUUCUUUUCUUCCUAUCUAGCCUCUUUUUUCUUUUUUUUUUUCUCUGUUCCUGUCUUCCUGCGCAAGCCAGCCAUCCUACUGCUACACAUCCCAUCUGCCGCCCCCCAGAGCAGCCCACUCGAGAGCCGUCAGAGAAAACCGCAAAAAAAUAAUCAUAAUCCCCCGAAAGCUCUGCUCUUCGGGUGGGGGGGUCUACAACACCCUUGUCUUUUUCCCAAUAAAGACCCAAUUAAAUCCUCAUUCCUCGUCCUUCCAUGCCUUUUAAGCAGGUUCGUCGAUUGACCCUAUUAGGUGAACCGAACUAGGUUAAGGUCCGGGAUUCGGGUUUGAUCCGAUUUUUAAAAUAUAGACUGAACAAAGAAUCAAUGUUUUAAAAACCGGACCGGUCAUUGAACCGAAAAAGUUACCGGUUCACGGUUCACUGGUCGGACCGCCGGUCGAACCGCUAUCGAACCGGUGACGUCAUAAAUAUAUAUUUUAUUAUUUUUUAUAAUAUAAAAAUUAAAAAAUUAAUAAAUUCUAUGUAAAUUUUGAUAGCAUCUACUUUGUUUAUUGAGUAACUUGAGUUUUGUCACAAAAUUUUUUACCUGUAGAAGUCAUCAAUUAUCAUAUAUGAUAUUUAUAACACAAUAUAAGAUAUUAUACAUUCAUAAUGUCAAUAAACUCAAUAUUUAUCAAAUAAUCAAACCAUUACUAUCCUAUAAUAACCAAAUUAUCAAAGAGUUGUUAACUUAACACAUUGUCCAUAACAAAUAAUACAAAUGUCAAUCAUAGGUCCACAACACUUAAAUAAUUACUCAAAAUAAAAACAUAACAUGUCAAUGUUUGAAUAUUCAUGAAGAUUUUUGCAUACUAAUAAAUAUAAAAUUCAUGUCUUCAUUUAUUUUGGAAAUUGGAAUAUGGAGAUUGAAAAUGAGCAUUUGGAAAACCAAAAAAAAAAUUAAAAUAAUUUGAACCGGUUUUUUCCCUCAGAACCGGCCGGUUCGUCCGGUUCACCGGUUGGACCGCCGGUUCAAACGGUCCAAUCCCGGUUCGGUCUCCAUCCGGUCUAAUGACCGGACCGAACCGGAACGAUGACCGGUUGGCGGUCCAACCGGUCGGACCGGCCGGUCCGGUCCGGUUUUUAAAACCAUGCAAAGAAUUGUCCUUAUCCUCUUUUCCCUUUUCGGCGAAGACUUGAGUCAUUUGCCAGAUUUAAGUCGUGAAGGUCUACAGAUUCAGUCUCCUAAGAAAUUGGGCAUGAAUCGCAGCCACCAUUCUUGACUUUUUGCUUUGUUUCGCAUGAAUGCGCAUGUACUAUCUAAUCAGACUGGGGACAACACAUUUACCACCAUUUUUGCCCGGGAGACUCGGUUUGUUGGGUCAACGGUGGAAUCCAAGUCUACUGAGAAAUAAUAUAAAUAUUAUAAAUAUAAUCUGAACAAAAUAAGUACAUGGUGAUUUUUUUAUAUUUAAAAUAAAAUAUUAUAUUACAAGCAUUAAAUAAGUUUUAUUUAUUGGAUCGUUAUUAUAAGUAAAUAUAUUUUUAUAUUAAUAAGUAAUUCUGGUAUUACUUAUAAGCAUAUUAGACCGUGUUAUCACACCAUCAUAAAAAAAUAAAAAUGAAAAAUUAGACAAAGAAAAUGAAGGAAAAAAGAAGAAGAUGAAAAAUAGAAAAUAAGGGUAAUGUCACGUUGAAUAAGGGGUGUUUGUUAAAAUUUAAUAGUUAUUAAAUAAUGAUUUAAGUUGAUUUUAAGUUAAAUUAUAUUUAAAUUAUUGACUUAAAACUUAUUAUUUAAUUAUUAUUUUAAGUAUUAAGACUGUUUCAUAAAAUUAACUUAAAAUUUAUUUUAAAUCAUCAAAUUUACUCUUAUAAAUUAUAAUGAGAGCAAAGAAGAUUGAGUAACAGUGGAGAUCAUUAAGGCAAUUAAGACAAAUAAAGGUAAAAAAAUUAAAUAAAUAUGUGAACUUAAAAAUAAGUUAAUUAUUUUUAUUUAUUACUUGAAGUGGUUUUUUUACUUAAAGUCAUACCAUUAAAUUAUUUUACCAAACAUACUUAAUGAUUUAAAUUAAGUUAUUAAGUUACUUUAAGUUAUUAAGUUGAUUUAUCAUAUACCCUUUAAGUUACCGUAUGUUUAACAUUAUAUAAAAUACAUUUUUAUUUUAUGUAUGAUAUCACAUGUAAAAACACUAUACAUGUAUCCUAAAAUAUAUUGUAAUAUUACCCCUUCAUACUAAUAUAUCUCAUAACAAAUGAGGUAAAUGUCAUAUAACUUUUGGUUAUAUUCAUUUUACAAUGUUUUUUAAUUUAACCAAAAACUCAAUAUCGAGUAAUUUUUUUUAAAGAUUUUGGAUUUAUUUGGCAAUUGUUUUAUAGAUCAGAAAUCUAUUUUUGAGAAUAAAAAAAUAAGAAAACAUAUUCGAUAAUUAAAAAUUAUUUUCUAUUUUCUAUUAUGGAGAAUAAAAACAAAAUGUUUUAAGAGAACAUCUUUUAGUUAUUUUCUUUUGUUUUCAUUUGUUUUCUAAGUGUUAUUUUUUAAAAAAAAAAAUUAACAACCAUAUAAAAUGAUUAAAAAUAAAGUAUUGGAUAUAAAAAUUAUUUUUAAAACAUAUUUAAAAAUAUUAAAAAUAGGUUAAAAACAUUUUAGGUUUCCAAAAAAAAUUUUAUUUUACAAAACAUCUUAAAAUAGCUUUUAAAACCUGUUUUUUGGAACUAUUUUAAAAAACAAUUAUCAUACAAAACUUUUAUUUUUUAAAAUAGUUUUUCUUUAACCAAAAUUUUUUUAAGGAGAGAAACUGAGGAAGAAAGGUAUGUGAUUCUAACAAAGAGAUGAUUGAUCAUUUUGGACAAUUAAAACACGGAAUUAUUCUGAAUUGGAAAAUUGUGAUUUCUUCUAAGUUAAAACCCAUACAUUCCCUCUCAGCAAAAACAACUGAAUGAUCAAAAACCAAUGUUAAAUCAACAUAAAUAUGAACACUUCUGUGGUAUAAAUAAAAUUUAUCUAAACUAGUAUGAAUAAAAGUUGGCAUGAGAUAUUUUUCUUCAUAAAAAAGAAAGAAAAAAGAAAAGUGCAUAAAAAUAAAUAUAUUACUUGUGAUGUCCACGAAUAGGGGAGAAAGUUUUUAACUAUGUAAACGUAUUACUCUCCUCAGUAAAUAGCAACUAUACAACUAUGACCGUUGUUAGAGUUCUCCGUAAAAGGACGCUGUCCAACGUAGUUGCCUGGAGGAUCAUAGUUGCAAGUGACAAACCACCCGCCACUGUUGCACUGAGCCCUAGCGCACCCAAGACACAAUGAGUUGCGCCAAAUAACUUGAGUAUAGUGCCCGCAUUCCCCACCAACGCAGGAGUUGGAGUUGUAGUCAUAAUUGUUCAAAUUGAUAAAUGAUAGUUUUUUCAUUCAUAUUUUCAUUCAUUCAUGUACAGAGUAUAUAUAGAGGGUAUCACCAUUCUAAGAAUGGGGAAGAAUUAUACAAGGAAAGAAUGACAUAAGGAAAUAACAAUUAAUAUCUUAAUAUCUCAACUUUCCUAAUAUCUCAAUAUUCAUAAUAUCUCAACUUUCCUAAUAUCUAAACAUUCCUAAUAUCUCAACACUAAAUGAUAUAAGGAAAGCAUUACUAAUAUCUCAACACUCCCCCUCAAGUUGGUGCAUAGAUGUCACACAUGCCCAACUUGUCUAAAAAUUUUGAGAACACUUGACUUGAGACAACUUUGGUAAGGAUAUCGAUCAAUUGAUCUUCUGAUUGAAUCUUAGGCAAUUCCACAAUCUUAUCAUCCAACUUUUCCUUAAUGAAGAAUCUAUCCACCUCGACAUGCUUUGUACGAUCAUGUUGUAUUGGAUUAUGAGCAAUGUCACACGCGGCUUUAUUGUCACAAAACAAUCGGAUUGGUUGCCUAGAUAGGUAACCUAAAUCCUGUAAGAGGAGUCUUAGUCAUAAUGCCUCACAAAGUCCUAGAGUCAUACCUCUAAAUUCCGUUUCUACACUUGAACGAGCGACGACAUUUUGCUUCUUACUUUUCCAUGUUACAAGAUUACCACCUACAAAGGUAAAGUAACCAGAUGUAGAUCGCCUAUCAUCCACUGCACCGGCCCAAUCAGCAUCAAUAUAUACUUCUAUACUUUGAUGAUCAACAUUUUUAGCGAACAAAAUUCCCUUCCCAGGAGCAUUCUUCAAAUACCUCAAAAUACGCAUGAUUGCAUUCAUAUGUUGCUCUCCAGGAUUAUGCAUGUAUUGACUCACUACACUCAAUGCAUAAGUAAGAUCUGGUCUUGUAUGAGCUAAGUACAUUAAUCUCCCCACAAGUCUCUGGUAUCUUCCCAUAUCAGUUGAUACUUGAUUAGGCUCAACACACAAUUUCAAACCUUCUUCUAUUGGUGUAUUAACAGGUUGACAUCCCGACAUUCCAGUCUCCUGUAAAAGAUCUAAGGUAUACUUUCUUUGAGACAGAAAAAUUCCUUCACUUGAUCAAGAAACUUCAAUCCCAAGAAAGUAUUUUAGAGGACCUAGAUCUUUCAUUUCGAAUUCUCUAAAUAGAUAAUUUUGCAGAGCUUUUCUUUCUUCAGGAUCAUUUCCUGUAACUACCAUGUCAUCCACAUAUACGAUGAGUGUCGUAAUCUUACCAUGUUGCUUUUUCAGAAACAAAGUGUGAUCUGAAUUUGCUUUGACGAUAGCCAAAAGCUCUCAUUGACUUUGUGAACCUUCCAAACCAUGCUCUCGGGGAUUGCUUCAACCCAUACAAUGACUUCUUCAAUUUGCACACCUUCUGACAUUGCUUUUCUAACACCAUGCAUCCUGGUGGAAGAUCCAUAUAUACUUCUUCAGAUAACUCACCAUGCAGAAAGGCAUUUUUCACAUCAAAUUUUUGUAAUGGCCAAUCUAGGUUUGCAGCUAAAGACAGUAAUACUCGAACUGUGUUGAUCUUAGCUACAGGUGCAAAUGUCUCUGUGUAGUCAAUUCCAUAAGUUUGAGUGUACCCUUUUGCUACCAGUCUUGCUUUAAAUCGUUCAAUACUACCAUCUGCCUUGUACUUCACAGUAUAGAUCCAACGACACCCAACUGGCUUCUUUCCUGGUGGACAUUCUACGAGUUCCCAUGUUUCAUUCUUCUACAAUGAUUUCAUCUCUUCAUUCAUAGCUGUUUUCCACCUUGGAUCAGCUAAGGCUUCUUGCACACUAUUAGGAAUAGCUACAGUAGAUAAUUGAUUUACAAAUGACUUGUUUGAUUCAGACAAACGAUGGUUAGACACAUAGUUGCUUAUGGGAUAUUUGACUUUGGUAGACAAUUCAGGUUCAUAUAUGGGUUUAGGAAUACCUCUAUUAUGACGGUGUGGUAACCGUUUCAUGAAUGAAUCGGGUUCCAAAUUAAGAACACCCUCAACAGACGACGAUUGGUUUGGUAUUUCAGUGAAGACAUUUUCGGACCCAAAUUGUUGACCACUCAUAUCCAACUCACCCACUUCCUGGUUCACUAGUUCAGAUUGUCCAUAUUCAUCUUCCUCAAAUAUAUGAUAAUCAUAAUCGAGAGUCUGAAUUUCCUUAUGGUACUCCCCCUGAAGUUCAGACUCAGAUGAAAAAUACAUCGAAUCUUCAUGAAACACCACAUCCAUUGUAAUAUACAUUUGUCGAGUUGGAGGAUGGUAACAUCGAUAUCCCUUUUUGUGCAAUGCAUAUCCAACAAACACACAUUGUAAUGCAUGAGAAGUUAACUUGGUGCGUUGGUGCUUGUGUAGAUGCACAAAUGCCACGCAACCAAAAACACGAGGAGGUAGAUUUGGGACAGUUGGGGCAACUACGACAUUAGUAAGAGCUUGGAGUGGUGUUUGAAAGUUAAUUGAGCUAGAAGGUACCCGAUUGAUCAAGUAUGCAGCAGAUGUGAUUGCUUCUCCCCAAUAAGAUAUCGGUGUUUUUGCUGCUAUCAAGGAAGCACGAACAACCUCUAACAAGUGCCGAUUUUUUCGUUCAGCGACUCCAUUUUGCUGGGGUGUAUUGGAACAAGUAGUUUGAUGAAUGAUGUCAUGUCAUUCCAAAUACUUUUGAAGAUCAGAACUUUGAUAUUCUCCACCAUUAUCACUACGCAAAACCUGAACCUUUGCAUUGUACUGAGUUUCAAUCACUUUAUGAAAUUUUUGAAACAAUAAGUUCACUUCAUCUUUGGUCUUCAUCAAGCAUAACCAUGUCAUUCUAGUACAAUCAUCAAUAAAAGUAACAAACCAACGUGAGCCACUCAAAGUUGGGACUUUGGAUUGGCCCCAAACAUUAGAAUGUAUAACCAUAAAAGGAAACGAACUUUUAUUUAAAAUUAACGAAACGAAGCACAAUGACUUUUAACCAAUUCACAAAUAUCACAACGGAAACCAGAAAUAUCACUCUUUGCAAACAAACUAGGAAACAAUUUUUUUAAAUAACCAAAGGAAGCAUGUCCCAAACGUCGAUGCCAUAACCAAAUUUCAGAUUUUUUCUUCUCUCCCUCAAAUUCAUCUGCCAUCAAGGCUUGUUGCAACUUAUUUGAAUCCUUUGACUGCAAGUCUAAGUAAUAGAGUUUUCCCCGCUUAAUACCACAACCAAUCGUUUGUCUUGUUUGGAUGUCCUUAAUCACACAAAAUUCAAGCCAAAAAAUGACAAUACAAGAUAAGGUUGCAGUGAUUUGAGAAACUGACAAAAGAUUGUAAUCUAAAGAUGGAACAACUAAAACAGAAUUCAAAUUCAAAGUAUCAGUAAGAGUUAAUGAUCCUUCCCCAAUGACUGGGGUUAUGUUACCAUUGGCUGUGGAAACAAUUUUUUGUAAGGAAGGUCUAAGGGUUGAAAUGUCUAGAAUCAAAAGUCAUAUGAUCUGUAGCACCAAAAUCAAUUAUCCAUGCACUAUUAAUAACAGGUGUAAAAGUAUUUAAAAACUUACCACCAUGAUCUGUAGCGGCUACCAAUGUAGAGGCUUUCUCAGCAACAUUAACCUCUGUUUUUAUUUCGGCAAUAGUUGCAGUCGAGGUUUUCUUGGAAUCCUUCUUCCGUUGAUCACAAUUAUUAUCAUUAAUAACAAAGUGUUGAUAACCUAAACAUGAUUUAAAGGUCCAUGGUUCAAACCCUCGGUUCCUUAUUUUUUUCUUGAUUAUACCAAGAGUCGUUGCUUUGAAAUUGUGGGAUAUCCAGAUUGGUGGGAUCAGUCUUAUUGCAGUGAGUGCCUUUGAAGGUUGACUUAUCAAUAUUAGGGCUUGUCUUAGGAUGGUUGAUCGCUGUCGGACUACCAUAGUGACAAAAUAUCCAGGAUUUCAGUUUCAUGGCUCUGAUACCAUGUUCAAAUUGAUAAAUGAUAGUUUUUUCAUUCAUAUUUUCAUUCAUUCAUGUACAGAGUAUAUAUAGAGGGUAUCGCCAUUCUAAGAAUGGGAAAGAAUUAUACAAGGAAAGAAUGACAUAAGGAAAUAACAAUUAAUAUCCUAAUAUCUCAACUUUCCUAAUAUCUCAAUAUUCCUAAUAUAUCAAUAUUCAUAAUAUCUCAACUUUCCUAAUAUCUAAACAUUCCUAAUAUCUCAGCACUAAAUGAUAUAAGGAAAUAAUGAUAUAAGGAAAGCAUUCCUAAUAUCUCAACAAUAAUUAGUCUUCUCCCUCACCCACAAGUUCACUGCAUCGAUGCUUGUCGAUGAAGGGGAGCCCUAGGCAAGGUUCUCACCGUAAGGCCCACCUGAAUGCACUAGAUUGCAAUCGCCAAUCCUCUGGUUAGUAUAAUUUUGGGCGUAGGAAGCCACAGUGUUGUCCCAUGACAUAGGCCCAACACCAACUUGUGCGCGCGUGGUGUUGUUAGAUUUUUCAUUUUUUUUGAAUUUUAAGAAUUUUUUAAAAAUUUAUUUUAUUUUUUAUAAUAGUUAUAAUUGUCAAUUUUUAUAUUAUUAGAAUAUAAUUCAAUUUUUUUAUUAUUCAUAGCCUAAAGUUAUAUAAAAGAAAAAGGGGAUAGUAAAUUAAUAGAUGUCAAAACUCAUAUAGGUAGAAACUAUAUAAUUAUUAUUCAUAACCAAAAGUUAUAAAAAUAAUAAUUAAGAAAAUAAAGGCUAAUUUUAAAUGAGAAAAACACCCAAAAGGGGGGUGAAUUGGGUUUUUAAUUUUUUUUUUAAACACGACAAAUUUAAGCACAAGAGAAGCAAAUAAAAAGAGAUAGAGUUAGAAAAAUCAAACUCAAAUUUUAUAGUGGUUCGACACUUCCUUGCCUAUGUCCAGUCUCCUCAAGCUCCUAACCGAGUGAGUGUUCCACUAACUUUAAGCUACAACCAAGUUUCUAAUCACCUUUACACUUGAAUUCCGACUCCAAUGAGCUCUUACACAACCUCUUCAAGUUUCAACUCACUUGAAGGCUUUAACACUCAAUUUACAAGAAUGAAUCUCUCAACCUAGCUUAACAAUAGCUCAAAUACAACUUAAGGCUAGGAUGAAUUACAAAGGUGCACUAAAAGAUAUGUAAGUGAAGAUUUAAUACACCUAGAAAGAAAUGAGAGCUUUUAAGGCAAGAACAAGUGGGUAGACAAAUAAAUGCAGGUGUUUUCUUACUCAUAAAUGAAGUGAACCUCUUUAUUUACAGGUUUCUAACUUCGGGAGACAAGAAAAUAAAAAAGCAGCCUCAAUCGGUCGAGCUGGGGUCAACUAGUUCACUAGCCAUUGGAGCAUUAAAUGCUUUGGCAAGUUACCGUUGCUUUGACUGGACCUUGAUCGAAGGUCGACCGAGAAGGCAAAUACCUUGAUCAGGAAGGGAAGACUACUGGAAAAGAGAGGGUGCUUUCUAUACUCCUCGACCGAACCUCGACUAGGAAGAGGGAACCGGUCGACCGGUGCCUUGGCCGAUUGAACCGGUUGGCUAAUGCCUCGAUCGAUUCACCAUUUUUGACUCGAAAACCUAUAUUUUUAUGGUCUUUUCUCUUCUACCACUUAGGCAAGGUCUUUAGGUAAACUAGUAUGCCAAUUUUGAAGUAAUUUGCCUACGGUUCAUUUGAUAAAACUCGGGUUUUGAUGAAACUGCAACUUUAAAUAAUAAAUCGAGUUUUUGAGAGAUGCAUGAAAUGAUAUGUAUAACUUAAGUGCAUCCAUGCAUUCAUCUUACAUUUGUUUCCUAUGAUUAAAGGUCUUUCAAACGUCUUGAUCUUGCAUCCAUUAGAUCAUUUGAUGAAUUUCCAAAUUAAUACCUUAAAUUCUUAAUAAUUCAAACCAAUUGGUAACUUAACCAUAAUUUGUUAUCAUCAAAAUAUGAUUAGGAGAGCCCUUGGGCUAACAAUAAUAUUAAUACUUUUUUUGUACAAAUUAAAAUUAUAUAUGGUCAAAAGUUAUGUAAUUAUUAUUCAUGAUUAAAAAUUAUGAAAUAAUGAUAUUAAUAUAUUUUUGUUUUGUACUGGCCAAAAUCUCAAUCAAUUUUUUGUUCCUGAUUGAGAAGUAUUAAAUAUGAUCAUUGAUGUUUGUAACUUGAAUUAUUCUUAUUGUGACUAUAAGUAUGGAUUUUUCAUUCGAAUUUCACAAUGCCAAAAAAUUCUAGCACAAUUGGAUCAUUAUAUGAAAUCUCUUUAUUUUUAAGAAUUUAUAAUUUACAGUUUUUAAGAUUUACUUAAAUUGUGCUUCUUUUUUAAUCUUUAUAUACACUAUAAUUAUUUUAGAGUGUGUUUGAUAGUGAUUUUAUGAAACGUUUCUAAUAUUUUUAAUGCUUGAAAGAUCAAAAUUUUCAAAUAUUCGAAAAACUAAAAACACUUUCUAGAAUCCCUACCAAACACACUCUUAAUUAUCGAUAAAGUGAAGAGAGUGAAAAGAAAAUGUCUAUUUGAUGUUUUAAGUAUCCUUAAAAUAGAGAUAUACUAUUUAUAUAUUCUCUAUGCUAUUUACUAUUUAAUUCGAUUCUUUCCAUUUGAAACAUUGAAUUUUAUAUGUUUUAUUUACUAUUUAAUUCACUUCUUUCUAGUUGAAAUGAUGAAUUUUAUAUUUGGAUAAAAUAAUGAGAAUAAAUUAUCUUAUAAAGAUUAAAAAAACAAAAGAGAAGAAUUUGAAUAAGAUUGACUUUAGUUUUUAAACUCUACCAUAUUAUCCUUUUAUAAAAGGAAUUUAAUUCUAAGUAAACUCUUUCGAGUUAUUUCUUUUACUUUUUGAUAAUAAUUUAUUAAAAGACAUUAUUUUUCAAUUUUUUUUAAUCAACAUAUAAGAAGUGAAGGAGUCUCUUCUAAUUAUAUCAAGGUCAAUAUAAUAUGAGAUAAUUAUAUUUCAAGCAAUUGUGAAUUCAAUUAUAUUGCAAUUUUUUCAUACUCCUCUAUCAACACCUAUGAGAGUAGCAAAUAACAAAAAAAAAAAAAAACAAGUUUUCUAAUAUAAUUUUAUCAAUGUUUCAAAAAAUAAAUAAAUAAAUAAAACAAGGAUAAUUAUAUUGUUAAUUUAAGAAUAAUAUUAUUCAAGGAGACUUAUCAUGUCAAUUUUAAUUAUAUUAUAUAUAUCAAUAAUAUAUAUCUUUAUAAUAUUCCAAUAAUCUUGUUUCAUAAUGUGUGAUGAUUUUUAUAUUAAGGUGAUAUAUUUUUGGCAAUAAUUAUUAAAUUGAUGUUAUAAAUUUGAAAUGAUAUUUAUCUUAAAUUAAUUUAGACUCAUAAAAUUUAAUGAGGUGAUAUUGUAGUGCUAUUGGAAGAUAUAUAAUACUAUUAUUUAAACGUCUUUGCUAUGAUUCUUAUACAUUUCAUUAAUAAAAGAAUUAAAGAAAAUCGUAUUUGCACAAUCAUCAUAUUUUAUAUAUUUAUGAGAUAGUUGCAAUUCAAUAUGCAAUAAAUUUUAACCAUAAAUAAAUUUGAAUAAAUUAUUUUCAUGUGUUAUUAUUAUAUUAUUUGUGCAUUAUAAUUAUUACGUGGAUAAGUAUAUUAAAUGAUAAUGGUGUGAUUUUGAUAGAAACUUUUUAACUUUAAAAUGUAUAUGUCAAAUGAUUUAUGCAUAUACUUUUUUAAUUGAUUAAAAAAUAAGGUUACACUGUUUUGUUAUAUUUUAUAUAUAUGGCAUAAUUUGUUUAAUAUGCUAGGAUAAUUUGUUUAAUAUCAUGCAAGAAACAUGCACAUUUAUAAAUUUAAUUGUGAAUUGAGACACUUUACAUUUUAUUUUCUAUGUCAAUAUUGAGAUAAUUCCAUGUAGCAAAAUUAAAAUUUUAUAUUCAAGAUUAGUCUCUAGUAUGCUUAAUUAUGUUAGCUUAAAUGUCUUGUACCACCUAUAAAUUAGAGGAUGAAACUUUUACAUCCUCAACAAUAACUAAUCUUUUACUUUUUAAGUUUUAACUCUCCCUUUAUAAUAAGUUUUCUUAAACCCUUAAAGGGUAAGCUUUUUACAACAAGCUUUAUGGAUUGUCAUUUUGGUGAAACUCUUGUCUUAUCAUUUGUACAACAUUGGUAAUAGUUGAUGUUAAUAUCAUGUCAAAAAAUUAGAAAUUGAUUAAAAGCUCUAGAAGAAUUAACAUUAUGUUAUUAGUGACACGAUUCUAUGUGAAUAACACUUUACAUUCUAUUAGAUCUAGAAGAAUCUAACAUGACCAACUUUGUCUCUUAGGAUAAACAGUAAUGCAUCAAUUCAUUAUACAGUCACAUGGACAUAAAUUGUAAAAUUAGAAGUUUUUACUUAGUAACUAAUUUAAUAAAAUGUUGUAUAAAUUGUCUUUUUGAUGAGACAAUUUUCCCACGGUUAGGGGAGAAAAGCUAAUUCCAAAAGAAUGAUAUGAAAAUUUGGAUUCAAGAAGAAUAACAAGAAAUUUUUGGAAAUAUUUUAUUGACAAAUAUGAAAUGAUAUCUUUAAAGAACAAUUAUAUAAUAACAAUUGUUAUCUAAAACACACUUUGAAGUGUAAUAACUUGACGUUUCAAUAAGAGAAUGAGACAUGCCUAAAGCAUUGUAGACAUUUCAGUUGAAAAGAUAUAUUCUCUAAAGGUGGAAAAGGCAUAAGUUAUCCUUUAACAUCCACAAAUUGAACAAAUAGCCCUUGAAGAGAUCCAACUAAAAUAAAUAGCCCUUAAAGAGGUACAUAUUAAACAAAUAAGUCUUGAAGAGGCAUAUAUUGAUCAACAAAUAACACUUAAAGAGGUACAAAUUGAAUGAAUACUCCUUGAAAAAGCACUUAUUGAAUGAAUAGCCCCUGAAAAGGCACAUAUUGAACAAAUAGUUUGUAAACAAGCACAAAUUGAACGAAUGGUCCCUAAAGAGACAUAAAUACCUUCAUAUCUAAAAGUAAAAGAGAUUUUUAUUAGCUAUGAACCUGAUAAGAGGAAGAUGGGAUCAAAAUAAUAUUGUCAUUGACAAUGUAUCUUCUUUUUAGAUGACUUUUGAUAUCAUAAGGAAUGAUGAAGAUUCCAAAUUAUGAAUUAUGCAAGCUACGUUGACACAAAUAUUUGACCAAAAUGGAAAGAUGCAAUAUAUACAGAGUUAGACUUGUUAGCGAAAUGAGGAAUAUUUGGAGUUGUAGUCUCACGUUAAAAUACGUUGAAUCUAUUGAAUAUAAAUAGACCUAAAGUCUAAUGCUUUAAGACAUAAAGAUUGUUGAAUAUCGAUGGGUUAUUAUGCUAUAAAACAAAAAUUAUAGCAUAAGCAUUCCUACAAAUAUCACUUAGUAUCAAUUUCCUAAGCCUAAUUUCUACUUGGAAAUUAAAAGACAUCUUGAAGUUGAGCCUGCAAGUUGUGUCUUCAUUGAUAACAAGUGUUUUCCUAUAAUAUUUUCUUAAUUGAUUGAACCUAACUUGUAAAUCUUCAAUUUUGUCCUCUUAGCACAUGUGACUCUAGGUGUCUUCCUAUACUUCUCUCUUGAUUCAUUAUCAUCCCUUAGUAGUCCAUCGACACUCAUUUGACCUAAUUUUUCUGAGUCACCUUCAAGGGCUUCUUGUUUAGGGCUAAACUUAGAUCUCACUUAGAUCUUUUUAAGGAUAGGUUUCACUUAGAUGCUUCUAUAUGCCUAGAUCACUUGGUUAGUUUUUGAGUUUGAUUGCUUGAUUUUGAGUUUAAGCAAGGUUUGGCUUGAUUUAGAAAAUAACAUGAGAUUGAAGAUUCUAUUCUUUUUAAGUUGUAUGAAGUAAUAUUUUUAUUCUCUUAUGUGUCCAUGUGAUUGGUUUUGUUUACUUUCAUUUUAAAUUACAUGAUUUCUAAUUUUUAUUUUAUUUUAUUUUUGCAUGAGUUUGGUACUUCGAUUUUUUGCAUCUGUAUUAAUAAUUGAUUUUAAAUAUGCAUGUGAUUGACAUAUUAAUUUUUUUUAAUUACAUAACUUUGAUUUUUAAUUUGCAAUUGCAUGCUUUUUAUUUUAAUCUUUAUUUUGUUUUGCAUGGGACUAGAGUGCUGCAAAUUGGAGAGGAUCCCUUGGUGUACACGGCUUCCACAAAUAGGAAGGAGAUUAGGACACUUUGGAGAUAUUUUUGGAUGAAGAGAUUCAUUUGGCUUUUGUUUUUGGAAAAGAUUUUCAAUAAGCACGCAUGUAUGAAAGGAUUUUGAAUCAGCAAUGGGCAUGGGCUGGGGCUGCUAUAAAAAUGGAAGGACAGCCACACGCGUAGGGGAGGAACACUAUUGAAAAAGGAAAGAGUCAUGUCAGAGAUUGUCCAUGCAAAACCACAUCCCAUAUUCCCAUAUUCAUUCUUGGAUUUUGAUUUGAUUCUUCGGAUAUUCUCCACAACCAUAAUAUAUAUAUAAAAUUAGUCCACAUGCACUGCGGAGGAGGGGCAGAUUGCGGGGCUGUGAGAAAAGAAAAAGGGAUCCAUGGGAAACUUUGAAGAGAAUAAUAAAAGCUGCCAUAAUGGGAUUUCUAAUGAGCUUCCACAUGCGGAUUGCUAUGUUUCUUCCAUGGAUGAUGGAGAUUGCAUGUAAUACAAAUUGUGAGGGCGCACCAUGAUUCUGGCUUUGUGAGGGAUUCAGCAAGACACAAUGCACCACUCCGUGGGAAGGUAUGGCGGCCCACACGCACUCACCAUGGAGAUCUAGAGAGCCUAUACCUAUUUAUUUUAUUUUAUUAGGGGAACACACAUUAUGGCAUAUAAGGAGGGAUUCAGAUUUUGUUUUAGGCUCCGACACACACCAUCAGUCUACACCGAUCGUCAUCCAUAAAGAAAAAUCCAUCAUCACGGAAGGGAUCACACAACCAGCAGGCAUUCUGGACACGCUCCAUGGAGAUUGGGGAGCAGAUUCUUUCGCAAGAAAAUCACAGAGACACCAUUAAUUUUUUAAGGCUCCACAUGCAUAUUGGGAACGAUCAGCUCUUUUAGAGAUGAAUACAGAUCAGAUUUCUUGCAGAUGACGGCAAUAGAUUUUCUAGAAGGUGCUGAUGGUGUACACGGUUUGGUUAUGAAGAACCUCGAAUUUUAGGAGUUGCAUGAGUGAACGGUCUGUUGAUGAAGACCAUUAGAUUUUUUGGAGGUAGUGGUGCACGGUUGCAUGUGAAUAAUGAGCAUCUAAAUGCUCUAGAUGAAAGUUGAUGCUGAAUUGACGAGUACACGGUUCGGGAACUGAGUGAUGAAGAUUUUUUUUUUUUUUUUUUGUGGAGCAUGGUGUGGACAAUUGGAUAUAGAGAAACAACAUCUUGAUUUUUUUGGGGACUCCGCCAACAGGAUCAUGCACAAGCAGCCUACACAUUCCAUAGGUAACCACAUGCGGCUGCCAUCCAUUGAAAAGAAGCACACGCAUUUAUUCAUCAGUAGAGAUUCAACCUGCGCGCAUGGAGAGGCCAUGCCGCUUGAUAGGAAUUCUCCACCAAAGAGAUAUCCAGCCUGCAUGAACGGUUUUUGAACGUGUAUUAUUGACCCUCUUCUCCUAUCAAUAAAAUACAUAUACAGAAACCCCUUCAUGUGCGGUGUGUGCUUUUCCAUCAAUUACAGAAAAAUAACUCUGUGUAUUAAGGUUUGAUAAGGAGAAGAAGAAUCAAGGAUUUAAGAUCUAUAAGCUGAAGGGAAAUCUCUCAUGGCUGCGUCUUCUUCAAACGGUAUGUGAUCUAUUUGUUAAUUAAUGUUUAUUUUAUUAUUUUAUUAUCAGAGACGAGUUUGAAUCAUAAUGAUCUGGAUAAUUGCAUGUUAAUUUUCGUGUUAAAUUCUAUCAAUUGGUAUCAGAGCUUGGUUUUGAAUUUAAAUAUUCAGAUCAAUUUAUAAAAGAUUAGAUUUUUUUUUUUAAGAUUUAUCUUCCAUUAAUUCGUCUCACUAAAAUUACUAAAAUAAAAUAAAAUAAUAAUAAAAUAAUCAAAAGACCCAUUGCGUUCCUCUGUAUCCUUGAGUUCUAAGGAGACAGGAACUAUAUCUGAGCGUGAUUGACCGUUUCUAGACAUGUGGAUUGCUUAUAUAACCCAUUGCGUAACAGCUCCUAUUAGGAAAAAUAAAAUAAAGAAGAGUAGUGAUUCCAUGCGCCUAAAGGAAUAUUGAAAAUUUUAUUGUACGUGCUAUUGGGUCAGCACACAGUAGAGGAUCGUUCAAGCGCCAUUGUCGGCACCGCAGUUUCUCUAGGUUUCACGCGCCAGUUCAGGCGCGAUUUCCGGCGCCAUCGCGCUGAUUUCAGGUGCCGUUGAAGGCGCCAUUGCCGGCGCCAUUGAAGGCGUUGGUUGCAGGCACCAUUGCCAGUGCCAUUGAAGGCACCGUUUUCAGGCGCCAUCUCCUGGUUGCAGGCACCGUUGAAGGCGCCAUUGAAGGCGCUGGUUGCAGGCACCAUUGCCGGUGCCAAUGAAGGCGCCGUUUUCAGGCACCAUCUCCUGGUUGCAGGCGCCAUUAGAGGCGCUAUUUGCAGGCGCUAUUGCCGUUUGCAGUGCCGUUUGAGGUGCGGUUCAGGCACCACUUUUCAGGCUCUCCAAAAGUGCUAUUUCAGGCACUAAUUCAAAGAUAUUAAUUGAUUUAUUUUAUGAUUUGAAUCUGAACAUUUGUGAAAUUAUUAUUAUUAUAUAUGAGGAAUGCAAGUAUUAGCUUUAGUAUAUUCAAUGAAUGCAGAUUUCUUUAAUUUUAUUAUGAUUGAUUAAUGAAUCUGUUGAUUAUUAAAGAUACUAUAUUAUGAUUGAUUAUUGAAUCUGUUGAUUAUUAUGGAUACUAUUUCCUUGUUUUUUAACUCAAAUAAAAGAAUUAAUUUCAUCUUGUGAAUAUUUUAUUCAAAUGACAAUUUAUGAAUAUAAGGUUAACUAAUUUGGAUAGUUGCCAAAGUAACCUAAAUUAGUGAGCCUUGUAUUUAUUGAAUUGCAUAAAAGAAUAAAGGGAGACUUGUAAAAUUCUUAAUAAUUUUCUUUAUAAUUAGGAGAAUGAGACUAACCCAAAGGAGAGUCAAUUUCUGUUAAUUAUUAAUUAAUGUUUUUAUUUUGUGUUGCUUAGAAAAGUAAAAUGGAUACCCAAAGGUAACAUAUAAAUGACACAAAAUAGUAAAGUGUUUUAAGCUCCCUCCAAGUGAACACUGGAUAUGUUAAAAUUUACCCAAAGGAGAAUUUUAAUGAUAUCAAUAGUUCAUUGUUUUUUAUUUUAUACUUGAAGCUUAUUGUGAGCAUUAUUCUAUUUUGUACAGUUCCCACUUCAUUACACUCUCUUGCAUCUGGAAUGACUAUUUUUUAUGGGUCAAACUUUUCUGAAUGGUAUGAAAGGGUUCAAUUCUCACUGGGUGUAUUGGAUCUUGACUUGACUUUAAUAUCUGAUAAACCUCCUGAAGCUACGGAUUACAGUACUCUGGAGCAGGUGGAACAAUCAAAAGCCUGGUCAAAAUCAAACAGACUCAGUCUGAUGUUUAUGAGAAUGACUAUUGCCAAUAAUAUCAAGACCUCUCUCCCUCAAACCGAGUUUGCCUCGGAAUUUCUGAAAUCCGUUGAGGAGCGCUUCAAACGCGUUGAUAAGUCCCUUGCAGGCACAUUGAUGGCUGAAUUGACCACCAUGAAAUAUGAUGGUCAGAAAGGUAUUCAGCAACAUAUUUUAAACAUGACUGAAAAGGCUGCAAAGCUUAAGGCACUAGGUAUGGGUAUGGAUGAGUCCUUCUUGGUACAGUUUGUCCUUAACUCACUUCCAUCACAGUUUGCUCCAUUCAAAAUCCACUAUAAUACUAACAGUGAUCAGUGGAACUUGAAUGAGCUCACCAGUAAAUGUAUACAAGAGGAAGUGAGAUUAAGACAAGAAGGACAUAAUCUUGCUCUUGCUGUAACUCAUGGAGUCACGAAGAAGAAAGGAAAAUUCAAAAAAUGAAAGAACUUUCCACCUAAGAAAAGCGGACCUGGGGAAGGUAGCCAGAGUCAUGAUGGAAAAUUCACAGUAAGUUGCUACUUUUGUGGCAAGAAAGGGCAUGUGAAGAAGGACCGUAUCAAGCACAAGGCUUGGUUCGAAAAGAGAGGUAUAAAUCUUUCUUUUGUAUGUUAUGAAUCCAAUCUUGUUGAAGUUCCUUCAAAUACUUGGUGGAUUGAUUCUAGAGCCACAACUCAUGUGACUAAUUUAAUGCAUGGAUUCCUUACAACCAGGAAACCAAAGGAAAGUGAAAAGUUCCUCUAUAUGGGAAACCGUCUCAAGGUUGAAGUGGUAGUUGUUGGUACCUAUCGCUUACUAUUAGAGACAGGUCAUCAGAUGGAUCUUUUAAACACUUUUUAUGUACCUUCUAUCUCUAGGAAUUUAGUUUCCUUGUCUAAAUUAGAUGCUACUGAAUAUUCUGUUUUAUUCAGUUUUGGACAAUUAAGUUUGAUGUUAAAUUCUGUUACAGUUGGUUCUGGUAUUUUAUGUGAUGGUUUAUAUAAAAUUUCCUUGAAUCAUGAAUUUUCACAAGCUUUGAUAACCCUGCAUUCAAAUGUUGGUUCAAAAUGUGGCUUAAUUAAUGAAAAUUCUUCAAUCUUGUGGCACAGAAGACUAGGGCACAUCUCUAGGGAAAGAAUUGAGAGAUUAGUGAAGGAAGGAAUUUUACAAAAUCUUGACUUCACUGAUUUUCAUGUAUGCGUGGAUUGCAUAAAGGGAAAGCAAACUAAACAUACAAAGAAAGGUGCCACAAGAACUAAUGAGCUCCUUGAGAUAAUUCAUACAGAUAUUUGUGGACCACUCUCUGUUCCAUGUUUUACAGGAGAGAAAUAUUUUAUCACCUUUAUAGAUGAUCUAUCUCGUUAUGGUUAUGUUAAUCUAAUGCAUGAAAAGUCUCAGACCAUUGACAUCUUCGAGAUGUUCACAAUAGAGGUCGAGNNNNNNNNNNNNNNNNNNNNNNNNNNNNNNNNNNNNNNNNNNNNNNNNNNNNNNNNNNNNNNNNNNNNNNNNNNNNNNNNNNNNNNNNNNNNNNNNNNNNNNNNNNNNNNNNNNNNNNNNNNNNNNNNNNNNNNNNNNNNNNNNNNNNNNNNNNNNNNNNNNNNNNNNNNNNNNNNNNNNNNNNNNNNNNNNNNNNNNNNNNNNNNNNNNNNNNNNNNNNNNNNNNNNNNNNNNNNNNNNNNNNNNNNNNNNNNNNNNNNNNNNNNNNNNNNNNNNAAUCAGUGGGGAGUAUGACAAAGAAAAGUAGAUAUGAGGAGAUAAGAGUGGAUAUCCCACCACCUUUUUUACCUUAAGAAAUUAUUGUUCCUCAAUGAUUCGUCCCUAGCAGCGGCAUUGGCAAUGGCACCAUUUGAUUCGAGGUUUGAUCCUCGGCAACGGCGCCAUUUGAUUCAUGCCCAAUUGGUGUCUCAGCUGAUUCGUGUCCAGCUGGUGCUCCUUGAUUGAGGGAUUGAUCAACAAAAUUUAUAACCUAUUACACCAUAUACUAGGGUAGCAAAGACAAAGCUACUAUAGCAUAGUGGCUCUAGGAUCGUUCACUGGGAUGGGUUUUCACUUCACAAUUGAUAUUAAUUCAAAGAUGAAUUGGUGCCUUUUCAUUUCAAGGUUAGCUUUAAAAGAAAACAUAAAGAUGUUUAAAUGAAAAAGGUUUGGUUUUAAGCUAACUAAAAAUAGUAACUGAUUUUACUUACAAAGAAAGGUGUUUCUUGGAGUUCAGAUCACUAGGCUCGUUCCUCAUACAAAAUGGAGAGUUCCGGUCACUUGUUUAUUUUCCUCGCAUUAGAGAAUUAACAUAUAGUUCCUUCUCCAACCGGUGUUGUACAGAUGCUUCCCAUUAAUGGGUUCAAACACUAAAUCCCUCUCACUGAUGCAACUUGCAAUGGUUCAUGCCUCUCACGAGCACUUACCAUUCAAGGAGAUCUUUAACCUUGGACUUCCCUUCUCAAGCUCGCAAGAGAUAACUAAUGGAUGUCUCCUUGGAGUCCAAAAGCUUACCAAGUGUUGGCUAUUCUAGAAAAUCCUACCUUCAAGUCACCUCCCAAAGGCUCGCAAGGGGUAAACUAGUGCAUUUCCAUGGUUGGAAAUCACUUGCCUUACCAAGUGUUGGCCCAGGUGACUCUAAGGUGUUUUAAGUUAACUAAAAACAUAGAAAUCACUAACGGGUUACACUUUCUCUUCAUUAAAAACUAAAACAACAAAACUUCCAAUUUAUGCAUGUGGAAACUUACCCGGCUUUCCUCACUCCAAGAGACAAAAAGCUUAGCCUCUCAUCCUCUGUGGAAAAAUCCUCAGAGUUUGGUUGGCUAGAAAGAAAAAUAAAUGAAAAGUGAAAGAGAAGGAAAAACAGAGCAAGGCUCUGUAUAUUCUAUAUAUGAUCGAUAUUACAUAUAUGAUCCUCCUCCUUUUACAGUGGAUGCAAGGGAAUAUAUAUAGAGGAGUUUUUCCAACCUUCCCAACUAAGAAAUCUUAUGGUUGGUGGAUUACAAGGAGAAGAAUGGAAAUUUAUACAAAAAUAUCUGAAGAAAAUAUCUAGAAGAGUCGGUGCAAAAAUAUCGGGAAGCACUAAGGACAUUUCGCAGGUGAAAAUGGUGUCUGCGAGAUUUCGCAGACACUCAAGAGGGCUGCGAAAUAUUUUCGCAACAACAAGUUAAACUCGCAGGGCUGCGAAAUUGGCUUCCACCUUGAGGUUCUCAGCGUUCCAGCUUGCGGCAUGUAUCGGGUAGCUUCAGGAGGAAUUCCAUAGCACUGUACAAAAAGGCUGCGAAAUUCUCGCAACAAAAGGCUGAUUUCGCAACACUUUGGAGUGAUCUGCUUGUAAUGGCUGUAACUCCUUCGUUUCAACUCCGAAUCAUGCACCGUUUGAAGCAUUGGAUUCUUGACUUCCUGAGCUUUGAAAUGGUAUAUAGAAUGUAGAAAAUGGACUUCGGGAAGUGCUCCAAAAGUGCGCAUGAAGACUGCAGCUGCUUGUCCUCUGUUUUCUUCACUCUGUUUUUCCUUUCUCCUUGUUUCUCUCCUUGCAUACUUUGAACGACUUUGGCAAAGGGCUAUGGAGCUCCAAAGCUUUGUUCUUCAUGAAUUUGAGCUUCCAAAAUCUUUGCCAUGAACUAUAUACAAUUCUCCCUCAUUCUUGGAUUGUUUUGGUGAUCAAAUUACUAACAAAAACACCAAAACUUACACAAUUUGAUUAGAAAUGAUUGCAAGGGUCCUUAACAUGUUAAUUGGGUUAAAAGGCAAUAACUACUACUCAAAAGUGUUUAAAAGAGUUAAUUACAAGCUAUCAAAUAGCACUUUUUGAGUAGUAAUCACUCCCCCCAACCGACAUAUUGCUAGUCCCUUAGCAAUAAAGGAGAUAAAAACUAAGUAACUAUAAUAAUAUACAUAAAAGGGAUCAUGCAAAUCACUCCAAAAAAUUAUAUGAGUGGCAUGAUGGACAUCCAUGGAUCAAUAAAGAUGUGAAACUCAACCUAUAAUAAGAGUUGUCAAAGCAUUCACUUGAUCAUAGAGUACAAAGAAUGGAUAUUAUGCAAGUUUAAGCAUCAAAAGAAUUUCCACUCUCAAUAGAUCCAAAUCAAAUUCUUCCACUAAAAGCUAAGUGUUAAUGUGAUUAGCUUCCGAGUAUAGUAUGGAUAACUAUCAUCUCCCCCCAACCUAAGUCUUUCUUUAAGCUUAGCAAAAUUAACCAUUUCUUGAUAGGCUAGGAACGCACCUCUUAUUCACAAUUCUUUUUACUUACUAAACUUAACCAAUUCACCCAUGUAACAAGCAGAGGAUCGGUGACUCCCAACCAAUAAAGGCUUAGGGCACCAGGCUUUAAAGGCUUUCGCCACCCCUUCGGACCAUGCUCAGGUUUCAAGGCAAGUAAAGAAGUUUAUUCUAUAUUUUUUUUUUCUUUUUUUUUUUUUUUUUCUUUUUUUUUUCUUUCUUUUUUUUUCAAAGACUCAUUGGUCUUUAUGAGGUGUCCCAACACUAUUAAAGAGAGGUUAAAGGUGUCAAAUUAUGAUUUCUCAAGCUUAGAGGGUGAGAUAGUUUCACAUCUUAUAACCGGAAUCUAAUGUAUGUGUGUGCGAAUAGCUUAAGGUGGAAGAUAUAAGUUUGCAUGCAAUUGGAGUUUCAACAAUUCAUCAACUUUUAGAAGAGCAUAAUACAAACUCUAAGACUCAUGUAAUCAAGUUGAAACUCGACUUCUCUCAUUUAAUUUUGAGAGUUAAUCCUUAAUAUCCAUGGAGUUUAAAGCCAAAAUUUUAAAAAUUAAGCAAAAAGCAACUAAAUUACCAAAAUAACUUAGCAUUAUUAACAAUACUUACUUCCUCAACUCUCCCCCCAACCAAGCUGAACAUUGUCCUCAAUGUGACAAAAGCGAUUAAAAAAUAGGGAGGAAGUGGUACCUCAUGAGUGACAUGAAGUCUGAGUUGUAUAGGAGAAACCACAUGUUUCAAAGAAAACAUAAGAGUUAGUGAGUAGAGGAAAUAGAAAAAUGCCAAGUUUAAACAAGAAUUGAUGUCUAUGUAUGAUGUAUCAUCAGUAAUACAUCCAAUCCCAAAAUGUAAGACAUCAAAACAUGGAAUAUAAUAAGUAGAGACAAAAAAGUAAAGAGAUGAUCAAGUAGUGGUAGGAUCCUGUGGAGCUGAUGUGUCUGUGAUGGCCUCUUGAGUGGGUUGGAUCAGGACUUUGGCCUCUGUUCUGGUAGUCUCCUUAGGUGGCAUAGUCUCCUCAACUGGAGCUCUCAGCUGGAGCUAUGAGAUUUGAUGGUUUAAGGAGGUAAGAAAUGGAGUGAGAGGCUUGGUGUGUGUGAUCCCAGGGUGUGCAGGGCUCUCCUCUUCAGAUGCAUGAUCGUAGGGCUCUGUUGGCAUUUUAGCAACUUCCCUUGGCUUUGCAAAGUGUUUUUGUAAAUCACCCUCCAUUUCACAAGUCAAUUUCGCAAUUUGAAGGCCAUUUCUAAGCUUGGAGGUGAUUUCGCAACCAUUUCAAAGCUUGGAGAUCAUUUCGCAGAAAAGUGGCAUGUUCACAGACCAUUUUUUAAGCUUGGAGCAUUUUCGCAGCCAUUCUGAAGCUUGGAGAUCAUUUCGCAGCAAAGUGGCAUUUUCGCAGACCAUUUUUGAAGCUUGGAGCAUUUCCGCAGCCAUUCUGAAGCUUGGAAAUCAUUUCGCAACCAUUUCAAAGUUCAAAAGUGAUUUCGCAGGUGUAUCGCAGCUUCGAAAUGAGGGGAAUUGUGCUGCAAAUGGCACUCGUGUGCCAAAAAGUGGUUUCGCAGCUGCGAAACACCCUUCCAAAUGGCGUCUCGGCUGCGAAAUUCUCGCUCAGCUUUGCGCGCUUGUCUUCAAACGACCAUAACUUCUUCAUUUCACCUCCAAAUCGCAUACCGUUUGAAGCGCUAGACUCCUGACUUCCCAAGAUUUGAAACGAGAUAUCGUAUCCAUAAUUUGAGCUCCAGAAAGUGCUUCAAAAAUGUGUCCAACAGUAGCGAAAUUGAGGUGCGACAUUUCCGCUCAUGGUUUGUACAGUCUUCUUCAAACAGCCAUAACUUUUCCGUUUCAAAUCCAAAUCAAGUACCGUUUGAAGCUAUGGACUCCUGACUUCCCAAGAUUUCCAACGAGAUAUUGCAUGCAUAAUUUGAACUUCGGGAAGUGAUCGAAAUGUGUCCAACAAUUGCCGAAAUGGGGGUGCGGCUGUGAAAUUGGGAUUUUCACAUUUUGGAACUUCGCAGCCAUUUCGCAGCUGCGAAAUGAGGGUCACUGUGCUGCGAAAUGGCACUCGUGUGCCAAAACCGGCUUCGCAAUUGCGAAGUACCCUGCGGAAUGAGACUUUUGGUGCGAAAUCAGGCUUUACCACUUCGCAAUGCGUUUCGCAACUGCGAAAUGGAUGCUCCUGUACUGCGAAGUGGCACUCGUGUGCCAAAUUCACUUUCGCAGCUGCGAAAUACCCUGCCAAAUGGAGCUUUCCCUGCGAAAUGGAGGAUUUCAUGCUUUGGUGGUUCGCAGCCGCUUUCGCAGCUGCGAAAUGGGGGCCACUGUGCUGCGAAGUGGCACUCGUGUGCCAAAUUUGGUUUCGCAGCUGCGAAAACUUUCGCAGAGAGGGCAAUUGGGCUGCGAACUGGUUUUGCAGCAAAAUUUCAAUUUCGCAGAGGCUGCGAAAUCUCGCAGACCCCUGUUUUUCCCCUGUUUCUCCCCUGUUUUCGCUCCGUUUGACUCCGAUUUUGCUCCGAUUUUUUUUCUUCAAUUUCUUUGCAAUUCCUCUCGAUUUUGAUCAUCCAAAAACCUAUAUUACAUCAAAACAAAUUAGAAUUAAAGCAUUGAAAUCAAAAUUAAAGCAUUGAAAUCAAAAUUAAAACAAGUAAAAAAAAACAAAACAAAAAGAUAUGGACUAGCUAGUCUUUAAAAAGACUAAGUCCAUCAAAAAAUUUGAUCCUGAUUUAGCUUGCCCGGAUCCCAUAUGAAGCUUGCAUCCUUCACUUGAGACUUGAUUUGUAUGAUUUUCCCAUACAAAGCUUGGAGAAAAGGUGGAGGCAUGUGUUUCUUCAUCAAUUCUUCCUUGAUGACUAUCCUCAGUGGUUCUUCAGCUAUAUCAAAAUCAUAGUCAUCUUUCUCUAUGCUUUUCCCCUUUUUCUUUCCUUUGAUUUCCUCCCUCUUUUCUUUCUCUGUUUCAUUCUCUACCUUAUGCUCUAGCUUGCAUGUGGGCAGAUCAACCUCUUUACCACUCCUCAGAGUGAUCACUUCUUUGACUUCCUUCUCCAUUGAAGAUUCUUCCUCUUGAGCCUCCACUACAUGGAUGCCCUUGGAAUUUUGAUAAGGUUGAGAAGGAGAGUUUUCUUUCUCUUGCAUUGUGUUGAGGUUGGAAAGCCUUGAGAUUGAAUCUUGGAGAAUAUCUAACUUCUGAGAUAGAUCAUUUUGCAUUUCAUCCAUCCUUUUAUUCAAAGUACUCUCCAUUCUAUCAAUUCUUUGAUCCACUCUGUCCAUUCUUUGAUCCACUCGAGCAUUGGUGGCUUCUUGCUUUCCCACAAAAUCUCCCACGACCUUGCAAAGAUUCACCAUAGCUUGUUCAAGGUUUGAGGCUUGCUGUGGUGCUUGAGCAGGUUGCUGAUACUGAGGUGGCUGUGGUUUCCAAGAGAAAUUUGGAUGGUCCCUCCAAUUGGAAUUGUAGGUGUUGCAAUCACCUAACAUUUCCCUCUUGGCUGGAAUGGUAGGACACUCUUCCACCAAGUGCUCAUAUGAUAGACAAAUGGCACAAGGCAUAGAUUGCAAUGGUGUUUGAGAGAUGGCUUGCACUGGCUGCAUAUUUGUCAUUUCUAGCUCUUCCAAUCUCCUUUCCAUAGCUGCAAUUUCUGCCUUCAUGUUCAUACCAUCAUUCAAAAUAUACAUCUCACCCUUAGCUUUAGGUUGAGACAUCAUUCUUCCCAUAUCUCUAGCAUUUGGUUUAUCCCAUCCUCUUGAGACUUCAGCCACAUAACUUAUGAAGUUCAUGGCUUCCUCUGCUAUCUCGUAUUCAAUAUGGCAUGCACAACUAGCAAAUUGUGAAUUAAAAACAGAGAACACAAAAGAAAACAAAAGAAAAACAAUUCAAAGAAAAAAAAUUAAGGUAAACUAAAAACUAAAUAAAAGGUAUACUAAAAUAUGAACAAUAAAGAAAUAAAAAGAGUUAGUAAAAGGAAAAGAAAAGUCACCAAACUUGUGAUGAAGAUCACAAGUACUCUAGAAAGGUGAUAUCACUGUAAAGUGGCACCAUCCCCGGCAACGGCGCCAUUUGAUUCGUCCCUAGCAGCGGCAUUGGCAAUGGCACCAUUUGAUUCGAGGUUUGAUCCUCGGCAACGGCGCCAUUUGAUUCAUGCCCAAUUGGUGUCUCAGCUGAUUCGUGUCCAGCUGGUGCUCCUUGAUUGAGGGAUUGAUCAACAAAAUUUAUAACCUAUUACACCAUAUACUAGGGUAGCAAAGACAAAGCUACUAUAGCAUAGUGGCUCUAGGAUCGUUCACUGGGAUGGGUUUUCACUUCACAAUUGAUAUUAAUUCAAAGAUGAAUUGGUGCCUUUUCAUUUCAAGGUUAGCUUUAAAAGAAAACAUAAAGAUGUUUAAAUGAAAAAGGUUUGGUUUUAAGCUAACUAAAAAUAGUAACUGAUUUUACUUACAAAGAAAGGUGUUUCUUGGAGUUCAGAUCACUAGGCUCGUUCCUCAUACAAAAUGGAGAGUUCCGGUCACUUGUUUAUUUUCCUCGCAUUAGAGAAUUAACAUAUAGUUCCUUCUCCAACCGGUGUUGUACAGAUGCUUCCCAUUAAUGGGUUCAAACACUAAAUCCCUCUCACUGAUGCAACUUGCAAUGGUUCAUGCCUCUCACGAGCACUUACCAUUCAAGGAGAUCUUUAACCUUGGACUUCCCUUCUCAAGCUCGCAAGAGAUAACUAAUGGAUGUCUCCUUGGAGUCCAAAAGCUUACCAAGUGUUGGCUAUUCUAGAAAAUCCUACCUUCAAGUCACCUCCCAAAGGCUCGCAAGGGGUAAACUAGUGCAUUUCCAUGGUUGGAAAUCACUUGCCUUACCAAGUGUUGGCCCAGGUGACUCUAAGGUGUUUUAAGUUAACUAAAAACAUAGAAAUCACUAACGGGUUACACUUUCUCUUCAUUAAAAACUAAAACAACAAAACUUCCAAUUUAUGCAUGUGGAAACUUACCCGGCUUUCCUCACUCCAAGAGACAAAAAGCUUAGCCUCUCAUCCUCUGUGGAAAAAUCCUCAGAGUUUGGUUGGCUAGAAAGAAAAAUAAAUGAAAAAUGAAAGAGAAGGAAAAACAGAGCAAGGCUCUGUAUAUUCUAUAUAUGAUCGAUAUUACAUAUAUGAUCCUCCUCCUUUUACAGUGGAUGCAAGGGAAUAUAUAUAGAGGAGUUUUUCCAACCUUCCCAACUAAGAAAUCUUAUGGUUGGUGGAUUACAAGGAGAAGAAUGGAAAUUUAUACAAAAAUAUCUGAAGAAAAUAUCUAGAAGAGUCGGUGCAAAAAUAUCGGGAAGCACUAAGGACAUUUCGCAGGUGAAAAUGGUGUCUGCGAGAUUUCGCAGACACUCAAGAGGGCUGCGAAAUAUUUUCGCAACAACAAGUUAAACUCGCAGGGCUGCGAAAUUGGCUUCCACCUUGAGGUUCUCAGCGUUCCAGCUUGCGGCAUGUAUCGGGUAGCUUCAGGAGGAAUUCCAUAGCACUGUACAAAAAGGCUGCGAAAUUCUCGCAACAAAAGGCUGAUUUCGCAACACUUUGGAGUGAUCUGCUUGUAAUGGCUGUAACUCCUUCGUUUCAACUCCGAAUCAUGCACCGUUUGAAGCAUUGGAUUCUUGACUUCCUGAGCUUUGAAAUGGUAUAUAGAAUGUAGAAAAUGGACUUCGGGAAGUGCUCCAAAAGUGCGCAUGAAGACUGCAGCUGCUUGUCCUCUGUUUUCUUCACUCUGUUUUUCCUUUCUCCUUGUUUCUCUCCUUGCAUACUUUGAACGACUUUGGCAAAGGGCUAUGGAGCUCCAAAGCUUUGUUCUUCAUGAAUUUGAGCUUCCAAAAUCUUUGCCAUGAACUAUAUACAAUUCUCCCUCAUUCUUGGAUUGUUUUGGUGAUCAAAUUACUAACAAAAACACCAAAACUUACACAAUUUGAUUAGAAAUGAUUGCAAGGGUCCUUAACAUGUUAAUUGGGUUAAAAGGCAAUAACUACUACUCAAAAGUGUUUAAAAGAGUUAAUUACAAGCUAUCAAAUAGCACUUUUUGAGUAGUAAUCACUCAACCUGUUCAACAAGUUGAGGAUAAUGAGCAAAAUAAUAGAGAUGGUUUAUUACCACUAGAAAAUAUUGCCAUUGAAAAUGUUGUAGAGCCACCACAACCGGCACCUUUGAGGAGAUCUCAAAGAGAAAGGAGACCUGCCAUUACAGAUGAUUAUGUGGUGUAUCUACAGGAAUCUGAUUUUGAUAUUGGGAUAAGGAAGGAUCCGGUUUCGUUUUCACAAGCCAUGGAAAGUGAUGAUUCUAGUAAAUGGAUGGAAGCUAUGAAUGAAGAGUUGAAAUCUAUGGCCCAUAAUGGUGUCUGGGAUCUCAUCGAAUUGCCUAAUAAUUGUAAACCCGUCGGCUGUAAAUGGGUCUUUAAGACAAAGCGUGACGCUAAAGGCAAUAUCGAACGAUUUAAGGCUAGACUUGUGGCCAAAGGUUUCACUCAAAAGGAAGGUAUCGAUUACAAAGAUACCUUCUCUCCAGUUUCCAAGAAAGAUUCGCUUAGAAUCAUCAUGGCACUUGUAGCUCAUUUUGAUUUAGAGUUACAUCAAAUGGAUGUGAAAACUGCAUUCUUAAAUGGGAAUUUGGAUGAAGAUAUCUAUAUGGAACAACCUGAAGGGUUCGCAAAGAAAGGAAAUGAACACCUAGUUUGCAAAUUAAAGAAAUCCAUUUACGGUCUUAAACAAGCUUCCAGACAAUGGUAUAUUAAGUUCAAUAAUACCAUUACAUCUUUCGGAUUUAAAGAGAACAUUCUUGAUCAGUGUAUAUAUCUGAAAGUUAGUGGGAGCAAGUUUAUAUUUCUGAUACUGUAUGUGGAUGAUAUUUUGCUUGCCAGCAGUGAUCUUGGUUUAUUACGUGAAACCAAGGAAUAUCUCUCUAAAAACUUUCAUAUGGUUGAUAUGGGUGAGGCAAACUAUGUUAUUAGCAUUGAGAUCUUUAGGGAUCGAUCUCGAGGAGUGCUAGGUUUAUCUCAGAAAGGAUAUAUUGAUCGGGUUUUAGAGAGAUUUAAUAUGCAGUCAUGUUCNNNNNNNNNNNNNNNNNNNNNNNNNNNNNNNNNNNNNNNNNNNNNNNNNNNNNNNNNNNNNNNNNNNNNNNNNNNNNNNNNNNNNNNNNNNNNNNNNNNNNNNNNNNNNNNNNNNNNNNNNNNNNNNNNNNNNNNNNNNNNNNNNNNNNNNNNNNNNNNNNNNNNNNNNNNNNNNNNNNNNNNNNNNNNNNNNNNNNNNNNNNNNNNNNNNNNNNNNNNNNNNNNNNNNNNNNNNNNNNNNNNNNNNNNNNNNNNNNNNNNNNNNNNNNNNNNNNNNNNNNGUUACUCGGAUUCUGAUUAUGGUGGUUGUCUCGAUAGCUUAAAGUCAACUUCAGGAUUUGUCUUUAUGCUAGCAAAUGGGGCAAUCUCGUGGAAGAGUGAAAAACAAUCAAUUACUGCUUCAUCCACGAUGGAGGCCGAGUUUGUUGCUUGUUUUGAAGCUUCAAGUCAUGCUUUAUGGUUGCGGAAUUUUAUCUCAGGGCUUGGUGUUGUCGACUCUAUUGCUAAACCUUUGAGAAUAUAUUGUGAUAACACCGCAGCUGUUUUCUUCUCUAAGAAUGGCAAAUUUUCUAGUGGAUCGAAACACAUGGAUUUAAAGUAUUUAGUUGUUAAAGAAAGAGUCCAGAAACAACAAGUGUCAAUUGAAAAUAUUAGGACCACACUUAUGGUUGCUGAUCCAUUAACUAAAGGAUUACCUCCAAAGGCAUAUUUGGAACAUGUUAUGAGGAUGGGUCUUUUGAGUAAUCCAUAAUGUGUAUGAUGAUGAAUGGUGGUUAUGUAAUUGACAAUUUGCGCAUUAAAAUUGUUUCUGUUUAUUCUUGUUUUCAAUUAUGGGUGCACGUUUUAUUGUUUGAUAAACAAGAAUUGUCCUGACAAGACAAAUUACAGGGGCUAUUUGGCAUUAAGGACUGGGUUAGUAAGGGUUAUUGAUGUGUGGUGCAUGGAAGGAAACAUGACAUUAUGGUCAUGUGACCGCCAUGACUCGCAUUUAUGAUCUAAAUUGAUUCAGUAUUAUGGCAAAUGAUUUUAGAUGUAUUGGCUAAGUUUAUUGUAAUCGUGAUCACGUGUCAAAUUUAUUUUCCAGUAUAUAUUUUAUAUAUAAACUAAAUAUAUUAUAGUUUUCAUAAUCGGUUUAGUGGGCCAAGUGGGAGAAUGUUAUUUCCACAUUAAAUUAAGUGGGUGGCCCACUAACCUAUUAUUUAGCCAAUUAAAUAAUAUCCACUAUCUUUAAACUGUUAUAGAUAUUUACCAUUGAUGGACUGGGUAAAUUAUAAUAAUUUUAAUAUUAUUAUUUAAGAUAAUUAACAGUUAUUUCGAUUGACACGUUCAGAACGGUUUUUGAACGUGUAUUCUUGGCCCUCUUCUCCUAUCAAUAAAAUACAUAUACAGAAACCCCUUCAUGUGCGGUGUGUGCUUUUCCAUCAAUUACAGAAAAAUAACUCUGUGUAUUAAGGUUUGAUAAGGAGAAGAAGAAUCAAGGAUUUAAGAUCUAUAAGCUGAAGGGAAAUCUCUCAUGGCUGCGUCUUCUUCAAACGGUAUGUGAUCUAUUUGUUAAUUAAUGUUUAUUUUAUUAUUUUAUUAUCAGAGACGAGUUUGAAUCAUAAUGAUCUGGAUAAUUGCAUGUUAAUUUCCGUGUUAAAUUCUAUCAUAGUCUACUCGCACUUUUGGAGGACACAGAACCCACUUUGAGAGAAACAAACAUCUCAAGCUGCCACUUUGGAUGGACACUUGAAAUCUAAGCGCCACAUAUGAGGGGCCAUGGCUGCACAUGAAAAAUCAGGAGGUGGCACCCACUUUGAGGCAUCUCUAGCACGCACAAGAGAAGCAGUCACAUGUUCUCACCAUCCUUAGGCAUAGCCAUCAUUAAAUUGAUAACAUCAUUACCAAUUCUUUGAGGUAUGUGAUUGUCUUCUAUAUUAUUAUUAUUAUUAUUAUUAUUAUUAUUAUUAUUAUUAUUAUUAUUAUGUUAUAAGAUUUUCCAAAUUUCACUAACUUUAUUAUUUUAAGAAUUGUUGUUGCAUAGUGGUGAUGGAAUUUCAUAUAUGAAUAGUAUUAUGAUAUGUAAGGUUAAGUUUGUUUUAUUAUUAUUAUUAUUAUUAUAAGAGAUUCCAAAGUUCAUUAAUUUUAUUAUUUUAAGAAUUAUUGUUGCAUAGUGGCCAUGGAAUUUUAUGUAUGAAUAAAAUUAUGAUAUGUAUCAAGCAACGGUGUACUUAGCUCAUGAAUUGUAUUGUGUUAUUAUUCAAUGGGCCUAUUGUAUUUUAGAUUGAAAGCAAAUAUUUAUUUAUUAUUUAAAGUGUUCGUAGUUUGUGAGAAAAAUUUUACUUUAUUCCUCUACAUAUUUAUUUUAACAUGAAAAUAAAAGAAAUAAUUGUAAACAUUCAUUUUGAAAUUAAAAAAAAAAAAAAAAACAAAUAUGUCUUUUGUAAAAUCAUUAGUUGGUUGUUUGCUUCACAAUUUUGAUGAUCUCAAGUUAGGAUUUUCUUUAAAGAAAUAUUUAAAAGUUAGUUUCAAAUGAUUUUCUAAUGUUAUUUAAUUUCUUUGGAUUUCAUGUUCUUGUUAUUAAUAAUCUCUAGUUAGAAUUUGUUCAUAUGUGAAUAAUUUUUAUCUUAGUUAAUUUCUUUAAAUAAAUGAUCUCAAGAUAAAAAUUUUAUAUGUUAGUUUUGAAUAAAAAAAAUUUAUCGUAGUUAUUUUCUCUAAAUCUAGUUCUUAGUACUGAUGAUCCAUUUUAAUUUAUAUCGUUCUUUUAAUUAUUAGUUUUAAAUUUUGAUGAUCCAUGUUAGUUUAUGUUGUUCUUUGAAUUAUUUGAUGUUGUUUUAAUGAUCCUGAUGACAUUUAUUAUUUCUUCGAAUCUUAAUUGAUAAUUUGUGACAAUUCCAUGUUAUUAGUUUUGUUUUAAAUGUCAUUGAGACUAUCCCUUGAUUGAUUUGAUCUCAAUUCAUGUGCUUCUAGAAUUCUACUUGUUAGUUCUUGAUUAAUAUCUUUAUUAGUUUGUUUGAUCUAGGAGUCAUUGUUACCUUGGUGUUGUAUAUUAUUUGAACUUCCUAACUCUUAAUUUAAGUUGUAAUACAUCAUGUAGAAUAUGAGGUUUUGAUCAUAUUAAUUAUUACUGUUUGUAAGCUAACCUUCUUCUAGCUAUAUGCAAGCACAUUAUGAGUUGUGUAUGCUAUUUAGGUAUGUCUCUUGCACUUCUUACUUCAUUAAUUUUGUAAAUAUGCAAAUCUUUUUGUGAAUGUUCUAAUGCAUGAUAUUGUUUUGAUUGCUUUGAUUGUUUGAAUGGAUCAAAUGCAUGUUGUAUGCUAUGUUUGUUAAACUAACUUUGAUGUCUUCAUGAAAGCGCUUUGGAAUGCAAUUCAAGUACGCUCAUAUCCUUUUCCCAUGUGUUUGCUUUUUUUUUGGUAUGAUUGUUUUGUUAUGAAUAACAUGUUGCUUGGCCUUAGAUAAAAUCACAUUUGUUUCUUAGUAUUCUUGAUCUAUUAAUUGUCAUUCUUUCUUCAACUUAGUUAGUAGCAACCAAUUUUUAGGGUUUAGAAGGGUACUACCUUUUUAAGGUACCUUCCCGUUAGGUAACUUAAUGCCCGAAUUUAGAUUUAGGUUUUUCAAAAGUGUAAGUAGCCCUUUUUCUUUGGGUUUUAGUUUCUUUUUUUUCUUUUUUUAUAAAAUAAAAAUAAAUGAUGACUCCUUUUUUUUUAUAUAAUAAAAUAUAGUUUUUUUCACCUAAAAAACGAGUCUCGAGUAAAAAUGCACAUAAAAAAUACAGUUACACACAACUACAUCAGUUUCUUAACUUCAUCUUUGAAUAAGUUUUUCCCAUGUUUUAUCUUUAACUUACAUUCAAUCCCAUCAAUACCCUUUUGUAUCUCUGACCUAAAUGGUGGUCCAAAUUGAUGGAUUUUUUCUCUCGCCUCUAUGUGGUUACCUCUUUAUAUUCAAUCCGUCCUAGACCCAAUUAUAGUGUAAUCUUGUUUUUUUCCUGGUGUUUCAGUCUUGUAGCCACUAUAAUCAUUUUCCCUUUGCUCCUAUUUCAGUAAUUCAAAACAUUGUAAGUCACUCUAAUAUAUCCAUUGGAUAGAAGUCCCAAAACUUCCUUGAAAUCUUUAAAAACAUGUCAAACAACUGAUUUUCUUGUAACAAAAAUCUUCCUGUUUGAAAUAAGGAACUUGAGAACUUGAGCUACAUUAUGGAAAUUACCAAUCUUUAUUAAUGUUUACCAAUAUGAAAAAAUAUAUUUUAUUUUUUAUUUUAUAUAAAUAAAAAAUUAAAAAUUUUAAUCAAGGAAAAUAUUAGAAUCAAGAUCAAGUUUUAGUUUUAUAUAAAUAAAAAAAUUAAAUAUUUUAAUUAAGAAAAAAAAUUUAAAAACUAUAGUUAAGUCCAAAUCAUAAGCAAAAAGAUAAAACCAUGAUUAUUAAUUCUAUUUUCAUAUGAAAAUUUAAAAUUUUAAGCUAAUAUAAAAAAUAAAAUAAUAUGACCAAAAUACUUUUAUUUAAUCUAUAUGUGACAAGAUUUAUCAAAUAAAUAAAUAUUUAUUUAGCAUGAAUAUAAAAUCUUAAGUUUUAGUUUUAUAUAAAUAAAAAAAUUAAAUAUUUUAAUUAAGAAAAAAAAGUUAAAACUAUAGUUAAUUCCAAAUCAUAAGCAAAAAGAUAAAACCAUGAUUAUUAACUCUAUUUUCAUAUGAAAAUUUAAAAUUUUAAGCUAAUAUAAAAAAUAAAAUAAUAUGACCAAAAUACUUUUAUUUAAUCUAUAUGUGACAAGAUUUAUCAAAUAAAUAAAUAUUUAUUUAGCAUGAAUAUAAAAUCUUAUCUCAUCAUCCUCUAAAUUUGUUUAUUAUGUAUUUAUGUUUAUAUUAACUUUGUUCUCAUUAAUUAUUUAUUAUAUAUUAUUAUAUUGUAUUUAAACUUUCUAUGGAUAAUUAAAAUCAAUAAAUAUAAAAGGACAAAACAAUAAAUAAAAAAAAAAGAAAUUAAAAAGACUUCAUGAGAAAACAUGUAGCCAUCAUAUUGAAAAAAAAAAAAUGUCAAAGGUACACAACAUGGUUGGUUCAUCAUGUGUCAAACUUAAAAAGAUAAAAAAAAUGUUGACAAACAUAAUGAUGAACUCUCUUAAUUUGUCAUGUCAAAGUUAAAAGAAAAGAACUUAGGUUAGUUGGCUGGUAAUAAGAGAGGUGGAUUGGAGGGUAAUGUUAUAAUUUUAAUAAUGUUAUUAUUUGAGAGUAUGUAGAUAAAAUUAUUUUCUUCAAAGAACCUGUAUUUUGAAAGUUAAAAGUAAAAGUUCUCAAAAAAUGUAUUAUUUUGGGUAGCCUAUGAUUACAUGAUUUUCCUUUUAAUAAAAGGAUAAGUGCCUUAGUGUCCAUCACUUUAACGCACCCACAUCUAUAAACAAAUACAGUUGAUGUGGGUAUUUAAAUUGGUUUGUAACUCAUGUAUCAAGGUGUUGGAGAUUGGAAGUAAUGUAUGUUAAAAUUUGAUUGUAAGUCAUCUCAAGAUCACAACAUCAUAGAACAAUGGCCUAGAGAAACGAUAGAUUUCACCCAAUCCACUAGUUCACCCCCAUUUUGGGCUAAUACAUGAACCAUCACUACAACAAAUAUACUCUUUGGCUAGGAACCAUGUUGUAGCAAAAAGAAGAUAUUUUAUGGGAAAGAAAAAAAAAAAACCAGAUUUUAUGGCAAAAAAACUUUCAAUACAUUUUUGUUUUUUUUUUUUUGUGGCACCUUCAUGGGUAUAAGUUUGUGAGUAAUUAUUUUUAACCACUAAAAUAAAUUUUAUAACCAAAAAUUAUUUUUAAACACAAAAAAUAGUUUAUAAAAUAAUAAUUUUCUCAUACUAAAAAAUUUGUGGCAAAACAUCAUUUUUAAAUAAAUUUCAUUGCUAAACAUCACCUUUAGCCAUGAAAUAAAUUUAAUUAGUGCCAAAACAUCUCUUUUACUCUUAAAACAAACUUUAAAAAAAAUAAAAAAUCAUCAACUUCAAAAUUUCAAUUUUUUCUCACAUUUUUUCUAGACAACCAAUCAGAGCAUUACUAGAUUUAUGUUGAAAAAAAACGACAAAAGUGUAAAGGAUAUUGUAUAUCCUCAAAUUGAUGAAGAUAAAAUCUAACAAACUUAUAUUUAUCAUAUAUCAAUUAGUUGAUAGCAAGUAAAUGUUAUGAACAGCUCAGGGUUAUGGAUGACUUGAACAACUCAAGGUUUUGAGCUUAAGGCUCUAGAUGCUAUGAACAACUCAGGGUUAUGUUGAACAUGAACGACUCAAGGUCGUGAGCAAUAGGCUCUAGAUUUUAUGAACAGCUCAGGGCUGUGGAUGAUAUGAACUACUAUAGGUCAUGAGCUCAGGUCUCUAGAUGCUAUAGAUAGCUAUAGGAUGUGGAUGAUAUGAACUAUUCUGGGUCAUAAGCUAAGGGAUCUAGAUGCUAUGAACAGCUCAAGGUUGUGGAUGAUAUGAACGAUUCUGGGUCGUGAACUCAAGGCUCUAGAUGCUAUGAACAACUCAGGUCUAUGGAUGACAUGAACAACUUCAGCUCGUGAGCCCAGGGUUUGUUUUUUCUCUAUUUUCAAUUCAAAUCAUUGUUUCACAAUACCUUUUAUCACCCCCUUCUUUAUCAAACUUGAUUGAAGUAAUUAUUUUCUCUUGAAAUCACUGAUUAUACCUGCCAUCAAAGGUCAUAAUCUCGAUGGUUUUCUCUUUGGGACACUACCUCAUCCUCCCAAAAAUCAAGGAGAAUCAACAUAGAGUAUUAACCUUGAUUAAAUUGCAUGGGAACGACAAGACCUACUCUUAUGUUAGUUAUUAGCCUCUCUUUCUAAAACUAUUUUAGGCCAUGUGGUUAGCUGUCAAACCUCUCAUGCAGUUUAGACCACUUAAUCAUUGCCAAAUAUCAUGCAAUUUCAGUUUCAACUCCAAAAUACAAAUGAAGGAGUCUUUGAUAUUGAUGAUUAUCUUCUUAAAAGGAAAAAUAUGGUAAAUAAAUUAGCAAUAAUAGGAGAACCUAUGGAUGAGCAAAGACUGGUGUGAAACCAAGGUUUGGUUAAUCUCUAUUUUGAUGAUAACAAAACAAGGUUUAGAAUUAAUGAUUAUAUUUCAAGUGUGAUUAGGCAAGACAAUUUCCAAAGUGGCAAUCACAAAGACAAAUCAAGCCAAGGAGAAAUCAUGAAGAAGAAUACCAUCUCAAAGAGAAGUGUUUUUCAAGACCCAAGCUUCAUAAGAUCUCUUUGUAAGGUUAUUGGCACACUAGGAUUUUCAUGCAUUACAUUCGUUACUUAUGCACCAAAAUCAUCCAAGAGUUAUUUUGUUUUAAAUAUUUUAAAAUUGGAUGAUUUCAUGUUUUCAACUAAAACCUUGUGUCAAAUGUUUUUCAAACUUGUUUAAAAGGUUUUAAGUUGAAAAAGUUGGUUGUUAAGCCAAAAACGGCUCAACCGGUUGAACCAAAUGAGGAACCGAUCGACCGCCAACUCAAUCGGUUUAGGAGUAGGUCGACCCCCAGUUCAACCGAUCAAUGGUGUGAACAGUAACCGAUCGACCCGCCAGCUCAACCGAUCAAGGGGUGCAAAAAACUCUCUCUUUCUUCCAAAAUGGUUGUUCAACCGGAUAAGGAACCGGUCUACCCACGCCUCAACCGGUUGAGGUCCAACGGUCACCUGCUAAGCAUUAAAUACUAAUGGUUAGUCAACUGGUUGACCCCCAGCUCAACCGGUUGAAUCCCCAAUGGCUAGUUUGGUUGUUUUCUUCUAUAAAAAUGCUCCAAAUCUUCAUUGUUAAAGACCUCAACUUUCUCAAACCUUUCUUGAAUAUAUUUGAGCCUUAGAAGAGUGUUUUUUAGUGCACCAUUGUUCUAAAACUUGCAUAUCUUUAGUGUACCAUUCAAUCCUAGUUUUUUUGUAUCAUUUGAGCUUAAAUUUUUUCUAUUAGGAUUUUGUGAGAUCAAUUAUUUGUAUAUCUUUGAGAGUAAGAUUCUUAAGUAUGGGGUAUUUCUUGAGGAUUGUAAAGGGUGCUUGGAGCCAAAAGUCUAAGAGGGUGGAUUGGAACCAUAAUCUAAUUGUUUUGCUUGAAGGCUUGGUUUGGAAGCCAUAAAUUAGUGGAACCUCAAGCUUGGGAUUGAAGUUAGAGGAGAGUGGAUGUAGGUUGACUUGCGCCGAACCACUAUAAAAUCUUGUGUUUGCAUUCUCUCUUCCCUACUCUUUUACUUUAUAUGCAAUUGUCUUUAUAUUGUUUUAUUAUAUACUUGCAUAUAUUUGUCUCUUACAUCCACAUGGUUUAAAUUUGCAAAAAGAGACCAUCACUUUUUUCACCCCCCCUCCCCUCCCCUCUCCUCCCCUCUCCUCCCCUCCUCUAGGGUGGUUACCAUAGGUUGGACUAGCCUAAUUUUUCUAACAAUUGGUAUCAGAGCUAGGUCUCUUGUUUAAGACUUCACCGUCUAAGAGAUAAUGGCUAAUCCAUCAAGCUUAUCUCACAAUGAAACCCGACCUUCAUUUUUCACGGGAACCGAUUAUCCCUAUUGGAAAACUAAAGUGACUUGGUUUCUGCAAUCUACUAAUCUUGAUUUAUGGGAUGUCAUUAAAGAUGGUCUCCACAUUCCUUCAAAAUUAGAAAAUGGAGUGAUGGCUCUAAAACCUAAGCAAGAAUGAGAUGAACUUGAUAAAAAGAAAGUUCAAUUAAAUGCCAAAGUCGUUUAUAUCUUACAUUGUGCUAUUGAUAGAAGUGAAUUGAGUCGUGUUUGGCAAUGUAAGUCGCCUAAAGAAAUUUGGAGACUAUUAGAAAUCACUCAUGAGGGAACCAACCAAGUUAAGGAGUCUAGAAUCAACAUUCUUGGGCAUGAUUAUGAAUUAUUUUCUAUAAAGGAUUUUGAAUAUGUUGUAGAGAUGUUUUCUAGGUUCAUGGUGAUUGUGAAUGAACUUAAAGCCUUGGGAAAGACCUACACCGAAGUAGAGAAAGUCAUGAAAAUCUUAAGGUCUCUACCAAAGAAAUAGGAAACAAAAGUGACGACUAUUCAUGAAGCAAAGGAUCUCACCAAACUCUCACUUGAAGAACUCAUUAGAUCACUCAUGACUUAUGAGAUAAAUUUGAACAAUCAUCAAAGAGUUGAAGAAAAUAAGAAAAUUAUAGUUUUUAUGGCUUCAAGAAAUGAUGAUGAAAAGGAAGAAAGUGAAAGUGAAAGUGAUGAAGACUCCACGGAAGAAGAAUGCACAAAUGAGGAUGGCAACAUGUGCUUCAUGGCCUUGGAGGAACAUGAAGAAGAGGUAAAUUCCAACUCUAAUUAUAAUGAGUUUCAAGAUGUACUUCAAGAAAUAUAUUUUGAUAUUGAAAAACUUAGGUCCAAAAAUGUCUCUCUCAAGAAAAAGAUUUCUUGUCUUCAAAAUGAGUUCCAUGAGCUUAAGGAAAAAAAUUGCAAAUAUUGAGAAGACAAAAAUCUCUUUUGAAAAAUAAAAAUGAGAAGUUGAAAAAGAAAAAUGAAUGGCAAGUCAAAAGUGCAUUUUUGAUAAAAAAAAAUAAAAAAUAAAAAUAAAAAAGGGCUAGGCUACAAGCUUUUCAAAAAUAAAAAAUAUUUUAAGAAUUAUUUUGUAAAGGAAGCCUCUAGCUUUUCACCUUCAAUUAUUUGCAAUCUUUGUGUUUUUGUCCCUUAAUAAAAUCUCCUCAUGUUUUUCAAAACUCUAAAUUAUUUUGGAUUCCAAAUGGAAGAAAGUCUAACCCUCUAGGACCCAAAAAGAUAUGGGUACCAAAAGUUACUAAAUUUAUUUUGUAGGAAUCCAUGCAAAAAGGAGGAUAUGCUUACCUUGGAAAGAAUGCAUUGAUAAUAUUUGUAAUGGUAUCCCUUCUAAAGCUUAAUUUUCAAUAGCAUUUUAUCAUUUUGCUAACACUUGGUAUAAUUUUUGUUAAUAAUAUAACAUUUGGUAUCACAUGCUUGAAUUAUCAUAUUUGUUAAACCAAGGUUUGGAUUAAAAAGAAGAUUUUUUAAUAUACACCUAGGUAAAAUUGAAUGAUCAUAUGCUUGUAUGCUCUAAUAGUGUUAUUCAAUGCAUGAAUAUAUAUCUUUUUAAUGUAUAUGUUCUCCCAUAUAUUUUUUUUCCAAAUCAUGGUUUAAAUUGGGAAUGCUCUAAGGUUGAGCAUCGUUUAUUUGGAAAAUGUUCUCAAAUGAAAAAGGGGGAGAUUCAUUUUUAUGAGAAAUCAUAUCAUGCUUAUUGUUUAUUUUUUAAACUUUUGAUAACAUGUAAUUCCUCUUAUAUACUUUAUUGAGACUUUUUAUUGAUGACAAAAAGGGGGAGAAGUAAUGAGGUUGCUAACUUGGGAAGAAAUGUAAAUAUUGUUUUAGCAAUCUUAUUCAUAUUGAUGCUAUGUGCUUUAUUGGUUAUAAUUGCAUGCAUCAUAUUUAAUAAUAAUGUCUUGCCAAUUGCUAAAUUGCUCUUUAUGUUAUUUAUGUUUGAUUAUAUCAUUUUGAGCACCCUUAAUAUACUCCUUAAAGUUCUAAACUUGAAUAUUUUCUAAAUUCAAAGGAGCAUAUAUUGAGGGGGAGCUUUUUAGCAACUUUGGUUUUGUCAUUAUAAAAAAUGGAGAGAUUGUGAAACCAAGGUUUGGUUAAUCUCGGUUUUGAUGAUAACAAAACAAGGUUUCAAACUAAUGAUUAUAUUUCAAGUGUGAUUAGGCAAGAUGAUUUUCAAAGUGACAAUCAUAAAGACAAAUCAAGCCAAAGAGAAAUCAUGAAGAAGAAGACCACCUCAAAGAGAAGUGUUUUUCAAGACCUAAACUUCAUUAGAUUUCUUUGUAAGGUUAGUGGUGCACUAGGAUUUUCAUGCAUUAUAUUCUUUACUUAUGCACCAAAAUCAUCCAAGAGUUAUUUUGUUUUAAAUAUUUUAAAAUUGGAUGAUUUCAUGUUUUCAACUAAAACCUUGUGUCAAAUGUUUUUCGAACUUGUUUAAAAGGUUUUAAGUUAAAAAAGUUGGUUGUUGAGCCAAAAAUGACUCAAUCGAUUGAACCGAAUGAGGAACCAGUCUACUGUCAACUCAAUCGAUCGACCUCCAGUUCAACUAGUUAAAGGUGUGAACAGUAAUCAGUCGAUCGCCAGCUCAACCGGUCGAGCGGUGCAAAAAAUCUUCUCUUUUUUCCAGAAUGGUUGUUCAACCGGAUGAGGAACUGGUCAACCCACACCUCAAUCAGUCAAGGUCCAAUCGAGGUCCAACGAUCACCUACCAAACAUUUAUUGCUAAUGGUUAGUCAAUCGGUCGACCCCUAGCUCGACAGGUCGAACCCCCAACAGCUAGUUUGGUCAUUUUCUUAUAUAAAAAGGCUUCAAAUCUUCAUUGUUGAAGACCUCAACCUUUCCAAACCUUUCUUGAAUAUAUUUGAGCCUUGGAAGAGUGCUUUUGAGUGCACCAUUGUUCUAAAACUUGCAUAUCUUUAGUGCACCAUUCAAUCCUAGUUUUCUUGUAUCAUUUGAGCUUAAAGUUUUUGUACUAGGAUUUUGUGAGAUCAAUUAUUUAUAUAUCUUUGAGAGUAAGAUUCUUAAGUGUGGGGUAUCACUUGAGAGGUUGUUCAAGAGUGGGGUAUCUCUUGAGGAUUAUAAAGGGUGCUUGGAGCCAAAAGUCUAAGAGGGUGGAUUGGAACCAUAAUUCAAUUGUAUUACUUGAAGGUUUGGUUUGGAAGCCUUGAAUUAGUAGAACCUCAAGCUUGGGAUUGAAGCUAGAGGAAAGUGGAUGUAGGCCGGGUUGUGUCGAACCACUAUAAAAUCUUGUGUUUGCAUUCUCUUUUCCCUACUUUUUUACUUUAUAUGUAAUUGUCUUUAUAUUGUUUUAUUAUAUACUUGCAUAUAUUUGUCUCUUACAUUCAUAUAGUUUAAAUUUGCAAAAAGAGAUCAUCACCCUUUUCACCCCCCCCCCCCCCCNNNNNNNNNNNNNNNNNNNNNNNNNNNNNNNNNNNNNNNNNNNNNNNNNNNNNNNNNNNNNNNNNNNNNNNNNNNNNNNNNNNNNNNNNNNNNNNNNNNNACCGGUACUUCACAUCUUAGGUGGAAAUAGAGUUGAAUACAAUCCUUUUGUGGCAUGGUGCUUACCCAACUAGCAUCAAUAUCUCUAUAUGAAUUAUCUAAUUUACUUACCAGCUUUGACAUCCAUUCAGAGCAGCAAAAUGCAUCAACAACAUUAGAUAUUAACCGCUUUUCUGCCAACCUAGUUGCAACAUCUCCAAAGCACAUGCAAAUAUCAGCACCUAAAUAUAUGACAAUCAGCAAGGUCAUAUCCUAUUUAAUGUUAGAGAAAGGGGAAGUGGUGGUAGUGGAGGUAACAAAAUGGGUCGUGGCAAUCAUCCACGAUGCCAAGUUUAUGGAAAGCUAAGUCAUCUUGCAAUCUCAUGCUACUACCGAUUGGAUUGUAAUUUUCAACCCCUAAAUAAUCAACACCACCAAAUGCAAGCUAUGACUACCACGCCUCAAACAAUAACUGACCCGUCUUGGUAUGUCAAUUAUGGAGUAACUCAUCACCUCAACUCCAACAUUAAUAACCUUAAUGCCAAAAAUCCAUGUAAUGGUGAAGACAAAAUAACAAUUCCCAAAGGCACAAAUUUAGUCAUAAAACACACUAGUUGUAACAUCCCAAAUUUCUAGAUGGGCAAUUUUCAGUUUUGAAAAAAAUAAUAAUAAUGACAUAAAUAAAAUAACUAAAAAUCUAAUUGAAUUAAAAAUAAUUAGGAAAUUUAAAUAACUUAAAAAAUUAGAGGUAAAUAAUCUCAUCUUAUAUUUUUCCUUUUUCACUUUUUCUUUGGGUAAGUGUUGUUAGAAAUUAGUUUUUGUAUGUGUAAAUUUUUUUUUAUAUAUUUUAAACCAUUUUUUUCUUACUUCUUAGAUUGUUUGGCUACCAAGAAAGUGAAGGAAAAUAUUUUAAUUUAAUUUUGAUUGACAUAUAAAUUGUUGGAAGUGAAUGAGAAUGAUAUCCUAUGAUGUUGAUACACAAAAGGAAUUUGGUGAUACCUUUCAACCCACAAUGGGUGAAGCCAAUUUGUUCAACAUUGGAAGGACCCAAAUCAAGUUCAAACAAUCUAAUAUAAUAAAUUGAGUUGGGAGGAAAUUUCAUGAGAAAAAAAAAAUCCUAACAAUGAGGAAUACAAUACUUUUUCUUUUUUUUUUUUAAUAUUCUAACCCAUUGGUGAUUUUUGAAUUUUUGUAAAUUUUUGGUAAAGUAUUAAAAUCCAAUUAAUUUUUUCAAACAAUAUACUUGAUAAUGAGUCUAAAAAUUCAAGUAUUGUUACAUUUGAACCACGUUUGUCUCAUGAGAAAAUUUCGAAUAUAUUGAAAAUUUCAAGGGAGAGGUUCACAGGAAUAGUUUGGACUUAUUAUAUUUCUCAAUUUUUUUGGGAUUAGUCUUAAAGAAAAUUAUAGUCUAAAUUAUUUUUAUAUAAUAUUAUACUCUCUAAGGAAUCUAACCUAUAAAUUUCAUCUCAUUUGGAAAUUGAUAGCUUAUUAUAAAAAUUCUAAGGAAAUGGGUAAGAAAAUAAAGUGGUUCAACUAAGACAGUUUUGACGCACUUAGGUUUCUUAAAGUUCUAGGAUAUUUUGGCUAAUUAUCAUCAUUCUUAAUUAUUUUUAUAUAUUAUUAAAAUAAAAAAUGAAACUAUAGAGUCUAAUUGCAUUCAAUUCUAAAUUUGUUUUGCAUAGAAAAAUAACUAAGAAAAUAUUUAAUAGAUUUUCAACAAGGUAUGCUAGGACAAUUUUUAUGUUUGAGACUUUUGGUACUAUUAAAAUUUGUGUAAGGCUUAUAAAUUAUUUAAAAAAUAUUCUAGACUCAUCAUGCAUUAUAUUUGGAUAGUUUCACAAUUAUUGGGAACUUGUUUGUUUAGUAAGAAAAAUCAAGAAAAUAAGUAGUAUUGCAACAUAUAUUGUUUUGGAUAAAUCUAGAACUAAAUUAGGUUGAGGCUUAAUUGAUGGUCUUUUGAUAACCAUUUGACUUAAAAAUUAAUUUCUAAGGUUCCUAGACUCAUAUAUAUAUAUAUAUAUAUUUGGCUCAAGUUUCACUUGAAUUGGACUUCAUUUACCUAACCUUUCAUUUUUAAGAAAAUUACAUAUUUUAGGGAGAGUGUUAUCAAAUUAAGAAAAAAAAUAGGAGAACCUUAGAAUCAUAGUUCCCUUUUUAUCGAAUUUCCAAUUCUCUAAGUCCACUUAAAAUUUGUUUGAGGAGAAUUCAGACUUUGUGGAGUCAUCAUACUACAAGUAGACUCUAGUGUUGAUUGCGAGAAUUUUUGUGAGUAGUUACGAUAUGCAUGCUUUUGUUAAGCUUUUUCUAAAAUAAACAUCUCUUGCCUAUGUAUUAUCUAUCACUUGUUUCAUUUUUUUCUAAAGGCAUGAAAUAUAUAUUGAAAUUCUUAUUUGAUCAAAAUGCACAUGAUUUAUGUUGAGUUGCAAAAAUAAAUGUCACUAUACUUUGAAGAAAUUAUUUAUUUCCAUGAAUAUAUUUACAACCAAUGACAUAUUGCAUACCUUGUUGUGGAUAUAAUAAAUUGUUAGACUUUUGGAUAUUAAUAUCUUACGGGCAUGAUAAUAUGUAUACUCGUGAGGUGUUUCAUGCAAUUUUGUUCUAAGACUCCAUAUUCUCUUAUGUAGCAAGGGGAAGGCCUUAAUACGAGAUUGUGAGUCUAAUGCUAAGCUAGGGGAUAGAUCUCGAAGUGACAAAGUAUGCUCUGUUGUGCCCCUAAUGAGAUGACUAAGAGAUGAACAUUUUGGUAUUGUGAUCCAUAGUAACGAGUCACUAAAAAAUUGUGUAGAUGUGGGGAUUCAUGGAUAGUAGGCUUUUGUAUAGUCGAUUGAUUGACCAAAGAUAUGUUCAGACCUAUGAUUGCAUAUUUUACAUUUCAUAUAUUUUUUAAAUACCAUUACGAUUAUUCUAUAAUAGUUUCUAAUUACCAAAGUUAUUAUAGAUAUAUUUUAUAAUUGUAUUUUUAUGUGGACUAACUAUCCUAACACUUAUGUAUCAUAACUAUUCAUUGGACCUUGUGUUCACCCCAUAGAAUUAUUAUUAUUAUUUUUUCAAAUAAGGGCUCAUGUAUUCCUAUUAAGGAGAUAAAAUCGACUUUAAAGGGCAUCUAGCUUUAAUUCUUUUCUUGUUAAACUUAUUGGGCAUCUAGUCUAUUUCAUUAUAUAUUUUAGUUCAAUUUAGUUAUUCUCAGCCAUGUGGCUAAUCUUGUAAACCUUGCUCUCGCUAUUUUUGUAUCUAAUUGUUGUUUAUUUAAUAUUAUCUAGUUAUAUGUUAAUCUUUCAAGACUACAUUUAUUUCUUAGGAUGGUGAUUACACUUUAAAUUUGUAGUUGGAGUGGGCUCACUAUCUUCAAACAGGUCGCUAUUAGAGCAAGUCAUUCUAGUCAAUUUCUUACUUCAAAUAAAUCCAAACAUAUUUACUCUCAAAAACAUUUUGCAUGUUCCUAAAAUUACAAAGGUUCUUUCUAAGCAUUGCAAAAUUCACAUUUGACUACAAUUUUUUUUCAAAAAGAAAAAUUUAUUGUAAUUUUUUUUCUUAUCCAGGAUUAGGUUUCGUAGAAGAUUUUGCUCUAUAGCCUCCUUGACCAUGGUCUUUACAAAUUUCAUCUUUCAACUUCUUAUACUAAACAAUCAAAACUUAUGUUAAAUAUUUUCUAUUUGUUCAAUCUAGCUAGUACAGUAUUACAACCAACUUGUUUUUCUACUUUCAAUAAGCUAAUUUCCUUGACUACUUCACCUUCUUAGGUUAUUUAACAUGCUAGAUUAGGUCAUCAUUCCCUUAGGAUUUUAUCUCAAGUUCUGUCCCAUUGUAAUUUGCUUUUCAGGUUAUUACAAAUAUUGAAUGUUGUGCUUCAUAUCAAUUUAGGAGACAUAAAUGUCAUUUUUUUCAAGUUUGUUGUUCAAAAAACAACCAAACCGACUACUUUAGCUUAUUCACAUUGACAUUUAAGGGUUUCCCCUAUGAUUUCCACAAAAGGCUUUUGAGACUACAUUCAUUUUAUUGAUGAUUUUUUAGGCUACACAUGGAUAUAUCCUUCAUAAAUAAAUUUGAAGCUAUCAUCUUUCAUAAAAUUUAAACUUCUUAUUGAAAAUCAAUUAAACACAAAAAUAAAAUCUUUACAAAUUGAUGAGGGUUAAGAAUUUUCAUCUACAAUCUUCCAAUUUUUUUUAAAUCCCAUAAAUACACCACCAAUUUUCUUAUCCACACACAUCAACAAAACGAUAAAGCAAAAUGCAAACAUCAUCACAUUGUCAAAAUAAGUCUUACUUGCCUUGCUCACACAUCUUUACCUCUGAAAUUCUAGGAUUUUGCCUUUGUCUUCUCUAUUUACACCAUUAAUCAUUUUUUAACCCCAAUUCCUCAAAACAAAUCACCUUUGAAGAAAUUAUUCCAUCAUAAACCCGACUACUUUUUUCACAUAUUUGGUUGUGUGUGUUAUCCAUUUGCUCAUCCUCUCAAUAGAUAAAUAUUUCAAUUUCACUCCUUAAAGGGGAUCUUUCUUGGCUGAAGCGCAUAUCAUAAAGGCUAUUUUAAUGCCAUGCUAUUUUUAAUAAAAGCAAUUUCCUGUUUUCCUUUGAUUUUUUCAAGCCUUCUAAUUUAUUUUCUAGUUGAACAAACCUGCCAUCUCAAACCUUGCAAAUGUUUCUCCCCUUAAUAUCACAAGUCUCAUCCCCCUCUUUGCCACACCCCACAAUUCCAUAUUCUCAUAUCACAUUCCAAUUUCUAUCACACCUUAACUUUACCACAUAAUCCAUCUCAUGCCUAAACACCAUCAUAAGACCACAUCUUAAGCAGCAUGUCCCCCUUAGAAACUCCCUCAUUGGAAUACAUGAUACCCACCAAUACUAUCCCAUGCAAACUUGUUCCAAAAUUGGCAUUAUUAAAUCCAAAUCCUUGCUUUCUCUGCUUCCUUCUUUACCCUUUCAUUCCAUCCCUUUUGAACUUCAUAGCUUUGUUGAAGUUUUUAAGUUCUUGAAAUGGCAUUAGGCUAGCUAUGUGUGCUGAAUUUGCUACUCUCAUGCAUAAUUUAACUUGAUUUCUCGUUCCACCACCUUUUAUUGCCAAUGUUGUCAACUACAAAUGGGCUUAUCGCAUAAAAUAGACAUGUAAUGGCAUUGUGAUAGAUUCAAAGUUCAGUUAAUUGUGAAAGAUUUUCAUUCUACAUAUGUAUUACAAUGAAAUAUUCAACCCAGUGGUCAAACCAACCACCAUCUGAAUUGUUCUAUCAUUCACAUUCUCAUACAAUUGGCACAUCUACCAAUUAGAUGUGCAUAAUGCCUUCUUGAAUGGACUUCUUAUGGAAGACAGAUAUAUGGCUCAACCCUUUGGUGUAUUCUUUCAAAUUAUGUUUGCAGAUUAAAAAAGACAUCAUAUGGUCUCAACCACUUGUUGAACUCUUCCAAAUUACGUUUGCAGAUUAAAGAAGACAUUAUAUGGUCUCAACUUAGGCUUGAUUCCAACGUUUGCAAAACAUUUUUGUCAAAUGGAGUUUUCAAUCUUCUAUUGUUGAUUCUUCCAUAUUUCUUUUUUAGAACAAGAACCAUACUAUGAUUUUACUUGUUUAUGUUGAUGACAUCCUCCUCAUAGAUGAUAGCAUGUUUCUCAUUCAAUCCUUAAUUUCAUAUCUAAACAAGAAUUUUGCCUUGAAAAGAUUUGGGAGAUCUUCAUUAUUUUUUGGAACUGGAAACCUCUUGCCUUAAUAAUGUUCUCUAUCUCACUCAAUCAAAGUAUACCCAUGAAUUGUUGGUUUGAACAAAAAUGAAUAGUGCUAAGCCACAAUUAAGCCCAAUUAUCAUCGGUAAACAACUUUCUCUUCACAAUGUUAGGCAAGAUAAGAUCGUGAUGGGCAAUGGAACAGAUUUGAACAUUAAGCAUAUUGGAGAAUCAUAUUUUUAGUCACAAUUUGCUUCGAAAUUGAUCUAUUUAAAUCAUCUUCUUCAUGUUCUUUCUAUUACCAAAAAUUUGUUCAAUGUCUCUAAAUUUGCCAAUGUUGUGCAUUUUGAGUUCUUUCCUAACUUUUAUUAUGUCAAAGAUUAGGCUUCCAAGGAAAUUCUCAUGGCAAGGAGAGUUAAGAAUGGACUUCAUGUAUUUGAUGACUUCACACUUCUACCUUCAUCAAAGCCAUUAUCAGUUCCAUCUUCCAUAGCCUCUUAUGAAUCAUCCACCUUUUCAUUUCAUAAUCAUGCUUCUAGUCUCUUUCAAUAUAAUCAAAAAAUUCUCUUGGUUCUUUGAAUAAUUUAGAUCUAUGGCAUCACAUACUUGGACAUGCAUCCCUUAAAAUUGUAAAGUUUGCUCUGUCUAACUGCAAUAUUUUCAUUCCUAAUAAAAUGCAAUUUUUCUUUUUGCUCAGCUUGUUGUUAUGGAAAAAUUCACAAACUUCUUUUUUCUUCUUAUAACACUGUUUACACUGAACCCCUUCAACUUAUACACUCUGAUUUAUGGGGUUCCUCUCCACUUCAAUUCUCUAGUGGUUGUUGCUACUACAUUCACUUUGUUGAUGCUUACUCAAGAUUUGCUUGGAUCUAUAUGCUUAGACAUAAAUCAGAUGCAUUUCAAGCCUUUCUUAAUUUUAAAACUCAAAUUCAAUUACAACUAGGUUUUAAAAUCAAGGCCAUACAAAUAGAUUAGGGUGGAGAAUAUAGAGCUUUCACAAAUUUUUUAACUUCAAAUGGCAUUCAUCAUAGAUAUUAUUGUUCUUAUACUCAUGAACAAUAUGGCUUGGCUAAAAAGAGGCAUAAAACCAUUGUAGAACAUGGUCUCACCUUGUUAGCAUUUACUUCAAUGCUAAUAAAAUAUUGGGAUGAAGCCUUUAAUUUAGAGCUUUUGUUUAUCUCAACAAUAGAUUGCCAACUUUUUUUCUUUAUCAUAGAACUCCUCUAAAGUUUUGUUCAAAACCCUACCGAAUUAUUCUUUCUUAAAAAUAUUCGGUUGCUCUUGUUUUCCUAAUAUUCGUUCAUAUAACAAAAACAAACUUUAAUUCUAGACCACUGAAUGUAGUUUUCUGGGUUAUAGUCUUAAUCAUAUAGGCUACAAAUGUCUUGAUUCUGAUGGAAAAAUUAUUAUUUCUCGAGAUGUCAUUUUCAAUGAAUCUUCAUUUCCUUUUGCUCAUAAAAUUCAAUCAUCCUCCUCAUCUAAUUUUGUUUCACCCUCUUUUCAUACUCGAACUACUUCCUCAAUAAUUCCUUCCUUUGGUAGCUUUACUCAUCCGAAAAUUGCUCAAUAUGUUAUUAAUGUUUUAGCACCUAUUGUCUAUCCUCUUGCUACUAAUACUUAUGAUAGUGUUGUUGGUCAUGGCUUUUUUCAUAGAACCAAAUAUAAGAAGAUUUAGCCUAUUCCAAUGCAACUUUACAAAAAUACUCUUUCUAUGGCCACUCGAUCUAAAGUUGGGAUUUUUAAACUAAAGGUUUUUGCUGCCACAUGUGAACCUACUUGUGUUGAGGAAGCUUUACGUAUACAUCACUGGAAAGAAACAAUGGUUAUUGAAUUUAUGUCUCUUUUGAAGAAUAAUACAUGGUCCUUAGUCCAUUACCACCUAGAAGAACACCUAUUAGCUACAAAUGGGUAUUUAAAGUGAAAGAAAACCCUGGUGGCUCAAUUUAGAAGUACAAAGAUAGGUUAGUGGAAAAAAGGUUUCAUCAAGUUGCUAGUUUUGAUUUCACCGAAACUUUCAAUCCAAUUGUUAAACCUCCAACUGUUCGAGUUAUACUUACUAUAGUAUUGUUUAGAGGUUGCUUAAUCCAUCAAUUAUAUGUUAAUAAUGUUUUUUUGAAUGGAGUAUUGCAUGAGGAAGUUUUCAUGGAACAACCUUUUGGAUUUAUUCAGCACAACUAGUCUCAUCUUGUUUGCAAAUUACAUAAAGUUUUAUAUGGCUUAAAACAAGCACCAAGGGCCUAGUUUGAAAAGUUAAGGCAUAACCCCAUAUCCCUUUGGAUUUAUCUCUACAAAGUCAUAUCAGUCUUUGUGCAUUCAUAUGACAAAAAGUCAUUCUACCUAUAUUCUUGUGUAUGUAGAUGACAUUCUUAUCACUAGUAGUAGUGACCAAGUUGUGAUGCAUCUCAUUACCAAUUUAAAUAGAGAGUUUGCCUUAAAAGAUCUUGAAGAAGUGAACUAUUUUUGAAGGAUUGAAGUGAAGCAUACUACUGAAGGCAUUCACCCCUCUCAACGAAAAUACUUAAUUGAUCUAUUACGCAAAACCAAAAUGGAAAGUGUCAAUCCUAUUUCUACUCCUAUGACCAAUGGGCAAAAACUUUCAGGCUAUGGAAGUGAAUUAGUUCAGGAUGUGAAGUUGUACACGUCAACUAUAGGAGCUUUGUAAUAUGUAAUAGUUACUAGGCCUGAAAUUGCCUAUAGUGUCAAUAAAGUUUGCCAAUAUAUGCAAGCUCCAUUAGAAUCUCGUUGGAAAGUAGUCAAAAGAAUUCUUAGAUAUUUGAAAGGAACUCUUCAUCAUGAAUUACAUUUAAGAAAGUCUUCUACUCUUAAUCUUGUAGCAUUUCAUGGUGCUAAUUGGGCCUUUGAUCCUGAUGACCAAAGAUCAACUUGAGGAUUUUGUGUAUAUUUUGGUUCAAACUUAGUCACUUGGCAAUCAAAGAAACAAUAUACUUUAUCUAGAUCAUGUAUAGAAGCAGAAUACAAAAGCCUAGCUAGUUUGGUUGCGUAAAUCACUUGGUUACAAUCUCUUCUCUCAAAAAUUAAAAUCACUUUGCCUACACCACCAAUUAUUUGGUGUGAUAAUCUUAGCACUCUUAUGUUGGCUACUAAUUCAAUAUUACGUACUUUGACAAAACACAUUGAAUUGGAUUUAUAUUUUGUGGGAAAAGGUUUUGCAAAAAGGUUUUAGUCCAACAUGUGCCUUCCAUUGAUCAAGUAGUAGAUUUCUUGACAAAAGCUGUCUUAAGCACUCAAUCUGUAAAUCUAAGAAACAAACUCAAAGUGCAAAAUAUUUUUACCUUAAGAUUGAGGGGGAAUAUUAAGAGAUAGUUUCAUAUGAUUACAAGAUGUACACAUGUUAUAUGCUCAUUGGUUUUCUUCUAUUAUUGUUAGAGAAUUUGUUAAUUAGGUUUGCUAUAUAUAUUCAGAAUAAACAGAGAAAGAAAAAUAAAAACAGAAAAGGUCAAAAAGAUUUCUCUCACUUUACUUUCUUUAUUUCUUUUACUUUGCUUUUUAUCUUUGUUACUUUCUUUAUAAGGAUGCGGUGCCCAUUAAUUUAUAGGUACAUCUUGUAGAAAAGUAUCAUGGAAUGAGUAGGCCUUAUCUGUCAUUGAAUGACUGUAGAAGUGGAAUUGUCAAAAAGCUAAGCGACCCAUUCAGAUUGGACAAGAUGCUACUGUCCCAAUAAGAUUUACAAGAAUCAAAAUUCCAUUUUGAAUUUUGUUUUUUUUUUUGCUCUUUAUUUGAUUGAAAUGGACAAAAUAAGCCUUAAAUCACCCAAACUGACUAGCCUUAGGAUAUGUUUAUUUUGUAAAUAUUUAAAUUAGCUAGGAAACAAGUAUGUCAUACGUAUAACUCGAAAUAUUUUUUAUUUUCUUAAAUAUGUAUCCUAAGAGAAAUUUCUUGUCUAUUUUAGCUCUUAGAGUUUCAAUCCCAUUCAAAGAUACUGAACAAAAAAGGAAAAAAUAAAUUAUCUUAUUAGGUUGGUUUUCAUAAGUGAAACUAAAUUUUAUAAAUAUGUAUAUAUAUAUUUUUCAUCUACAAGAAUCCUCACCCAAUUCCCAAGCUAAUCAAGGAUGAAAAAUAAUGAAAAAUUCGAGCUCUUGAUGCUAACAAAAUAUUGAAUUGGAAGUUCAUAUUAGUUCAAUUGAAGUGAUCCAUUUCUAAAAAUAUAUUUUUAUUCCUUUUUUAAAUUAAAAGUGUGUUUAACAAUAUUUUCGGGUCUUUAACUUUUUUUUUUUUUAAGUAUUUUUAAGAGAAUCAUCCAUAAAAAAAAAAAUACUAUAAGUAAUUUUUCAGAUUUUUAAAAGUAUUUCCCAAAUUUUGCAAUACACCUUUUUUUUUAUUUUUUAUUUUUAUCAAAAUAACUUUUUAAGCUAAAAGUUAUUCCCAAAAUCACUAUCAAACAUAUACUAAACAUCCUGAUUUUGUCUUUAGAUUUUGAUUUAUCAUUUCUUCCUCCUCCACAUUUAAAAUAUAAGUAGAACCCAAAGAAAAUUAGAAGGUAGAAUUCUGAGUCUCCAAAUGAGAAAGUUAAUUCCAACUUCCCCGCUUUGCUGAAAGUUUUGUGAUUACUUGUCCGGUAGAAAGUUUAAGAAGGUAGAAUUGAUGACUUCAGUUCACAUGCAUGGAAGUCUUCAUGAUUGAGAAAUAACGUGCAGGAGAGAGAUAUGAAGGGCAGGGCCGGCAUUUGUAUCGUAGCGGGAAGACUCAUUCUCUUGACUCUUGGGUCAAUGCCGGGGGAACAUCAUCAAAGAAAGGGGCCAUGCCACCACAUGUUGCAGAAAGUGGGUUACAAUUAUCAAGAAUUUUCUUCUUCUGUCUAUCGUUUUCCCGGCCAUCACGCACCGAUCAUGUGCAUGUAGUCAGUGCAUUCUUCUCUCAAGUCCUUUUGGAUCAUUUCUCUAUUUCUAUUAAGAUUUAAAUUUGGUCCGAUUCACAAUCCACAUAGAAAGAAACACCACCUAGUUUUACCAUAAAUUUGGCAUGAAUUACAGCCAUCAUUCUCGUCUUUUCUUAAGUGCUUAUAUGAAAGGGAUAAGUGAAACCAUUUAUUACUUUUCUAAGUGAAUAAGAGUGCAUCUGACCGUAAUUAUGAGAAGUGGUUUUCAGUCUUUCUUAUACUUAAACAAUAAAAAUUUUCAAAUAUUAAAAAAACUAAACACUUUCCAAAAUUAUUGUCUAACGCAUUCUAAGAUUCUAUCAAAUUUAGUUUUUGUUUUUGUUUGUUUUUUAUUAUUAUUUUUUUCCAUUUAGUAAAAUAAUUAUCAAUGCCGAAGUGUAUGGGUUUCAACACAUGGUAUUAGGAUUAGAAGAUCAUGCAAGAAAUUUAUAAUUUUCUUAAUGAAACCAUAGCUACAAAUUAUAAUUUAAUCAAACUAUAACUCUUGACAUUCAUAGGUAAGAAUUCUUGCAAUUGGCGCAUUCAUAUACAAGUCUUUUUUAGAUUCCACGUUUUAUGGAAUCUAGUGAAUAAUGACCGAAAGAAAGUAACUAUUAGAAGGAAUUUGAAAUCAAAGAAAUAGAAAAUUUUAUUAUAGGAUUUUUGAAGGGAAGUUUAGAAAAUGUUUAUACAAUAUUAUUUCAAGUAGUAGAUUAAUCCAUAAUUUAGAAGCAAAAAUAACAAGGCAUAAGAUAUUCUAAAAAAAGUUACACAUAUUUGAUGAUUGUGUCAAGUUAGUGAAAUUGCAACUAUUAAAAGGUGAUCGAAGUCGAAUCUUCAUGACUAACCAUGAAUCAAUAUCAUAUUAUUUUGAUCUAAUAUAGACCAUUGUGAAUUAAAUAUGGGUUAAUGUCGAUAAGUUCAAUGAUGGUAUCAAUUAUAUUGUGCCUUAAAUGGCCUUGUUAUGCUCUUAUUUACGAUUUCAAUUGUUUCUAUAGGGACUAUGACAUGGAUUUUUAUGGUGUGACUAUUUCCUGGUUAAUUUGUGGUUGGUCCAUUAUGUUGAUGUUCUUUGUCUGUCCUUUGGGUUGUAUGCUUUAAUAGUGGUUGCCCUCCUAUUUUAGGGCCGGCUUAUAUCUUGGCAUGAUGAUAGUGGUGGUCUCAUCACAUUUUUUGCAUGGUAGCAUGGUGGGCCCUUUAAUGGUGUUGUGGCAACUGCUGAUUGGUUGUAGCAUGUCGCUCUUGCUUUGCCACCAUGUGGCGGCGGAUCUAUGUGUCCUAUGUGAUUUAUGGUUCCAAUUUAUGCCCAUGAUCGAUAAUAAGAUAUCUUAUAGUAUAUAGGCUGAUAACCUAGAAAGGAUUAAGAUGAAGAAAAGGACACGCUUUGAAAAAGGUACACAUUUAUUAGACUUGGAAAUCAAGGAUGUCUCAUGACAAAAGGAAAAUAAAGCAACACACCAUAUUGUUCUGACCAAUAAUACUGAUCAGUUUAUUAUACAUCACCAUGCUCUAACAGUACCCAUACUUGGUUAGAAGUAGUUCCAUGAUGUUUAAUAAGGACGUUGUCCGAUAUAGUUGCCCCGUGGAUCGUAGUUGCAUGUGACGAACCACCCUCCAUUGUUGCAUUGAACCCUAGCGCACCCAAGACGCACUGAUUUGCUCCAAACAACUUGAGUAUAGUGCCCACAUUGCCCACCAACACAUGAGUUGGAGUUGUAGUCAUAAUUAGACUUCUCCCCCACCCACAAGUUCACCGCAUCGGUGCCUGUCAAUGAAGGGCUGCCCCAGGCAAGGUUCUCACCGUAAGGCCCACCUGAAUGCACUAGAUUGCAAUCGCCAAUCCUCUGGUUAGCAUAAUUCUGGGCGUAGGCAGCCACAGUGUUGUCCCAUGACAUAGGCCCAACACCAACUUGUGCGCGCGCGGUGUUGUGAGCAUUGAGGUAGUCUUGUGGAGAGUUCUGGGCACAGCAGAUGUGAGCUAGGGCUAACCCCAUGAAACAAAGGAGUGCUAAUGGACUCCUACACAACCCCAUUUUUUGGUUUCUUUGAUGAGAAGUGAGGCUAUUGAUGAGAACUGAAGCUUGGCUUGAAGGGUACUUAUAGGGCAAAGAACUUGGAAUAUCAAUAGCAUCGUACACAAACAUUUCCACCAAACGCCCCCUUGGACCAGUUUUCACACGUAAAAGGACACUACUGAUGAAAUGGCUUCCACGGAGAGCAAUAUUUGAAAUUUCUUCUUGUUGUAACUCAUGCGGGCCAUACCAGUUUAUCAAGACAACUUAUCUUCUAAAAGGAUAAAUGAAUCAACAUUAUUUGAAAUUUCUUCUUUUUGUAACUCAUGGGGCCAUACCAGUUUUAUCAAGACUACUUUUCUUCUAAAAGGAUAAAUGAAUCAACAUUAUUUGAAUUUCAUUCUUGUGUCAGAUUCCUUUUAGACUAUGUAUGAUAUCUUUUACACCUAUAUCAUAAUGGAUAAGAAUAAAUAAUGAAAAUUAAUAUUUUGUUUCUAUUCUCAUACUUAAAGAAAGUAAAAAUAAAUUUGAUGAUUUCGAUUCUUAUCUUCAAAUGCACUAAGAAUGAAAGAUUAAAAUAAUUCUUUGUUUAUACUUGAAUAUUUUGUAAUAAUUGAAAAAUGAAUGAAAAUAAUAAAUAAAUAAAUUGAUAAUAAUAUUCUUAUAUAUAAUUUAAAUUUUUAUUUUUAUUUUAAAAGAACAUCAUUUAAACAUUUUUUUUACUAAAUAAUAAGAUUAAAAAAUUAAUGUUUACUUAAUAAAUAAAAAUUAAUCAUAAAAAUAAUAAAAAAUUAAUGAAAAUAUAGGGAUAAAUAAGCAGUUUUAAGAUAUUAUAUAUCGUUUCGAUAGCCUCCUUUACAAGAUUAAUUCAAAUUUAACUUAUAAGUGGAAUUUUAUUAUUAUAGAAAUUAUUUUUUAUUCCACUUUUAUUGUCAUUUAAAUUAUUUUUUAUCAUACAAGAAUGGAAAAAAUAAUAAAAUAUCCCUUAUUCCCUCUCGUAAAAGACAGUUGUAAAUCCAAAGCCGCCAAAACAGUAUGAUUAAGACAUGUGUAAUAAUAAAAAUUUUAUAUCUUUUCAUAUUUGAUUUGUUGGUGAGAAAGCCUGGAGUUAAAAUUUUCAAUAAAUGAUUAUUUCACUCAUUCUUAAAAACUUAAUUUGUCCCGUAUAUUUGAUAAUGAUUUUAUGAAGCGUUUUAAAUAUUUUUAAUAUUUGAAAGAUAAAAUUUUUUAAAGUAUUAAAAAUGUUAAAAAUAUUUAUUAAAAUCAUUGUCAAACGCAUUAAUCAUCUAAAAAUAUCUUCAAAUGACCUUAAUUAAUAUGAUAAUUUAUCAAUAUAAUAAUAAUAAUUGAUGUUCCAGUAUUAUCUUUGAUUUAAAACUCGUUUGAUAGUGCUUUUAAAAAACACUUGGAGUGACUUAGGAUUGAAUCUCAGUGAUUCCAGAAGGUAUUUUUAAGGAGAAAAACAAGUUGGGUGUUUAAUAAAAUUUUAAAAAACACUUGUUAAAAUCUAAAAAGUUACUUUAUAAUGUUAAAAAAUCUCUUAUGAUGUGUUUCGGAUAAACACUUGAUCGAUGAUUUUCUUAAAAACAUUUUUAUUAAAAAUAUUUUUACUAAAAACAAGAACAUAUUCUUAAUUUACUUUUCUUGUUUGUUUCAUUUAAGCAAGAAAGUUGAGACAAAUCUUAUGUCAAGGAUGGGUUGAUAAUAUCGGAUUCUUCUCAAUAAUUUCAAAAUAUAUAUAGCUUGCCAAUUGUUGCUCUUAGUAUCAAAAUUAUAUUUCUUAUUUAUUUCAUUGGGGCAUGAAGCUCCAAAAUCAGAACUCUGAUCAAGGAUAAAUUCACAGCUACUAGACUAUCAACUUUGAUGGGAUUUAAAGAGAAAAGAAACAAUAUUUUUCAAAAUUUCUUUUUAAAAUGUCAUAAUUCAAAAAAAAAUUCUAAAAUUUAUUUCUAUAGGAAAGUAUCAAAUAAAAUAUUACUUUUGAAAAUUUUAACAAUGAAAUUUUUGCUUAUUUAUAGAAAUAAAAAAAUAAUAAUUUUGCGGUGAAAAUGCAACUUCAAUAUAAUAUAAAUUUUCAAAUCUAUUAGGGUGGAAAUGAGUAAAAUAGAAAAUUAAUUUUUCAAAGAAAACUUUAGUUUAAGAGCUAAAUUUUGAGAAUUUUCUUUUAAACAAACAAUUUUAAAGUUAAAAUUUUUUACUGAAAUUGUUUUUUAAGAGAUAACAAUUUUAUUAUAAAUUUUGAAAUUUGUUUUUAUUUUAAAUUCAAUACUUAAACAAAGUUAUCUUUUCAAAAAUAAUUUUCUUUUGCUUCAAAAAGUAUUAUAGAUUUAAAAAUAGAUUUUUAAUUGACUCGGAUAGGAGUCAUAUUGGCUCUGAGUACUACAACAUGUCAUUUCAGCUUGCAAGAGUAGUACUUUUCAAAAGGUUACUCCUACGGUCCAAUAAUUCAAUCAUUCAAGUUUAGACAUAAAUCACUAAAUAUUGUUUUCAAUUUCAAGCAUAUGUAUUUGGUUUGAUUGAUUAAGGUAGAAAAAUCCUAAAUAUCAAUUGUAAAAUGAGUUUCAUUUGAACAAAUUAACUAUGAUUACUUCUAAGUUGGGGCAUGCACCCCAAAGAAUGAUAUCUUAAAUAUUAAUGUAAUUAAUUUGUUCAAUCAUCAAAAUACAUCCAAACAUGACCUUAACUCCAUCAUUAUGUUUGGCUCGUGAAAUAUAAUGAGGAAAGAAAAAUAGAUCAUUGCAUCUAUAUUAUCUUGCCCCCAUCAAACAUUUCUCCUAUUUAUGCCCCCUAAACUCCAUCCGGGCUCCGCUAUUGGAGGAAAAUUUGUAAAAUGGGUUAAAAAAAAUAUAUAAAAAUAACUUAUUAAGUUUAAACAUAUCUUUAAUUUUUCUUCACUAUUUUUUCUUUUAACUUUUUUUAUAUAUCAAACUUCACAUGAAUAUAGAUGCAUGGCAGACAAUUCAGAUAUUUACCCUAGAAAACCAAAGGUAGCGUGAUGACCAAAUGGAAAGAAAGAAAGAAUAUGAAGAAAAUUCUUGGUAAUUAUAAGUCACUUUAUGCAAGAUGUGAUGCUCUCUUUCGAUGUUUUAACAGACGUAGCAAACGACAAUAGGCUUGGAAUCUGGCAUGGACACAAAGGAAUGGCUCUCCACGCUCUUUCAUACGGAUAUUUGUCUCUCUCCAGCACGUUAUAUCUCAAUCAUGUCCUCAGCCUUUCGUCAUCUGUUUACGUAAUCGUCCGAUGGCGACAUUAUGUCACCCUCGCAAAGAUAAGGCCUCAAGACAACUCAUCCAUCUCAAUCUUAUCAUCACUCAAAAAAAUUUAAACAUGAUGGGGAUGGUUAUAAGAAAUUAUCAUAUUAGUCUUAUUCACCCGUCUAAUUCUUUUAAUUUUUCUUUCAAAUUUUUUUAAUCUAUAAUAAAUUAAAAAUAAAUAUAAUUUAUAAAUAAAAAAUAUUAUAAAUAUUUAUGAUUUAUUUUUAUAUAAAAAAUAAUAUUUUAUUUACUUUUAAAAAAUAAAAAUAAAAAAAUUAACAAAAUUGUAACCAAAUCGGCUUUCAACGAGGGUUUUUAAAACUUCUCAAACUCAAUCAUAACAUUAUUUAUGUUUAUUUCAAAGUCUUACUAUGAGAGGCAGGAUACAUAAAAAUUCACCUCAUUAUAAUCCCUAAUAAUACAUGGUUUAUAUAAUUGAAUGCAUUGAUAAAGAGGAUUUUGAAAAAAAUAUAGGAGUUUAUAUCAUUGAAUGCAUGGGUGGAGAGGAUUUUAAAAAUCUAUAGCAACACUUUUAAAAAAACUUAUCUUCAAUUUUAUUUUUUAAAAAAUCAAUUAAAAUGGUAUAAAGUUAUUUUUGAAAAAAUAAUUUUCAUAUUUAAAUCGAAAUUAUUUCUUCAAAAAAUAUCUUUUGUUAUAAAAAGUGUUCCAAAUUUGAAAUAAUUUCAAAAAUAUUAUUUUUUAAAUAAAAAAAAAUUCCUUGAAGUGAAGAUUUUGAGUGAGGUAAAUGAGUGUGAAUUGAAGCAGUGUAAAUAAGAAAGAAAUAUUUGGUUAAAAUAGAUGAAUAAUCUCCAAAUUGUAAAUUAAACAUUUUCUUACGAGAAAAUAACCAAAUUUUAACAUAAAUAUCCUUUAUAAUUUCAAGUAUUUGAUUUUAAAAGAAAUAUUAUUUUUAAAAUGACCAAUAAAAAAAGUACAGGGAUCGGUACCUUAAAUAGCAAUCACAAACUUUCAACAUUGGAAAGUCGAAAUUUAACCUUAUGACAAGAAACAACAAAAUUCUAUCUAUGGUGUAUAUUUCAUUUUGUACUAAAAAAAAAUGAAAUAUGUAUAUAUAUAUAUGCUUUAUAUCUAACAUAAACUUGGAUUAAUUCCAAAUAUAAGUUUACGGUAUAGAAACUUAGGAGGAAAAGAUCUCUACUCAAACCAAAUAUCUAAAGAUAGAACCAGGAGCAUGUUCGGCUUGUUUGCAUGUAAGCAGUUCAGGGACUUAUAUUUUUUGAAAACGAAUUUUUAUAAUUGAACAAAGGAUCCAGUGAAAAAGGGAAAAAUACAACUGCAAUUCGUUUUGUUGCAGUGGAGUUUGAUAAAUUUUCGAACACGGGAAAAAGGGAUCCGGUGAGUGAUCAUGUUGGUAUUGAUAUUAACUCCAUGGUAUCUGUCAAAAUAGAGAACUGGACCAGCAAUAUAGAGGAAGGAAAGCUAAAUCAUGUUUCCAUCCGUUAUACUUCUAGUUCACAAAAUCUGAGUGUUGUUCUAAUUACUGAGUUUUUGGACGAUCAAACAUUCAAACUACCUCCCAAAGCCUCUACUACAAAGUUGAUCUGAGGGAAUACUUGCCAGAAUUCUUUAUUAUUGGCUUCUCAGGCGUAACAGGAAAAGCAUUCCAGAUAAACAACAUUUACUCAUGGAAUUUCAGUUCAACUUUGCCACCUCCCAAUCUUGUAGAACCAGGAGAUGGAAACAAAACAGGAAUUGUGGUGGGAUUGAGUGUUUGUGUAGUUAUUGUAGUAUGUGGGUUGGGAUUGGUUUGGCAUCACUUGUGGAAGAAGAGGGAUAGUGGGGGAGAAGAAGAUGGUACUGACUCUGACCUAGCCAUGGACGAAGACUUUGAGAAGGGUACUGGACCUAGGAAGUUUUCCUUUGACGAAUUGGCUCUUGCAACUAGUAACUUUGCAGAGGAAAUCUUGGCGGGAGGGUUCGGUGGGGUCUGUAGAGGCUUCUUGAGGGAACUGAACUCUCAUGUUGCAGUUAAGAGAGUAUCAAGGGGGUGCAAACAAGGGAUAAAGGAUUAUGCAUGCAUCUGAAGUGAAGAUCAUCAGUCGAUUGAGGCAUCGGAACUUGGUGCAGUUCAUGGGCUGGUGCCAUAAAAAAAGAGAGCUCCUAUUGGUUUAUGAGCUCAUGCCAAAUGGUAACUUAAACUCCUGUCCUUUGGAAGAAAAAACCAAAGGUAGCGUGAUGACCGAAUGGAAAGAAAGAAAGAAUCUGAAGAAAAUUCUUGGUAAUUGUAAGUCACUUUAUGCAAGAUGUGAUGCUCUCUUUUGAUGUUUUUAACAGACGUAGCAAACGACAAUAGGCUUGGAAUCUGGCAUGGACACAAAGGAAUGGCUUUCCACGCUCUUUCAUACGGAUAUUUGUCUCUCUCCAGCACGUUAUUUCUCAAUCAUGUCCUCAGCCUAUCGUCAUCUGUUUACGUAAUCGUCCGAUGGCGACAUUAUGUCACCCUCGCGAAGAUAAGGCCUCAAGACAGCUCAUCCAUCUCAAUCUUUAUCUAUAUCUAUUCUUAUCAUCACUCAAAAAAUUUUAAACAUGAUAGGAUGGUUAUAAGAAAUUCUCAGUCUUAUUCACUCGUCUAAUUAUUUUAAUUUUUGUUUCAAAAUUUUUUAAUUUAUAAUAAAUAAAAUAUAAAUACAAUUUAUAAAUAAAAAAUAUUAUAAAUAUUUAUGAUUUAUUUUUAUAUAAAAAGAUAAUAUUUUAUUUAUCUUUAAAAAUUGAAAACAAUAAAAAAAAUUGACAAAAUUGUAACUAAAUCCGCUUUCAACUUGGGUUUUUAAAACUUCUCAAACUCAAUCAUAACAUUUUUUAUGUUUAUUUCAAAGUCCUCCUACGAGAGGCCACCACGGAUACCGAAAAAGCUUACCUCAUUAUCAUCUUUGAUUAUACAUUGUUUAUAUAAUUGAAUGCAUUGAUAAAAAGGAUUUUGAAAAAAAUAUAGGAGUUUAUAUGAUUGAAUGCAUGGGUGGAAAGGAUUUUAAAAAACUAUAGCAACACUUUUAAAAAAACUUAUUUUUAAUUUUAUUUUUUAAAACAUCAAUUAAAAUGGUAUAAAGUUAGUUUUGAAAAAAUAAUUUUCACAUUUAAAUUGAAAUUAUUUCUUCAAAAAAUAAUUUUUUUUAUAAAAAGUGUUCCAAAUUUGAAAUAAUUUCAAAAAUAUUAUUUUUUUAAUAAAUAAUUUUUUUUUUUAAAUUGAUGCUCCUUUUUGAAAAAAAAAAAAAUCAUCCCUGAAGUGAAGAUUUUGAGUGAGGUAAAUGGGUGUGAAUUGAAACAGUGCAAAUAAGAAAAAAAAUAUUUGGUUAAAAUAAAUAAAUAAUCCCUAAAUUGUAAAUCAAACAUUUUUCAUGUUUUUUAAAAAAAAAAAUCAAAUUUUGAUAUAAAUGUCCUUUGACAUUUCAAGUAUUUAUAUGUAGGUUUUAAAAAAUGUUAUUUUUGUAAGAAAAUGAUAAGAGUAUUUUUACCUAAAUGAGGCAAAAAAAAAAGAAAGAUUAAAUUUCAAAAUUUGGGUUUUCAAGAACAUCGAACGAAAUGACACAAUAAAAAAAGUACACGCAAUCACAAACUUUCAACAUUGGAAAUUCGAAAUUAACCUUAUGACUAGAAACAACAAGAUUCUAUCUAUGGUGUAUAUUUCAUUUUGUACUAAAAAAAAAUAAAAUAUAUAUAUGCUUUAUAUCUAACAUAAACUUGGAUUAAUUCCAAAUAUAAGUUUACGGUAUAGAAACUCAGGAGGCAGAGAUCUCUACUCAAACCAAAUAUCUAAAGAUAGAACCAGUAGCAUGUUCAGCUUGUUUUAUUUUUUUAGACUUCAACAAUUUUCACACGUAAACGAACACUACUCAUGAAAUGACUUCAAUGGAGAUUAAUAUUUGAAAUUUCUUCUUGUAACUCAUGUAGGCCAUACCAGUUUUAUCAAGACUUAUAAUCUUUCUUCUUUGAAAUUUCUUUCUUGUGUUGAUUUCUUUUAGACUAUGUAUGAUAUGUUUUACAUUGUGUAUAGUAGGUGAGAAUGAAUAAUGAAAAUGAACAUUUUGUUUUUAUUUCCAUUUCUCCUUGAAUAUAAAUGAAUUUGAUAAUUUUAAUUCUUAUAUUUGAAUGCACUAAGAAUAAAAAGUUAAAACGAUUUUUUGUUUAUAUUUUGAUGUUUGGUAAUAAUUGGAAUAUGAAUGAAAAAAAGACAUUGAUAAUUUAAUUUUUUAUUUUUUUUACUAAAUAAUAAUAUUAAAAAUAAUAAUAUUUACUUAAUAAAUACAAAUUAAUUAUAAAAAUCAUUAAAAAUUAAUGAAAAUGUAAGGAUAAAGUAGUAAUUUUAAGAAAUUAUAUAUCAUUUCCUAUAACAUCCUUUAAUAGAUUGAUUCAAAUUUGACUUACAAGUAGAAUUUCAUUAUUAUAGGAAUUUUUUAAUUUUAUUUUUAUUGUCAUUUAAAUUUUUUUUAUCGUACAAUGAUGAAUGAAAAAAAUAAUAAAAUAUCCCUCCUUAUUCCUUAUCCCCUUUCAUAAAAGACAGUUGUAAUAAUAAUAAUUUUUAUCUUUUCAUAUUUGUUUUAUUGGUAAGAAAGUCUUGACUUAAAAUUUUCAAUAAAUGAUUAUUUGAUGGGUUUUUAGAAAUUUAAUUUGUCUUGUUAUGUUUAAUAGUGAUUUUAGAAACAUUUAGAAAAAAUUAUAUUUGAAAGAUAAAAUUUUUCAAGUGUUAAAAAGUUUAGAAAUAUUUUCUAAAAUUAUUAUCAAAUGCAUUAUUAAUCAUUUACACAUAUUUACAAAUGACUUUAAUUAACUUGAUGAUUCAUUAAUAUAAUAGUAGAAGCUAAAUUACUAUCCUUGAUUUAAAACUCAUUUGACAAUACUUUUGAAAAGCGCUCAGAUCGGAGAAGGUUGAAUCUCAAUGGGUUAAAAAAAGAAUUUUUGAGAAAAAAUUAGAUAUUUUAUAAAAUUUAAGAAACAUUUUUAGAUAUUUGAAAAAAAAUCCUUUAUGUUGCUUUUUAGCUAGACACAAGCCCACAGUUCUACAACAUGUCAUUUCAGCUUCCACGAUGAGUACUUUUCAAAAGGUUAUUCCUAGGAUUCAAUAAUUCAAUCAUUUAAGUUUAAACAUAAUCACUACAUGUGUUAUUAAUUUCAAGCAUAUAUAUUUGGUUUGAUUGAUUAAGGUAGAAAAAUCCUAAAUAUCAAUUGUAAAAUGAGUUUCAUUUGAACAAAUUAACUCAUGAUUACUUCUAAAUGGCAUGAACCCUAAAAAAUGAUAUCUUAAAUAUCAAUGUAAUUAAGUUACAUGUAUAUAUCCUCAAAAUGCAUCCAAACAUGAUCUUACUUCUAAAGUUAUGUUUGAUUCUUAAAAAGUAAUAAGAAAAAAAGUGUUAAAAAAAAUUAUUUUCUCAUAUUUGGUUUCAUAAUAAGAAAUAUAAAAAAAAAAUAUAUAAUUAAAAUUAGUAAAAAUUUAAUAUAUUUCUAAAUUAUUUAAUUUUUAUAUAGAGAGAAACACUAAUAUAUUUUGCACAUGACCCUUGGAAAAUAAAAUCAAAUAGUGGAAUAGAUUCUUUCAUCUAAGGUAUAAAGGAAAAACGAGUUUUUCAUUGAACUAAAUACAACAAUCUCCCCACGUCUUGCCCAUUCUCAAAUAUUUCUUCUAUUUAUGUCCCCCAAGACUGCAUUCUAGUUCUGCCACUAAAGAAAAAUAAAGUAAAAUGAGUUAAAAAAAACAUAUAAAAAUAAUUUAUUAAAUUUAAAUUUAUUUUUUUAUUUUUUAUUUCUUCUAUUUUCUUUAUUUCCUCCCUAUUUUCCUUUUUAGGAACAAACAUAACUUUAAAAAAUCACAAGUUGAAAGGAGAAUUAUAUGACUAACCUUGUUUGUAUAGAGCAUGGAGACUCAUUUUUUGGGUCCAUACUAGAAUCCAAGGCUAUUAGCUAUACAUUUGUGUUUUUAGCAACAUUAUCAAAGAAAGGUCCAUCACAUAAUAUAUAUUAAUAAUGUUCUUAUUUUCCAAGGAAACUAAGGAGGACCAAGUGUUUAUGUUCUUUUUUUAUUUUAUUUUAUUUGGAAAAAAAAUGUUGGUUUAGGGUUACAAAUAUACAUGGUUAAGGCUUUAACAAUAUGCACAUACAUAUAUCAAACUUCACAUGAAUAUAGAUGGCAAAUAGUUCAAAUUUUUAUCGAAGAAAACCGAAGGUAGCGUGACGACCGGGCGGGGAGAAAGAAAGAAUAAGAAGAAAAUUCUUGGUAAUUAUAAGUCAAGAUGUGAUGCCCUUUUUCGAUGUUUCUAACCGAUAUAGCAAAGAUUAAUAGGCUUGGAAGCUGGCAUAUUGACCCAAAGGAAUGACCUCCGGCGCGGUAUUUCUCAAUCAUGUCCUCAGCCUAUUUCAUCUGUCUACGUAAUCGUAUGAUGGUGACAUGAUGUGACCCUCGCGACCAAAGGCAAUCCCCCCAAAUGUUUCUUGUUUGUUUAUAUCCGUUCACGUGAUCGCAAAAGAAAAUUUAAGUGAGAUAAGAUGGAUUUGAGAAAUAGUCAUAAAAGGCGGCGAUAAGAAAUGUUCGUCUGAUCCCUCAAAGAAAUUUAAAUGGAAUAACACGGUGUGGGAAAUUUUCAUACCCACUCUAUCCCACUCAUGUAAUUCUUUUAUUUCUUUUUUAAAAUUUUUUAUUUUUUAUUUUUUAAAUUUAUAUUUUAUUAAAAAUAAAUAUAAUUGUAGACCCCUUGUUGGCUGGAAACUGAAGCAAGAAAAUAUUAUUUUUUUUGAGUGGAGUGGGUGAGAUUGAGAUGAUGGAAAGGAGCGGGAAAAGGAAGAUGGAGGUGGGGGCUGUUUGGGGGGCAGCAAGGACAGGACAGCAGGCUGGUUUUUAGGCAGAGGGAGAAAAGGUAAGGAAAAGGAAGAAACCGGGCAGCAGCGUUUUUUUUUUUGGGGAGAGGGGGAGGAGAGAAAAAUAUGAUGUUAAAAAUUUGGAUAUAAUGGACAAAAGAAAUACUUUUAAACACUCACUUUGAUAUAAUAAAACUCCUAAAAAUACAAAAUAAGAACAAGAAAGGCUCAAACAAGUUCUUGGAACUUUGUCCAAAAACUCUAUUUCCUCCCACCUCUAGAAAUCUUUAGGGAACUAAUGGAAAUAGUUUUGGGAUUGAUCAUGCUUUUUCACUUUUCUGCAUAAGAUUUCAAAAAAAAGAAAAGUCAUAUAUAGCACUCUUAGGGUUGAAAAAUGGUUACAAGGACGAGAAAAAACCCAUUGUCUUCCUUAAUUUCUUCAUCUUUGUAACAUUCAAAAAUUAAAUCAUAUGUUUAAUUCACACAUUAAACAUGAUUUAAUCUCAAAUGUGUAACUCUUUUACACAUAACCUCUUAAGUUUUAUAAAGUUACAAAUAUGAGAAGACUUAUUGUCUUCCUUAACCUUUCAAGUUUUGUAACAUUUCAAAACUUAAUCAUGUAUUUAUUCAUAUAUUAAAAGUGUAAUCCUUCUUACACUUUAUUUUCAAAAGUUAUUUUUCAAAAAUGUAACUUUUCUUACACUUUAUUUUUAACCAACAAUAUAUAUACAUUUAUAUAAAUAUAACAAUCCCCCACUUGGUUAAAAUUAAACAUCAACCCUUAUAACCUCAACAGUGAAAAUGCAUAAAAUAAAAUAUCUUUCAAUUUGAAUUUUACCUUAGUGUAAUUGUCACAAAGCUCCGUUGAAAUCCCAGGUUGCUUGUAGCAUUGAACCAGUUAUUCCUUGUAACGAAACCGGUAACAACACACACACUUCCACUAACCACAUGAGUGCCUAUUAUUUUCUUGCUUAACACUUUUAUGGUCAUGUGCUCAAUCCAUUCAUGAACUUUCUUGAAAGAAAACUCCAACUCUCAUGAGAGGCGGCACCACCCCUAAGUUCACAUAGGUGAAAUUCUUCCAGCAUCCUUGUUACCUUUAAGAUGCUUAUUACACAUAGACUAAAUUUCAUUAAAAGCUUUAAGCUUAACCCUCCAACGGUAACAACCAGCAUUAAUCAUCACAGAUGGAACUCACAUGUUCUAAUGCUGCCACAACCCACUUAUCAAUAACUUGUUUUUACCUAUUGAACUUAAGACUAGUCAUUUCGUAGUAUUAAGUUGGGUUACCAUCAUUGGUGAAUUUUAUUUAAGGAGUUUUAGUCACAUCCCUCUAGAUGUUAUCCUUACUAAAUCUCUUGUAAGAGGUUUAGUAAAAGGAUCCGCCAAGUUUCCACUUGACCUCACAAAUGAGAUUGAGAUGAUUCCAUAUUGAAUCAAUUGUCUCACAUACUCAUGUCUAAUGCUUAUAUGUCUAGACUUCUCAUUGUACACUCCACUGUACGCACGAGCUAGAAUGGCUUGACUGUCACAAUGUAUCGACACUGUUGACACAUUAUUUGCAGUAAAAGGGAUGUCCAUCAUGAGAUCCCUAAGCCACUCAACUUCUUUUCCAGUUGCAGCUAGAGCUAUAAACUCUGCCUCCAUGGUUGAGUGUGAUAUACAAGUCUGUUUCUUGGAUCCCCAAGAGACAGCCCCACCACCAAUUGUAAACACUCAACCUGUGGUAUAUAAAUUAUCUCACACACUCGAUAUCCAGCUUGCAUCUGAAUACCCUUCAAGUAUAGCAGGAAACUUUGAAUAUUGGAGGCUUAGUUCUUUGGUAUUCUUUAGGUAACCAAGAACUCUACCAAUAGCUUUCCAAUGUUCCACGCUUGGAUUGCUAAUAAACCUACUUAGUUUACUAACUGCAAAUGAAAUGUCAGCCCAAGUACACUGAGCAGCAUACAUAAGACUUCCAAUUGCACUUGCAUACUCAAGUAGAGCCACCAAUCUACCAUCAUUGUUUUCAAGUUUUAUACUUGAAUCAAAUGGAGUAUUAACAUCUUUAAUCUUGAGAUGACUAAAUUUGCUAACUACUUUCUCAAUAUAGUGGGUUUGGUUCAAAGCAUAACCCCCACUAUUUCUUUUCACUUUGAUACCCAAUAUAGUAUCAACUUCUCUAAGAUCUUUCAUCUUGAAGGUUGAGGAUAGAAACUUUUUCGUUUCUAUUAUUCCUUUCAUGUCAUCACUCAAGAUUAACAUAUCAUCCACAUAUAGACACACUAUGACUAUAUAGUCAUCACAAGUCUUAGAAUAUAAGCACUUGUCCACAUUGUUGUGUCUAAAUCCAUCCGAAAGAAUAGCAAGAUCAAAUUUUUCGUGCCAUUGUUUGGGAGCUUGUUUUAAACCAUAUAAUGAUUUGACAAGCUUACACACUUUGUUUUCAUUCCCCAGUAGAACAAAACCUUCCGGUUCUUCCAUGUAGACCUUCUCAUUGAGAUCCCCAUUCAAGAAUGCCGUUUUGACAUCCAUUUGAUGAACAAAUAGAUUAUGAAUUGAUGCCAAAGCAAACAAUGUCCUAAUCGAUGUUGUUCUAGCCACCGGCGCAUAGGUAUCAAAAUAAUCAAUACCUUCUCUUUGUUUAAACCCUUUAGCUACUAAUCUAGCCUUAAAGGUUUGAAUCAUGCCAUCGGUGUGAUAUUUCCUUCGAAAUACCCACUUGCACCCUAUUGGUUUAGAUCCUGGUGGAAGAUCUACCAAUUCCCAUGUUUGGUUGGACAUAAUUGAAUCCAUUUCAUCAUUGAUAGCCUCUUUCCAAAAAGCAACAUCUCUAGAAGCCAUAGCUUCUUUGUAUGUCUUGGGAUCCUCCUCUAUUUGAAGUACUAUAGAAAAUUUUCUUAUAAUAUCUUCUCUAUUUCCUUCUACUAAGUAAAAGGAAAUUCUUUGAGAGUCAAUCUCAUCCGAUCCCAACACUUUCUCUUUUCUAGCUCUUUGGCUUUUCUGAGGCACAAUGGGUUGUUCAACAACCUUUGAAGGUGUCUCCACUAGAGACUCUCCAACACUAGUAGGUACUUGAGAAUUGCUAUCAGUCAACAAAUUCUUAAAGAACUCUACCUCUCUUGAUUCAAUUAUCACAUUAGACUCCAAGUCUAAUAGCUUAUAAGCUUUGCUAUUUGAGGCAUAGCCUACAAAUGCACACUUAAUGGCUCUUGGACCCAAUUUUGUUUUAUUUGGAUCCGUUUUCUUGCAAUAAGCAAGACACCCCCACACUUUGAAGUAACCAAUAUUAGGCUUCCUUCCUUUCCAUAACUCAUAUGGAGAUAUCUCAUUUUUUUUCAUAGGAAUUCUAUUCAAAAUAUGGCAAGCAGUCAACAAAGCUUCACCCCACAAAUUGAAAUUCAAUUUAGCAUGCAAUAAAAUAGAAUUCACCAUUUCCAAGAAUGUUCUAUUCUUUCUCUCCACUAUGCCAUUGUGUUGAGGUGUAUGGGGUGCGGUGCACUCAUGUAUUAUGUCAUAUUCUUCACAAAAAGAAUUGAAUUCACUAGAGAAAUAUUCACCACCUCUAUCACUUCUAAGCACCUUAAUAAUUUUUUCUAGUUGAUUUUCAACUUCGGCUUUGUAAACUUUAAAGGCAUUGAAAGUUUCACUUUUGUUUUUCAACAAAAACACAUAGGUAAAUCUAGAACAAUCAUCUAUGAAUGUAAGAAAAUACCUAUUUCCACCUCUUGUUAACAUGCCAUUAAGUUCACAAAGAUCACUAUGUAUUAAAUCAAGAAAAUUAGAUGAUCUCUCAACACUAUGAAAAGGCUUUUUAAUCAUCUUUGAUUUAACACAUAUUUCACACUUUUCAAAUUUCUUGGUAUCAUAAGCAAUCAAACCACAUUUCACAAUCCUUUUAAUAGUGCUUAAACCAACAUGUGCAAGCCUAUUAUGCCACAAAAAUAAAGAAUUUGAAUCACACAUAUAAGCGGAAGUAGACGCCAUUUUAUUGAUAUUGUCAUUGGUACAAAGUUUGAUCAUCCCAUCACAAGAAUACCCCUUUCCCAUAAAGUUCCCCGAUUUGGAUAAAAUUAGCUUACCGGAUUCAAACAUCGCUUUGAUACCCGGUUUGCCAAGCAAAUCCCCACUAACCAAAUUUUUAUUCAUAUCGGGGACAUACAAUACAUUUAUAAGGGUAACCUUUUUGCUGAAGGUAAAAACAACUUCAAUAGUGCCCUUGCCAAGCACCUUGGAUCUUCCUUCAUUGCCCAUUUGAACCUCUUGAUCUCCCUUUGCAUCUUCAAAGGUCUUGAAAAGAGAUUUGUCAUAGGUAACAUGAACUGUGGCACAAGUAUCAUACCACCAUCCUUGCACCUUUCCUUGGACAACGCACACAUCGCUUAGUGUUGCAAUGAUCUCCUCAUCAAUUGCAUUCACCACAACACAUUUUAGGUCCUUUCGGUACCUACACUCCUUAGCAUAAUGCUCGGGUUUUCCACACACAAAACAAGGACCUUUCUUGCCCUUAAAUUGCUCUUGAUUUUUCUUGGGGCUCAUAUAAUUUCCGGACUUCCUUUUGUCAUUGUUAUUUUUACCUCUAGGAUGAUUGACCUUUGAAACCGCAUUGGCUUUGUUAGUCCCACCAUUGGACUCUUCCACCAUUUUGUCUCUUGAUCUCGAUUCUUCCUCAAUGCGAAGAUGUUUUUGAAUCUCUUCCAAGGAGUAAUCUUCACUCUUGUGGAGAAUCCUCUUCCGGUAACCUUUCCAACUUGAUGGUAAUUUAGCCACAAUAGCACCAACUUGGAAGGCCUCCGGAAGUUUAAUUUUGAGAACUUUCAACUUAUUCACAAUUACUUGCAACUCAUGAAUUUGUGGCAAGAGAGGCUUUUCAUCAAAAAAAUUUGAAAUCUAUGUAUUGAGAAAUAAGAAACUUUUUGGUACCUUCUUUCUCGGCUUUGUACUUGUUUUCAAGAGCCUCCCAAAUCUCCCUCGCGGAAUAGGUGUUGGUGUAGAGAUCAUAUAGCCUAUCGGAUAAGGAGUUCAAAAUAUGACCCCUACAUAUAAGCUCAUCAUCCUCCCUCUUCUUCCUUGCCGCCACCACUUGAGGUGUGUCAUUUUCCUUUGGUUCCGGUAAUGGUGCCAAGGUAGGAUCAAGGAUGUAGAAAAUCUUGAGUGCUGUGAGAAUGAAUCUCACCUUGUCUUGCCACCUAGUGAAGUUGGAACCAUCAAAACGAUCCAACCUCACAAGGUCUUGGUUCAUAAUCUUGAUAGUCUCUCCUUCCAUUGAAAAAUAGAGUCUUUGAUUGAUGUUAAAAAUUUGGAUACAAUGGAGAAAAGAAACACUCUAAAACACUCACUUUGAUACAAUAAAACUCUCAAAGAUACAAAAUAAGAACAAGAAGAAGAAGAACACAAGAAAUGCUCAAACAAGUUCUUGUAACUUUGUCCAAAGACUCUAUUUCUUCCUACCUCUAGAAAUCUUUAGGAAACUAAUGGAAAUAGUCUUGGGAUUGAUUAAGUCUUUUCACUUUUCUACAUAAGAUUUCAAAAAGAAGAAAAGUCAUAUAUAGCACUCUUAGGGUUGAAAAAUGGUUACAAGGAUGAGAAAAAACCCAUUGUCUUCCUCAAUCUCUUCAUCUUUGUAACAUUCAAAAAUUAAAUCAUAUGUUUAAUUCACACAUUAAACAUGAUUUAAUCUCAAAUGUGUAACUCUUUUACACAUAACCUCUUAAGUUUUAUAAAGUUACAAAGAUGAGAAGACUCGUUGUCUUCCUUAACCUUUCAAGUUUUGUAACAUUUUAAAACUUAAUCAUGUGUUUAUUCACACAUUAAAAGUGUAACCCUUCUUACACUUUAUUUUCAAAAGUUAUUUUUCAAAAGUAUAACUUUUCUUACACUUUAUUUUUAACCAACAAUAUAUAUACAUUUAUAUAAAUAUAACAAAAUCUGGAGAGAAAGAAACAGAAAGCAGUUGGGGAAAAAAAAAAAAAAAGAGGAAACCAGCAGAGGGGGAUCGGUUUCAGAAAAAAGAAGGCAACGGGCUUCAAACAAGGCUUGGGGUUCCUUUUUUUUGGAGAAAAGCGGGAGGAGAAAAGGAGCGCCUUCAGGUAUGGAUUAUUUUUUUUAAUCUCCUCAUUAUCCUGUCCUUUGCUAUUUUUGGAGAGAUUGAAAAAGAGUGAGCUAGGUAGAAAAGCAAAGUGGUAGGAAACUGGUUUGUGAAGAGAAAAACAGAGCCAGAACGGGAGUGUGAAAAAUAACAAUAAUAAUAAUAACUCUUUUUCUUCAAGAUUUGGGAAGGAAUUAAGGGCCCAAUUCCGUCUGCCAUUUAUUUCCCUAUGCCAUCAUGCACUGAAGGCUCUCAAAGCCUUUUUUUUUUUUAUUAUUUAUUUCUUGCAUGGGAAUCAUUACCUGGGCAGUGAAGACUUUUUUUAGUGGGCCAUCCUUGAAAUAUAAUGCCAAUUUUCCUUUGGGAGAAUUAUGUUUUAAGGGUAGAUGGGCCCCCAAAUUAAUAAAAAGUUCAUGUAACUCUUCAAAUUGAGCCCAAGACCCAAUGAAAGUAUGGAAAUUGAGUUGAAGGAUAUCAUCCUUUAGUAUUUCCAAAAAUGCCCUUUGUUGAUUUUGAGAAAAAAAUUAAUAUUUUUGAAAAAUACUUUUAUUUAAUUUAAUAUUUUUUUAAAAUGCUUUUAUGUAAUUUAAUAUUUUUAAAAAUACUUUUAUUUAAUUUAAUAUUUUUUAAAAAUAAAUUUAUUUAAUUUAAUAUUUUUUAAAUACUUUAAUUUAAUUUAAUAUUUUUGAAAAAAAAAUAAUUUAAUAUUUUUGGAAAAAAAAUAAUUUAAUAUUUUUGAAAAAAAAAAUUAUUUAAUUUAAUAUUUUUGAUAACUGCUUUUAUUUAAUUUAAUAUUUUUGAAAAAAAAAUUAUUGAAAAAAAUUAUUUAACUUAAUUUUAUAAAAUAUUUUAUAUGUGUUCUUAAAGGGUAUAUUUGUCCGUUACUAUUUCAUAUCCUUCAACUCAAUUUGAAAAGUUAUAUGGACCUUUUGUUAAUUUGGGGGCCCAUCUACCCCCAAAAGAUAAUUCUCCCUUUUCCUUUUGACCUCACACGUUUCCACAAAUUGGUUCCCUAAAAUAACUAACAAAAUUUUGGAUUUUCAAUUAUUUCAAUCUUCAAAUUAAUUUUUUUUUUUUUUAAAUUCUAAGGUCCAAAAUUAUUUCUUAAAAAAAAAUUCAUUCUCAAAUAAUUUUCAAAAUCCCGAUUUCUUUCAAAUUUAAUUUCUAAAACUCAAAAUUUUAAAUUUAAUUUUCAGAAUUUCAAUUCUCACAUAAUUUUUAAAGAAUUCCAAUUUCUUUCAAAUUUAAUUUUCAAAACUCCAAUUCUUAAAUUUAAUUUUCAAAAUUCUAAUUCUCAUAAUUUUCAAAAUUCAAAUUUCUUUCAAAUUUAAUUUCUAAAAUUCCAAUUCUUAAAUUUAAUUUUCAAAACUCCAAUUUUCAAAUACUUUUCGAGACUUCAAUUUUCAAAUUUAUGUUUUUUUAAAAUAAUUUUCAUUUUACUCCAAUUUUUAAAUACUUUUUAAUUCUACGACUUUUCAUCCUUCAUUAAGGUUUUAAGUCAUUAAAAAUCUCGUUUUAAAUAAACUUGCUACCUUUCCCUUCAGGUAAACACUUUCACAAAUUUUCUUUGAUUUUAAAAUGAUUUUCACACUUUCCAUGAUUUUUAAUAAGCAAGAAUUAAACUUUGUAAUUCCAAUUAAUGGAAUUUAUGAAAUUAAUUCAUGCAAAAAUAAAUCAGGCUUUGGUGGGAGCCUACAUACGUGAUUUUAUGACUGUUUGAUUGAUUUGAUGUGACUGAUUUACACUAUUCAAUGAUACACACACGAUUAUUCUGUGUUUAAUUGCUAACACUUGUUUCCCUUGAAAUAAACCGGUUCAUCACUCAGGUACAUAAUUUGUUUUUCCUGUUCAUUAAGUUAUUUCGUUUUGGGUGAUAUUCAUUUGAUAUCCAUACUCGAUUAAUCAAUUGCCAUGAUUACUUCAUUUUAUUAGUAGAAACUCGUUUUAGGGGCUUCAAGGGGUGCUACGGUAUUUACCGUACCUUCCCGAUAAGUAACCUGACCCCCGAAUUUGAUCUGGUUUUUCACAGACCACCUUUUCCAAAAUAAAGAGUCACACUUAGGGUUUUUCUUUCUUAUUUUGUUUACCCUUUGAAAAUAAAACAAAAAUAAGUGGCGACUCUAAGUCAUUUUACAAUAAAUCAAUUUUUUAAAAUAAAAAUCGAGCUCGUCAUCGAGUGGAAGCGCAUGAGCCAAAAUGCGGGGUCCACAAUAAUUCAUAAAUAAAAAAUAUUAUAAAUAUUUAUAAUUUAUUUUUGUAAAAAAAAUAUUUUAUUUAUAUUUAAAAAAUGAAAACAAUCAAUUAAAAUUAAUAAUUUUUUUUUACACUAAACUACUCCUAAUUUGUUCUAAAAUUUUAAAAACUUCUCAAGCAUAUCUUAAACUUGUUUAUAUUUAUUUCAAGUCAUUUUCAUCUCUAAAUGGGAUAAAUAUUAAAAAAUUCUGUUUUAUUGUCAUCUCUAAUUAUACAUGGUUUAUAUCAUUGAAUACAUUUGUAGAGGGGAGAAUUUUUAAAUUAUUUUCAAUUUUAUAGCUUUUUUUAAAAAAUAGUUUCAAUUAAAAUUGUUUUAAAAAAUUUUAAAUUAUCUUUUAAAAAAUUAAUUUUCAUAUUUAAAUUGAAAUUAUCUCUUCAAAAAAUAACUUCCAUUAAUGUUAUAAAAAGUAUUUUAAAUUUGAAAAUAAUUUUAAAAAUAUUAUAUUUUAAUUUAUAUAUAUAUAUAUAUGUAAAAAAUCAUGGGUGAAGUGAAGAUUUUGAUAGAGGUAAAUGAGUGUGAAUUGGAGUGGUGGUGCAAGUAAGAAAAAGAAUUUGGGGUCAAAAUGGCCCUUUUAUUACAAAAAUUGUAACAACAUCUAGGCACUUUGUUGAAACUUAUGUUCAAAAUGACCUCUUUAGUGCCAUGUAGGAGCUAUGUCAUUAAAAAAUAUUUUUUUUCAUUAUUUUAAUUGAAGCCGUAGUUGGCAAAUGCAGCUUCAUUUUUGAAUUGAAGCCGCAUUUGCCAACUGCGGCUUCAUUUUUUAACCAAAGCCGCAUUUGCCAAUUGCGGCUUUAGUUUAAAAUUAAAGUCGCAUUUGUCAAUUGCGACUUCAAUUUAAAAAUGAAGCCUCAUUUGCCAACUACGGUUUCAAUUCAAAAAUGAAGCCUCAUUUGCUAACUACGACUUUAGUUAAUUUUUUUUUAAAAUUUAAAAUUUAAUUAAAAAUUAUUAAAUUAUAAAUUGAAAUUUAAAAAAUAUACUUAAAUAAUAAAUUAUUUAUAUUUAAACUUAAAAAUCAACUAUUACUUUCAAUAAACAUAAAUUGAUAAAUAGAAGAUAUUAUAAAUAAAUAUUUUUAUUUAUUAAUAAAUUAAUAAAUUAAAAAAAUAAUGAAGUGCUAAUAUUUUAUAACUUAAAAUUAAUUUGAUUAGAUAAAUUGUUAAUAAUUUUAAUUAUUUAAAGAAAUUGUGGCUCAACCCCCAAUUAGUUUGUUAUGGGUUUCUAAAUGAAAUUGUGGUUCAUCCAUGUUCACAUGGGGGUCCUAGAAACACUAGGAUCGAAUGUACCAAAUUUAACAUAUACAUAAUUUUAUUUAAGAUAUUAAUUUAUUUGUAUUAUGAAAAAUUUAUCUUUAUCAUAAAAGUAGUAUACUCUUAAGCCAUAGUCAUCAUACAUAGAUUUUUUGACAAAAUUAGUUAAUGAAAUUAAUUACAAAAAGUCUACUACAAAAUGUAAUUUUUAAUAGUUUAAUCAAAGUCGCAUAAAAUAUCCAGUAAACAUUAAUAUAGUGGAAAAUAAAAAACAUAUAUAAUCUCACAUGCCUCCACAAGGAGAGAACCUAUGUCUAACUGGUACUUUCUUCCUUUUUGAACGGUCCUCUAUAACUGUAGCAGGUACUACAUGUGACACAUGAAGAACAUUUGUCUGUGAUGGGAUUGGAGCUGGAAAUAGAGGUGGUGGUGGAGGUAGCAAUCUAGGUCGACGUAAGCCCCGCCUAUCCCUCGGAAUGGCUGGCGGCAAAUCUAGCUUGGUAGAUGUGUCAAUCUACAUUGAUGAUGGGUCUGAAGAGGUAGGAGGUUGUAAUGGAGGUAGGUCUAAAGAGGUAGGGGGUUGUAUUGAUGGUGGGUCUGAAGAGGUAAGGGGUUAGGCUGAUGGUGGGUCUGAAGAGGUAAGGGGUUGGGCUGAUGGUGGGCCUGAAGAAGUAGGAGUCUGAACUGAAGAUAAGUCUAAAGAAAUAGGAGGUUGUACUGAGGGUGGGUCUAAAGAGGUAGAGGUUUGCACUGAUGGUAGGUCUAAAUAAGUAGGGUGCUGCACUGAUGGUGGUUGAGCAACUGUCGACUGAGCUAGUGACCUACCUCCUCCAUGCUCUACAUGUGGGAUACGAUAAUCCUCCCGAAUAAUGCACAUAACAUCAGUGGCCCUAUGAAUAAUAUCAACAAUACCAGUGCGGCAAGCAUCACUAUCAGAGUCCUCCAAUGCAUGACCUCCUCGAGAUAUGAUAAAUGUCAUAGUCUCAAUCUGUCACAUAAAAUGUUAUAUAAUUAUUUGUUGGAAUAAAUAUUAUAAAGAAUAUGUACAUAAUAUUAAAGUGAUACAAACCAAUAAGUGGGCAAAUAAGGCAGUAGCCGAUACCGCAUAGGUUCAAAAUCAUCCAUAGGUGUAAUAAAAUGACGUAUAAUAGGAUGAUACCAUGUCAUGUACGGAGCAUGGUAGUCCAUAUGAGGCUCUAUAGCCUCCGCGGUGACAAUGUGGUCCCCUCUAGCCUCCCAAAAUGCCACGUAGUGGUCAUAAUACAACCUCCAAUCAAAUUGAGCUCGACCACGUCGAUCUAUGGAGUGAAGGUCAAAAUCUAUAAGGGGUGUCGAAGGAAUACCUUGUAUGAGUCCAAACUAUUGCAACACACGCUCAGGACGAUGCCACUUAACAAUAUAAAAAAAAAAAAAAGUGGUGACAUCGUUCGCCAAAUAUCCUGAUCAGCUAAACAAAUGUCUGAAAGCAACGCUAGUAUAUCAUCUGUGUAAGGCUGCCAUAAUACCUGACAUAUUCAAAUCUUAGUAUGUAUUUAAUAAAUUUUAAAUUAUAUUAUUAAUAUUAAUAAUCUUGUUAAAGAAUACUAAUAUUUAACCCAAACUUGAUCAGAUCGCUGUUGAUUAAACUCAUCUCUGUAUGUGACCAACACAUGAUGAGGAGUGUCUGCAUGAGAUAAGGAAACUCUCCACCUACUCCCUAGUGCAUCUUGCGGGAAUCUGUCAUUUAUAGGCACUGGUGCAUGGGCAAGUGAUCUACUAGGACGAUCAACAUGUAAUCGCUCCCAUGACCAUAGCUAAAAUUGAAAUAAAAUUAUGUUUAAAUGCACAUAAUUAUGACAAAAUUACAUAAUUAAUAAGACUUGUAGUUAUACUUGCAACAACUCUAAUGGUCUUGCAAUAGUUUCUGCAUUAUCUAAGCUAGCUCGACAUAACUCUUGAUAAAGAUGUGCUAGUGUAGCACUCCCCCAACUAUAUUGCGCAGUCUCACCAAAAUCUCUUAACAUGGGUAGAAUUGCUAAUUGGAUGUAAACCCCCUUCUUAUCUGGAAAUAGUGAACCACCAACUAACAAUAAAAGAUAGACUCUAGCAUGACGAUGUAACAUGACCUCAUCUACAACCCCUGGUGGUAAAUGGGAGAAAUGGGUAGUAAUAAAACGAACUGUAAGGGAUGCUCCACGAAUAUCAGUCUCUAUCGGUCGAACACCCAAUAACUCCUCACAAAGUGCAUGCCAAUCAAUAUCUGUAGAACCGGUGAAAGGAUAACCAUGUACACGCAAUCCAAAUAAGAUGGCUACGUCCUGCAAUGUGAUGGUCAUUUCACCACCUGGCAUGUGGAAUGUGUGCGUCUUUGGGCGCCAUCUCUCUACCAGUGCAGUAAUCAAAGGCCAAUCAACCUUAACAUGGCCCACUCAAUGAAAGACAUAAAAUCCUGACUGUAUAACGUAUGACCGAACACGAUCAUCCAAAAUCCACUCUCAACGAAACCCUUGUCGGUAACGCAAAACACUACCCAUAUCUGGAUCAACACGAAUGGUGGAUGAUCGAUGUCGAUGUUGAAGAGUAAGCACAGAUGUAUCCUCAAGGUCAGGACGAGCAGGAAACAACGGAGUAUCCAUGUCUGCAUUUACAUCAAUACAUGAUAUAAACAAAAUAUGAAUGAAUUGACAAGAAACAACAAUAUCUAACAACAUGAAUUUCAUGAUUAAAAUUGUAAAAAUAUGACCAGUAUUUUCCCUAAACAGUAGAGAUUCAAAAUUUUUCAAUGUAACCUGAUAUAAACAAAAUAUGAAUGAAUUGACCAAAAACAACAAUUUCCAACAACAUUAAUUUCAUUAUUAAAAUUUUAAAUAUUUGAACAGCAUCUCCCCUAAAUAAUAGAGAUUAAUAUUUUUUUUCAUGUAACCUUAUAUAAGGAAAAUAAGAAUGAAUUGACAAAAAAUAACAAUUUCAAACAAACAAACAUCAAUAAGAUGUUCAAUAAAAUAGUUUUUACAAAUAUCUUAAAACGAUUAAGGUCAAUACUAGUAAAUUAAAAAAAUAAAGUACAAUAAGAUGUUCAUGAAGUUCAUAAACUCCUCCUAUCAUUGGUUUCUCUAUUAGGACAAGAACGUCGAUUGUGACCUGAUUGCUUGCAAAGUCCACAUGUUUAUGGAGUUCUAGCUUCCCUUGCAUCCAUCUCAUUAUGCAAACGACUUGAUUUUGGUCGACCAGAAGUUAGCCAUUUCAUUGAGUCCGAAGGCACAAUUAUCGGCCCAUUAUAUUGAGGUCACUCCAACUCAUCAAAUAUGGGAUAAAACAAGGGAGCCCAUGUUGAUAGGUAAGCACAUGUGGUGUAAUAACCUUGUACAAAUUGUCGAAAAUCAAUUGCUCAACAAUGACAAGCAGCAAGAAUGUGCAAACAUGGGAAUCCCAACAAAAGUGUUUUGUUAAAUGUGCAAGACCCUGUUUGAAGGGUAACAUGAUAUGUGCGAGGUUUCCUAUUACUGCUUCCAACAAAGUGUCUAGUUUAACAUGAAAACGUCCCGCCACAUGAUCAUACAAAAGAACCUCAUGUGAACCCGUCUUAACAACUUUAGCUUUUAUCUUGGCAUCAAUAUGUGGAGUGAAUUCUUCACCUAAAGCGAGCCGACUUGCACCAUGCUCCCGCCUGACUGUGAAGUAACUGUUCACCCGAUAGAAAGUUAAUUGGACUAAAGCUGUUAUUGGUAAGGUACAAGCACCCUUAAGGACACAAUUAAAAACUUUAGACAUGUUAGUUAUCAUAAUCCCAUAUCUCUGCCCACCAUCAUGUGAGAGUGCCCAUUUUCCAAGAGGAAUUUGCUCCAACCAAUUUCUAGCAUCGGCAUUUAUCCGACCAAUUGUAUCCAUGUGAGAAAUAAAUUUUUUAACUUUACUCUCCAUAGCAGCCCUACACAUGAGAUCCUUUAAAGUCUUAUCUUUGAACUUGUGUUGAAGUUACUCGCUAAAUGACGCAUGCAAAAUCUAUGAUAAGCAUCUGGCUCAGUCCAUCCCGAAUAUGUGUCAUUGACAACAACUAUAAUGUCAGGAUGACGAUUAGAGAUCAGACACAAGCCUUUCCUUUGUCUCACUCCAACUCUGAUACAUGCCAAAAACCAACUCCAACUAUCUGUAUUCUCUCAUUCUAUAAUGGCAAAUGCAAGUGGAAACAAUUGGUUAUUACCAUCACAUCCUAUAGCAAUCAACAAAGUCCUUUUAUAUUUUCCAUACAAAUGUGUCCCAUCAAUACUAAGAAUUGGUCGACAGUGAGUAAACCCUUGAAUAGAUGGAGUGAAUGCCCAAAAAACACGUUGGAAAAUUUCUUCAUUUGGGUUUUUUCCAGGAACCAUUUUGGAAUACAUUAUACAUCCAGGAUUUGACUACUCCAAAGCAAGAAAGAAGCAAGACAACUCUGCAUAAGACUUGUACCAAUCACCAAAUAAUCACGUCAUUGCUUUCCUUUUUGCCUUCAUUGCUUUUUGAUAAGAAAUUUGAUAACCAAAUUGUUCGGCAACAACAACUUGAAUUGCAGCAACUGUAAUGGUCAUUUUUGCUUUCACCAAUGUUUCAAUAUACUCGGAUAUAAAGCUAGAAUCCAAUUGAGAAUGAUCUUGAUUUAUACAUGGAUCGACACAUGUAUGAGGACCUUCGUAAUUUGUGAUUCUAAACAUACUUGUAUUUUUCACUAUCAUUGCCCUUAGUCGCCAUUGACACUCUGGUGCUUUUUUACAUUUAAGAACUAACACAUUUGCAUUUGAUCUAUAAACAGUAAACUCUUGGUGCGACUUUAUGGAAAACAUCUUCACAGCAUGUUGCAAAUCUGAUUUUGAGGAAAAUAUUUGGUCAUUUGAUAACUCCCCAUCAACAUUUCCUAAAGUUGGGUUUUUCCAUGGAGUCUAAUCACUUACAACACAAUUAAUUGCCUCAUCCAUAUUUAAAAAUUGUUGUCUAGGUGGCAUAUGGUAUGAAACGGGUGCAACUAGUGAUGUGUUUUCAACCUCAAACUCAACCUCGGGAUUAUUAGACCUAUCACCAACUUCAAGGUUCACAUAUCUUGUGCUUUCACAUUCCACAACUUGUUGGACCAUCACCAAAUCAAUAUUUUCUCUUUCACAACAAUUUUCAUCAUCAUUAGGUAAAUUAAUCUCAUUUGUAUUUAUUGCAUCAUCUCUGUCAUCUUCCUCAUCUCUUUCAUUUUCGUCAUCAACAUCAGUAUCACCUGCCGACAACCAUGUCACAUGGCCCAUUUCAUUACUCAAAUGAUAGUGAUUGGGAGUUAGCUCGAUGAAUAAUUGAACUGAAGACAUUUCAUACUUUGAUGGCACCGCUAACAUACGUGCAACUGUCCGAUCAUUCCUGACCACUAAUGGUUGAAAUUUGUUAAUUUCAGUUGGAUGUCGAAAUUUCAAGACUAACUGAUACUGUCUGUCAACACCAAUGAUAUCAUAUAUCAUGUUCAACAACACCGCAAAGGUCGUAUCAAUGGGCACAUCUAUAGGCUCAAUCUCUACAUUAUUUCCAAUAUAUCUCAAAUCUGUUUCUGUCCUUAAAAUUGUUCCAUUCCAAUAACAUAACACUUCUACCGUGGAAUCAGUCAUAAUUGUCUUCAUAUAGAUAAUAACAAAUGGUUAUUAUAUAAAAAAUAAUAUUUAUUAAAAAAAAAUAAUACUUUACGGUCAAUGAUUCAUAAAAUACAAUAAUAAACCAAAUAAAUAUUGGAAUGUAACAAAGCUUCAUGUCUAAAUACCAAGUUCAACUCAAAUUAAAGUAAUUUAUAAGCAAAUAAGUAUAUAAGUAAAUAGUAAGAUGAUAUUAUGAAUUAAUAUGAUAAUAUCAAUAAAAAAAUCAUGAGUAUGUCUUUAAGAAUAAAUUUAUGUUUGAGAAUUGAAAUGAAAUUAAUAUUUUUAUAUUAAAAAUUAAAUUUUAAAAUAAAUAUAUGUUAAAUAUGUUAAUUUUUUUACAAUUAAAAAUUAUAUGUUAAAUAUAUUUUUAAAAAUAAAUAUAUGUUAAAUAUGUUUUUUUUUUAAAAAAAAAAAAUUAAAGCAUCUUGUAAAAAAAAUAAUUUCAAUAUCUCAUAAUGAUAAAAAUGCUUUCUUGGCAUUUUUUUUUAUAUUCCCUGGCAUCACACCCUACUUGAACAUCUAGACGUGUCCAAGGGCCUCACCAUUUGUAUGAUUAAAAUAUUAUUUAUUUUAAUAAUAUUUUUAUUAAAAGUAUGGGUAAUUUUGAUAUCUUUAAAAAUUAUAAUUAAAAAAAAUUAAAUUUUUGGAUAUAACCAAAUACAAAAGUCUUUUUAAAGAGAAAGUGUCUAUACUUUAAGAAUCUGUUUUUUUUUUUUUUAAGUGUUUACUCAUAAUUGAGAAGUUUUCUAAACAUGAAUUAUAAAAUAUAAGUAAUUAUUUUAUUAUCUUAUCAUAUCUUUUUUUAAUAAAUGUUUGUAUUUUCAAAAUAUAGAUAAAUUACAUUGAAAGGUAUAAGAUUUAUAUUUAAGAGUUUUAUUUAAAUAUCUUUAAAAAUUAUGUUUCUCUUUUUAACAUUCUAGAAACUUUUAUUAUCGAGAUUCAUUAACAAACACUAUCUAAUGUCAUCAAUCACCUCUAACAUAACAACAAAUAUUAUCUAAAGUCACUAAUCGCCUUUAACAUAUUGUUACUAUCAUCAAUUAUUAAGUAUUUACUUUGAUUUUUCCAAUCGAUAUAAAAAACAAACAAUAAAACAACUAUUCCAAUUCCAAAGUUUCAAAUUUCAAACCAACUAACUACCCUUUUUUGAAAUCUAAUAAUAUUGGCCUUUUUUGUACACACCCAAACCAUCAUAAUUGAAUCUCCUCCAAUUUAUUGCCUAUUGGAGCUAAUCAUAGAUUUUAGUAAUAGCAAGAAAUCCACCCUAGUCCACAAGCUAAGGAAUAAUUUUUAGAAUAUACAGAUUUUGAAUAGUGAACUCUAGUACCUCCUAACCACACAAUCAACCAUAGAUUAGGAUUCCCACAAAAUCAAAUGUGUAAUGAGAAAAAAAAAAAUCAACCAAUACGAGAACUACCUAAGAUGAAGAUACAAAUAUUCUGAAAUUUAGGUUGAGGAUAAGAAAUAAUACAAAGAAAGUGAAGCAAUGACGUGGAUGAAUUGACAAUACCUGCUAAAGAAAGGAAUUAAAUGAAAUCCUAAAUUACUCUAUAAAGUGCAUUUAUGUAAUUUUGCAGAUUUGACGUUUUUUAAUGUUAUUAGUCAAAAAUUGGUACUUGAACUGUAUUCAUAAUUUGAAAAGUUUUUUUAUUGAAAAUUUCUUCUUAAAAGAAGUGUCAAUAUUUCUAAACUUUCUAUUUUAUAAAUUAAUCUCUUUUCUCUUAAGUUUCUAGUUUGAGUCUUCAGAAUUUUGAAGUCUUUGUUAUUAGAAAUUUUAUUCGAAGGUGUUUCUAUAAAGUAGGAUGUUAAUUCUAAAAAGGGAGUUUUUGUUUUUGUUUUUUUAUUUUUUUUUUAUUUUUCAAAGAUUUAGGAGUUCUCAAAAAUGAACAAUAGUCCUAACAAGUUGCUACAUAGGUUAGGUUUGCUUUCCAUAAUUUUUUUUAGUUUUAAGGGUUCUAAAACUUCAUAAAUAAGGCUAAUGGAUGUAAAAGGGGAUGAUGAUUGAUGAUCCAAAGAUUUUUAUUUUUAUUUUUUUAUGGGUGCAACUUUUGCAAUUUUCAUGGUAGGACUUAAUUAUUUUACUUCUAAGUGAGACUCCUAGGGCCUAUGUAAGUUUGUAAGAUUGCUUCUUUAUUAUUUUUUUUUCCUAUUUUUUAUUUUAUUUUUUCCCUACUAUUAUAAUUUUAUCUUUCUUCUCCUUAAAUCUCAAAAGAUUGAAGUCCUAGUCCGCCUAUUUGAUUAUAGAAAACCAUCCUAAUGUUGUCAAAUAUCAAGCAAUCAAUUACACACAAAAUGUAAUCACAGCAUUCAAAAGAUCACCAACCAAAUCACAAAUGAAAUUUAAUGUCAAUGAAAGUACGUAUUUUCAUCUUUUGAAUGGCUCAUAAUGAUCAUGAUGAUACAAUAAGUUUCUUGAUGAACUUAACACUGUCGAAGAGUUCUAAGCAGGAUGAAAAAUAAAUAAAAAGUGAAACCAUGACUAGUUAGCAACUUAGCUUACCUCAAGUGAAUCAAGAUGUUCCAAGGUUUCAAUAGUUAUAUUUGCAAGAAUGACAGAUGAAGCUUUUGUGAACAGUCUUUGCAUGUGAAAGGCAAUUGAAUCUGGCCAAAUAGACAACAAGAAUAAAAGAAAAUUAUAUAAGUCCAUGUUGUUCAAGAAGAUGGUUGGUGUGUGCAUUACUAAAACACAAUUGGAUAUUUACUGACUCAUGUUUGUGAACUUAAAUGCUCCUUAAUAUCAAUUCAAUAUUAGAUUUAACAGUAAAAGUAUCUUCCCUGGACAACAGAAUUUAAGAAUAAAGUACUUGGCUAAUCCCAAAUAGGUGUAUUAUGUUAACAGGGAAGAAGAAUCAGAGCACCUAAUUCAUAUGAUAAAAACUUUUGUAAAGAUAUAGGAUUUAGUUAGUAAAUUGAUCUUCAUUUGAGGAAUUACUAUGAAUUUCUAUACGACGUAGCCCAAAAGGUCAUAUAAGGAAUGAUUACAGGGAGAGAGAGAGAGAGAGAGAGAGAGAGAGAAAAAGCUGGUCGUACUUCCUAAAAGUUUGAAGCAAAGGUUGCCUCUUACCAAAGUGUUCUGGUUAUUGUUUUUGGUGUUUAAAUUUAAUUGCAUUUUCUUUUGAAUUAGUCAAACCAUUCAUAUAAAAGUUAGCAAAGGGAUUCAUGCAAUUGGGCUUCAAACUAGUAACUUUUUACUUUUUCCUAUUUGCCCCUUUCAAUAUUAGCAUUAGUACUAUCAAUAUGAACAACAAUUACUGAAUUAGUUCAACAUCAGUAAUAUUAUUUGUGAGGAAGAAAUAAAUAAAAGUUGCAAACCAAUAUAACUAACUAGCAUCAUAUGCAGCAUCAUAGUAACCCCUUCCAAUCUUGAAAAUCACGGAUUUGUCAUUUUUCCCCAGAAAAUAUCAUUUUCCCCACAAAAUAUUUAUUUCCCUAGAAAUUAUUCAUUUCCCGAGAAAUUAUUAAUUUCCCCAUAAAAUUACAUUUUUCCCAGAAAAUUAUAUUUUUCCCAGAAAAUUAUAUUUUUCCCAGAAAAUUAUAUUUUCCUCAAAAAAUUUUAUUUUUCCCAGAAAAUUUCAUUUUUCCCAUAAACUUCAACAAAUGUUUGCAUCUUAAAAGGCUUUAAUCUUUGGAUCAUAACAAACCAUUUUUGCUAAAAUAGCCGUGAAGAAAAUAAUAGAGAAAACCAAAAGCAAUGGAAACAAAAAUAUUUUUCUAAAAACCAAGAUUCCGGUAUGGGAAAAAAAAUGGGAAAGUGCCAAAAACUUUACAUAAAAUAAGUCAAAUAAAAUAUUGGGACUAACCUUAAGGUUGAUGUAGCUCCAACAAUGCUCUCUCAAUGGCCCACUGGUGGGGCUAGGGUUUUGAGGGAAAAAAAAAAUCAAAGAACACCACGGGCGGGAAGAUAACUUGGUAAAGUAAAACAAAUGGUGUAAAAAAAUGGGUUUUAUGGCUUAUGUGGAUCAAAGGGGCUAUUUUGAACAAUAGUUAUAGAGAUAGCCCAGUUUUAAUAUUAAGUUUGGCCCGUGGCCCAUUUUGGCCCAAAAGUCUAUGAAAAGCCUAUGUCACAUGCAUUAGUACAUUGGAAAAGCAAUCACAAAGAUCUCAACAAAGCAACAAAGUUGGAAAGGUAGAAGCAAGGUAGAAGCACGAGCAUGUUCAACUUGUUUGCAUUUAAGCAGUUUAAAGAAUUAAGUGGUAUUUGUUUUUUUUUAUUGAAUAAAAAGACUUAAAAUAUUUUAUUUUUUUAUAUUAAAAUAAAAAUAACUUAUUAAUAUCCAUUAAUAUAAUUAAAGUGAACUUGUUAUUGAUAAAUUCACUUUAAUUAUGUUGGUUGAUAUUAACAUAUUAUUUUUAAUUGAAUAUAAAAAAUAAAAUAUUUUGAUUUUUUUAUUCAACAAAAAAAAUAAACAUCAUCUUAUAUUUUAUGAAAACGAAUUUUUUUAAUUGAAGAAAUAUGAUAAUUAUAUUUUUGAAAAUGGAUCUUUCAAAUUGAACAAGUAUGAGAGGUUCAAUAUUUUGUCAGAAUUAAAAAUAUCAGUGGAUUUUCAUCCUUGGUUGUCUUAAGGGAUUAAUUUAAAUAUAUAAAAUAACCUUGAAAUUAGUCAUGUAUUUAAUAAGAAGUCCAUCAGCAAGCCUCUGUACUCAGCCAUGGAUUGCAGCGCUGGGAUUACCCCUAUCCAAUCUCACAAACUUCUCUCAUUUCAUCUCUGCUUCAUGAUUUCCUUUUUUUUCUUCCUAAUAUUGCCUUAUGCAACCUCACUGUCUUUCAACUUCACCACCUUUAAUAUAAAUUGAAGAAUUUGAAGAAAAAUAUGAAGAAUUUGAAGACAAACUAUGGAGGAACACCUCAAUUCAUUCUGUGAUACCUUCCUUUACAAUGAAUGAAAGCAUAAAUAAAUAGCCUACAGAUAUGAGACAAUUCCGGAAUGGAAUUUCCCUUACAUGGAAAGUGAAUAAAUUCUUACAUGGGAAGUGAAUAAACUACUCUUACAUGGAAAGUGAAUAAACUACCUUGCUAGAAUUACUCCUAAGAAUAAACUCUUACAUGGGAAGUGAAUAAACUACCUUGCUAGAAUUACUCCUAAAUCAAUUAUAAUAAAGGCUGUACAUUACACUAAUUAGGGAAGUAAACAAAGGAUGCUGGCUUGAUUUCCAACACUCCCCCUCAAGCCGCGUUGUAGAUGUUGAUCAUUCCAAGUUUUUCUGUCAAAUCUUCGAAGUUAACUCGAGCAAGAGCUUUUGUGAGAAUGUCAGUCGUUUGACAGUUUGUCGGAGUGUAGCUGACUUUGAAAACUCCUUCUUCAAUCUUUUCCUUGAUAAAGUGUCGAUCUAUCUCCACGUGCUUAGUUCGAUCAUGAUGAACCGGAUUCUUAGCGAUACUGAUGGCAGCUUGAUUGUCGCAGUAUAACACCAUGGGAUGCUUUAAUGGAACCCGUAAUUCUUCUAACAGCCUGUUCAACCAGAUUCCCUCGCAGAUACCUUGUGUCAUAGCACGAAAUUCUGCCUCAGCACUGCUACGGGCUACCAUUGACUGUUUCUUGCUUCGCCAUGUAACCAAGUUCCCCCAGACAAAUGAACAAUAGCCUGAAGUUGAUCUCCGAUCAGUCAAUGAACCUGCCCAAUCUGCAUUUGAAAAAAUCUCAAUCUCUUUCUUUGUUGUUCUUUGAAAGAAGAGACCAUUUCCCGGUGUCAUCUUGAGGUAUCUCAAUAUUCUGAUCACAACAGUCAUGUGGUUUUCGGUUGGAUUAUUCAUGAAUUGACUUACCACACUAACGAAGAAGCCGAUGUCUGGCCUUGUAUGAGAAAGAUAGAUGAGUUUCCCCACAAGACGUUGAUAUCUUCCUUUAUCAACUGGCACACUUCCAUCACUUUCUUCCAGUUUGACAGUUGUAUCCAUAGGUGUUUCUGUCGGCUUGCAUCCUAGCAUUCCUGUUUCAUUCAAUAAGUCCAGAACGUAUUUGCGUUGUGAGACUGCUAUACCUUUCUUUGACCUAGCAAUCUCCAUUCCGAGAAAGUACUUGAGGUUUCCAAGAUCCUUGAUCUCAAAUUCCUUUGUCAGUAAUUUUUUAAGUAAGUCAAUUUUCUCUUCAUGAUCACCUGUCAAAAUUAUGUCGUCCACAUAUACAAUGAUAAUUGUCAGUUUCCCUUCUGGGAAGUGUUUCACAAAUAAUGUGUGAUCGGAUUGACAUUGAACAAAUCUGUACCCUUUCACUACCUUAGUGAACCGUUCAAACCAGGCCCUGGGAGAUUGUUUGAGACCAUACAAGGAUUUUCGAAGUCUGUAAACCUUGUUGAAAUUUGUUGUCGUCUCAAGUCCAGCAGGAAUGUCCAUGUAAACUUCUUCCUCUAAGUCACCAUUGAGGAAGGCAUUCUUCACAUCAAGUUGGUGAAGCGACCAAUCGAGAUUAGCUGCCAAGGAUAAAAGUACACGAACAGUAUUGAGCUUGGCAACUGGAGCAAAAGUUUCUUGAUAGUCAAUGCCAUAGGAUUGGGUGAAUCCUUUGGCGACCAACCGAGCCUUAUACCUGUCCACAUUACCAUCUGCCUUGUACUUUACUGUGAAAAUCCACUUACACCCAACUGGUUUCUUACCUCUUGGGAGGUCAGUAAUUUCCCACGUACCAUUCUUUUCCAGUGCCCGAACUUCCUCAUCGACUGCCGCCUUCCACUUAGGAUACUUGAAAGCUUCCUGAAUAUUCUGAGGAACUUGUAUCUCUGUGAUGCUAGAAGUGAAUGCACGAAACGUAGGUGAUAGCUUAUCAUAAGAAAUAAAAUUUCCAAUGGGAUGCUGAGUGCAUGAUCUAACUCCUUUCCUCUAAGCUAUGAGCAUAUUAAGAAUAUCAUUUUCUAACUCGGAAUCGACAGUACCAUCAGGAGCGUUGUUACCUGGAAGUUUGCUUGGAUUAGGACCCGGUUCUGCCUCAUGGGUUUGUUGAGAAAGUGUUCUUUCCUCCGUUUCCUCUUGGAUGUGCUCCUUAUCCCGCAAGUCAACAAUGGACUCAGGUUGAUUAAAUGACUCUGGAGGAAUGUGAUUUUCAGUGGUGAUGGGUUACUCACUGAAUGACUCAAGAUCCCAAAAUUGAUAUUCCUGAGUUGAAUUCUCCCCCUGAAUAUCGUUUUUGGGAUAGUAAGGCUGAGUUUCAAAAAAGGUGACAACCAUUGAAUUGUAGAAUUUUCUUGUGACCGGAGAGUAACACUUAUACCCUUUUUGAUUUGAAGAAUACCCAAGAAAGAUGCACUUGAGUGACCUAGGAUCAAGUUUACUUCUAUGUUGUUGAUUGAUAUGAACAAAGACAGAGCACCCGAAAAUUUUGGGUGGGACGGUGGAGAUGAGACGAGUAGUCGGAAAGGAUUUUAGGAGUGUUUGACAAGGUGUUUGGAAUUUUAGUACCCUAGACGGCAUCCUAUUGAUGAGGUAGGCUGCCGUAAGGACAGCUUGCCCCCAGAAUAAUUUUGGAACAUUCAUGGAGAACAUUAGUGAUCUAGCCACCUCUAACAAAUGCCUAUUUUUCCUUUCAGCGAUUUCGUUUUGUUGUGGGGUAUCAACACAUGAACUUAAGUGAACUAUCCCUUCUUGUGCUAGAAAUUCUCCUAGAAUGGAGUUGAAAUAAUCCCUAGCAUUAUCAGACUUUAGAAUUUGUAUUUUUGACUGGAAUUGGGUCUGAAUCAUAUUUUUAAAAUUUUUGAAAAUUUGACUCNNNNNNNNNNNNNNNNNNNNNNNNNNNNNNNNNNNNNNNNNNNNNNNNNNNNNNNNNNNNNNNNNNNNNNNNNNNNNNNNNNNNNNNNNNNNNNNNNNNNNNNNNNNNNNNNNNNNNNNNNNNNNNNNNNNNNNNNNNNNNNNNNNNNNNNNNNNNNNNNNNNNNNNNNNNNNNNNNNNNNNNNNNNNNNNNNNNNNNNNNNNNNNNNNNNNNNNNNNNNNNNNNNNNNNNNNNNNNNNNNNNNNNNNNNNNNNNNNNNNNNNNNNNNNNNNNNNNNNNNNNNNNNNNNNNNNNNNNNNNNNNNNNNNNNNNNNNNNNNNNNNNNNNNNNNNNNNNNNNNNNNNNNNNNNNNNNNNNNNNNNNNNNNNNNNNNNNNNNNNNNNNNNNNNNNNNNNNNNNNNNNNNNNNNNNNNNNNNNNNNNNNNNNNNNNNNNNNNNNNNNNNNNNNNNNNNNNNNNNNNNNNNNNNNNNNNNNNNNNNNNNNNNNNNNNNNNNNNNNNNNNNNNNNNNNNNNNNNNNNNNNNNNNNNNNNNNNNNNNNNNNNNNNNNNNNNNNNNNNNNNNNNNNNNNNNNNNNNNNNNNNNNNNNNNNNNNNNNNNNNNNNNNNNNNNNNNNNNNNNNNNNNNNNNNNNNNNNNNNNNNNNNNNNNNNNNNNNNNNNNNNNNNNNNNNNNNNNNNNNNNNNNNNNNNNNNNNNNNNNNNNNNNNNNNNNNNNNNNNNNNNNNNNNNNNNNNNNNNNNNNNNNNNNNNNNNNNNNNNNNNNNNNNNNNNNNNNNNNNNNNNNNNNNNNNNNNNNNNNNNNNNNNNNNNNNNNNNNNNNNNNNNNNNNNNNNNNNNNNNNNNNNNNNNNNNNNNNNNNNNNNNNNNNNNNNNNNNNNNNNNNNNNNNNNNNNNNNNNNNNNNNNNNNNNNNNNNNNNNNNNNNNNNNNNNNNNNNNNNNNNNNNNNNNNNNNNNNNNNNNNNNNNNNNNNNNNNNNNNNNNNNNNNNNNNNNNNNNNNNNNNNNNNNNNNNNNNNNNNNNNNNNNNNNNNNNNNNNNNNNNNNNNNNNNNNNNNNNNNNNNNNNNNNNNNNNNNNNNNNNNNNNNNNNNNNNNNNNNNNNNNNNNNNNNNNNNNNNNNNNNNNNNNNNNNNNNNNNNNNNNNNNNNNNNNNNNNNNNNNNNNNNNNNNNNNNNNNNNNNNNNNNNNNNNNNNNNNNNNNNNNNNNNNNNNNNNNNNNNNNNNNNNNNNNNNNNNNNNNNNNNNNNNNNNNNNNNNNNNNNNNNNNNNNNNNNNNNNNNNNNNNNNNNUGGUUUCUGGUGCUGCCGAAGCUCCGGUGAUGUAGUCAUCUUUCUCCUUUCCCCGUAUAAACAUUAAUAUGGACUGAGACCAUUGCAAAUAAUUUUGCCCAUUCAGUUUAUGGGCUGUGAUUGGAAGAUGAGAGGUUUCCAUCUGAUGAGAGGAUGAAGACGAUGAGAUGAUGAUAUCAAAGUAGAGGAUGAUGAGUUGGUAGCCAUUCUAAAGGCUGGACCGUAUUUAGGCAUAAAUUAGAAGAAUAGAAUUGAGUAAAAAAAAACUGACUAAAGAUGAAGACGAUGAGACAGGAUUAAACCUUCUUUGAUACCAUGAAGAAUUUGAAGAAAAAUAUGAAGAAUUUGAAGACAAACUAUGGAGGAACACCUCAAUUCAUUCUGUGAUACCUUCCUUUACAAUGAAUGAAAGCAUAAAUAAAUAGCCUACAGAUAUGAGACAAUUCCGGAAUGGAAUUUCCCUUACAUGGAAAGUGAAUAAACUCUUACAUGGGAAGUGAAUAAACUACUCUUACAUGGAAAGUGAAUAAGCUACCUUGCUAGAAUUACUCCUAAGAAUAAACUCUUACAUGGGAAGUGAAUAAACUACCUUGUUAGAAUUACUCCUAAAUCAAUUAUAAUAAAGGCUGUACAUUACACUAAUUAGGGAAGUAAACAAAGGAUGCUGGCUUGAUUUCCAACAUAAAUAAUCAUCAAGUUUACUUUGAAGGAGAUGCUCAACCUUCCUCAGGUGGAGGCAUCCAACUGACCAGAAACGAGCAGGGUAAAGGAAUGGAUUAUAGUUGGGGUCGAGCCAUCUAUGGUGAGCAGUUGUAUCUCUGGGAUCCUAACUCCAGAAAUCUAACUGAUUUAACUACCAACUUCUCCUUUGUCAUUGAUUCACUUAACAGCAGUUCAUAUGCUGAUGGCCUCACCUUCUUCCUUAACGACACCCAAUUGCCUUCACGUGUGUGGGGAGAAAACAUCGGUCUCACGGAGUUUAACGUGACAAAUACAACUGCAAUUCAUUUUGUCGUAGUGGAGUUUGAUACAUUUUCGAACACGGGAAAAAGGGAUCCGGUGAGUGAUCAUGUUGGAAUUGAUAUUAACUCCAUGAUAUCUGUCAAAACAGUGAACUGGUCCAGCAAUAUAAAGGAAGGAAAGCUAAAUCAUGUUUCCAUCUGUUAUACUUCUAGUUCACAAAAUCUGAGUGUUGUUCUAAUCACUGAGUUUAUGGGCGAUCGAACUACCUCCCAAAGCCUCUACUACAAAGUUGAUCUGAGAGAAUACUUGCCAGAAUUCGUUAAUAUUGGCUUCUCAGGAGCAACAGGAAGAGCAUUCCAGAAAAACAACAUUCACUCAUGGAAUUUCAGUUCAACUUUGCAACCUCCUAGUCCUGUAGAACCAGGAGAUGGAAAGAAUGGAAAGAAAACAGGAUUUGUGGUGGGAUUGAGUGUUUGUGCAGUUGUUGUAGUAUGUGGGUUGGGAUUGGUUUGGCAUCACUUGCGGAAGAAGAGGAAUAGUGGGGGAGAAGAUGAUACUGACUCUGACCCAACCAUGGACGAAGACUUUGAAAAGGGUAUUGGACUUGGGAAAUUUUCCUUCCAAGAAUUGGCUCUUGCAACCAGUAACUUUGCAGAGGAGGAAAAGCUUGGAGAGGGAGGGUUCGGUGGGGUCUAUAGAGGCUUCUUAAGGAAACUGAACUCUUACGUUGUAAUUAAGAGAGUAUCAAGGGGGUCCAUGAUUACUACUCAAAAAGUGCUAUUUGAUAGCCUUUAAUUAAUCCUUUUUAACACUUUUGAGUAGUAGUUUAGGCCUUUUAACUCAAUUGACAUGUUAAGGAUCCUUUAAAGCAAUUUUGAUCACUUUGUGUAAGUUUUGGUGUUUUUGUUAGUAUUUUGAUCACCAAAGCAAGUCAAGAAUGAGGAGAGCUAUGAGGAAUCUUGGGCAAAGUUUAGAAUUCAAUUGCCAAGAGUGAAUCCGGAUUGCAAGGAGAAAAAGCAAAGAGAAUCUGUCAUGAAGCCUAUUCUUGAUGACAGUCGUAGCAGCCACUUUUGGAGCACUUUCUGAAGUCUAAAUGAUGCAAGCUAUAUACCAUUUCAAAGCUCAGGAAGUCAACAAUCCAAUGCUUCAAACGGUGCGCGAUUUGGAGUUGAAACGAAGAAGUUGCAGCCAUUACAAGCCAGUCACUCUGAAGUGCUGCGGAAUCAACCUUUUGUUGCGAGAAUUUCGCAACACUUUUGUACAGUAAGGUGUUUCUCCUUCUGACGAUGCACGAACCAUGCCGCGAGAGGGAAGCUAGAAACUUCAAGAUGGAAGCCAACUUUGCAGCCUGGUGAAGAUAGCUCGGUCUUGCGAAAUAAUUUCGCAGCCCUCUUGGGUGUCUGCGAAAUUUCGCAGACACCACUUUUCUCCUGCGAAAUGGCUCCUGAAGCCUCCCGAAGCUUGCUACCGACAUUGGGAGAUAUUUUCCAUUAGAUUUUUGUUGUCUAAAUCCCAAAAUACUCCUUGUAAACCACCAAUUACAUGAUUCCUUAGUUUUUAAGUUAGUAAAAAGACCAAAUAUCUUUGUAACAAUUAGUUUUAUAUUUUGUUGAUAUAAAUACCUCUCGGGAGCCUGUUCUCGGGGAGGAGUUCCUUCUGUAACCUUUUGGUAAGCAAGUAAAGUAUUUUCUUUCUACUGCCUUACCUUCUCACUUUGUAUUUUCAUUUUAUUUCUAAGUUAUGAAUUCUUUGAGGAGUUUUCCCCAGAGAAUGAGUAACUAAACCUCCAAUUCCUUGGAGCUAAGGUUGCCGGGGAAGGUUCCAAGUGCAAAAAUGCAAAACUCUGUGGUUUUAGCUAAUAAUGAAGAGGAAGUGAAAUCCUUUAGUGAUUUCAAUGUUUUUAGUUAACUUAAAACACUUUGGAGUCACCUAGGCCAACACUUGGUAAGGCAAGUGAUUUCCAACCGUGGAAAUGCACUAGUUUACCCCUUGCGAGCCUCUGGUAGGUGACUUCAAGGUAGGAUUUUCUGGAAUUACCAACACUUGGUAAGCUUUUGGACUCCUAGGAGACAUCCAUUAGUUAUCUCUUGCGAGUUUGUGAAGGGAAGUCCAAGGUUAAAGAUCACCUUGAAUGGUAAGUGCUCGUGAGAGGCAUGAACCAUUGCAAGUUGUAUCAGUGAGAGAAUUAAAGUGAAAUCUAAUUGAAGGAGUCUCUGUACAUCACCGGUUAGAGAAUUGACUAUAAGUUGAAUCUCUAAUGCGAGGAAAUGAACCAUCUGACCGGAGCUAUGUCUUUUGCAUGAGGAACCACCCCAGUGAACCUAAAUCUCCAAGGAAUGCUUUUCUUCCUAAAUUAUUCCAAACUUCUGUUAAGUUAGUUAGUUUAAGUCUCAACCUUUACCAAUCAAAGUUUGUGUUUUAUUUCUUAAACUAACCGUGAAAUGAAACAAAACCAAUUCACUUGGAAUUGGUAUCCUUGAUUGCUUGCAAAUCAUUCCCAGUGAACGAUCCUUAGAGCCACUAUACUAUAGUAGCUUUGUAUUUGCUACCCUAGUGUAUGGUGUUAUAGGUAUAAAUUUUGUUGAUCACUUCCUCAAUCAAGGAGCACCAGCUGAACACAAAUCAGCUGAGACACCAAUUGGGCAUGAGUCAGUCCAAACAAGGGAUGAAGGAGUAUGCAUUUGAAGUGAAGAUCAUCAGUCCAUUGAGGCAUCAGAACUUGGUGCAGCUCAUGGGCUGGUGCCAUAACAAAAGAGAGCUCGUAUUGGUUUGUGAGCUCAUUCCAAAUGGCAACUUAAGCUCCUGUCUUUUGGAAGAAAAAACCCUGCUAACAUGGGCAAUGAGGUAUAAAAUUGCUCUUGGCUUGGCCUCUUCGUUGCUCUACCUACAUGAAGAAUGGGAACAAUGUGUGGCACAUAGGGAUAUCAAAUCGAGUAAUGUGAUGUUGGACUCAGAUUUCAAUGCCAAGCUUGGAGAUUUUGGACUAGCCAGGCUUGUUGAUCAUGGGAAAGGGUCACAAACCACAGUUUUAGCUGGAACAUGGGAUACAUGGCUCCUGAAUGUCUCAUGACAGGCAAGGCCAAUAAGGAAACUGAUGUCUAUACUUUUGGGAUUGUUGCCUUAGAAAUCUGCUGUGGGAGAAGUCCUGUGGAACCAAUAGCUAAAGAGAAGCAGAUCAGAUUGGUGGAAUGGGUCUGGGACCUCUAUGGAUUAGGAAAGCUUUUCGAUGACGCUGAUCUAAGACUAUCCAAUGAUUUUGAUGAAUAACAAAUGGAACGAUUGAUGAUUUUUGGGCUUUGGUGUGCUCACCCAGAUUGCGAUCUUCGACCUUCAAUAAGGCAAGCAAUUAAUGUCCUUAAUUUGGAAGCUUCACUACCAAGGCUUCCUUUAAAAAUGUUUGUGCCAAUGUAUUAUUCUCCUCUAGUGCUACAAACAAUAUCGGGUGGCGCCACCAUCUCUGAGAGCAGCCACACCCAGUUUUCCGACUUCUCAAACAACACAACCUCAUCAUCAAAGCUCUUUGAAUCUCCUAGUUCAGCCUCUACUCCAUCUGUAUCCCUUUUGCACUGUCAUGUGAAGUAAUUUUAAUUAAUUUAUUUAAAGAUAUUUUGGUUUAUUGAGUUAGUUCAAAUAACCAGUAGUGGUGGGCUAGAGAGUGGAUAACGUGAGCUAUUCUUUAGCUAGCUAUUGUUUAGUAAUUGUUGUUGUUUAAUCUCUAAUUUGUUGAGUUUGUUAAGUUAUAAAUUUCCUUAGUCUUGAGCAAUAAAAUCAUUAGAUGAAAAUUUUCCAAAAACAUGUCUUUGUUUUCUACUUUCCAAAUUCUUUCAAUUCUGCUCAUAUUUUGUCUUAGCAACAUAGCUCGAGGGCGAGGGAGGGGACGGGAUCAUGCCAUUAACUUAGAACAUGACAAAGUGGUAUCAGAGCUAGUUAUGGCUGACGAUCAACGACUCCAAAGGCAUGAAAAUCAGGUUGAGAACCUGAGUUCAGGUCGAGAACCUGAGUUCAGGUCAAGAAAGGCUCCUUAAGCAAAUGGAAGAACCAGUAGGGGCAAUGAACUCCCUAUUCAACUUGCCAGAAGAAGGGUCCAUCAAUAGGAAUUAGGGACCACAUGGACAGGGUGGUGCUGGGUAUGCAGGUGGACUAGUGGUUCCUAAGCUUGCAAAGCUUGAUUUUCCUUGCUAUGAUGGCUCGGAAGAUCCAACUCUAUGGAUUUGCCGCGCAGAACAAGUCUUUGAAUUUCAAGGGACAUCAUUGGAAGAUCAAGUCAAAUUAGCAACCUAUCACUUGGAAAAAGAUGCUCAAUUGUGGUACCAACAAUGGAAAAAUCAAGGUCACUUGGUUACUUGGAUGGAAUGAAGGCGGGAUUGCUAGAGAGGUUUGUUGUAACUGAAUAUGAAGAUUCCUUUGGAGACUUAUGCAAGCUUAAGCAGACAGGAACUAUUUUCGACUAUCAAACUCAAUUUGAAAGGCUUCUAGCAUGGGCCGACACUUUAACAAAUAGACAAGAAGCUGAGUGUUUCAUUAGUGGAUUGAACGAUGGGCUAAGGAUGAUGUAAGAGUCCAAAACCCUCAAAAUUUGUCUACUACAAUUAGGUUAGCAUGUACUUAUGAACUCAAAGCCCAAGAAGUGAGGCGCCCAACCAAUUCUCCUCUUUAGUUCGCAACUCCAACAACCAACGGAACACCUUAACCCCUAGUGGUGCGAAAGGCACCAAUCCAGAGAGAAUUUUACCAAUCCAUAAAUUAUCUUCAACCGAACUCUAAAGGCGCCGAUAGCAAGGGUUGUGCUACAACUGUGAUGAAAACUAUACAAUGGGUCAUAUAUGCAAGAAAUCGUUCUUCAUUAAACUAGAAGAAGAGAAUGAAGAAGCCAUAGAAGAAGACUAUGUAGAAGAGACACUAGUUAUCUCUUUACAUGCCUUGGCUAGAGUCAAUCUCCACAAACUAUGCGGAUCCACUCACAGAUGGGUAAGACUUCACUGACAAUUUUAAUUGAUUCUGGUUCCACUCAUAAUUUUUUGCAUCACAAAUUUGCCAAAAUCAUCGGACUUAAGUUGGAAAGGAGCUGUUUGUUUAGCUUGGUGGUUGCCAAUGAGGAGAGGUUGUCAAGUCCUGGGCGUUGUAAUGGAGUAAAAUUAUCCUUGCAAGGCAUCCCAAUUGAGGUAGAUUUUUUCUUACUUCCUUCAGAAGGUUGUGAUGUUAUUCUAGGAGUACAACAGUUAGGUACUCUUGGUCCAAUUUUGUGGGAUUUUGGAAGAAUGCAAAUGCAAUUCACUAUAGCUGGGUGAAAGGUGUUGCUACAAGGUUCAACCUCCUCAGAACUUCGGGCUCUUGAAUGUGAUACUAUUUUUAGAACAUUGAGGCAAAGUGAUGGUAGGGGAAUUAUCUUAUAGCUUUGUGCAAUCCGACAUGAGCCUACAAAUCAUAAGGAGUUACUAUCGGAUGCAAUGGCGCCAUUGCUCAUUGAGUUCAGUGAAUUGUUUAAAGCACCUACGAGAUUACCACAUCCACGCUCUCAUGACCACAGGAUUCCCCUCCAGCCAAGAGCAAGUCCAAUUUGAGUACACCCUUAUCAAUACAUGCAUUUUCAAAAACAAGAGAUUGAAUGGUUGGUGGAGGAGAUGUUAUCAUAGGGUAUAAUUCGUCCUAACCAAAGCCCAUUUUCCUCUCCGGUACUUUUGGUGUGAAAACAUGAUGGGAGUUGGAGGUUUUAUGUGGACUAUUGAGCGCUAAGCUGGGUUACGAUCAAAGAUAAGUUUCCAAUUCCGGUUAUAGAUGAAUUGUUAGAUGAGAUACAUGGUGCCAAAUGCUUCACCAAAUUGGAUCGUAGAUCUAGUUAUUUUCAAAUUCUUCACCAAACAGCCUUCUGAACUCACCACGGGCACUUUGAAUUUUUGGUAAUGCCUUUCGGCCCCUCUAACACCCCAUCUACAUUUCAAUCACUCAUGAAUGAGAUUUUUAAGGCUCAUCUAAGAAAAUUCAUUUUUGUAUUCUUUGAUGACAUUCUAAUUUAUAGUAGCACAUGGGUUGAACAUUUGAAACAUGUUAGAAUUGCAUUUUCCAUCUCAUCAUCUUGUAGUCAAGAAAGAAAAAUGUCAGUUUGGGCAUACACAAAUCAAAUAUUUGGGGCAUAUCAUUUGUCAAAAUGGUGUGAAUGUGGAUCUAGAAAAAAUAAAGGCAAUGAUGGAAUGGCCAAAACCAACAAUUAUCAAAGCUUUGAGGGGUUUUUUAGGACUAACGGGUUAUUAUCAAAAGUUUAUUGUAGGUUAUGGCAAAAUUGCAGCUCCUUUGGCUGACAUGUUGCGAAAAAAUGUUUUUUCUUAGUCUCAAAAAGCGGAAGAAGCAUUUGAAUUAUUGAAACAAACCAUGAUAUAGGCUCCAGUUUUAGCCUUGCUAAAUUUCCAGCUCUUAUUUUUGGUGGAAUGUGAUACAUCGGGGAAUGGAUUAGGAGUUGUUCUAAUGCAAGAACAAAGACCUAUUGCUUAUUUCAGCACUGUCUUGAAGGAAAAACACCUUUUGUUGUCCACUUAUGAAAAAGAACAUAUGACACUUGUUCUUGUGGUAAAAAAAAUGGCGACCUUACUUGCUUGGCCGUCAUUUUAUGGUCCGAAUUGACCAAUGCAACCUCAAAUUUAUUUGGGAGCAAGGAAUAAUGAUUGAACUGCAACAAAAAUGGUUGCUCAAAUUAAUGGGUUAUGACUUCUCCAUCGAAUUCAAGAGGGGUAAGAAUAAUAUGGCAACAGAUGCUUUAUCAAGAAAGGACACACAAGGGGAAUUCAAUGCAGUCUCUAGUCUCCUACCCCAAUGGUUGGAAUCCAUUAAGGUUGAGAAUCAAUCACACCUGGAGCUGCAACAAAUUCAUCACUUGCAUGAGCAAGGAGAGACUAUUGGACCAUGGGAAAAUCGAAAUGGCAUAAUAUUCUUUAAGAAACAUAUCUAACUUCCAUCUAACUCAAAACUCAUCCCAAUCAUUCUCCAAGAAAUUCAUGGCAUUGGGAAUGAGGGUCUUUACAAAAAUCUUCAUCGAGUGAAGGAGGUAUUUUAUUGGAGGAAAUGAGGAAGGUUACACUAGAUUACAUCAAGUAAUGUGAUGUUUGUCAAAGCCAUAAGAUAGAUCACCAAAAGCCAACAGGUCUUCCCCAACCAUUGCCUAUUCCUACAUAGGUAUGGGCAGACAUCUCUAUGGAUUUUAUUGAUGGCCUACCCCCUUAUAAGGGGAAGACAAUACUCCUUGUGGUGGUGGAUCGAUUUUCCAAAUAUGCACAUUUUAUUCCAAUGUCUCACCUUUACAUUGCACCAAAAGUGGCUCAAACAUUCUUUGAAAAUGUGUUUAAACUCCAUGGCAUGCCAAGUUCAAUAGUAUGUGAUUGGGACUCUACUUUUAUAAGUGCUUUUUGGAAAGAGCUUUUCAAAUUGCAGGGCACUAGCUUCAAUUUCAGCUCAUCUUACCACCCCCAAACAGAUGGCCAAACUGAAGCAGUGAAUUGGGCUCUUGAGAUGUACCUGUGUUGUUUUACUAGUUCAAGACCAAAGGAGUGGGUUCAAUGGGUUCCUUGGGCUGAAUUCUAUUACAACACCAAUCUAAAAGCUUCUACUCGCAAAACUCUCUUCAAAGUGGUGUAUGAAAAAGAGCCCCCCAACUUGCUUCCUAUUUUCCUAGUACAUCAAAAGUUGAAGUUGUAGAUAACAUGCUCCAAGUAAGAGAUAAAGUUGUAAAAGACUUAAGAUGUCAGCUCCAAUAAGCACAAGCUAGAAUGAAGACCCCUUAUGACCAAGGGAGAGUUGAGAGAGAAUUUGUUGUUGGUAAUUGGGUAUAUCUACGGCUACAACCUUAUCGACAAACUUCGUUGGCUUUGAGACAGUCACAUAAACUCUUCCCGCGAUUUUAUGGGCUAUACCAUGUGCUAGAACGAAUUGGUUCGGUGGCUUAUUGACUUGAUCGGGACCAGGAAGUAAGAUUCAUCUAAUUUUCCAUGUGUUGACCCUAAAAAAAUGGUAAGGUACAACUGAUAAAAUUGAUUAUCCUUUUCCAUUAGUAUCAGAAACAUUAGGUCACUUGCAACCUCAGCCUAUAGUAGUUCUAAAUUCUCUCAGCAAUGGGCAUAAACAUGAACUACUUUAUUUAGUGGCAGAGGCUCCUAACAACAGAUCCUACUUGGAAGGAUGAGUACCAACUUCGAAACAAAUUUCCAGACUUUGUGUGUCCUUGAGGACAAGGACGAUUCCAAGGAGGGAGGAAAUGUCAUGUGCAACAAUUUUAAUUUAUUUAUUUCAAAUAUUUUGGUUUAUUGAGUUAGUUCAAAUAACUAGCAGUAGUAGGGCUAGAGAGUGGUUAACAUGAGUUAUUCUUUAACUAGCUAUUUUUUAAUAAUUGUUGUUGUUUAAUCUCUAAGUUGUUGAGUUUGUUAAGUUAUAAAUUUCCUUAUUCUUGAGCAAUAAAAUCAUUAGAUAAAAAAUUUCCAAAAACUUGUCUUUGUUUUCUGAUUUCCAAAUUCUUUCAAUUCUGUUCAUAUUUUGUCUUAGUUACAUAGCUCGAGGGCAAGAUAGGGGACAAGGGAGGGGAUGGGAUUAUGCCAUUAACUUAGAAUGUGACAUGCACACAUGCUAAUUGGGUUGGAAACAUCGCCUCUAUGCUUUUGAAUUUGUAAUAUAUUUGCAAUUGUGGUCAUAUAUGAUUCCAGUUCUCUAUUUAUUUGACAUCUUGUUCAACUUUGUUAUAUACAUAAAGAAAAUCAUUUUAAGCAAUUUUUUAGGAUAUGAAAUUAAGUCUAUACUCAAGGAGGAAAAAAUCGGCGAAAUAUCGCCGAUAUAUCUCGUGUCGACGGGUGGCGACAUGACAAAUGGAGGAGAUAAGUCGGCUGGGCGAUUUUUCGCCAAAAAUCGCCAAAAAAAUCGGCGAUAAAUCGCCGAUAUAUCGACGACAUAGGAUAAAUCGGCGAUUUAUCGCCGAUUUUUUGGCGAAAAAUCGCCCCUCUCUCUCCAGUGUGAUCUGACGGCCCAGAUCACGCCCGUGUUGAUCCAACGCCCAGAUUUGAAUCCCAACAUUAACAAAGAGAUCCAACGGCCAGAUUGCUUCCAAAUUGUGAUCCAACGGCCAAAAUUAAUUUUAAACGGUAACUUAAGGUUCCAACGGCUAUUUUGGCCCAAAUUUCAUCUAUAAAUAGCCAAUUUUGCAUCAAUUUCAUCCAUCUUUGCUUUGAUUCUUCAUUUGCUCUCUUACUACUCCAAUUUUUUCCAAGAUUGCUCAAUUAUUCAAUCAUUUUAAGGUAUGUUUGUUUGAAAUUAUAAUUAAUUUUGUUUGCAAUAAUUAAUUCAUGUAUUUUUAAUUAAUUAGUAUGUUUACAUUCAAUUGUAAUUAUUUUGUAUAUUUUUAUUGAAUUAAUUUAGGUUAUGAUAUAUUUAUUUUAGAUGAUUAUUUGUGAUUUAAAUUCGUAUUUAGAAUUACAUUAAACUAAUUAACUUAGCUAAAUUGUUUAAUUAAUUUAAUUAACAUAGUAAAUUAUGUAAUUAAUUUAAUUAACAUGGUUAAAUAUGCUCAAUUUUUUAUAUUGUCGCGAUUUUUUUUUCAUAUUCAAUUAUGAUUAAUUUCAAUAUUUAGUAAAUUUGUCAUAAAAUUACAUUUAGAUUUUAAAAAUUAACUUAGGUAAUUUAUUUAAUUAGUUUAAUUAACAUGAACUACUAUAUAUGGAAUAUUAAAUAUGCUCAAUUUUUUAUAUUAUCGCGAUUUUUUUUCAUAUUCAAUUAUGAUUAAUUUCAAUAUUUAGUAAAUUUGUCAUAAAAUUACAUUUAGAUUUUAAAAAUUAACUUAGGUAAUUUAUUUAAUUAGCUAAAUUAACAUGAACUACUAUAUAUGGAAUAUUAAAUAUGCUCAAUUUUUUAUAUUAUCGCGAUUUAUUUUCAUAUUCAAUUAUAAUUAAUUUCAAUAUUUAGUAAAUUUGUCAUAAAAUUACAUUUAGAUUUUAAAAAUUAACUUAGGUAAUUUAUUUAAUUAGCUAAAUUAACAUGAACUACUAUAUAUGGAAUAUUAAAUAUGCUCAAUUUUUUAUAUUAUCGCGAUUUAUUUUCAUAUUCAAUUAUAAUUAAUUUCAAUAUUUAGUAAAUUUGUCAUAAAAUUACAUUUAGAUUUUAAAAAUUAACUUAGGUAAUUUAUUUAAUUAGCUAAAUUAACAUGAAAUACUAUAUAUGGAAUAUUAAAUAUGCUCAAUUUUUUAUAUUAUCGCGAUUUAUUUUCAUAUUCAAUUAUGAUUAAUUUCAAUAUUUAGUAAAUUUGUCAUAAAAUUACAUUUAGAUUUUAAAAAUUAACUUAGGUAAUUUAUUUAAUUUGUUUAAUUAACAUAGAUUUAAAUUUAAGCGUAUUUUUCUUGCAAUAGAUUUAGCAUGGCUAGUGAAGGUGGUUUUGCCGUGCCAGGGCGAGAUCCGGCUUGGAAGUAUUGUUUACAAAUUGAGGGUAAUCGAAAUGGAACAAUUUGUAAUUUUUGUGGGUUGGUAAUGAAAAGUGGAGGCAUCACACGAUUCAAGUCUCAUUUAAUGCAUAAGGACCCGCAUAACAACACCAAAAAGUGUCCAAGAGUACCGCCCGAAGUGAAAGAAGAGAUACGAUUGUUGGUGCAUGACAAACAAAAAGCAAAAGCAAAGAAAAAUGCUGAUAUUGAAGAAAUUUGUAGUCAAUUACGUGGCACAAUGGGGACGCAUCAUACACAUUUGGUAAACGAAGAUGAUGAUGAUGAAUAUGCUGAGGAUGAAGAUGUGUAUAUGUAUCCGACAGAUAUGCACCCAGAUGAGCGAGAUGCAUAUCGAUCUACAGUUCGUGCCUCGAAAGCAUCUAAUUGGGAACGUGAACAACAUGAGAAUAUUGUAGGAAGCAAACGCAAAUCGGGAGAGUCUUCUACUGGUAUACCAUCGACGAUGCGAAAAUCACAGAGUAUGUGACAUUCACAUGAUUCACCCCCUAUUGCCCCUUCGCUUUACAAGUCUUCUGCAGCAAAACAAAAAAAUAUCAAAGAUAUAUUCAAGGGUGGUGCAAUUAAAGAAACGAUGGGACGCUUAAUCAGCAAAUUCUUCAUUUAUGAGAGUGUCGCACCCGCAAAAGCAAAGUCUCAUCACUUCAAGAAUAUGAUUAUUGGUGCACAACAAGCAGGUAAUUACUAAUUUAUCAAAUGUUAUAUUGUGUUAUACUUUUAGUAAGUAUAGUAUUUUGUGACAUGUUUUACAUAUGAAGUGCAGGAAUGAGAAUUGAACCUCCAUCUCCAUAUGAAAUGAAGAACAAAUACUUGGAAAUGGAGUACAAAGAAAUGGAAGCUUAUGUGAACCAACAAAGGGAAAAAUGGAAGACAUAUGGGUGCACAAUAAUGUCAGAUGGAUGGACAGGGCCCACGAAAUUAAGUAUUAUUAAUUUCAUGGUUUAUUCUAAAGGGACCAUGGUGUUCCUUAAGUCAGUCGAUGCAUCGAACUAUAUCAAAGACCACAAGUAUAUAUAUGAGCUUUUGAAGACUAUUAUCAAAGAAGUCGGUAAGGAAAAUGUGGUCCAAAUUUUCACAGAUAAUGGGUCGGCAUUCAUGAAAGCAGGGAAACAAUUGAUGAAGAAGUAUAACUUAUAUUGGACUCCGUGUGCGGCACACUGCAUCGACUUAAUCUUUGAAGACAUCGGUAAAAGACCCAAUGUUAUCGAGGUGAUAAACAAUGCUCGCAAGAUAACUAACUUCAUUUACAAUCAUGGUUGGUUACUAGCACAAAUGAGAAAGUAUUGUGGUGGAGACAUUGUUCGACCAGGAGCUACAAGGUUUGCUACCAAUUAUAUUGCUCUUGACAGUCUUCUAAAAAAAAGGGCUGAUUUGAAAAAAUUGUUUAUGAGUGAUGAAUGGGCACAACACAAACUCAGUCGAACAAAACUUGGAUGAGAAUUGGAGCAAUUAUUGUUUGACCAUACGUAUUGGGACAGAUUGACAAAUAUAGUUUCAUUAUAUGAGUCAUUAUACGUGGUGCUUCGACUUGUGGAUUCUGAAGUUGUUCCCACAAUGCCAUUUGUGUACGAGCUUAUGCACGUGAUGAAAGAGAACCUUAUUCGUCAAGGAGCUGGAGAUUGGAUGUUCAAAAUAAUACAAGAUCGUUGGCAGAAAACACUAAAACAUCCACUUCAUGCAGCAGGUACUUAAAUACUAUAUAUCUUUAUAAGUUUUUACUUUGUAUUUAAGUUUCUUUUUUUUUAAAAAUACUAACUCUACUAAAUUUUAUGGUAGCAUACUUCUUGAAUCCAAGAUUUCAAUAUAGGCGUGGAGUUGGUAGUGAUCCGGAACUACUUCAAGUUGUCCAUGAUGUUUUUGCGAAAUUAGAUCCAACUACUGAAUCGCUUGGUCAAUUUGGAAAUGAGGUGAAUAAAAAAUUGUUAUUUUUGUCAAUAAAACAAUAAUUUCAUUCAUCAAUUUAUUUGAACGUUUACUAACAAAUUAAAUGUUGAAUACAUAGCUUGUACUUUUUCGAGAUGCAAAAAGAGGAUUCGGUGAUCGAGCGGCAAUUGCAUCAAGGUCAACCAUGGUGCCCGGUGAGUCUUUAUAGGAAAAAUUUGAUUAUUAUUAUUGUAAGUUCACCACAUAAGUAUUUAUAUGAUUAUCAAAUUCGUUGCAGCUGAAUGGUGGUUUAUGUAUGGGAAUCAAACACCUACAUUGAGAAAGUUAGCCAUCAAAGUUCUCUCACAAACUGCGUCAUCUUCUGCAUGUGAGAGAAAUUGGAGCACGUUUGCUCUCAUCCACACAAAGCAACGAAAUCGUUUGGCUUACUCUUGAUUGGAGCAAUUAGUGUUUUGUUACUAUAAUAUGAGGCUAAAGUUACGCGAUAUGGAGGCAGAAAAUGAUCGAGUUGCUGAAAAAGAUUACCUUGAUCUUCUUGACAUUUUAGCCGAGGUGGGUGAAGAAGAAGAUAAUCAGUUGUUCCAGUGGGUUAGGCCUAUACACUUGGAUGACGAAGUUGGAAAUCCUGAUCCAUGAAUUGCCGCUCAUGCUCGAGAAUUUGGAGUUAAUGUUGAACGUGUGUUGUCCGAAGAAGUUCACUCUGAAAGUUUUAGCAAAGAUACUGAUGAUUCCCUUCAUGCGACAUAUUCCCACCAAGAGAUUGACUCCACAAGUGCUGGCCAUAGUAGUAGACCUAGUGCUGCAGGUACUUCUGCUUCUGGUUACGAUGGUUCAAGAGGUGGAACUGAUGAUGGCGGUGAUAAUGGGGGAGGAGAUAUUGAUGAACGUCGACAUAGUCAAUAUCCAAUCAACCAAUUUACUUGUGAAAAUGAUUUCACACACUGCACACAGGAUGAAGACCAUGGCUCUAGAAGAGCUGGUCCAGGCAUAGGAGCUAUUGGGAGGCCUUAUAGAGGAAGAGAACGAAUGAUGGAACCAUAUAACGAGGAGUUACUUUCAGGGAGUUUUGAAUUUAUGAGUAUAGGGACUCAAUUUAGUGACUCCUCGAAUGAGGCUAACGUCUACCCUCCUCAUGUGAUGAGUUAUGGUCAACCUUCAAGUUCAACAGAUGAAGAGUAUGGUAUGUCGUAUUAUUCCCCUUCCAGACAAAUGCCAUACCAAAUUCCAUAUCAGAUGGAAGAAGGAUUUGGCGUUAACACAUGGGUGAACUUUGAGUAUCCUAUCCAUGUAGAAGCAGUAGGCAGGACUCAAGAGAUAUAUGCAUGGCAUGUUAGAAUUUAUAACCAAUAUUAUCGAGGCUCAUUGACUUGGUACCAAUAUUGUCUCCAACAGCAAGCCGGGGUUCCUUCAUCUAUCAAUCCCAUUGAACCACAUCGAAACUCAUUUUGGUACUAAAGGGACAUUGCAAUGUAAUGUGUACAAAUUAUUGUUAUUUAAUGAAAUGAAGUAUUUGAUGUGACUUUAUAAUGAGAACAAUUAUGAAAUUAACAUUUCUUAUAGAUCGACAUGAUAUAAUUACAUCUAAUAUCGCAAAUUAUAUCAUAUAUAUAUCAAAUUUUUCAAUAAAACAAUUUUAAAAUGUCUAUUAUACUUCUAAUUAUAUUAUUAUGAGGUUUUUCUUGCAUUUCCAUGAGUUUUUAACAAUUUUAAGCCUACCAAUAAUAUCCACCGAUAUAUCUCCGAUAUAUCCAAAAAUAUCUCCGAUAUAUCCGAUAUAUCUUUAAAAUCGAAUUACCGAUAUAUCCGUGAUUACCGAUAUUUUCAUCCUUGUCUAUACUAAUUUUGCAUGGUUGGAAAUGAUUGGUUAACUUAUCUGAAUUUGAUGAAUUGUGCUUUAAAUUGGUAGCAUAAGAAACUUGAUUCAUUAAGACUCCAGCUUGAUUACAUAUAUAACAGACUUUAAAUUUCCAAAGAGUUUAAAUGGCUUAUAUGAAAUAGGUAGGAACAAUAUAAUGCUAGUGCAAGCUUGUUUUCAUGAUCUGCUGUUCACUGCAUGUUAGCAUAUAUAUAUAUAUAUACUCAAGGUCUUCCAUUCCACUAACCUAAGAGAUGCCAAGAAAUCUCUAUUUGAAGUUCUUUUCAAAGGACUUAAUCACUCACCAUUUAAAGGAAUUGCUCACCAUGUGUCGAAAAAAUAAAAAAUAAAUAAACAAGAAAUCUCUAGUUGAAGCUUUAUCAUUGGAUGAAUUGCUCUUCAUUUGUUAAAAAAAUAACAAUAAAAAUAAAAUGUAAGUAAAAAAUAAAGCCUUGUCUGGAGUUUUUCUCUUUGGAAGGAUUUCUCAACAAUUGGGAAAUGUAGACAACGAAUAAGAAAACAUACUUUGAUGUUUAUUUGCUGCUAAUGAAAGCAACUCAGGGGAUGUUAUUAGGGCUUAGCAUAUGGAGUGAUUGACCAUUGUGAAUAGAUGUGCUAGAGUCUAACAGACUUAAUUUGAUGCUUGACAUGGUGGUCAUUUUGCAUUCGUCCUAAGGUUGAGCCUCGACUGAUGGGUUGAUGUGGACAUGUAGAGAACCUUUUUUGUACUAGGCUCAUUGUUUGCCUUGAUGGAACAAGGACUUUAAUUUUUUUUUUUUUAAAUGUAACUAUGAAGGAUGUUACAUUACUCCUAAUGCAUAAAGAAAAUGAUAAAGAAAAACGCACUAUGGUUAAGUUUACAAUACAAUUUUUACCUGAACUUAAUUAUAGUUGAGUUGCAUUAACAAAGAACUUAACUAGGUUUAAGUUCGUAGUCACAAUACUCACUUAAACUUAAUUAUAGUUAAGUUGUAUUAAUUGAGAACUUAACUAGGGUUAAGUUCUUAGUCACAUUUUUUACUUGAACUUAAUUAUGGUCGAGUUGCCUUAAUUAAGUACUUAAAUUCUAGUUAAGUUGUCAACUAAAAUGUUUAUAUGACCUUUAACUUAUGAUUGAUUUUCAUUUAGAAAGAGUUUACACAUUAAUUUAUUAAGUUUUAUGGACCUCAUACGGUUUGGAUAUUGAUUAAAUAAGUCAAUUACACAUAGGGAGUGUGGAAUUGAUGCUUGGAAAAAUCAAAAUCGAAAAAUACUAAAAAAAUUAAAUCAUCACAUUCUUUGUACCCUCCCAAAUCUCCACUUCUUUUGAUUUUUUUUUUAAAUUGGACCUCACAUGGCUUGGAUAUUGAUCAAAUAGGUUAAUUACACUUAAGGGGAGUUCAAUUGAUGCCUAGAAAAAUCGAAAUCCAAAAAUAUUAAAAAAUUAGCAAAGGUCUGAAGAAUGUGAGGAAUAGGGUAAUUCUUGGUACCCUUCAAAAUCUCCACUUCUUUGAACCUUAAAAAAAGAAAAAAAAACAAUUCCUCAUAUGACUUAGAUAUUGUUUAAAUAGGUCAAUUACACUUAGAGGGUGUGCAAUUGAUACCCGAAAAAAUUGAAAUUGAAAAAUAUUAAAAAAUUAUCAAGGGUAUGAAGAAUGUGAGGAAUCCUCACAUUCUUCGUACCCUCCAAAAUCUCCACUUCUUUGAGUUUCUUUAAAAAAAAAAAAAAAAAAAAAAAACCUCAUAUGGCUUGGAUAUUUAUUAAAUAGGUUAAUUACAUUUAAGGAAUGUGCAAUUGAUGCUUAGAAAAAUAAAAAAAAAAUUCCAAAAAUACUAAAAAUUUCCACUUCUUUGAGUUUUUUUUUUUUUUUUUUUUUUUUUUUAUAAUUUGAACCUCAUAUAGUUUGGAUAUUGAUCAAAUAGGUUAAUUACACUUAAGGGGUGUUCAAUUGAUGUCCAGGAAAAUCAAAACCGAAAACUACUAAAAAAAAAUUAAAUCCUCACACUCUUCGUAUCCUCCCAAAUCUCCACUUCUUUGAGUUUUUAUUUUUUAUUUUUUAAUUGGACCUUACAUGGGUUGGAUAUUGAUUAAAUAGGUUAAUUACAUUUAAGGAUUGUUCAAUUGAUACUCGAAAAAGUCAAAAUCCAAAAAUACUAAAAAAAAUAACAAAGGAACGAAGACAUUCUUUUUACCAUCCAAAAUCUCCAAUUCUUUAAACUUUUCAAAAAACAAAAACUUUCUAUCUCAUAUGGCUUGGAUAUUAUUUAAAAAGGUUUAUUACAUUUAGGGGUGUGGAAUUAAUACCCAAAAAAAUCAAAAUAAAAAAUACAAAAAAUUAGCAAGGGUACAAAGAAAGUGAGGUCACAUUCUUCGUAUCCUCCAAAAUCUCCAUUUCUUUGAGUUUUUUUGAAAAAAAAAUAAAAAAUGGACCCCAUAUGAAUUAGAUAUUAAUUAAAUAGGUUAAUUACACUUAGAGGGUGGUCAAUUGAUGUCCUAGAAAAUCGAAAUCCAAAAAUAUUAAAAAAUUAGCAAGAAUACGAAAAACAUGAAGAAUCCGCAAAUUCUUCCUACCAUCCAAAAUCUCCACUUCUUUAAGUUUCUUUAAAAAAAAGUUGGACCUCAUAUGACUUGGAUAUUGUUUAAAUUGGUCCAUCAUAGUAAGGGCAUAUGGAAUUGAUGCUAAAAAAAAAAUCAAAAUUGAAAAAUACUAAAAAAAAAUUAAAUUCCUACCUUCUAUGUACCCUCCCAAAUCUCUACUUCUUUGAGGUUUUUUUUUUCAAAAUAAAUAAAUAAAUAAAUUGGACCUCAUAUGCUUGAAUAUUGAUUAAAUAGGUUAAUUACAUUUACGGGUGUUCAAUUGAUGUUCAAAAAAAUUGAAAUCUAAAUAUACUAAAAAAAUUAGCAAAAGUACAAAGACAUUCUUCGUACCUUCCAAAUCUUCAUUUCUAUGAGUAAAAAAAAAAAUAUAUAUGUCUCAUAUGGAUUGGAUAUUGUUUAAAUAUGUUAAUUAUAAUUAGGGGGUGUGAAAUUGAUGUCCAAAAAAAUCGAAAUCCAAAAAUAUUAAAAAAUUAUCAAGAAUACAAAUAAUGUGAGGAAUGUCUCACAUUCUUCAUACCCUAAAAAAUCUCCACUUCUUUGAGUUGUUUAAAAAAAAAUUUGGACCUCAUAUGGCUUGUAUAUUGAUUAAAUAGGUCCAUUACACUAAGAGUGUUCGGAAUUGAUGCCCCAAAAAAUUGAAAUCGAAAAAUACUAAAAAAUUAAAUCCUUACAUUCUUCAUACCCUCCUAAAUCUCCACUUAUUUGAGUUUCUCAAAAAAAGUUUUUGACCUCAUAUGACUUGGAUAUUGAUUAAAUUGGUCCAUUACACUAAAAAAAAAAUUAAAUAAAAAAAUACUAAAAAAAUUAAAUCGAAAAAUACUAAAAAAAUUAAAUUCUUACAUUCUUCAUACCCUCCCAAAUCUUCACUUUUUAAAAUUUAUAAAAAAAAAAAAAUUAUACCUCAUAUGGCUUGGAUAUUGUUUAAAUAGGUUAAUUUUCACUUAGGGGGUGUGGAAUUAAUGCCAAAAAAAAAAUCAAAAUACUAAAAUACUAAAAAAUUAGCGAGGGUAUGAAAAAUGUGACAUCACAGUCUUUGUACCUUCCAAAAUCUUCACUUCUUUAAGUUUCUAAAAAAAAUAAAAAUUGGACCUCAUAUGGCUUGGAUACUGAUUAAAUAAGUUAAUUGCACUUAAGAGGUAUUCAAUUAAUGCCCUGAAAAAUCAAAAUCCUAAAACACUAAAAAUUAGCAAAGAUACAGAGAAUGUGAAAAAUCCCUCACAUUCUUCAUACCGUCCAAAAUCUUCACUUCUUUGACUUUAAAAUACUAAAAAAAUUAGCAAGGGUAUGAAGAAUGUGAGGAAUCCUCACCUCAUAUUCUUCAUACCCUCCAAAAUCUCCACUUCUUUGACUUACAAAAUUUUUUUUAGACCUCAUAUGACUUUAAUAUUGAUUAUAUAGGUUAAGUACACUUAGGGGGUGUUAAAUUGUUGCUUGAAAAAAUUGAAAUCUAAAAAUACUAAAAAAUUAGCAAUGUAAUGAAUAAUGUAAGGAAUUCUCACAUUCUUUGUACCCUCCCAAAAUCUCCACUUCUUUAAACUUCUUUAAAAAAAAAAAUUAUACCUCAAAUGGUUUGGAUAUUGUUUAAAUAGGUUAAUUACACUUAGGAGGUGUGAAAUUGAUGUUCAGAAAAAUCGAAAUCGAAUAAUACUGAAAAAUUUGUAAGGGUAUAGAGAAUAUGAAAAAUCCUCACAUUAUUCGUACCCUCUAAAAUUUUUAUUUUUUUUUUAGUUUAUAAAAAUAUUUUUGGAUCUCAUAUUGCUUGGAUAUUGAUUAAAUAAGUCAAUUACACUUACGGGGUAUUCAAUUGAUGCUUGGAAAAAUCCAAAUCCAAAAGUACUAAAAAAAUUAGCAAGGGUACGAAGAGUAUGAGGAAUCCUCAUGUUCUUUAUACCUUCCAAAAUCUCCACUUUUUUUAAGUUUAAAAAAAUUUCUUUGGAUCUUAUGCUAAAAUACUAAUAAAGGGUAUGAAGAAUACGUGGAAUCCUCACAUUAUUCAUAUCCUCCAAAAUCUCCACUUCUUUGAGUUUUUUUUUUUUUUUAUUUAAAAAAAUGGACCUUAUAUGGCUUAGAUAUUGAUUAAAAAGAUUAUUUACACUUAGGGCUGGUAAAAUUGAGGUCUAGAAAAAUUGAAAUCGAAAAAUACUAAAUAAUUAGUAAGGGUAUGAAGAAUGUGAGGAAUCCUCACAUUUGUAACUUCCCAAAUCUCCUCUUAUUUGUGAUUUUAAAUCAUUUUUUGACCUUAUAUGGUUUAGAUAUUGAUCAAAUAGAUUAAUUACACUUCAAGGGUGUCCAAUUGAUGUCUAAAAAAAAAAAAAAAAAAAUUCUAAAUCCAAAACUACUUAAAAAUUAGUAAGAGUGCGAAGAAUGUGAGAAAUCUUCACAUUCUUCGUACCCUCCAAAAUCUCCGCUUCCUUCAAUUUUUACAAAUUUUUUGCACCUCAAUUGGUUUGGAUAUUGAUUAAAUAGGUCAAUUAUACUUAAGGGGUAUUGAAUUGAUGUCCAAAAAUUUUGAAAUCCAAAAAUACUAAAAAAAUUGCGAAGGAUGUGGAAUUUCAUAUUGUUACUAAUUAUAUAUAUAUAUAUAUAUAUUUGGUAUUUUCAAUAUUUCAACCAAUAUUUUAUGUAAUUAAAUUCAAAUUAUAAGAAAUAGUUUAUUAAUACAAUUUUCAAUUAUUAAUUAGUACAUAACAAUUUUAUUUUUUGACAAUGUAUACUUAUUUAAAUUUAUUUUCAUAUUUUUUAAAAAGUUUAAUUAAACUUACAAUUCAUUGAAAUGAUUCAAUUUUUUUUUUCAUUUUAAAAAUCAAUUAUAUUGUUUUUCACUCUUUCAAUAUUCAUCCAAUUUUUUCCACAAAUAAUUUCAAAUUAAAAUAAAAUUAGUUAACUAAUUCUCAAUUUAUUAAUUAUAUAUAUCACCAAAUUAUAUUUUUUUUUACAAUAUAUAGUUUAUUUCAAAUUUUAUUUUAUUUUUCUUCACCUCUUAGGUUUAUUACUUUAUAUUACAAAAUAAAAUAAAUUACAAUAUCUCUUUCACAAAUUUGUUAUUUUUAAAAAAUUUUCAAUAUUUUCCAACUUUUAUAGAAUAAUUCCUAAAAUUAUAUAACUGGUUGUUGUAAAGAUUUUAAAUUUUGUGUUGCCUGGGAUUAUUUUCUUAACGGAAUAAGUUUUUUUAUUUUUUUAUUCACCUAACCUUCACAUGUGGCUAUUACCGUUGGUGGAAAAUUAUGGGUAUGGUACCAAAAAGGAGAAUUCAGACCCAUGAAUUCAUUGGUGUAAAAUGGUUUUGAGUUAAACUUAGUCCAUAUCACAAGAUUCAAGUUGAAAUUAUGACUCUCUAUAAAUGGAAUAACUCUCUUAUCAGAUUCAUUAGUAUAAAAUGAUCCCUUUUAGCAUAGAUAUUAUUCAUUCUAUAUUCGUUGUAUAUAGAUAAUAUUUGUAAUGACCUACUUCCUCUCUUAAAUAUUGUUCGGUAUAAAGUUUCAUAAUUUUAGAACAUAUCAACUUAAUCAAAAGAAACUAAUCACAUAUGAUGUAAAUAAUUUUUUUCUUAAUCAAUGUGAAAUGUGAAAUAUCGUAUAAAUAAUAUUCACACAAUCAUCCAUUUUCAUGAGUAUUUGGAAAUAAGAUCAUAUGAUCUAGAAGAUUGAAAAUUAAUUUUGAUACCCGUUCUUGUGUACGUGCUUUAAGAAGGCGGCGUUGACAAGUUCUUUGUAAUUGUUUUUCUUGUAUGCAACAUGUCAUAAUUUUUUUUUUUUCCUUUUUUCCCUCAAACAAAAGAUACAUAUAAAUAUCCAUAUAAUACGUCAAUACAUUGACUUAUAAUAGGCUAGAUCAUCACACUCUUAAGGUUGUAGAUGCUCAAUCAAAAAGCCAAAACUCCUAGUAAGGGUGCUGGCCGAUGAUGUUGCCCUGUGGGCUGUAGUUGCAGCUGACGAACCACCAGCCAUUGUUGCACUGCACUCUUGCACACCCUAGACUUACCGAAUUGCGCCAAACCACCUGAGUAUAAUGUCCACACUCUCCUCCAACACAUGAGUUAGAGUUAUAGUCAUAAUUAGACUUCUCUCCAACCCACAGGUUGGCAGCAUCCGUGGCGGUGAAAUCACCACUGCCCAUGGCGAGGUUCUCGCCAUAAGGACCAUUUGAAUGCACCAUGUUGCAGUCGCCACUCCUUUGGCUAGCAUAGUCCCUCGCAUAGGCCGCCACAUUGUCAUCCCAUGUCAUGGGCUCAACGCCAACGUCCGCCCGAGCUGCGUUGUGGACAUCGAGGUAGUCUUGUUGGGAGUUUUGGGCAUGGGAGGGAUGGACUAGGGCUAAUAUUCCAAUGAAGCAGAUGAGGGCUAAUUCUCUCUUGCACAGCCCCAUUUUGGCUUCUGUAAUACUAUUCAAUACAGGAACGAUCGACUUUUGGCAAGGAUUAAGGAUGAGGUGCCCAUUAAUUUAUAGGCACAUCUUGUAGAAAAGUAUCAUCGAAUGAGUAGGCCUUACGUACGCCUCAUCUGUCAUUGAAUGACUCUAGAAGUGGGAUUGUCAAAAAGCUAAGCAACCCAUUCAGAUUGGACAAGAUGCCACUGUCCCAAUAAGAUUUACAAAAAUCAAAAUUCCAUUUUGAAUUUUUUGCUUUUUAUUUGAUUGAAAUGAGCAAAUAUAUUUCCAACAUCUUAGGAUAUGUUUAUUUUGUAAAUAUUUAAAUUAGGAAACAAGUAUGUCAUAUGUAUAACUUGAAAUAUUUUUUAUUUUCUUAAAUAUGUAUCCUUGGCUAGGGAAAUUUCUUGCCUAUUUUAGCUGUUAUAGUUUUAGUCCCAUUCAAAGAUACUGAACCAUGAAAGGAAAAUAUAAAUUAUCUUAUUAGGUUGAUUUUUAUAUAUGAACCUACAUUUUAUAAAUAAUAUUUUCAAGGUUUUUUGUGCAUCUACAAGAAUCCUCACCCAAUUCCUAGUGCUAACAAAAUAUUGAAGAGGAAGCUCAUAUUAGUUUAAUUUAAUUUAUCUAUUUCUAAAAAUGUAUUUCUCUUCAUCUCUUAAAUUAAGAGUGUAUUUGAUAAUGAUUUUAAAAAAUAUUUUUAAUAUUUUUAAUAAUUAAAAGAUAAAAAUUUUCAAGUAUUGGAAAGAUUAGAAAUACUUCCUAAAAUCACUAUCAAACACCCUAAAAACCUAUUUGGUAGUGAUUCUAGGAAACGUUUUGAACAUUUCUAAUACUUGAAAUUUUUUAUUAUUCAAAUGUUAAAAAUGUUUCCCAAAAUCACUCCUAAACAUACUUUAAGUGUCCGUUUGACAGUAUUUUUAUUUGAAAUAUUUUUAGUGAAAAUAUUUUAUAUGAAAGUGUUUUUAAAAGAAUAACCUCUUAAAUAUUUCUUAUAAAAACAUUUUAAGUGAAUUUUUAAUAUUAUAAGUGAUUUUUCAUAUUCUUACAAGUAUUUCUUAAAUUUUAUAAUAUCUUUUUUUUUUUAAAAAACACUAUUUAAAUUAAAAAUGCUUCCUAAAAUUAAUGUAAAAUGGACACUAAACAUCCUCCUCAUUUUGUCUUUAGAUAUUUGGUUUAUCAUCUCUCCCUCCUUCACUCUUAAAUUAUAAGUAGUAAAGAAAGAAAAUGAGAAGGAAGAAUUCUGAAGCUCCAAAUGAGAAAGUUAAUUCCAACUUCCCCGCUUUGUUGAAAGUUUUGUGAUGACUUUUCCGGUGGAAAGUUUAGGAAGGUAGGAAUUCAUUACUCCAGUUCACAUGCAUGGAAGUCUUCAUGAUUGAGAAAUAACGUGCAGGUGAGAGAUGGGAAGGGGCCGGCAUUUGUAUAGUUGCAGGAAGACUCAUUCUCCAGACUCUUGGGUCAAUGGCGGGGGAUCAAAGAAAGUGGGUUGCAAUUAUUAAGAAUUUUCUUCAUCUUCUGUCUUUUUCCCGGCCAUCACGCAUCGAUCACGUUUGUCUUUCUAGGUAAAAUACCUCAAUUAUCUGCCUUAUGAUGUGAACUUUGAUACAUGCAUGUGCAUGUAGUCAGCCCAUUCUUCUCUCAAGUCUUCUUGGAUCAUUCAUCUAUUUCUUCACACUCCACAUGGAGAGAAACACCACCUAGAAUUAAUUACCACAAAUUUGGCAUGAAUUACAGCCAUCAUUCUCGCCUCUUCUUAAGUGCCCAUAUAUGUUUCUUUUAGCUAAUAAAAAAAAAAACAGUAGGAGAAAUCAUUAGUUGUGUUUUAGAUUUCCAAAAACACAAAAGAAAGGGAAAUGUUAUUAAAAAGACAAAGAUUUAUACUGUGAAAUUUUUGUAAGUGGAACCAGUUCUUACUUUUCUAAGUGAAUAAAGAUUCCAUCAAUUUUAGGUUUUAUUUUUUUAUUUUUUUAUUUAACGUUUCAUUCUCAUUUCUAUUUAACUUUAGUAAUGGUUGGCCUCCUAUUUUAAGGUGGGCCUGUAUCUUGGUAUGAUGAUGAUAGUGGUUUCAUCACAUUCAUCGAAUGAUAGCAUGGUGGCCCUUCCAUGGUGUUGUGGCAGCUGCUGAUUGGUUAUUGCAUGUAGCUCUUGCUUAGGCACCAUGUGGCGGCGGAUCUAUGUGUCCUAAUCAGCAAUCUCCUUAAUUUCUUAUCUUCUCUCCUUAGGAUAUAAUAAUUUCGUCUUUAUCUCAUAGAUAAUAAAUUCAUUCUUCACAUGCAGCAUUCAACGGUUACAAAUUUUUGAAGAACAAAAAUUUAUAAAUAAAUAAAAAAUUAAUUUAAAAAAUAUAUAUAUUAUAUCACAUUCAGUAUAAUGUGAUGAAAUGAAAUAUCAUUUGUAAUCAAUGUAAUAUUUAAAAAUAUUAUAUUUUAUUAGAAAUAAUAUCUUAUAAUAUAUUUAUCGUAUCCUCUUAUCCCGUCAACCAAACAUGAUAUUAAUGAAGAAAACUCUAAUUUUCCUUGUUAUAAAAGAACUCGAACAACUUUUUGCAACUAUGAUACGCUUUUGAGUCCUUUUUCAUCCUUAGUUCUUUUAUACGUCACUAGCUUUUGAUGUGAUUUAUGGUUCCAAUUUACACCCAUAGUGGGUUUUGAUCCUCUCAUCUUCUCCACAAUUUCUACUCCAAUAUUACCUUUUUUUCCAUUACCAAUUACCCAAAUAGCUUAGUCUCAACAUGAUCUUAGAGUUGUCUCAAAGUUUCCAUGGGAUUCACUUCGAGACUAUUCAUUUAUCUUCAAUUUAAACGAGUUUGUUCAUAAGCUGACAAAAUAUCCAACUCGAGUAUCGGUCCGGUACGGCCAUGGUCGAGGCGGAUACUACUCGACCGAGUCGUACUGUCUCAACCAAGAUUUUGAACCUUAAUCUCAUCUUGUUUAUUUAUAUUUAUUCUUAUCAUCACUCAAAAAAAAUUAAACAAGAUGAGAUAAGUAUAAGAAAUUCUUAUAAUCAUUUUAUCCACUCGUUUAAUUCUUUUAAUUCUUUUUCAAAAAAAAUUUAUUUUUAUUUUUUUUAAAUUUAAAUUUUAUUAAAAAUAAAUAUAAUUUAUAAAUAAAUAAUAUUAUAAAUGUUUAUAAUUUAUUUUUAUAGAAAAUAAUAUUUUAUUUAUGUUGAAAAAAAAAUAAAAUAUGAAAAAAAAUCAAUAAAAUCAUAGCUAAACCCACUUUAAAUUUGUUUGGGACUUUUAAAAACUUCUCAAACUCAUCCUAAACCUAUUUAUAUUUAUCAAACCCUUCUGGAUAGGACGCAUAACCGAAAAACCCACCCCAUUGUCAUCCCUAAUUAUACAUAGUUUAUAUCAUUGAAUGCAUUGAUGGAGAGAAUUUUAACAAAAAAAAUAUAACAAUUUAUAUCAUUGAAUGCGUGGGUGGGGGAGGAUUUUGAAAAAAUAUAGCAAUAUUUUUUAAAAAAGAACAUUUUUAAAUUAUUUUCAAUUCUAUAGCUUUUAAUUUAAAAAAAUCAAUUAAAAUUGUUUUUUAAAAUUUUAAAGUUAUCUUUUAAAAAAAUAAAUUUUAUAUUUAAAUUAAAAUUAUUUCUUCAAAGAAAUAACUUCCAAUUGAUGUUAUAAAAAGUAUUCUAAAUUUGAAAAUAAUUUCAAAAAUAUUAUAUUUUAAUAAAUGUUUAAAAAAAAAAAUUGAUGUACUCUAGUUUUUUUUUCUUUUUCAAAAAUUGUUGGUGAAGUGAAGAUUUUGAGCGAGGUAAAUGGGUGUGAAUUGGAGUGGUGUAAGUAAGAAAAACCCAUAUCACAGGCAUUAGUACACUAGAAAAGCAAUCACAAACUUUCAACAAAGGAAAGUCGGAAUUAACCUUAUGACUAGAAGCAACAAAAUUCUAUCUAUGGUGUAUAUUUUAUUUUCUACUUAAAAAAUGAAAUCUAUAUAUAUAUAUAGAUGCUUUAUAGCUAACAUAAACUUGGAUUAAUUCCAAAUAUAAGUUUACGAUUUACAAAUUCAGGAGGAAGAGAUCUCCACUCAAACCAAAUAUGUAAAGAUAGAAUUAGGAGCAUGUUCAGCUUGUUUGCAUUUAAGCAGUUCAGAGAAUUAUAUUUUUUUGAAAAUUUGAACAAGUAUGAGAGGUUGAAUAUUUUUGUCAAAAUUUAAAAUCUGGGUUAAUUUUCAUCCUUGGUUAUCGUAAGGGAUUAAUUUAAAUAUAUAAAAUAACCUUGAAAAUUCUAUCUAUGAAAAAUAGGUUUCUAUAUCGAUAAAUGGUAACAUAAUUACUCGUUUACUUUCUUUUUUUAUUCAGGAAUCUAAAAAUUGGACCACACACCUCAAAUUCUAAAACUAUGAUUUCAUUAUAAAACAAAUAGGUUAACUCAUAAUUUUAGAAUUUUGAAAUGUCAAUCUAAAGAAUAAUAAUAUAAUAUUUGAAAUAUAAACUCUCUAUUUAAUUUCAAACCGAGAAAUUUAGUCGUGAUGUAUAAAUAACAAUUAGAUUUUUUUUUAUAAAACAUAUAUUUUCAAAUAAUAGCAAUAACAUUUUGUAAUUUUCAAAUUUAAAAUUUUAUUUCUUUACAAAUUUGGAAUGGCAUGACCCAGUAGAGAGUUUUCCGGUAUGCCUUGUUUGUUGCCUUAGUUGUGCAUAAAUUUCACUAAGUAUGAAAAACUAGUCAUUUUCAAGAGUACUAUGUAUUCAGCUUCCAUGGCAAGAUGCCAGUUGUGCUCUCCCAUAGCUUGUUGGAAUGUUUGUGGUUCAACAGGUGAAGUUGUAAUUAAGGCUUUCUUCUUGACAAUUCCGGCCUUUGAUAUGGUAAUAUCAUGGGAUGGCAGUUGGAGGGUAGAACUGUAGAAGAGCGGAAGAAUGGUUGGAUGUGGAAAUAUCAAUAAAGGGGACUUGAAUCACAAAUUUAAUGGAGGCAUUGGAUAGACAUGGAGAAUCUGGUGGUAAGGGGCACACACUAGUAGUGGAAUUGGAAAUUUGGUUCGUUGUAGCAUGUAAUCUACAAAGAGCAAGAAAUACUUUGCACCGGUUAUGGAAUAUGUGGGGACAGGACCCCAUAAAUCAGUGUGAACGAGGGCAAGAGGAUAUUGGGCUCGAGAUGUAGAUAGUGGGAAUGAUGACUUGUGACUUUUAGCAUAUUGAUAAGCAUAGUAAAUGUGAUUUUUAUUAAGAGAAUAAGAAAUUUUACGGAAAGAAAGAAUUUGUUUCAAUAUAGGUACACAAUCAUUUUGGGUCCUAGCAGUGAGAGCUAAGUAGCUGGAUGAAGUAGAAGCUAAGGAGGAACCAGGGCUAGAGUUGGGGAAUCUAUAUAAGCCACGCUCAAGGAAUCCCUUGAAGAAGAAUCACCUUCGUAAUCUUGUAAUGUCUCGCACCUAACCAUGUAGAUAUUGUCCGCUUUGGGCCCAAGGGGCCUUCAUGGUUUUAAAACGCGUUUACUUGGUUAAGAUGAGCUUCUACAUAUAUAGCACCAGGAACAUUCUCUCCUAUCCGAUGUGGGACAUCACAAACAGCCCCCCCUCUUCCCCAUGCAGACACAACGUCCUCGUUGUGUCCCAUGGGAUUGCGGGGUCAAACAAACAAACACCCCUUACGGGGCUAAACAAACCCCUACACCAGGGUCGAGGAUCGGCUCUGAUACCAUUUGUAACAACCCAUUCCCAACUGUGUAGAUAUUGUUCGCUUUGGACCAAAGAGGCCCUCACGGCUUUAAAACACGUCUACUUGGUUAAGAUGAGUCUCUACAUAUAUAGCGCCAAGAACAUUCUCCCUUAUUCGAUGUGAAACAUUACAAAUUAUAAAUGGUAUCAGAGUCGAUCCCCGACCCUGAUGUGGGGGUUUGUUUGGCUCUGUAAGGGGUGUUUAUCUGUUUGAUCCUGCAAUCCCAUGGAACACAACGAGGACGUUGUGUCUACAUGGGGGAGUGUUUGUAAUGUCCCACAUCGGAUAGGGGAGAAUGUUCCUGCCGCUAUAUAUGUAGAGGUUCAUCUUAACCAAGUAGACGCGUUUUAAAACCAUGAGGGCCCCCUUGGGCCCAAAAACGGACAAUAUCUACAUGGUUGGGUGCGGGUCGUUACAAAUCUUGUCCUUAAUAACAAAGAAAUGAGGGUGAAACUCACAAAAUUAAUUGUUGUCAAUGCAAAAAUGAAAGACACUUAUAAGAUUUGUUGUAAGAUAAGGAACAUGAAACAUAUUUUUUAAUUGGAAAGAUUUGUGAAUAGUGUGAAAAUUUAGAACAAAUGUGAGAGAUGGAUAGCUGCUUACCAUUUCCAACCGUGACCUUGUCAUUGCCUUGAUAAGGAAUGUUGUUUGAAAGAUUUUCAGAAGUUUGGGAGUGAUGAUGGAUUGCACCUGUGUCAAGAAACCAUGAGUUGUUGCAGCUUGAGGAAGGUGAAGCCAUCACUGCUUGAAUGUUGUUGCUGGCGGGUUGUAUUAGAUGAAGGUUUGAAAGGGUUUGUAGUUAAAGAAUCUAGUCCUUGAAAGUUGAUAUCAAAUCUGUGACAACAUGAUAUCAUUAUAUUACCAAAUUUGCCACAAAGUUGGCAUUAAGGUCUGUUACCAGUGUGGUUUGUGCGAGGGUCUUGGCCACGACCACCAGUGCGUCCUUGGCGCUGAGAGUUAUUCUGUUUGUGAAAGGAAGAGUUAUGUCUUCCAUUUUGAUGGUUUCUCGGACGACCUUGGGUUGCUAUAUGUGUAGAAAUAACUUUGUCUUCUACCAUUGAUGUUUGAAGAUUGAGUUUUUGUUCAUGAGUGAGUAGGAUGCUAUGCAUUGAGUAAAUAUUUACAUCAUCUUCACAAACUGCAAGAGAAGCCACUAUAGGGUUGUAGUCAGCUCUAAGACCACUAAGAAGUUGCAAGACUUGAUCUCUUUCUGCUACCAACUCUAUAAUGGCAACAAGAUUAUUAGGUUAAAGAUAUAUUCCAUCAUGGAGAGGAAGCCUUUCUGAGUAGUCUGAAAUGCUAGUCGAAGCUGCAUUAUUUGUGCCUUGGAUGAGGUGGAAAAAAAUUUCUCUAGGGUAGUCCAUGCUACAUGAGAUGUCUGGUCCUAGAUUAUUUGUCCCAUAAUAUCUGAGAUAAAGGAAGAAUAGAUCCAACUUAGAAUCAUGUGACCAAAGCAUCACCAGUUGAUGAAAUUUUGAUUGAUUCCUCCGGUUGUGGUUGUCUUGGGAGGACAGAUUUUGAAUCCUUCAAUGUGUUCUUCAAAUCCAUUUGCAUAGAUUACAUUCUCCAUUUGAGUAUGCCAAAGGAUGUAAUUGUUCCUAUCCAGCUUAAUAGGAAGAGGAUGGUUCAACAUGUGCAUUGACUGCGCCGUGCUAGGUGACUGGAAAGAUUAUAUCUGGAGUACUGUUUUGUGGAUUCAAGUUCUGUGUUGAAAAGGCCAUGUGAUCGGUGGUUGUUCUUUGGAGAGAAGAAUGGUUGCAAUCAAAUUAGUUAGAGGAAAUGCAGGGAAGUUGUGGAUGAAGAAGAGAAGCUGAGCACUAAUACCAUGAAAGAGUUUCAGCUAUCAAGAAAAGCAACCACUGCUUCUGUUAUCUAGAGAGUUUUAUAUUCAUUACACAGGUUUGUUUCUAACUAAAGUAACAACUAACAGAUGAUGGCAACUAAUCUAAGUUAACAAUAAGGUGUUUAUUCUAUUAAGAGUGCUGAAGAUCAAUUGUUGAUCUUGAUGGCUUGUUGUAUCAUGAUGAACUUUGAUGUGCUAAAGUUGAAACAAGUUUGUACAUUUUAACAAAGAGAGGGAGGGAGCAAAUCAAUUUUUGAAUUCUUGAAUAAGUUCCUGCAUGAUUUAUUUUUCAUCCUAGCUAAGUUUUUUGUCAAUCAAUUGGUACUGUUAAUAUGGUUUAUGAUCUCCAUCUGCUUCAACAAUCUGGAUAUUAAUUUAUUAAAAUAGGCCUGCAUGCUUGUACUCUUAUUAUCUCCCUUCAUGUAAGGUAACACUAGAAAUGAAAAAAAAAAAAAAAAAAAAAAGGAAGAAGAAAUGUGCUUGUAUAUAUCACAAACAUGGAUCCACUACUUUGUGAAAAUUGAGGAUGACUCUUAAGUCUUGACAAAGGAAAAAAGGGAGAAUAAAAGAACUUCUUACUAGAAAGCUCCAUUUAUGCCUUCCUUGGUCACAUAAAAGCACAAUUUAAGUCACACAAUGCGUGAGUUUUAUUUGUACUGACCAAUGCUUAUGAUUAGCUUAUUACAUAUUAGUAUAUCACUACGAUGAUAAGAUAAUACUUGAUUAGAGGUAGUUCGAUAAUCUUCAGUAAGGAUGCUGUCUGAUGUAGUUGUUCGGUGGAUAGUAGUUGCAUAUGAUGAACCACCAUCCAUUGUUGUAAUGAGCCCUAGCAUACCCAAGACUCACUGAGUUACAGCAAACAACUUGAGUAUAGUGCCUGCAUUCCCCACCAACGCAUGAGUUGGAGUUAUAAUAAUAAUAAAUUAGGCUUUUUUGCCACCCACAAGUUCACUUUCGCAGUGCCUAUAAAUGAAUUAACCACUGCCCUUGGCAAAGUUCUCCCCAGAAGACCCAUUCGAAUGCCUGAGAUUGCAGUCCCCGAUCCAUUUGUUGGCAUAGUUCUGAGCAUAGGAGGCUAUGGUGUUGUUCCAUGUCAUAGACCGAACGCCAAAUUGUGCCUGAUUAGUAUUGUGAGCAUUGAGGUAGUCCUGUUGUGAGUUUUGGGCAUAGGAGGUGUGAACCAAGGCUAAGCCCAUGAGACAAGCAAGUGCUACUGAAAUAUUCUUACACAACCCCAUUUUCAGUUGUGAUAUUUGAUGCAGAAUAAGGAUUUCUUCGAUGGGUAUUCAUAGGAAAAAGGACUUGAAAUUAAGGUGAUCAAGGGCAUCACAAUUAAACCAACUCCAAAUGGUCAAGGACACAGAAGACUUUGUUGUCACUUGCACAUGUAAAAGGACAAUAAUUGAUAAAAUAAUUGCCACUAUGAUCAAAAUUAUUGAACUAUCGAUUUUCCUCAAAACUUAAGGUAGAUGGAUAAGAUAUACAAACCAUAGUCCUCCCCAAUAUCCAAAUUAGGGAGAAGCAACUCAAACAUAUGACUUUCUGUCAAAUCAAAUUCUGAUACCAUGUUGAACAACGAAUUUUUCUAAAAGUUUAACCUUGUAGGAUUUAGGUUUAAUAUGCAUAUCAUGUUCUUUAACAAAAAUGACUUCCAUCAUCACCUUGUUCUUAGCAUUUGAUAAACAUUAUUGAAAAAGUUUUAGUAUAUCUUCUAGGUUUUAGCCUAGGCGUCCAAACCAGUUUGAUCAAGACUAGUAAUAAGUUUCUAUUUUCAACAUAAAACCAAAUUAAUUAGAAGGAAACUAUAUAUGAUUUUACAAUUAAUAUAAAAAUUUAGCAAAAUGUGACAGUUUGGCCUUUUUGGUGACAUGUCCAAUACUGACAGAUUGGUUCUUUACUAAUUCAAUCACCCUUCUAAGAAUCAAACACAUAUUCAAAUCAAGGAUCUAAUCUACAUAUAUCCAAUGUUUUAAAAACCGGACGGGACCAGCCGGUCUAACCGGUUCAACCGUCGACCGGUGGCAUUUUCGGUCUGGUUUGCCUUAUUAAACCGGUCACGAACUACCUAAACCGACGAUCAAACCGGUGAACCGGACGGUUCUAAUCAAACCGAACAGUUCAUUUUGCUAGCAUGGAAGGUUUCCUUGUAUAAAAAACUUUGGCUAAAGCCCACACCCCACUCAACCAUAGUGUGGGCUGAGUCUUAAGCCCACCAAGGUGUGGGCUGAGUCUUGAGCCCACCAGAUGAGGUAGUGCCUUGGCCUCAAUGAGGAUAGCUUUUAGGGAGAAUUACCCAAAAGGGUGGGCUAGGCAGAACAAUUACUAGAAAGGGUGAUAUCUUUUAAUAAUUCUUAGAGAAGACUUUAAUAGGCUUAAUAUACCAAAAUUGUCCUUUAACUAAAACUUUUAAAAUUCAAAGCAUUUAAAGCACUUCACUUGAUUUGUCAAUACAUUUAUGGUACAUGGGUCCCACAUUUAUUGUAAUUAUUGAUAUUUAAAUUUUAAAUCAAAAUUUUGGGUUUAACUCUUAUAAUUAUAUAUAAUUUGUUAUUUACAUUUACUAUUUAAAACAAAAAUACUUUUAAAAAAUAUUUUCAAAAUAUCAUUUAUUGUUUUUUUACCUUUUUUAUUUUUAUUCUCAUUUUUAAUUUUAUGAAGAAAAAAAUAAGUUUUAUAAUUAUAUAAUAAAAAUGAUGAUUUUUUUCAUAUAUAUAUAUUAUAAUUUUAAAUUGAUAAAUUAUGUUUGUGUAUUAAAUUUAAGGAAGAUAAAAUGUUUAAUUUUUCAUUUAGAUUCUCUAAAAAGAAUAAGAAAAUGAUAGAGAAGGUUUAAUCAUUUUUUAUUUUUAUAAUAAAAUAAUUUUAAAAAAUUUAUAUGAUUUUUUUUCCUUUGCAUUGUGUUUUUUUUUUUUUUUUCAUAUAAAUUUUUUUUUCUCAAUGCAUCAAGUGGAUGAUGUUAAUAUAUUUGAUAUGUUGAAUAUUAAUAAGGUAUAAAAGGUGAUCCUCAAAAUUAUUACUUUUAUUAUAAAAUACAAGCACAACAAAAAUAUGUUAUAAUUACAAUAUAAAUACACUUACAUUACAAUACAUUACAAUAAAACCUAAUUAAGAAAUUUAUGAAAUUUUUUAUAAAAAUGGUAAUUUUAUAUGAUCAUACCAUAUUUUACAACAUACAUAUAUCAUAAAUAAUUUAUGAAACCAAAUGAAAUACUAAUUUGAAUUCACGUAGUUUAUAUAUAUAUAUAUAUAUAUAUACAAAGUUAUUAAAUAAUUUCAAAACACUAAAUAAAUGUUGUUAAUAUAUUGAUACGAUGUAUUAAUACCAAUAGGGUAUGAAUAAACAUUUUUAAAAUUAUUACUUUUGUAAUGAAAUAUAGAUACGACAUAAAUGUAUUAUACUUACAAUAUAAAUCCACUAUCAUUACAAUAUAUUACAACAUAAUUUAAUUUAUUUUUAUUUAAUUUUUUCACGUGCUAUAUUACCCAAUGAAUAAUUCUGAGUUAUUCCAUUUAAUAGGUGUGUGUUAAUCAAUUGAAUAUUUAUAUAUUAUUCAAUUGAUGAGUGCUCGUAAAAAAUAAUUAUUCAUUAUAUUAUGAUAACAAAGUUUUUAAUUGUAUGUUUUAUAUAUAAAACGAUAUAAUAAUUUUAGGAUAUGGUUUUUAUUUAGGAGACAUUAAAAAUUAUUUUUUUUUUACAAGGUUCUUUAAAAAAUCUCAAUUUUUUUGAAAAAAAAAAAAGCAAAUUUUUAAAUAGUCAUUUGAUUGUUCAAAAGUGAACAAUUUUUUCAAGCUGAGAAAUGUACCGUUGAUUGCCUAUCAACCUGUAUUUAUCAUCAUGUAUGGGCCCCACAUCAUUGACAAUCUCAAUUUAUUUAUAAAUUAUAUAGAAAACAUAUUCAAGGACAAAAUUGUCCUCUAAAAGAGUAAGCCUUCAUAGUCAUUAUUUUUUCCAACCUACCCUAUUCAGUAAUUCUCCCUAGCUUUUAUAGGCAUCCUUUGCAUCCUCAUUCCUCUUAGAAACCAAUAUGGGAUCGCACCCAAGAGGAUUUGAACUUGGACCCCAGAUUCAAUAGCCAUCUUAGGACACCACAUGACUACACAACUUUUGUUACCUAAUAUGCCAAACAAAAUAAUAUAUAUUGGAUUUUAAAAAUUUUUAUAAUAUUAAAUAAAAAUAAUAUAAUAUUUUUAAAAAUUAUAAAAUUAGUUUAAAUUUUCAUUUUUAAUAUAUUCACAUUUAAAUAUUUUACAUAUUUCAUUUAAUAAAAUUAAAAAUAUUAAUAUGAUUUAAUUUGAUAAUAUUAUUGAUUUUUAAUUUAUUCAUAUAUAUUUUAAAAUUUUAUAAUUAUUUUUAAUUUUAAUAAUAUAUAAAUUAUAUAUUUAUGACAUCAUGGGUUCGACCGUGGUUCGACCGUCGGUCCGACCAGUAAACCGUGAACUGAUAACUUUUUCGGUUCGAUCACCGGUCUGAUUAUGAAAACAUUACAUAUAUCACCAAAAGCAGGCACAAAAUUGAGAAGUAUAUAAUACGAUUUCAUCUGCAACUAUAAAACAUAUAUAUUUUCACUUAAGUGCAUGUCUCUUUAGUGUGUAAAGAUCUUAUUGAAUACGCAAAAAUUUAAAAUUAUGAAACUUCUUUGUCUUAGAAGCCUUUUAAUUUAUAAAAGCAUCUAGCUCCUUAGAUUCAUAAAAGGCUUGGAAGUUACUUAUAUUUUUUUAGCCCUAAUUAAACAUCUUUAGUAUGUUUAGAAACAUAGUAUAAAGUAUCUUAAUAUUAUUCAUUUCAAACACUCAAUAAGACCAAGUAUUUAGAGGAGUUUCUGAAAAACAUUUGAUAAAAAUCAAAUGCUUAUAAAUUACUUUGUGGAUCGUCUUACACAAUUCUACUCCAUAGUUGGCAAUGAAAAAUCUAGUUAAUUUAUGUCAUAAUUGAUUUAACUCUAAGGCCAUAUUUGCUACAUGGGAAUGAGGAAUGAGAAUGAAAAUUUUCUUUUCGUUUUUUUUUCUUCUUGAAUAUGAAUGAAUUUGGUGAUUCCAAUUUUUGUGAUUGGAUGUAUAUAGGAAUGUAAGUUUUUGUUCCAUUUCAAUGUUAAUUAAGUAACAACGGAAAUGAGGAUUAAAAAAGAAAUAAAUUGAUAGUAAUAUUCAUACAUCUAGUUUAACAUAAUCUUUUAUUUUCAUUUUUAAGAAAACUGUCACACUAUACAUAGUUUAAAAUAAUUUUUUAUUUUCAUUUAAAAAAGAACAUCUUUGAAAGUUCUUUUUGUUAAAUAAUAAAAAUCUAUUUGGGUUUAUGAUUUACAAAUAAAAUUAUUUUCAAAAAUUAAUAUCACUGUUUGGUUGUUGUUCUUGAAAAAUAAUUUUAAAAACAAACUAAUAAGUUUAAUAAUUAUUAAAAUAGGAUUAACAAUUUUAAUUUUAAAUUAUUAUUAUUUAUUUUUAAUAAAAUAAAUCAAUUAUACUUUUCUAAUAUGUUAAUAUCCAUAUUUUGUAAUAUUUAUAAAAAUAUAAUUUAUAAUUUUAUUAUAAUAUUAUUAUUCAUAUUCUAUUAAAAACGAUUUAUUUUUUAUUAUAUAAAUUGAAUUUACAAUUUAUUUAUUUUUAAAAAAAAUAUUCUUAAAAACAACUUAUCUAAAAAGAUUUUCGGUUUUUUAAUUUUUGAAAAGUUUUUCUAAAAUGAAUUUGCCUAAAAAAAUAAAAAUACCUCCUCCUAUGAUCUUUUAGAAUCAUUCUUGAUUUCAUUCUCAUCAUCAUUUAAAUUAUUUAGAAAAAGAAAUGAGAUUCCAAUUUUCAUUCCUCAUUUUCGUAUACCAAACACGAGAUAAUUGAAAUGGGAAAUUGAACAAAGAUACAACAAUUUGCUUUUUUAAUAUUUCUUGCUUGGUUGAAAUGUUGUGACUACUUUUCCAAUAUUAAUUCGUAAGGAAUUGGAUUUUCUUCACAAAUUUUAACCAAUCAAGUUCACAAAAUUUUCUCCGCAAAUUUUGCGGUAGUGGCUUAUUUCCUGUCAUCAAUGUCCGCUGCAAUUUGCUUGAACUGUUCUAUACAAUCAGAUCGAAAAAUCGGGACCAUCACGUGCUUCACAUGAUGGAGAAGUCCCCCGCAAUGUUUUUCAUCCAUCCUUUCUUUUCGUCUGACACCACAUUUAAACCUUUGGUCUUGUGCAUAUGGGAAUAACGUUUGAAUUAUAUUCCUUUCAUAUGUACUAUGUUCAUCUUCCUAGUCUCAAAAGUUUAAUAUGCAUCGAAGUCGUUACUGCUUCAAUCGUUUAAGGACAUGUUUGGUUUCUGAAAAGUGUUAGAAAAAGAAAAAAAAAAUAUGAAGAAAAAUGGUUUUUUUUAUAUUUGAUUUUAUUAUGAAAAAUAUAAAAAAAAAUUAAGUAUAAUUAAAAUUAUUAAGAAACUUGUAUAUUAUUAAAUUAUUUAAUUUUUAUAUAGAAGAAUUAAAUAAGUAAAAAAAAAUUAAAAUGAUAUAUAAAAAUGAUUUAUUUAAUUUAAAUCUAUUUUUAUUUUUUUUCAUUUUUUUUUUAUUUUCUUUUUCUUGCAUUUUCCUUCAAACUUUUCAUGAACCAAACAUAGUCUAAGGAUGCCUAUGGUACACACAUAAGAUUAAUGAUACUAGAUAUGAAAAUUGAAGACAACAAAAAUCAAAAUCUAGAGCUAUGAAUUUUUUUUUUAAUUCCAAUAUUGUUUCUAUUAAGAAACGAAAAUGUUGUAAUAAAUAGGAAAUGAAGUUAGAAAAUAAUUAAAAAUAAACUUGUAAAAAUAAUUAGUGGAAAAAAUCAUGCAAAUCUCUUGACUUACACAUCCAAAUAAGGCAUAUAAUUCAUUAACUUAAAUUAAGGCAUGAAUGAUGCACAAAUGCAAUAAUAAAAGAAAAAAUUUCUAAAUGUGCAUGUGAAGUCAAUUUCUCUAGAAUGGUUAUGUGCAUGCUUGUAAAGCCUGGAAAGUGAUUUCAUUCAUCCAAGGCAAGGACUAAAUAUGGCAACACCUCGACAACGCGUUUCAGCAAGUGUGAAGACUUCUUAAUUAACUUAUUUACUAUUUUUUGUGUUAAAAAAAAGAAGAAAAUGAAAAAAAUAAUUAAACUAUUUUAUAGGCUAAAAAAAUCUCAUUGGGUGGAGCAAGAAAAGAUAAGAUAAGAAGUAUGCGAAGGCAAAUUAAUUCAAAUCUAGUUAUAUAUACACUUAAGAGGAGAAGGCCUGGGGGAAGGAGUUGAGUUUUGUUUGUUGGUCUCCUCUUCAAAAUUUAAUUAAGAACAAUUAAUUAUUAAGAGAGAUAUAAAACUAAGUAUACACAAACCCAGUCUAUAGUGGUUCGGCAAUCUUGACUUUGUGAAUGAAUAAGGCAAGGUUUUUUAGACACCUAUCCUACUAUGACCUCAGUUUAUAGUGGGUGCCUAUAUAUAUAUAUAUAUUGACUUUAUGAAUGAAUUUAGUAAUUAAGAUGAGCUUGAUUGAUUGAAGUUUUGAACCCAAAUUGCAUUACACAAGUGUAAUAUUUUAUAGUUGUAAAAGUUCAGACCUUGAUUCAUGAAACUAUCUAAAAAGGAGGUGAACAGGUACUCCUUUUUCUCUUUUCUUUUUUUUUGCCUAAAAGUAAAAUUUUGAUUUGAGAAAUUAUUUGGGUCCAUCAAACAUCUUUAACCCCCUCAACAUAUCUUAAACUUAGGAUUGGUUGAAAUAGAGUUAGGAAAGCUUUAUGCAACUUUGUUGCUCCACUCUUAGUUUGUUCUAGCUUCUCAAAUGCCCCAAAAGGUUCUCAUGACCACCCUUAAUUAUUCAUCAAAAUAGUUGCAAACAUCAAGGAAUAAGGGGAAAAUAUGAGAAAGUCAAGCAUGUGUAGGUUAGCAUAG